This 204780-nucleotide long non-coding RNA is filed under the name Hordeum vulgare. RNAcentral's name for it is "long non-coding RNA (HVUL_LNC015849)". The record is from RNAcentral. Lineage: Eukaryota; Viridiplantae; Streptophyta; Magnoliopsida; Poales; Poaceae.
GCCAGCUCACCUCUAGAGGAGCGCACAAUUCGUGUGCAAGCCCUUGCAGCCCCGUCAGCUAAUUCGGUUCCCUGCUAAUCGCCAGAGGAUGUCAUCAUCGAUCUUAUCCUUGGGCUCUUAUGGGACCGAAGUCGGGCGCCUAUCUAAGGACGCCCUCGAGUUCUAUGAGCACUCCAUCCUCCUCCAUGGACCCUCAGCUAGCUCCCCAACGCCACAACUCGACCAAGGCCGCCCGCCCUGCUCGCCUCCGAUUGCACCGCCGCCGUCAACUUUCCGGUCAAUUGCAGCAACCCGAGCCCCUCCUGCUCCACCUUAGCCACCAUUAGCUCAACCACGGCCCCUAGUAUCCACCCCAUGCUAAAUCGCAUUGGUAAUGAACCGUUGGCAGAAGCCAGUGCGCCGGAGCCUCCCUUCCGCCAUGGUCUGUGGUGUGCUCACUCUCGAGCUCUCUGCGACUCCUAAUGCUCCUAUACGAUGAGGCCCUUCCCCAUGAGCAUGCUGGUGUGCCCUGCUCCGGGAAUUGUACUUCCUAGCACCAGCAAUCGCCGUCGGCAUCAUCCCUCCCCUCUACCCAUGUGCGCGAGGGGAAGAAGACGAACCCCAUAGGUGGGUUCCCCUGUCCGCGAGCCAGCCUCGACACCGAUGGAGCAGAUCCCGUGGUGCAUUUUCUCUUUAGAGAUGUGUGUGAUCUGGAGUGUAUUUUCCCUUUCCCGAAAACAUAUUUGUUUUCGAAAAUGUUUUCUUCUCUAUUUUAUUAAAAAACAAAAUUUGGACGAAACUUUGACUGCUUAUAACUUUUAAACUACAACUGCAAACGAGUUGGUUCUUUUUCUGUUGUGUCUCAAAUUUCACCUAAUUUAUUGUCAUAUUUAUUUCAAAAACUUUCAAACAACUUUUAUACACUAUUUUGGAAAUGUGUGUUGAUUCCGAUAAUUUCAAAAAUAGAAAAAAUUGGAGGGAAGAAAUUUUCAAGAUUUUUGGGGUGCACACCACCCUUCUUCGGACCAAAGGCAAGCAUCUUGAACCCAAAUUUGUCUUAAGUGUGUGAUGGCUUGUUGUGGUGAAUGGAUGCAUGGUUAUGCUACUUAGAUAAAAACUCUCCAUAGCAACAUAUUUUGCGCCAAAGCAUGUGAUGGGUACUUAUUUGCUGUUGAGCAUAUAAUACUAGUGAUGAGUGCGUACUACCUGAUGCCAUGUAUCUCAUGUGGGUUUGGACAACAUCGUAGGAAGGUUUGUCAUGGUAAACAUGUGACUGUGAAACCGAUAUCUCGUGGCAACGAUAAUGAUCUGUGAGUGCAUAUCAAGGUGUGAUGGUGGUAACCCAAUUGAAUAACAUUCAGGAAUUUUGUGGUGCUAACACUUGCAUGCAAACUUAAUCCCCCGAGUAGAACGUAGAUCGGGUCUUGUGCCACUAACCUUCAUAUUGAUUUGUGCUACUACUUGUCCGUACGACAGGUAGGGUGUGGUUGAGUAAUUUGUCGACCCCUUUCCUUGCACACACCAUACAGACAGGCCAUAGUGGAAGAUACCAGUUGCAACUGGUAGGCAUGCCACUUGGUCCGGCGGCAUGGGUGUUUCCGGCCUGGGGAUUAGAGGGGGCACCCCUUAGUAGCACGUGGUAUAAAUGUGAUCCCCUUCUAAGUGGAGAUUGUGAUCUUCCCACUGAAAGUCUUACUUAACGAGUGACAUGGGUAAUCCCACGCAUCGGGAAGUUAAACUAGUGUCUGCAGGUCAGGUGUGUUUUCAACUCAAAGACCGUAAUCAGAAUUAGUUGACAUCUCUUGUUGACUAAAGAAAUCCGUUACUCAUGGGUAAAGAGUACACCCUCUUCAGAGUUAAAUAUCUAUUCGAAUAGCCAUGUCCGUGGGUAAGGACUACAUUUUGGGAUGGAUCAAAUUCUGUCGAAGUGUCGGUGUUCGGAGGAAUUAAUUGAAACAUGAUGAUGAUCAUGAACGAGUAUGAUAACCAUAAUGAUUAUGAAUUUUGAUGUGGACUACUCAUUUCUGGUAUAUGAAUUUUUGAGUAUCCUUCGGACGGUUCUACCUCCUAGAUAAUCUAUGUUAUUAUUAUCAUAUAAGUCCUUUAUGUGGUGUCGCUUAGACACCUGACUGUGGCAACUAUUAUUUUUAUCAUAUAAGCCCUUUAUGUGGUGUCACUUAGACGCCAACUGUGGCAACUAUUAUGAUUGUGUCAUUUUGUUGUUAUUGUUUUUUGCAUGUCAAGUAUACGUUCCUAUGACCAUGAGAUCAUGUAACUCGUUGACACCGGAGGAAUUCCUUGUGUGUAUCAAACGUUGCAUCAUUAUUGGGUGAUUAUAAAGGUACUCUACAGGAAUCUCCGAAGGUGUCCUUUGAGUUAGCACGGAUCAAGACUCGGAUUUAUCACUCCGUGUGACGUAGAGGUAUCUCGGGGCCCACUCGGUAAUACAACAUCACAAACAAGCCUUGCAAGCAAUGUGACUAAAGAGUUAGCCAUGAGAUAUUGUAUUAUAGAACGAGUAAAGAGACUUGUUGGUAAUGAGAUUGAAAUAGGUAUGGUUAUACCAACGAUCGAAUCNNNNNNNNNNNNNNNNNNNNNNNNNNNNNNNNNNNNNNNNNNNNNNNNNNNNNNNNNNNNNNNNNNNNNNNNNNNNNNNNNNNNNNNNNNNNNNNNNNNNNNNNNNNNNNNNNNNNNNNNNNNNNNNNNNNNNNNNNNNNNNNNNNNNNNNNNNNNNNNNNNNNNNNNNNNNNNNNNNNNNNNNNNNNNNNNNNNNNNNNNNNNNNNNNNNNNNNNNNNNNNNNNNNNNNCGAUAAGAUCUUCGUAGAAUAUGUAGGAUCCAAUAUGGACAUCUAGGUCCCGCUAUUGGAUAUUGAUUGGAGAGUGUCUCGGUCAUGUCUACAUAGUUCUCGAACCCGCAGGGUGUACACACUUAAGGUUAGGUGACGUUUUCGGUAUAGGUGAAUUAUUGAUGUUGGUAACUGAAUAUUGUUCAGAGUCCCGGAUGAGAUCCGUGACGUCACGAGUGUCUCCGAAAUGGUCCAGAAACAAAGAUUGAUAUAGACGAUUGUUGCAUUUGGCUUCCGAAAAUAUUUCGGGAACUACAGGUAAAGUAUCGAGAGUGACAAAUGGGUUCUAGGGUUUUACCGGAAGGGGCCACCCACCCGAGAGAGGACCUAACAGGCCCAUGGUUAGUGCACCAAACUUUAGUGGGCUGGUGAGGCCAGUCCAAUAAGCCUAUUUCGGCCAAUGCAAAAAUAAAGAGGGAAAAAAGAAGGAAGGAGGUGGACAAGAUGGGAAGGAGUCCUCCACCAAACCGAAUUGGAGGAGGACUCCUCCCUCGUUGCCUCAGCCGAAGCCUCCUCCUUGGAGUACGAGGCAAGCCACCCUCACCUUGGUUCCUCCUAUAUAUAGUGGAGGUUUGAGAGGGUUUUGGAACUUCAAGCCUUUGUGCAGCCCUCUCUCCCUGCACUACUUCGUGACACCUCAUAGAUAGAUCGUUACGGCACGACAAAUCCCUGCCGGAGUAGAUUCACCAUCAUCACCGCCACACCGUCGUGUUGCCGAAGAAUUCAGCUACCUCUACAUCUCUCUUGCUGGAUCAAGAAGGCGGAGAGCGUCAUCGAGCUGGACGUGUGCUGAACACGGAGGUGUCGUCCGUUCGGCGCUAGAUCGGGACGAAUCAUGGGAUGGUGGCGAUUUGGAUCGCGAAAACGUUCCACUACAUCAACCGCGUUUCUUAGUGCUCCCCGCUUAGCGAUAUACAAGGGUAUGUGGAUAUGAUAUCCCUCUCAUAGAUGAUCAUCACCAUGAUAGGUCUUUGAGUGCGUUGGGAAAUUUUGUUUCCCAUGCAACGUUCCCCAAUAGUGGCAUCACGAGCUAGGUUCAUGCGUAGAUGAUAUCUCGAGUAGAACACAAAAGAGUUUGUGGGCGUUGAUAUUCAAUUUGUUGCCCUCCUUAGUAUUUUCUUGAUCCAACGACAUUGUUGGAUUGAAGCGGCCCGGACCAACUUUACUCAUACGCUUAUGAGAGACCAGUUUCAUCGACUUACAUGCAACUUGUUGCAUAAAGAUGACUGGCGGGUGUGUGCUUCUUCAACGUUAGUUGAAUCGGAUUUGACCGAGGCGGUCCUUGGAGAAGGUUUAAUAGCAAUUCGCAUAUCACCGCUGUGGCUUUGCGUAAGUAAGAUGCGAUCAUACUAGAUACCCAUAGGAGCCAUGUAAAACAUGCAACAACAAAUUAGAGGAUGUCUAACUUGUUUUUGCAGNNNNNNNNNNNNNNNNNNNNNNNNNNNNNNNNNNNNNNNNNNNNNNNNNNNNNNNNNNNNNNNNNNNNNNNNNNNNNNNNNNNNNNNNNNNNNNNNNNNNCAGAACACUCGGGUUAAACUUGACGAGCCUAGCUAGCAUGUACAUACAUGGCCUUGAAACACAAGAGACCAAAAGGUAGAGCAUGAAUCAUAUAGUUGAUAUGAUCAACAUGCAGAUGUUCACCACUGAAACUAUACUCAACUCACGUGAUGAUCGGACUUGAGUUAGUGAAUUUUGAUCAUGCGACACUCAAAUGACUAGAGGGAUGUCUAUUUGAGUAGGAGUUUAUUAGUAAUAUGAUUAGCUAAACUCAAUUGUAUUGAACAUAGUCUAAGUAAUCUUUGCAAAAUUUUAUGUUGUAUAUCAAUGGGUCGCACAGUAGCAACCCUGAAUUUUAAUACGUUCCUAGAGAAAGCUAAGCUGAAAGAUGAUGGAAGCAACUUUGUUGACUGGGCUCGAAAUUUGAGGCUUAUCCUCAAGCUGGCCAAAAGCAAUAUGUGCUUGAUGCCGCGCUAGGUGAUGCACCACCCACUACGGCAACCCAAGAUGUUUUGAACGCUUGGCAAGUGUGUAAGGAUGACUACUCACUAGUUCAGUGUGUAGUUUUGUAUGGCUUAGAACCGGGACUUCAAAGACGUUUUGAACGUCAAGGAGCAUAUGAGAUGUUCCAGGAGUUGAAGUUUAUCUUUGAGAAGAAUGCCCGGAUCGAGAGGUAUGAGACCUCCGAUAAGUUAUAUGCUUGCAAAAUGGAGGAGAAUUCAUCUGUCCGUGAACACAUGCUCAUAAUGUCUGGGUACUCUAACCGACUAUGUGAACCGGGGAUUGAACUCUCGUAAGAAGCUAGCACUCAUCGAAUUCUUCAGUCACUGCCACCUAGCUAUAAGAGCUUCGUGUUGAACUAUAACACACAAGGGAUGAGUAAUUCACCCGACGAGUUAUUUGCGAUGCUGAAAGUCACUGAGUCACAAAUCCGGAAAGAACAUCAAGUGUUGAUGGUCAAUCAGACCAGUAGUUUCAAGAAAAACGGCAAAGGCAAGAAGGGUAACUCCAAGAAGAGUGGCAAAGCUGUUGCCCCUCCGACGAAGAAACCCAAGGCUGGACCUAAGCUAAAAACUGUGUGCUAUUAUUGCAAGCAGACCGGUCACUAGAAGUGCAACUGCCCCAAGUAUCUAGCCGAUAAGAAGGCGGCUAACACCAAACAAGGUAUAUUUGAUAUACAUGGUAUUGAUGUGUACCUCACCAACUCUCGUAGUAGUGCCUGCGUAUUUGAUACCGGUUCUGUUGCUCACAUUUGCAACUCGAAAUAGGAACUGCUGAAUAAACGAAGGCUAGCGAAGGAUGAAAUGACAAUGUGCGUGGGAAAUGGUUCCAAGGUUGAUGCGAUCGCCGUCGGCACGGUCUCAAUUCAAUUACCAUCGGGAUUAGUGAUGAACUUAAAUAAUUGUUAUUUAGUGCCUGCGUUGAGCAUGAACAUUAUAUCUGGAUCUUGUUUAUUGCGAGACGAUUACCCAUUUAAGUCAGAGAAUAAUGGUUGUUCUAUUUAUAUGAGUAAUAUAUUUUAUUGUCAUGCACCCAAUGUAAGGGUUUGUUCGUAACAUUGAGACAAAAAGAUGUAGAGUUAACAAUGAUAGUGCCACUUUCUUGUGGCACUGCCGCUUUGGUCAUAUUGGUGUCAAGCGCAGGAAGAAACUCCAUGCUGAUGGACUUUCGGAGUCACUUGAUUUUGAAUCACUUGACACAUGCGAACCAUGUCUCAUAUGCAAGAUGACUAAGACUCCGUUCUCUGGAACAAUGCAGCGUUCAAGUGACUUGUGGGAGAUCAUACAUACUGAUCUGUGCGGACCAAUGAGCAUAGAGGCGCGCAGCGGAAUCGUUAUUUUCUCACCUUCACUCACGAUUUGAGUAGGUAUGGCUAUAUCUACUUGAUGAAGCACAGCUCUGAAACGUUUGAAAAGUUCCAACAAUUUCAGAGUGAAGUUGAAAAUCAUCGUAGCAAGAAGAUCAAGUUCCUACGAUCUGAUUGAGGAGGUGAAUAUGUGAGUUACGAGUUUGGUGCCCACUUAAGACAAUGUGGAAUUGUUUCACAGUUAACACCACCUGGCACACCACAGCGUAAUUGUGUGUCCGAACGUCGUAAUCGUACUUUAUUGUAUAUGAUGCGUUCUAUGAUGUCUCUUACCGAUUUGCCAUUAUCAUUUUGGGGCUGUGCAUUGGAGAUAGAUGCAUUCACUUUAAAUAGGGCACCAUCAAAAUCUGUUGAGAUGACGCCAUAUGAGCUGUGGUAUGGCAAGAAGCCAAAGUUGUCAUUUCUUAAAGUUUGAGAAUGUGAUGCUUAUGUCAAAAAGCUUCAGCCUAAANNNNNNNNNNNNNNNNNNNNNNNNNNNNNNNNNNNNNNNNNNNNNNNNNNNNNNNNNNNNNNNNNNNNNNNNNNNNNNNNNNNNNNNNNNNNNNNNNNNNUGACAUAUUGCUGAUUGGAAACAAUAUAGAGUUUUUGUAAACGUAAAGGCUUACUUGAAUAAAAGUUUUUCAUUGAAAGAUCUAGGAGAAGCUUUUUACAUAUUGGGCAUAAAGAUCUAUAGAGAUAGGUCAAGGAGCCUAAUAGCUCUUUCAUAAAUCACAUACCUUGAUAAAGUUUUGAAGAAGUUCAAAAUGGAACAAUCCAAGAAGGGGUUCUUGCCUGUGUUACAAGGUAUAAAGUUGAGUAAGACUCAAUGUCAAGUAACUGCAGAAGAUAGAGAAAAGAUGAGUGUCGUCCCUUAUGCUUCAGCCAUAGGGUCUAUCAUGUAUGCAAUGUUGUGCACAAGACCGGAUGUCAGCCUAGACAUAAGUAUGACAGGCAGGUUUCAAAGUGAUCCAGGAGUGGAACACUGGGAGGCGGUCAAGAAUAUUCUGAAGUACCUGAAAAGGACUAAGGAAAUGUUUCUCGUUUAUGGAGGUGACAAAGAGCUCGUCGUAAAGGGUUACGUCGAUGCAAGCUUUGACACUGAUCCGGAUGACUCUAAGUCUCAAACUGGAUACGUAUUUAUUCUUAACGGGGGUGUGGGAAGCUGGUGAAGUUCCAAGCAAAGCGUCGUAGCUGAUUCUGCAUGCGAAGUGGAGUACAUAGCUGCCUCAGAGGCGGCUAAGGAGGGUGUCUCGAUGAAGCAGUUCAUGUCGCAUCUUGGAGUAGUGCCCAGUACACUGGAACCAAUCAAUCUGUUCUAUGACAAAACUCGUGCCAUUGCUCUAGCCAAGGAACCAAGGUUUCACAAGAGGACCAUACACAUAAAGCGAUUCUUCAAUGCCAUCUGCGAUUACAUCAAGGAGGAGGACAUAAAUAUUUUCAAAGUGCAGACAGAUCAGAAUGUUGCAGAUCCGCUGACUAAACCUCUUCCACGAACAAAGCAUGAUAAACACCAGAACUGUAUGGGUGUUAGAUACAUUACAUUCUAAAUCACAUAGAGAUGUGAAGCUAGAUUAUUGACUCUAGUUCAAGUGGGAGACUAUUGGAAAUAUGCCCUUGAAACAAUAAUAAAAUAGUUAUUAUUAUAUUUCCUAUUUCAAGAUAAUCGUUUAUUGUGCAUGCUAUAAUUGUAUUGAAUGGAAACAUAAAUGCAUGUGUGGAUAUAUAGACAAAACAAUGUCCCUAGUGAGCCUCUAGUUGAAUAGCCUAUUGGUCAAGGAUGGUUAAGGUUUCCUAGCCAUAGACAAGUUUUCUCACUUGAUGACGAGAUCACAUCAUUAGGAGAAUGAUGUGAUGGACAAGACCCAAACUAUAAACGUAGCAUAUGAUCAUGUCAUUUUGUUGCUAUUGUUUUCAGCAUGUCAAGUAUACAUUCCUAUGACCAUGAGAUCAUGUAACUCACUAACACCGGAGGAAUGCCUUGUGUGUAUCAAACGUUGCAACAUUACUUGGUAAAGGUACUCUACAAGCAUCUCCGAAGGUGUGUGCUGCGUUAUCAAGGAUCAAGACUGGGAUUUGUCACUACUUGUGACGAGGAGGUAUCUCAGGGCCCAGUCGGUAAUACAACAUCACAAACAAGCCUUGCAAGCAAUGUGACUAAAGAGUUAGUCACGGGAUCUUGUAUUACGGAACGAGUAAAGAGAUUUGCGGAUAACGAGACUGAAAUAGGUAUGGCGAUACCGAUGAUCGAAUCUCGGGAAAGUAACAUACCGAAGGACAAAGGGAAUGAUAUACGUGAUUGUGUGAAUCCUUGACAUAGAGGUUUAGCCGAUAAGAUCUUCUUAUAAUAUGUGGGAUCCAAUAUGGACGUCUAGUUACUGCUAUUGGAUAUUGACCGGAGAGUGUCUCAGUCAUGUCUACAUAGUUCUCGAACCCGCAGGAUCUGCACACUUAAGGUUAGGUGACGUUUUCGGUAUAGUUGAAUUAUUGAUGUUGGUAACUGAAUGUUGUUUGGAGUCCCGGAUGAGAUCCCAGAUGUCACGAGUGUCUCCAAAAUGGUCCAGAAAUGAAGAUUGAUAUAUAGGAUUGUUGCAUUUGGCUUCCGGAAAGAUUUCGGGCANNNNNNNNNNNNNNNNNNNNNNNNNNNNNNNNNNNNNNNNNNNNNNNNNNNNNNNNNNNNNNNNNNNNNNNNNNNNNNNNNNNNNNNNNNNNNNNNNNNNGGUAUGCUUGUGAUGUGAUAUGGCCAAAGACAUGAUAUGGUGUAUUGGAUGUAUGAGAUGAUCAUGUUGUAAUAGUUAAAUAUCGACUUGCAUGUCGAUGCUACGGCAACCGGCAGGAGCCAUAGGGUUGUUUAUAAAUUUAUUUUCCGCUUGCAGAUGCUCUCGCUAUAUUGCUAGGCAGUAGCUUUAGUAGUAAUAGCAUAGAUAGAGUGACAACCAUGAUGGUAGCACAAUGAUGGAGAUCAUGGUGUGGCACCGGUGACGAUGGAGAUCAUGCCGGUGCUUUGGUGAUGGAGAUCAAGAAGGACGAUUUCAUGGCCAUAUCAUGUCACUGAUGAUUUGCAUGUGAUGUUAAUCCUUUUAUGCACCUUAUUUUGCUUGGAACGACGGUAGCAUUAUAAGGUGAUCCCUCACUAAUAUUUCAAGAUAAAAUUGUGUUUUCCUCAACUGUGCACCAUUGAUCGGGUGUGAUGGACUCAACGUUCACAUACAACGGGUACAAAACAGUUGCACACGUAGAACACCCGGGUUAAACUUGACGAGCCUAGCUAGCAUGUACAUACAUGGCCUUGAAACACAAGAGACCAAAAGGUCGAGCGUGAAUCAUAUAGUUGAUAUGAUCAACAUGCAGAUGUUCACCACUGAAACUAUACUCAACUCACGUGAUGAUCGGACUUGAGUUAGUGAAUUAUGAUCAUGCGACACUCGAAUGACUAGAGGGAUGUCUAUUUGAGUAGGAGUUUAUUAGUAAUAUGAUUAGCUAAACUCAAUUGUAUUGAACAUAAUCUAAGUAAUCUUUGCAAAAUUUUAUGUUGUAUAUCAAUGGUCGCACAGUAGCAACCCUGAAUUUUAAUACGUUCCUAGAGAAAGCUAAGCUGAAAGAUGAUGGAAGCAACUUUGUUGACUGGGCUCAAAAUUUGAGGCUUAUCCUCCAAGCUGGCCAAAAGCAAUAUGUGCUUGAUGCUGCGCUAGGUGAUGCACCACCCACUACGGCAACCCAAGAUGUUUUAAACGCUUGGCAAGUGUGUAAGGAUGACUACUCACUAGUUCAAUGUGUAGUUUUGUAUGGCUUAGAACCGGGACUUCAAAGACGUUUUGAACGUCAAGGAGCAUAUGAGAUGUUCCAGGAGUUGAAGUUUAUCUUUGAGCAGAAUGCCCGGAUCGAGAGGUAUGAGACCUCCGAUAAGUUAUAUGCUUGCAAAAUGGAGGAGAAUUCAUCUGUCCGUGAACACAUGCUCAUAAUGUCUGGGUACUCUAACCGACUAUGUGAACCGGGGAUUGAACUCUCGUAAGAAGCUAGCACUCACCGAAUUCUUCAGUCACUGCCACCUAGCUAUAAGAGCUUCGUGUUGAACUAUAACACACAAGGGAUGAGUAAUUCACCCGACGAGUUAUUUGCGAUGCUGAAAGUCACUGAGUCACAAAUCCGGAAAGAACAUCAAGUGUUGAUGGUCAAUCAGACCAGUAGUUUCAAGAAAAACGGCAAAGGCAAGAAGGGUAACUCCAAGAAGAGUGGCAAAGCUGUUGCCCCUCCGACGAAGAAACCCAAGGCUGGACCUAAGCUAAAAACUGUGUGCUAUUAUUGCAAGCAGACCGGUCACUAGAAGUGCAACUGCCCCAAGUAUCUAGCCGAUAAGAAGGCGGCUAACGCCAAACAAGGUAUAUUUGAUAUACAUGGUAUUGAUGUGUACCUCACCAACUCUCGUAGUAGUGCCUGCGUAUUUGAUACCGGUUCUGUUGCUCACAUUUGCAACUCGAAAUAGGAACUGCUGAAUAAACGAAGGCUAGCGAAGGAUGAAGUGACGAUGCGCGUGGGAAAUGGUUCCAAGGUUGAUGAUCGCCGUCGGCACGGUCUCAAUUCAAUUACCAUCGGGAUUAGUGAUGAACUUAAAUAAUUGUUAUUUAGUGCCUGCGUUGAGCAUGAACAUUAUAUCUGGAUCUUGUUUAUUGCGAGACGAUUACCCAUUUAAGUCAGAGAAUAAUGGUUGUUCUAUUUAUAUGANNNNNNNNNNNNNNNNNNNNNNNNNNNNNNNNNNNNNNNNNNNNNNNNNNNNNNNNNNNNNNNNNNNNNNNNNNNNNNNNNNNNNNNNNNNNNNNNNNNNCCACACCCUUGUUGUUGAGAAUCCUUGGAUUUUCCCUGGUAGACCAUUGUUGCCAGACCAGUGAGGGCACAUUCUCUAAACUCCUCCAAGGUGGAGGAGAGUAUUUCCCCCUUUAUGGGGAUAUUUCCUCCGAGUCCCAUCACUCAUGUCUUAUUGACACCACGUAAGUGUACGUUAGUCCAGCAUCAUAUUUUCAUGAUGCUAUAUGAGUGACCGUGUGCUAUAUGAUUGUCUUGAUUGCACGUGCAUAUGAGUGACCUUGUUCCAUAUUUUCACCCCAUCUUUAUUUUUUUUCCUAAGGAAAUCUUGGGGACAAGAUUUAUUUUUAAGGGGGGUAGUGUUUGUGACGCCCCAAAAAUUUAACCAUAUUUGUACUAAUUAAAAUAUUGCCUCAAACAAAACUUUUGAAAAUGAAUUACUUCUUUGCUUAUUUGAGAACAUCUUCUCUAAAACUUUUCCCUCCAAGUAGACUUUUGAAAAGCAUUAUCGAUUUGUGUAUUGGUAUAAAUUCAUUCUAUUUCAUUUUUGGGGGGGGGGNNNNNNNNNNNNNNNNNNNNNNNNNNNNNNNNNNNNNNNNNNNNNNNNNNNNNNNNNNNNNNNNNNNNNNNNNNNNNNNNNNNNNNNNNNNNNNNNNNNNUUAGUUCAUGAUAAUCGUUUAUUAUCCAUGCUAUAAUUGUAUUGAUUGGAAACACAAUACUUGUGUGGAUACAUAGACAAAACACUGUCCCUAGUAAGCCUCUAGUUGACCAGCUCGUUGAUCAAGGAUGGUCAAGGUUUCUUGGCCAUAGGCAAGUGUUGUCACUUGAUAACGGGAUCACAUCAUUAGGAGAAUCAUGUGAUGGACUAGACCCAAACUAAUAGACAUAGCAUGUUGAUCGUGUCAUUUUGUUGCUACUGUUUUCUGCNNNNNNNNNNNNNNNNNNNNNNNNNNNNNNNNNNNNNNNNNNNNNNNNNNNNNNNNNNNNNNNNNNNNNNNNNNNNNNNNNNNNNNNNNNNNNNNNNNNNNNNNNNNNNNNNNNNNNNNNNNNNNNNNNNNNNNNNNNNNNNNNNNNNNNNNNNNNNNNNNNNNNNNNNNNNNNNNNNNNNNNNNNNNNNNNNNNNNNNNNNNNNNNNNNNNNNNNNNNNNNNNNNNNNNNNNNNNGUAACUGGGUGACUAUAAAGAUGCUCUACAGGUAUCUCCGAAGGUGUUCGUUGAGUUAGUAUGGAUCGAGACUGGGAUUUGUCACUCCGUGUGACGGAGAGGUAUCUCGGGGCCCACUCGGUAAUACAACAUCACACACAAGCCUUGCAAGCAAUGUGACUUAGUGUAAGUUGCGGGAUCUUGUAUUACGGAACGAGUAAAGAGACUUGCCGGUAAACGAGAUUGAAAUAGGUAUGCGGAUACUGACGAUCGAAUCUCGGGCAAGUAACAUACCGAAGGACAAAGGGAAUGACAUACGGGAUUAUAUGAAUCCUUGGCACUGAGGUUCAACCGAUAAAGAUCUUCGGAAUAUGUAGGAUCCAAUAUGGGCAUCCAGGUCCCGCUAUUGGAUAUUGACCGAGGAGUCCCUCGGGUCAUGUCUACAUAGUUCUCGAACCCGCAGGGUCUGCACACUUAAGGUUCGACGUUGUUUUAUGUGUAUUUGAGUUAUAUGGUUGGUUACCGAAUGUUGUUCGGAGUCCCGGAUGAGAUCACGGACGUCAUGAGGGUUUCCGGAAUGGUCCGGAAACGAAGAUUGAUAUAUAGGAUGACCUCAUUUGGUUACCGGAAGGUUUUUGUGCAUUACCGGAAAAGUUUCGGGCUCAUCGGUAGUGUACUGGGAGUGCCGGGAGGGGUGCCGGGGACCAUCAGGAGGGGUGUCACGCCCCAAGGGGUCUCAUGGGCUAUGGUAAGAGAUAAACCAGCCCCUAGUGGGCUGGAAUAAGUUCCCACUAAGGCCCAUAAGGUUUGAGAAGGAAAAAACACAAGGUGGAAAGAGUUUCCAUGUGGGAAGGUGGAAUCCUACUCCAAGUAGGAUUGGAGUAGGACUCCUCCACCUCCAAUUUUGGCCAAACCUUUAGGUUUUGAGGCUGCCCCCUCCCCUCCCUCCCUCCUAUAUAUACUGAGGUAUUAGGGCUGAUUUGAGACAACUUUUGCCACGGCGGCCCGACCACAUACCUCCACGGUUCUACCUCUAGAUCGCGUUUCUGCGGAGCUCGGGCGGAGCCCUGCUGAGAUUAGAUCACCACCAACCUCCGGAGCGCCGUCACGCUGCCGGAGAACUCAUCUACCUCUCCAUCUCUCUUGUUGGAUCAAGAAGGCCGAGAUCAUCGUCGAGCUGUACGUGUGCUGAACGCGGAGGUGCCGUCCGUUCGGCACUAGAUCGUGGGACUGUUCGCGGGAUGGUUCGCGGGGCGGAUCGAGGGACGUGAGGACGUUCCACUACAUCAACCGCGUUCACUAACGCUUCCGCUGUGUGAUCUACAAGGGUACGUAGAUCGGAAAUCCCCUCUCGUAGAUGAACAUCACCAUGAUAGGUCUUCGUGCGCGUAGGAAAAUUUUUGUUUCCCAUGCGACGUUCCCCAACAGUGGCAUCAUGAGCUAGGUUCAUGCGUAGAUGUCUUCUCGAGUUGAACACAAAAGUUUUUGUGGCCGGUGAUGUGCGUUUUUCUGCCCUCCUUAGUCUUUUCUUGAUUCUGCGGUAUUGUUGGAUCGAAGCGGCUCGAACCGACAUUACUCGUACGCUUACGAGAGACUGGUUUCAUCGCUACGAGUAACUCCGUUGCUCAAAGAUGACUGGUGGGUGUCAGUUUCUCCAACUUUAGUUGAAUCGGAUUUGACCGAGGAGGUCCUUGGAUGAGGUUAAAUAGCAACUCAUAUAUCUCCGUUGUGGUGUUUUCGUAAGUAAGAUGCGAUCCUACUAGAUACCCAUGGUCACCACGUAAAACAUGCAACAACAAAAUUAGAGGACGUCUAACUUGUUUUUGCAGGGUAUGCUUGUGAUGCGAUAUGGCCAACGAUGUGAUGUGAUAUAUUGGAUGUAUGAGAUGAUCAUGUUGUAAUAGUUAAUAUUGACUUUCACGUCGAUGGUACGGCAACCGGCAGGAGCCAUAGGGUUGUCUUUAAACUAACGUUUGUGCUUGCAGAUGCGUUUACUAUAUUUCUAGGACGUAGCUUUAGUAGUAAUAGCAUGAGUAGCAUGACAACCCCGAUGGAGACACGUUGAUGGAGAUCAUGAUGAUGGAGAUCAUGGUGUGACGCCGGUGACAAGAAGAUCGUGCCGGUGCUUUGGUGAUGGAGAUCAAGAAGCACAUGAUGAUGGCCAUAUCAUGUCACUUAUGAAUUGCAUGUGAUGUUAAUCCUUUAUGCACCUUAUCUUGCUUAGAACGACGGUAGCAUUAUGAGGUGAUCUCNNNNNNNNNNNNNNNNNNNNNNNNNNNNNNNNNNNNNNNNNNNNNNNNNNNNNNNNNNNNNNNNNNNNNNNNNNNNNNNNNNNNNNNNNNNNNNNNNNNNGCAGGGUCUGCACACUUUAGGUUCGACGUUGUUUUAUGCGUAUUUGAGUUAUAUGGUUGGUUACAGAAUGUUGUUCGGAGCCCCGGAUGAGAUCACGGACGUCACGAGGGUUUCCGGAAUGGUCCGGAAACGAAGAUUGAUAUAUAGGAUGACCUCAUUUGGUUACCGGAAGGUUUUCGUGCAUUACCGGAAAAGUUUCGGGCUCAUCGGUAGUGUACUGGGAGUGCCGGGAGGGGUGCCGGGGACCAUCAGGAGGGGUGUCACGCCCCAAGGGGUCUCAUGGGCUAUGGUAAGAGAUAAACCAGCCCCUAGUGGGCUGGAAUAAGUUCCCACUAAGGCCCAUAAGGUUUGAGAAAGAAAAAACACAAGGUGGAAAGAGUUUCCAAGUGGGAAGGUGGAAUCCUACUCCAAGUAGGAUUGGAGUAGGACUCCUCCACCUCCAAUUUCGGCCAAACCUUUAGAUUUUGAGGCUGCCCCCUCCCCUCCCUCCCUCCUAUAUAUACUGAGGUAUUAGGGCUGAUUUGAGACAACUUUUGCCACGGCGGGCCGACCACAUACCUCCACGGUUCUACCUCUAGAUCGCGUUUCUGCGAAGCUCGGGCGGAGCCCUGCUGAGAUUAGAUCACCACCAACCUCCGGAGCGCCGUCACGCUGCCGGAGAACUCAUCUACCUCUCCGUAUCUCUUGUUGGAUCAAGAAGGCCGAGAUCAUCGUCGAGCUGUACGUGUGCUGAACGCGGAGGUGCCGUCCGUUCAGCACUAGAUCGUGGGACUGUUCGCGGGACGGUUCGCGGGGCGGAUCGAGGGACGUGAGGACGUUCCACUACAUNNNNNNNNNNNNNNNNNNNNNNNNNNNNNNNNNNNNNNNNNNNNNNNNNNNNNNNNNNNNNNNNNNNNNNNNNNNNNNNNNNNNNNNNNNNNNNNNNNNNUAAAAACCUUUGUGUUCUUGAGAGUGAGAGUGAGGCGAGCCCACCUCGGCCUCACCCUUCUCUCCCGCCCAGCCGCAACAGCCCAGCAGCCCGACCUACGGUAGCUCGCAGCCCCGCAGCCCACCAGCCCGCUAGCGACAGGAGCUUCAUUCUCCUUUCCACGACACCCCAUCCAGAAGAGCCACGACAGCCAUGCCUUGAUUUGAUGGACUCAGCUCGCCCUAGCUGCCUAUAUAGGUUUCCUGGUGCCCUAGGUCCUCCCCACAACCCAUUCCUCCCUUCUCCUUGCCUUGCCGCCACUGGUAGGUCUUCUCCAAGCAUCGCCAUCGCCCUACUCGCCAUGAAUCGACCGAGCUUCUUCUCGAGCCCGGUGUAGUUCAUCGCUGCCACGUCCGGCCCUCCUGUCACCAUGGAUUGAACCACAGAGGCAGGCCCUUCGUCCCCGAGAACAAGCCGCGGCCUGCAGCCCCUGGAGCGCCCUCCCCUUGCCGUCUUCCUCCUCUGCGUUUCGGGUUGAGGAGCGCGCCGGAGUUCGCCGACAUGUAGCACCGUCUUCAUCACGCCCCAUCCAUCUUCUUCGUGUCGUUGGUAAGGAAGGCAUUCUCUAUGUUCCAUUCAGUCCUUCCCCGCCUCCGUUCAUGUCGCGCAGGUGCCAAAUCAUUCGUGCCAAGAUCGUGCUCUCCGUGCUCGGGCUGAAGCUGCCAUUUUUUUGUUCUCGCGUGUAUGUGUGUGGUGCGUAGUUCCAAAUUAGCCCGCGUGCACUGUGCCUUGCUUCCCUAGUGGUCUCACCGCCAUUUUGUGGUAGCCGCCACUUGCCGCAUCGCCUCGCUUGCCGCUGCCGCUAGCCCGUGCCGCGGCCAUGCCCGAGCUCGAUCUCGAGCUCGAGGUCCUUGCCGUGUGGGCCUCUCGCCCCACUUCUCAUCCUCAAGGGGCCCUGGUGUCAUUGCCAGUGGGACUCUCUGUUUUAUUUUUAUUAUUUAUGUUUAUUUUAUCUCUUUAUUCCAUUUUUGGAAGAUUCCAAAUAGGGAAUUGUCCAAAUGUGGAUCUGUCCAAAUCUGGAAUAUGCCAAAUCUGGCAUAUAAUUUAUUACACCUAGUUUGUGAAAAUUUCGUUUUAGUUUUGUGUGUGAAUUUCCUAUAGAAAUAUAUGAGUAUGAUAUAUGAAAUUGGGGUAGAAUUUUCUUGUGAAUAAAAUGGUGGUAUUAGUUUUGUCUUUUGGGAAAGUUUGCAGAAAUGUUAUUUUUUGAUGAGGUGGAAUUUUGUGAAUUUUGUGUGGUUUAAUUCCUGCAUGCUAUGAUGAACUUGUCAACAUGGAAGUGCUAGUGUUUUGUGGGCACUAGGCGCUGCUAUUUUCCUUUGCUAGGAUAAGCUAGUAGUUUAGUAUAUUUCUUGUUGUAAAGUAACUAAGAAAAUGUUGCUGGUUUCACAUGCUAAAUAUUUCUAAGUGUUGAAAUCAGUUAUUUUCUUACCACAUUGUGUUCAUGAUUCCCAUGAAUACAUUACUCCUUUGUGUUUGUUCAAAUGCCAUGAAUUGUUGUGCCUGUUAACCUCUAUCAAANNNNNNNNNNNNNNNNNNNNNNNNNNNNNNNNNNNNNNNNNNNNNNNNNNNNNNNNNNNNNNNNNNNNNNNNNNNNNNNNNNNNNNNNNNNNNNNNNNNNCCACACCCUUGUUGUUGAGAAUCCUUGGAUUUUCCCUGGUAGACCAUUGUUGCCAGACCAGUGAGGGCACAUUCUCUAAACUCCUCCAAGGUGGAGGAGAGUAUUUCCCCCUUUAUGGGGAUAUUUCCUCCGAGUCCCAUCACUCAUGUCUUAUUGACACCACGUAAGUGUACGUUAGUCCAGCAUCAUAUUUUCAUGAUGCUAUAUGAGUGACCGUGUGCUAUAUGAUUGUCUUGAUUGCACGUGCAUAUGAGUGACCUUGUUCCAUAUUUUCACCCCGUCUUUAUUUUUUUUCCUAAGGAAAUCUUGGGGACAAGAUUUAUUUUUAAGGGGGGUAGUGUUUGUGACGCCCCAAAAAUUUAACCAUAUUUGUACUAAUUAAAAUAUUGCCUCAAACAAAACUUUUGAAAAUGAAUUACUUCUUUGCUUAUUUGAGAACAUCUUCUCUAAAACUUUUCCCUCCAAGUAGACUUUUGAAAAGCAUUAUCGAUUUGUGUAUUGGUAUAAAUUCAUUCUAUUUCAUUUUUAUAAAAAAAUGUGAAUUUAAAAUCUUUUAAAGGAUUUUUCAUCNNNNNNNNNNNNNNNNNNNNNNNNNNNNNNNNNNNNNNNNNNNNNNNNNNNNNNNNNNNNNNNNNNNNNNNNNNNNNNNNNNNNNNNNNNNNNNNNNNNNGAACACAAAGGUUUUUAUUUUUUAUAAAACCACGUAUUUUUCCCUAAAUCAUACAGAAAAAUAGAGGAGGUUUUUGGGGAGAAAUAAAAUAUGUCUGAACUCACAAAAUAAACCCUAUUUGAAAAAUUGACUUUGGCAUAUUUAGAGCAAUAAAAUAAAACCCAUAUUUUAAUUAUAACAAUAUGUUUUUGCAAAGAUGUCAAAGCAAAAUACUUCAACAUGGUUAGAACUAAUUUUUAUGAGCAUAACAGAAUAUUUAUGGAAGUGCAACAUUUAUUAUAUGUACUAGGGCAAGUAAAAAUCACCGCAUUUGCAUUAUUAGAGAAGAGAGGUGGCAUAAUUUUUUAUGGAAGUUGAAGAGAGGGGUUUUAAUCAAAGAAUAUUACUAGUUUGCAAGCAGUCAUACCACACACACACUCAUAACAACAUCACCACAUAAAACAAGCAUGAGGCAAAACAUGAAUUAUGACAUGAUGAUUAUGAUGCCAUGAUGCAACAUCCCAUGAAGAAAAAUUAUUGUAACUCAAACCACAUAAUGGCAAUAAGAAGGUUCACACAUGACACAUUACAAAUAAAGGACGGGGUGCAGUUGGGCUGUUACAACUCUCCCACACUACAAGAGGAUCUCGACCCGAAAUCUAGCGCUGAAAGAACUCUGGAUAUUCGGAACAGAGAAAGUCAUCACGUUCCCAAGUGGCUGCUUUAUCGAAAUGGUGUGACCAUUUAAAUUUGAGGAACUUGGUAGACUUGUUUCGAGUCUUACGCUCGGUCUCUUUGAGAAUGGCAAUNNNNNNNNNNNNNNNNNNNNNNNNNNNNNNNNNNNNNNNNNNNNNNNNNNNNNNNNNNNNNNNNNNNNNNNNNNNNNNNNNNNNNNNNNNNNNNNNNNNNUCUUUGAAGAUUAAUUGAAACAUGAUGAUGAUCAUGAAGUGGGAUAUAACCAUAAUUAUUAUGAAUUUUUUUGUGGACUAAUCAUUUCUGGUAUAUGAAUUUUUGAGUAUCCCUGGGACGGUUCUACCUCCUCGAUACUCGAUUUUAUUAUUAUCAUAUAAUCCCUUUUUGUGGUGUCGCUUAGACGCCCGACUGUGGCAACUGCUAUUAUUAUCAUAUAAGCCCUUUAUGUGGUGUCGCUUAGUCGCCCGAGUGUGGCAACUGUUAUUACUUUUAUAUUAGCCUUUUUUGUGGUGCCUCUCAGACACCGGACUAUAGCACAAAUACUAUUACUUAUUCAUCGUUAUUACAUUCUUAUAAGCCCUUUUUGUGGUGUCUCUCCAGACGCCCAACUGCGGCACACAUAUUAAUAUUUAAUUAUAAUACAAUUUUGCAGUGUCGCCCCAGACACCCGACUAUGGCAUUACUUUAUUUAUGCUAAUAUAAGUCCCUUUAUGUGGCGUCGCUUAGACACGUGACUGUGGCUUAUAUUGCUUGUCCUUUUGAGGUGUCGCCUGAGAGGCCCAAUCGACAAAUUGAAAUUGAUUGUUACUCUCUACCUUGUUUGCUUAUACAUCACGAGUAGGAAUGAUUUAUCUGCAUGACUGCAUCCGUGAAUUAAAUCCUAUGGCAUUUGAGGUGGUAUUAAAUUUUUUGUGCAUGCAUCUCACCUGCUUUAACUUAUAUUUUUUCAUGAUGUUUGCGAGUACAUUCAAAGUACUCAAUGGCUUGUCCCCGACCAUUGUCUUGGCCAGAUUUCAUAUUUGGAGAGGAACACGAUGAUAUCAAUCCCAGAACCUAGGAGUUUGGGAUCGCAGGCUUGCGAGAUAGGAGGUAUCCAGGUAAGCUAUUCGUGUGGAAAUGGAAUCCCAUGGACGUUGGAGAUCCGCGAGUCUCUUCCGUCGUCAGCGUUCAGACCUUUUGUUCAACCCCAUGGACCUUCAUGGUCUUGUAACCCAAAUUUUGUAUUUUCUUGGAAUUUCUAUAUCAAGUGGGCGUCCACCAGCUAACAGUAAUCAUUGGGCUGGUGAACACAAGGCUUGUUUUCUAGGAAUUAUAUAUUCUGGAAAACCGGUCGCUACAACCUUGGUAUUAGAGCCAGGCUGACCAUUGGCUAAUCAUAUCUUAGCCAUGUCUCUAUUCCUAGCCCGGGUAUUUAUAUAACCACCACCCAGCCUAGCCUAUGCAAUAGCCAACCACAACGGCCAUCCGACCCUUUGUGGCAGUCGGUGCCCAACCUGGUAGCUAGCCCAUAGGCCACGUGUGUGUGACUGACACAGGAGAUGUGGCAUCCCCUAGCAUGCGACGGAAGAAUCCCUUAACCUAUAAAGGAAAGCAUUUCCUCAACCCAGCAACCCGCAACCUUGAGCCCCACCACAAUAACCCCAAACCAACAAGAUGCCUAGCCAUGUUAUUUUCAACGAGACAACUUCAUCUGAGCCGGUAGACUUCGUAGCCGACCUCACCCGCCAAAUUUUUGGCAUAGAAGAGCCCCAAUGUAUGUUGUGCAUGAGGAACCUGCGAGUGAUGNNNNNNNNNNNNNNNNNNNNNNNNNNNNNNNNNNNNNNNNNNNNNNNNNNNNNNNNNNNNNNNNNNNNNNNNNNNNNNNNNNNNNNNNNNNNNNNNNNNNCUAAUAUUAUAUGUGGAUGACAUAUUGCUGAUUGGAAACAAUAUAGAGUUUUUGUAAACGUAAAGGCUUACUUGAAUAAAAGUUUUUCAUUGAAAGAUCUAGGAGAAGCUUUUUACAUAUUGGGCAUAAAGAUCUAUAGAGAUAGGUCAAGGAGCCUAAUAGCUCUUUCAUAAAUCACAUACCUUGAUAAAGUUUUGAAGAAGUUCAAAAUGGAACAAUCCAAGAAGGGGUUCUUGCCUGUGUUACAAGGUAUAAAGUUGAGUAAGACUCAAUGUCAAGUAACUGCAGAAGAUAGAGAAAAGAUGAGUGUCGUCCCUUAUGCUUCAGCCAUAGGGUCUAUCAUGUAUGCAAUGUUGUGCACAAGACCGGAUGUCAGCCUAGACAUAAGUAUGACAGGCAGGUUUCAAAGUGAUCCAGGAGUGGAACACUGGGAGGCGGUCAAGAAUAUUCUGAAGUACCUGAAAAGGACUAAGGAAAUGUUUCUCGUUUAUGGAGGUGACAAAGAGCUCGUCGUAAAGGGUUACGUCGAUGCAAGCUUUGACACUGAUCCGGAUGACUCUAAGUCUCAAACUGGAUACGUAUUUAUUCUUAACGGGGGUGUGGGAAGCUGGUGAAGUUCCAAGCAAAGCGUCGUAGCUGAUUCUGCAUGCGAAGUGGAGUACAUAGCUGCCUCAGAGGCGGCUAAGGAGGGUGUCUGGAUGAAGCAGGUCACAUCGCAUCUUGGAGUAAUGUCAAGUACACUGGAACCAAUCAAUCUGUUCUAUGACAAAACUCGUGCCAUUGCUCUAGCCAAGGAACCAAGGUUUCACAAGAGGACCAUACACAUAAAGCGAUUCUUCAAUGCCAUCUGCGAUUACAUCAAGGAGGAGGACAUAAAUAUUUUCAAAGUGCAGACAGAUCAGAAUGUUGCAGAUCCGCUGACUAAACCUCUUCCACGAACAAAGCAUGAUAAACACUAGAACUGUAUGGGUGUUAGAUACAUUACAUUCUAAAUCACAUAGAGAUGUGAAGCUAGAUUAUUGACUCUAGUUCAAGUGGGAGACUAUUGGAAAUAUGCCCUUGAGACAAUAAUAAAAUAGUUAUUAUUAUAUUUCCUGUUUCAAUAUAAUCGUUUAUUGUGCAUGCUAUAAUUGUAUUGAAUGGAAACAUAAAUGCAUGUGUGGAUAUAUAGACAAAACAAUGUCCCUAGUGAGCCUCUAGUUGAAUAGCCUAUUGGUCAAGGAUGGUUAAGGUUUCCUAGCCAUAGACAAGUUUUCUCACUUGAUGACGAGAUCACAUCAUUAGGAGAAUGAUGUGAUGGACAAGACCCAAACUAUAAACGUAGCAUAUGAUCAUGUCAUUUUGUUGCUAUUGUUUUCAGCAUGUCAAGUAUACAUUCCUAUGACCAUGAGAUCAUGUAACUCACUNNNNNNNNNNNNNNNNNNNNNNNNNNNNNNNNNNNNNNNNNNNNNNNNNNNNNNNNNNNNNNNNNNNNNNNNNNNNNNNNNNNNNNNNNNNNNNNNNNNNGAUCUGGUAUCUUCCGUUUAUUAGUCACGAUAUCUUUCAUGUACUUGGCAUACGGACAUAUCUUGAGUAUAUCAGUUAACCGCAUCUGCAGAAAGAUGGGUCUUAUCAUCUCAACAAAGCGCUCAAAAUCCUCAUCAUCCUUUUUCUUGGAUGGCUUAGGAGGAAAGGGUAUAGAUCUCUUAACCCAUGGCUCCCUUUCUUUACCAUGCUUCCUAGCAGUAAAGUCAUUCUUGUCGUAUCUCUUAGGUUGUGGGUUAUCAGGAUUAACCGUAGGUUCGAUCUCGACAUCCUCAUUAUUGCUAGGUUGAGCAUUAUUAUGAACAUCACUGUCCAUAUUGUCACCAGGUUCAUGUUCAUCACCAGAUUGUGUUUCUGCAUCAGACGCAGAAAUAUCAUUAGGUUCUUCAGGUGUGACAGUAAUUGGUGAACUGGCAUGUAGGUUUCUAUCAUCCUUGUUCUUCUCCUUAGGAUGACUGGGUGUAUCAGCAUUAAUUCCUUGAGAAUCUUGAUCAAUUCUCUUAGGAUGACCUUCAGGAUACAAAGGUUCCUGAGUCAUUUUGCCUCCUCUAGUAAUGACUCUGACAGAGUUGUCAUUUAAUUCAUUGAGCAGGUCAUUCUGAGCUUUAAAUACUUGUUCUACCUGAGUAGUAAUCAUAGAGGCAUGUUUACUCAGAAGCUUCAGAUCAUUGAAAUUUCUGUCUAAUCAAGCACUUGGAUGGCUAAGCAUACGAGUACUUUGUUCCAAAUGUCUGCUAACGUAAUCAUUGAAACUCUGUUGUUUGGCAACAAAGUUGUCAAAUUCAUCAAAGCAUAGGCUAGCAGUUUUGUCAAAAGGAAUAUCACUCUCAUCAAACCUACGCAGAGAAUUCACUUCUACUACUUGUAUCGGGUUAUCGAGACCAUGGAUCUCUUCGAUAGGUGGUAGAUUUUUGACAUCUUCAGAUCUAAUGCCUUUCUCUUGCAUAGAUUUCUUGGCUUCUUGCAUAUCUUCGGGACUNNNNNNNNNNNNNNNNNNNNNNNNNNNNNNNNNNNNNNNNNNNNNNNNNNNNNNNNNNNNNNNNNNNNNNNNNNNNNNNNNNNNNNNNNNNNNNNNNNNNUGCCCGAAAUCUUUCCGGAAGCCAAAUGCAACAAUCCUAUAUAUCAAUCUUCAUUUCUGGACCAUUUUGGAGACACUCGUGACAUCUGGGAUCUCAUCCGGGACUCCAAACAACAUUCAGUUACCAACAUCAAUAAUUCAACUAUACCGAAAACGUCACCUAACCUUAAGUGUGCAGAUCCUGCGGGUUCGAGAACUAUGUAGACAUGACCGAGACACUCUCCGGUCAAUAUCCAAUAGCAGUACCUAGACGUCCAUAUUGGAUCCCACAUAUUAUAAGAAGAUCUUAUCGGCUAAACCUCUAUGUCAAGGAUUCACACAAUCCCGUAUAUCAUUCCCUUUGUCCUUCGGUAUGUUACUUUCCCGAGAUUCGAUCAUCGGUAUCGCCAUACCUAUUUCAGUCUCGUUAUCCGCAAAUCUCUUUACUCGUUCCGUAAUACAAGAUCCCGUGACUAACUCUUUAGUCACAUUGCUUGCAAGGCUUGUUUGUGAUGUUGUAUUACCGACUGGGCCCUGAGAUACCUCCUCGUCACAAGUAGUGACAAAUCCCAGUCUUGAUCCUUGAUAACGCAGCACACACCUUCGGAGAUGCUUGUAGAGUACCUUUACCAAGUAAUGUUGCAACGUUUGAUACACACAAGGCAUUCCUCCGGUGUUAGUGAGUUACAUGAUCUCAUGGUCAUAGGAAUGUAUACUUGACAUGCUGAAAACAAUAGCAACAAAAUGACAUGAUCAUAUGCUACGUUUAUAGUCUGGGUCUUGCCCAUCACAUCAUUCUCCUAAUGAUGUGAUCUCGUCAUCAAGUGAGAAAACUUGUCUAUGGCUAGGAAACCUUAACCAUCCUUGACCAAUAGGCUAUUCAACUAGAGGCUCACUAGGGACAUUGUUUUGUCUAUAUAUCCACACAUGCAUUUAUGUUUCCAUUCAAUACAAUUAUAGCAUGCACAAUAAACGAUUAUCUUGAAAUAGGAAAUAUAAUAAUAACUAUUUUAUUAUUGUUUCAAGGGCAUAUUUCCAAUAGUCUCCCACUUGAACUAGAGUCAAUAAUCUAGCUUCACAUCUCUAUGUGAUUUAGAAUGUAAUGUAUCUAACACCCAUACAGUUCUGGUGUUUAUCAUGCUUUGUUCGUGGAAGAGGUUUAGUCAGCGGAUCUGCAACAUUCUGAUCUGUCUGCACUUUGAAAAUAUUUAUGUCCUCCUCCUUGAUGUAAUCGCAGAUGGCAUUGAAGAAUCGCUUUAUGUGUAUGGUCCUCUUGUGAAACCUUGGUUCCUUGGCUAGAGCAAUGGCACGAGUUUUGUCAUAGAACAGAUUGAUUGGUUCCAGUGUACUGGGCACUACUCCAAGAUGCGACAUGAACUGCUUCAUCGAGACACCCUCCUUAGCCGCCUCUGAGGCAGCUAUGUACUCCACUUCGCAUGCAGAAUCAGCUACGACGCUUUGCUUGGAACUUCACCAGCUUCCCACACCCCCGUUAAGAAUAAAUACAUAUCCAGUUUGAGACUUAGAGUCAUCCGGAUCAGUGUCAAAGCUUGCAUCGACGUAACCCUUUACGACGAGCUCUUUGUCACCUCCAUAAACGAGAAACAUUUCCUUAGUCCUUUUCAGGUACUUCAGAAUAUUCUUGACCGCCUCCCAGUGUUCCACUCCUGGAUCACUUUGAAACCUGCCUGUCAUACUUAUGUCUAGGCUGACAUCCGGUCUUGUGCACAACAUUGCAUACAUGAUAGACCCUAUGGCUGAAGCAUAAGGGACGACACUCAUCUUUUCUCUAUCUUCUGCAGUUACUUGACAUUGAGUCUUACUCAACUUUAUACCUUGUAACACAGGCAAGAACCCCUUCUUGGAUUGUUCCAUUUUGAACUUCUUCAAAACUUUAUCAAGGUAUGUGAUUUAUGAAAGAGCUAUUAGGCUCCUUGACCUAUCUCUAUAGAUCUUUAUGCCCAAUAUGUAAAAAGCUUCUCCUAGAUCUUUCAAUGAAAAACUUUUAUUCAAGUAAGCCUUUACGUUUACAAAAACUCUAUAUUGUUUCCAAUCAGCAAUAUGUCAUCCACAUAUAAUAUUAGAAACUCUAUAGAGCUCUCACUCACUUUCUUGUAAAUACAAGAUUCUCCAAAAACUUGUAUAAACCCAAACGCCUUGAUCACCUCAUCAAAGCGUUGAUUCCCACUCCGAGAUGCUUGCGCCGGUCCAUAGAUGGAUUGCUGGAGCUUGCAUACUUUGUCAACAUUCUCUGGAUUCACAAAACCUUCGGGUUGCAUCAUAUACAAUUCUUCCUUAAGAAACCCGUUAGGCAACGCUGUUUUGACAUCCAUCUCCCAGAUUUCAUAAUAAAAAAAUGCAGCUAUUGCUAAUGAUUCGAACGGACUUAAGCAUCGCUACGGGUGAGAAUGUCUCAUCGUAGUCAACUCCUUGAAUUUGUGAAAAAACCUUUGCCACAAGUCAAGCUUUAUAAAUGGUCACGUUAUCGUUUGCGUGUGUCUUGUUCUUAAAGAUCCAUUUGUUCCGAAUAGCCUUUCGACCUUCAGGUAAUACUUACAAAAUCCAUAAUUUGUUUUCAUACAUAGAUCCUAUCUCAGAUUUCAUGGCUCCUAACCAUAUAUUGGAAUCUGGGCUCACCAUUGCUUCCCCAUAAUUCGCAGGCUCUUUGUUUUCCAACAACAUGAUUUACAAUAUAGGAUACUCGUACCACUCAGUAAAAGUACAUGCUCUUGUCGACCUGCAUGGUCCGACAGAAACUUGAUCUGAAGCUUCAUGAUCACCAUCAUUAGCUUCCUCUUCAACUGGUGUUGACUCGACAGAAAUUUCUUUCUGCCAUGCACCACCAUCUUGCUAAAGUAGAGGUUCCGCAACCUCAUCAAGUUCUAUCUUCCUCCCACUCAAUUCUUUCAAGAUAAACUCUUUCUCAAGAAAAGCUCCGUUCUUAGCGACAAACACUUUGCCCUCGGAUCUGAGAUAGAAGGAAUAACCAACUGUCUCUUUUAAGUAACCUAUGAAGACGCUUUUCUGCUUUGGGUUCCAGCUUUUUAGGCUGAAGCUUUUUGACAUAAGCAUCACAUUCUCAAACUUUAAGAAAUGACAACUUUGGCUUCUUGCCAUACCACAGCUCAUAUGGCGUCAUCUCAACAGAUUUUGAUGGUGCCCUAUUUAAAGUGAAUGCAUCUAUCUCCAAUGCACAGCCCCAAAAUGAUAAUGGCAAAUCGGUAAGAGACAUCAUAGAACGCAUCAUAUACAAUAAAGUACGAUUACGACGUUCGGACACACAAUUACGCUGUGGUGUGCCAGGUGGUGUUAACUGUGAAACAAUUCCACAUUGUCUUAAGUGGGCACCAAACUCGUAACUCACAUAUUCACCUCCUCAAUCAGAUCGUAGGAACUUGAUCUUCUUGCUACGAUGAUUUUCAACUUCACUCUGAAAUUGUUGGAACUUUUCAAACGUUUCAGAGCUGUGCUUCAUCAAGUAGAUAUAGCCAUACCUACUCAAAUCGUGAGUGAAGGUGAGAAAAUAACGAUUCCGCUGCGCGCCUCUAUGCUCAUUGGUCCGCACAGAUCAGUAUGUAUGAUCUCCCACAAGUCACUUGAACGCUGCAUUGUUCCAGAGAACGGAGUCUUAGUCAUCUUGCAUAUGAGACAUGGUUCGCAUGUGUCAAGUGAUUCAAAAUCAAGUGACUCCGAAAGUCCAUCAGCAUGGAGUUUCUUCCUGCGCUUGACACCAAUAUGACCAAAGCGGCAGUGCCACAAGAAAGUGGCACUAUCAUUGUUAACUCUACAUCUUUUUGUCUCAAUGUUACGAACAAACCCUUACAUUGGGUGCAUGACAAUAAAAUAUAUUACUCAUAUAAAUAGAACAACCAUUAUUCUCUGACUUAAAUGGGUAAUCGUCUCGCAAUAAACAAGAUCCAGAUAUAAUGUUCAUGCUCAACGCAGGCACUAAAUAACAAUUAUUUAAGUUCAUCACUAAUCCCGAUGGUAAUUGAAUUGAGACCGUGCCGACGGCGAUCGCAUCAACCUUGGAACCAUUUCCCACGCACAUUGUCAUUUCAUCCUUCGCUAGCCUUCGUUUAUUCAGCAGUUCCUAUUUCGAGUUGCAAAUGUGAGCAACAGAACCGGUAUCAAAUACGCAGGCACUACUACGAGAGUUGGUGAGGUACACAUCAAUACCAUGUAUAUCAAAUAUACCUUGUUUGGUGUUAGCCGCCUUCUUAUCGGCCAGAUACUUGGGGCAGUUGCANNNNNNNNNNNNNNNNNNNNNNNNNNNNNNNNNNNNNNNNNNNNNNNNNNNNNNNNNNNNNNNNNNNNNNNNNNNNNNNNNNNNNNNNNNNNNNNNNNNNCUCAUAUAAAUAGAACAACCAUUAUUCUCUGACUUAAAUGGGUAAUCGUCUCGCAAUAAACAAGAUCCAGAUAUAAUGUUCAUGCUCAACGCAGGCACUAAAUAACAAUUAUUUAAGUUCAUCACUAAUCCCGAUGGUAAUUGAAUUGAGACCGUGCCGACGGCGAUCGCAUCAACCUUGGAACCAUUUCCCACGCACAUUGUCAUUUCAUCCUUCGCUAGCCUUCGUUUAUUCAGCAGUUCCUAUUUCGAGUUGCAAAUGUGAGCAACAGAACCGGUAUCAAAUACGCAGGCACUACUACGAGAGUUGGUGAGGUACACAUCAAUACCAUGUAUAUCAAAUAUACCUUGUUUGGUGUUAGCCGCCUUCUUAUCGGCCAGAUACUUGGGGCAGUUGCACUUCUAGUGACCGGUCUGCUUGCAAUAAUAGCACACAGUUUUUAGCUUAGGUCCAGCCUUGGGUUUCUUCGUCGGAGGGGCAACAGCUUUGCCACUCUUCUUGGAGUUACCCUUCUUGCCUUUGCCGUUUUUCUUGAAACUACUGGUCUGAUUGACCAUCAACACUUGAUGUUCUUUCCGGAUUUGUGACUCAGUGACUUUCAGCAUCGCAAAUAACUCGUCGGGUGAAUUACUCAUCCCUUGUGUGUUAUAGUUCAACACGAAGCUCUUAUAGCUAGGUGGCAGUGACUGAAGAAUUCGAUGAGUGCUAGCUUCUUACGAGAGUUCAAUCCCCGGUUCACAUAGUCGGUUAGAGUACCCAGACAUUAUGAGCAUGUGUUCACGGACAGAUGAAUUCUCCUCCAUUUUGCAAGCAUAUAACUUAUCGGAGGUCUCAUACCUCUCGAUCCGGGCAUUCUGCUCAAAGAUAAACUUCAACUCCUGGAACAUCUCAUAUGCUCCUUGACGUUCAAAACGUCUUUGAAGUCCCGGUUCUAAGCCAUACAAAACUACACACUGAACUAGUGAGUAGUCAUCCUUACACACUUGCCAAGCGUUCAAAACAUCUUGGGUUGCCGUAGUGGGUGGUGCAUCACCUAGCGCGGCAUCAAGCACAUAUUGCUUUUGGCCAGCUUGAGGAUAAGCCUCAAAUUUCGAGCCCAGUCAACAAAGUUGCUUCCAUCAUCUUUCAGCUUAGCUUUCUCUAGGAACGUAUUAAAAUUCAGGGUUGCUACUGUGCGACCCAUUGAUAUACAACAUAAAAUUUUGCAAAGAUUACUUAGACUAUGUUCAAUACAAUUGAGUUUAGCUAAUCAUAUUACUAAUAAACUCCUACUCAAAUAGACAUCCCUCUAGUCAUUUGAGUGUCGCAUGAUCAAAAUUCACUAACUCAAGUCCGAUCAUCACGUGAGUUGAGUAUAGUUUCAGUGGUGAACAUCUGCAUGUUGAUCAUAUCAACUAUAUGAUUCAUGCUCUACCUUUUGGUCUCUUGUGUUUCAAGGCCAUGUAUGUACAUGCUAGCUAGGCUCGUCAAGUUUAACCCGAGUGUUCUACGUGUGCAACUGUUUUGUACCCGUUGUAUGUGAACGUUGAGUCCAUCACACCCGAUCAAUGGUGCACAGUUGGGGAAAACACAAUUUUAUCUUGAAAUAUUAGUGAGGGAUCACCUUAUAAUGCUACCGUUGUUCUAAGCAAAAUAAGGUGCAUAAAAGGAUUAACAUCACAUGCAAAUCAUCAGUGACAUGAUAUGGCCAUGAACUUGUCCUUCUUGAUCUCCAUCACCAAAGCACCGGCAUGAUCUCCAUCGUCACCGGUGCCACACCAUGAUCUCCAUCAUUGUGCUACCAUCAUGGUUGUCACUCUAUCUAUGCUAUUACUACUAAAGCUACUGCCUAGCAAUAUAGCGAGAGCAUCUGCAAGCGGAAAAUAAAUUUAUAAACAACCCUAUGGCUCCUGCCGGUUGCCGUAGCAUCGACAUGCAAGUCGAUAUUUAACUAUUACAACAUGAUCAUCUCAUACAUCCAAUACACCAUAUCAUGUCUUUGGCCAUAUCACAUCACAAGCAUACCCUGCAAAAACAAGUUAGACAUCCUCUAAUUUGUUGUUGCAUGUUUUACAUGGCUCCUAUGGGUAUCUAGUAUGAUCGCAUCUUACUUACGCAAAGCCACAGCGGUGAUAUGCGAAUUGCUAUUAAACCUUCUCCAAGGACCGCCUCGGUCAAAUCCGAUUCAACUAACGUUGAAGAAGCACACACCCGCCAGUCAUCUUUAUGCAACAAGUUGCAUGUAAGUCGAUGAAACUGGUCUCUCGUAAGCGUAUGAGUAAAGUUGGUCCGGGCCGCUUCAAUCCAACAAUGUCGUUGGAUCAAGAAAAUACUAAGGAGGGCAACAAAUUGAAUAUCAACGCCCACAAACUCUUUUGUGUUCUACUCGAGAUAUCAUCUACGCAUGAACCUAGCUCGUGAUGCCACUAUUGGGGAACGUUGCAUGGGAAACAAAAUUUCCCAACGCACUCAAAGACCUAUCAUGGUGAUGAUCAUCUAUGAGAGGGAUAUCAUAUCCACAUACCCUUGUAUAUCGCUAAGCGGGGAGCACUAAGAAACGCGGUUGAUGUAGUGGAACGUUUUCGCGAUCCAAAUCGCCACCAUCCCAUGAUUCGUCCCGAUCUAGCGCCGAACGGACGGCACCUCCGUGUUCAGCACACGUCCAGCUCGACGACGAUCUCCGCCUUCUUGAUCCAGCAAGGGAGAUGUAGAGGUAGCUGAAUUCUUCGGCAGCACGACGAUGUGGCGGUGAUGAUGGUGAAUCUACUCCGGCAGGGCUUUGUCGUGCCGUAACGAUCUAUCUAUGAGGUGUCAUGAAGUAGUGCAGGGAGAGAGGGCUGCACAAAGGCUUGAAGUUCCAAAACCCUCUCAAACUUCCACUAUAUAUAGGAGGAACCAAGGUGAGGGUGGCUUGCCUCCUACUCCAAGGAGGAGGCUUCGGCUGAGGCAACGAGGGAGGAGUCCUCCUCCAAUUCGGUUUGGUGGAGGACUCCUUCCCAUCUUGUCCACCUCCUUCCUUCUUUUUUCCCUCUUUAUUUUUGCAUUGGCCGAAAUAGGCUUAUUGGACUGGCCUCACCAGCCCACUAAAGUUUGGUGCACUAACCAUGGGCCUGUUAGGUCCUCUCUCGGGUGGGUGGCCCCUUCCGGUAAAACCCUAGAACCCAUUUGUCACUCUCGAUACUUUACCUGUAGUUCCCGAAAUAUUUUCGGAAGCCAAAUGCAACAAUCGUCUAUAUCAAUCUUUGUUUCUGGACCAUUUCGGAGACACUCGUGACGUCACGGAUCUCAUCCGGGACUCUGAACAAUAUUCAGUUACCAACAUCAAUAAUUCACCUAUACCGAAAACGUCACCUAACCUUAAGUGUGUAGACCCUGCGGGUUCGAGAACUAUGUAGACAUGACCGAGACACUCUCCAGUCAAUAUCCAAUAGCAGGACCUAGAUGUCCAUAUUGGAUCCUACAUAUGCUACGAAGAUCUUAUCGGUUGAACCUCUAUGUCAAGGAUUCACACAAUCCCGUAUAUCAUCCCCUUUAUCCUUCGGUAUGUUACUUGCCCGAGAUUCGAUCGUUGGUAUAACCAUACCUAUUUCAAUCUCAUUACCAACAAGUCUCUUUACUCGUUCUAUAAUACAAUAUCUCAUGGCUAACUCUUUAGUCACAUUGCUUGCAAGGCUUGUUUGUGAUGUUGUAUUACCGAGUGGGCCCCGAGAUACCUCUACGUCACACGGAGUGAUAAAUCCGAGUCUUGAUCCGUGCUAACUCAAAGGACACCUUCGGAGAUUCCUGUAGAGUACCUUUAUAAUCACCCAAUAAUGAUGCAACGUUUGAUACACACAAGGAAUUCCUCCGGUGUCAACGAGUUACAUGAUCUCAUGGUCAUAGGAACGUAUACUUGACAUGCAAAAAACAAUAACAACAAAAUGACACAAUCAUAAUAGUUGCCACAGUUGGCGUCUAAGUGACACCACAUAAAGGGCUUAUAUGAUAAAAAUAAUAGUUGCCACAGUCAGGUGUCUAAGCGACACCACAUAAAGGACUUAUAUNNNNNNNNNNNNNNNNNNNNNNNNNNNNNNNNNNNNNNNNNNNNNNNNNNNNNNNNNNNNNNNNNNNNNNNNNNNNNNNNNNNNNNNNNNNNNNNNNNNNCAAGUUAAUUCUGUUUUGUAAAAUAUUUACUUGCUCCUAAAUUCUUGUUUCUAUUUUUAUUAAAUAGGUCUUGAUUUUUCAUGUCGAGGGAUGUGUUAGUGUUAUUUUUAGCACUUGUAGAUUUCCCUGUGCAUUUCUUUCUUUCUUUGCUUUUAUUCUGUAAAUAGGAUAGCCACGGGAAUUCUUUUCCCCUAUGUUGCGCCACCUGUGGGCUUACUCCCACAGGCCGGCCCAUCUCUUCCCUCUUCCCGUGCGCUAAGCCCAGUCCAUACGACAUCCCUUCUUCCACCUGACGGUGUCCACCUCUCUGCCCCCUUUCCAUCAAGCCAACAGAGAGAAGAAGUUGCCGCCGUGAGGGCACGACCGUCGAGGUCCCCCCUAUAUUUUGGCGUCCGUGCCUCUCCCCACUCCUAGGGUUUCCCUCUCUCCCAUCCACCGCCGCCGCUCCAUUCCCCAUCUCCCUCCUCUCUGUUUCUCCCCCAAAGGUAAUUCUCUGUAGCCAGGUUCAGAGAGAGGAGAGAAGCCCCGCCACCGUCUACCCCCACCUCCGUCGACGUCCGACGCUACCGCCAUGUACAGGGGCACGGGGGAGGUGCCCGCGCCCCAUUCCCGACCUAGAUGAGGCCUGGGAACAUCGACAUCGACGACCAGGAGCUCGCCAUCGCCUCGACCACGGAGCUCCCCUUCCUCUACGUCUAUCUGCUGCCAGGGAUUCCUCCGAUCGUCUUCUUCCCCUCCGAUCCGGUCUCAUCCACCGUACGACGUCUCCUCUACCUUCCCUAGGUGAGGAACAUCACCCCCUUCCUUCCCCCUCCUUCUCUUCGACCAGAUCGGCUAGUGUCGCCGGAGUUCUUCUCUGUGAGAGUAGAUCGUGCGUGUUUGUGUGUUGCUGUGCUUGGGUGCGUGUUGCGUAAUAGUAAUAGCAUGGCGUGGUGUAGCAGUUGUGCAGUACCAGUAGGGUGUAGCCCCUCGUAGCGCAGUAGCAGAAGCAGGACACCCCGGCGUCCUUCCUGUCGCCAGCGACCUCUGCGUGCCAAGCAGAGUACAAGGUGCUUGGCCAUUUUAUCUUGUUUUAUUCUUUCCCUCUAUCAGGCAACGUUUCAUAGCGAAGUGGUAACAGUGUUGGUGUGAUCUCGUGGGCUCGUGGGUUCGAGACCCACGGGAUGCACUCCCCCCUUUUUUUGUUGGUUUUAUUUCGGUACAAGUGGUUGCCGCAGCAGGACAGCUUAUCCUGCUAGAUGCUCCUGUUCUGUCAAACAGGGCCUCUUUAGCAGACUCGUAGAGGAGUAGUAUGUACCUCCAGAGGUACAGGGUUCGACUCCUUGCUCCUCCUUUUUAUUUUUUCCUUCGAGUUGUGCAUUUAUUUCUUGUGUUGUUGCAUCCUGGCUUGAGUGGUUGUUGUUGUGGUGUGCAUCACACCAUGGAGGUGAUUUAAACUUCCCUCACAACAGCAUUGUUUGCAUAACAGUUUGUUGGUUGUGUGUAGUAGCCCAUAUAAAGGAGUUGAACCUUGUGUAUAUUUGUAGUGUGUAGACAUAUGUAAUGAGAUGUGGAGUUUUAGUGUGCACUAGCCUAGAUGGAUGUAUGUGUGUGUGGGUUUCCCACCAUCCACCUGUGAUGCAAGUGAGUGUAUUGUGGUGUAGUGUUGAGUGUGUUUGUGAGUGUGUAGGUGUGUGGAUGGGAUUCCCCCUCUCCACAUAGCUUGUGUAAAUUUGUGCAUAGGAGUUUAUCUUGGUUUGUCUGUGGUUGCAUUAGUAGCGCAUGGUAGAUUUAUCAUGUGUAUGUGUUCUAGUGGAUAAGAGAGCAUGUGUAGAUGAUGUGGUGUGAUGGAACUCAUGCAAAUGGUGCUUUGUGGUGCAUGUGUGAGUGUGCACCAUCACAUGCCCAUAUGCGAGGGUGUGCAUACUCUCUUUGUAAGUGUAGGCGUUAUAUCUAUGUUGUGCUUGUCUCAUGUGGUGAUGUGUUGGUGUGCCAAGGCAUAUAGGCAUGAGGUCUACCCCUCAUGUGCACCAUUGAUAUUGUGGUCACGUAUAUAUGCUUAUGUAGGUUUUGUUCUAGUGAAUAGCACAUGUGAUGAUGCACUAUUCACUAGAUAUGAUUCCUUGUAGAUUUUCUUCCCUAGUUUGUGCCCACUUGUUCCAAGCAAGUGCAUAGGAAUUUUAUAUGUUUUUUUGGUAGAAAGGUCCCAGGAAUCCGUUGGUGAAAUCAUUUUUGCCAUUGGAACAUUUUCUGGAGAUGACAUAUUUUAGAUUUGUCCCAUGUUUAGAGCUUGGUUCCAUGUGAUGUGGUGGGCCCAAGGGUUUGUUUCUUUGUUGUGGUAGAAGAGGGUGACCCCCUAUACCAUAUGUUGGUUUCAUUUCAUGUUUAGGAAUCCAUAUGUGCAAGUUGUGCCCAAUCAAAGUAGGCUUAUGGCUGAAAUUCCAGAUUAGUGAAAAUCUGAGAUUUUCACCAAGUCUGAGAAUCUGUUUAUAUUUUCUUGUCCUGUAGAUGAGCUUGUGCAGGUCAAUGUGUUGUGAUCUAGCCUUAGUUUUCAACUGGAAAGUUGAAUCUGAUAUGUUUGUCUAGCUCCCUGUAAAUUUUCAUUCCAUUUGGAUUCCUGUAGAUAUUGUUUUGGCUGCUGUCAAAAUGCUUCAGAGCAUAAACAGAAAGUGAGAAUCUGGAAUUUUCACAAAGUCCCUGAAAUCUGAUAUUUUUGGGCAAGUUUGCAGCAGUGUAACUUUCUGUGUUUAACUCCUUUGUGUGAUAUUCUUGCUAGUGCUUGUAGCAAUCUUGGAUAGCUACAGCCACAUAUCUUAUUUGGCAUGUUUAGGUGGCUGUAGGUGCUUUGCAUGUAGCUCACAAAGUGCUAUGAUGCAGUUUAUGGCAGAUUGUGUAGUUUUGGCAUUUUGAUGAUUGUGAGUGCUUAGUUGAUGAUGUGGUGUUCUUCUUUGCUCCACCCCAUCCAUGUUGGUUUGUUUUAUGUCUUGGCUACCUGGAAAUACCAGAUUUGAGCCAUUGGAGUGUGUUGUGGUGGAUUUGUCACUUAGCACCUCAUAUCUUGUUUCGUUGAUUCCCGUUGAUCCGUAGCUCUGAUUGUAAUGUUCUUUAUAUGGUUUUGCAUUGUUUCUAUGAGACGAAUCGGAUCAUGUCAUUCUCAUGCAUGUCAAGAUAGAUUAGGAUGGAGUUUUGUCCAGGAACAUGUAUUUACUUCUCAUGCUUGUGUUAGUGAUAGAAAUAGUGAUGCAUGCUCAUAUUCAUCUCAUGCAUCAUGUGCUUGUUGCAUCUUGAGGUGUUGUUGUUCAUUGGAUGUUAUUCUUAUGUUGGGUAGCACCGAGAUCGGAGAACGAGUACGUGGAUUCGGGAGAGUACGUGCAGGAUGAACAAGAACCAUUCCAAGCUGAGGAUAUCACAGGCAACAUGAUAUGACCUUGAUUGCAUCUCUAGACUUGUUAUGCUAGAUUACAUUUGUUCCAUCUUAUUCUCGCUACCUACCACUGAAAUAAAUUGCCUCCUGAUAUUCCAUGAAACAAAACACUUAUCCCUUCCUAGCAAAUCUUGAAUGGCUAAGUAGGCUUUGCUCGGCUACUAAUGUUAGCGUUGCUAGAUGCAGGUGCUUUGCCUCAUGUGAUAACAUGAGCUUGAUAUCAUUAUCUUAAUUCUGUUAUUUAAUUAAUGCACCUAUAUACUUGGUAAAUAACAGAAGGCCUAGCCUUUUGCCGGGUGCUUUGUUCCGUUAUUGCCGCCAUAGUUACCGGCUACCGGUGUUUGAUUCCAUAAUGAUCGCUCCUAACACGUUCGGGGUUGUUAUGGGGACCCCUCGGUAAAUCGCGAAGUAUUAAGGCUUGUCCGACAGGACCCAACAUUGGUGUUAAUUUGCUAAUCACUUAAUAAUAAACUGCAUAGGGAAUGGCCUACCCGAGGAACUUAAUCAACAACCUGGGCCAGUGCUCCUCAUGAGUGUUGGCCCAAACUAGAGCACCGUGCGGGGCCAUCCCGGGGCAACUCGCGAGAUUUCUCUGGCCACUAUACGCUUCGCUUAUCCGGCGUCGCCUGAGACUGAGAUACGGGGCUCUUAUAUGGGUCGUCGACACGUAGGGAGGUCCUGCUAGUCUUGUCUUACCUAAGCGAUAUAUCUUGCGUAUAGGAAUCCCGGUGAAGCUUUGGUUCUCCCCAGAGUUGAGGUUUUCCUCUAAGGAAUCCGACGAGAUCACAAGAUUCGUGAUAGAGGAUUACUUUGCGUCCCGUGUACGUUUGUGAUGGACUAUUUGGAGCACCCCUGCAGGGUUUAAUCUUUCGAAAAGCCGUGCCCACGGUCAUGUGGCAACUUGGAAUACUUUCUUAACAUCCGGUAAUAGAUAACUUAAACAUAAGCUAAUAAAAUUGCCAACUGUGUGCGUAACCGUGACUGUCCCCUUCGAAGAUCUCUCUUCGAUCGGGAACACGGUGGGGUUCUGAUUGACGCAGGUAGGUGUUCAGGAUCACUUAGUGAUCAUCAAUUAUCGACCGCUAGUAUAGACCGACUUCAUUUGAAGUUAUACGUAAGUUAGCCACCAUAUAAAGCUUAGGAUGCUUCAACCUAAAUACUCCACCUAUCCAACUUAAUAACUUGACUAGUUCUGGCACCGAGGUCAUAGAUUGCUGAGUCCCCAUGGAUCACAGAUUCCUUCACAACGCCAAUAGGUUUAGGUACCCCCGAGACAGGUGAUCCCGACGGCACGCAGCUGACGUGGGAUUAUGAUGAGGAGAACGAAAGCCUGUACGUGAACUAUCUAGAAGAUUGAGGCGUGGUCGUGAUCGUGGGCCAGCAGGUAGGGCAGCUUAGUCAUUUCCCAUGUUUUGUCGUUCGUAGCGGAACUACCUUGACUGUAUGCGUGAUGUACUCUGAUAUAUUUAUGAGAUGGCAAUUGAAUCCCUUAUUGUCAUUCUGUUGAUAUUAUGUAUGUGUUAUGUUACCAUGUUUGCAAAACGCUUAGAUGCGCUCCUUACCAAUUCGAGGCCUCAUUCCCCAGAUCAGAAAGGACCGCAUCUUAGUCGUUACAAGUUGGUAAUCAGAGCCUUACGACCAUCGGAGCCUUUGUGUGAUCGUACUUGGCCCAGUCGAGUGUAGUAAAAUGUUUUGAGUCUUAGUUAUAUCGGAGAGUAGGAUUCUUUUUUCUCCUCUUCCAUGCUCUGGUGAGGUUCCCGACUUAGGAAAUCUUAAAUUAUACUCCUUUUCUCGCUCAAAUUUUUUUUGGAUCAUGCGGGUAUUUGUGAAAUCUAUAUGAUUUCGAUGUGACGGAGUUCUGUCUUGGUGCCUCCUGUCUGCCUUGAUUUCUUCCGGGGAGUUGAGCUCUAGGGGAUUCUUGCGCACAUAUCCAUCAUUCAGAUUUGUGAGUAUCUAAGAACGAAGGAUGUUCGUUAUUGCUUCAAUACUGGUAGUGGCGAGAUAACCCCGAUGUCCCCAGUACUGGUGCAGAUUGUUCGGGAGUACUGCCAUACUUUGUAUCGUUGUGAUCACGAGGGUCUGUUGUAGAUGAAGGUCCGAGAUGCUGGUUGUGUGUUGACGGAUGUGAUACAGGUGACGGGUUAGUAUAGGAGUUGUGUGAUAUUACUCCUUGUAUCCGUGUACCAGAUUGCAUGACCAGUUAUUUCGGGAAUUCAUUGGUGGGAUAUCAAGUAGUAUCUCAUAGGACUAUCUUCCUAGAGAUGCAUGACUGAGGUUGGGAUUAGAUGUUCAGUGGGUGCGUUUGUUCACGGUCGUCUUACAGCGGUUCUCGUUGUGUCUUAAAGAGUCCUUGUAGCUCGCUAUGACUUGGGGAUACUUCGUAUGUCGUGUGCACUGCCUUGCACAGGAUGGCUACUGUAAAUUCGAGCCCGUGUGAUCUUAUCCACGAAGAUAUCAGAUGAAAUCUCGAUCAUAUGUUUGUUCCGAGCAAUUCUAGCUCAUACUUGUUUGUAGUGGUCUUAAUCAGAAUUUUGUCGACCGUCACUUUGAGGAAGCAUUCUUACUGUUUUGUUCGAGUGCAAUUGAUUAUUCCUGUUUAGAUAUUCCUGUUAUUUUGAUUCAGCAAUAUCUUCAAUUUAUUCUGUGGCCUAAUGUGUUGUCCGUCUUCAGGAUGGCUCCACCAACGCGUCAGAACCCAGGGCGUGAGGAUAUGCCGCCACCACCUCCUCCUCCGGAGAAUCCUCCGCCGCCGCCACCUCCUCCUGCAGAGGCCUGGCAUGCAAUGAUGGCUGCUACUAAUGCAAACACCCAGAUGCUGCUAUAGUUGUUGCAAGAGAGAGCUAAUCAGCAGCAAGGCAAUUUCCAGCAUGGUGGCAAUCAAUUUUCUAGUCUGAGUCAGUUCCUGUCGAAUCAGCCAAAGAGCCAUUUGAUGCCGAGGAUUGGAUCCGUGAUAUGAAUAAGCAUUUCGAGUGUCGCAAUGUUUGUCCUGAGGAUUUUGUCAAAUUUGCAACAUUCCAGUUGAAGGGGCAGGCUUCUAUCUGGUGGCCACAGCUGAAGGACUCCACACGCGCUAGGGGGAUCUCUUGGGAUAAGUUCUGUCGUGACUUCAGGUCCCACUACAUUCCUUCCAGCUUUGUGGAGGAGAUGCGUGAGAAGUUCAGGCGUUUGAAGAAGGGUGGCAAUUCCGUGUACAAGUACACCGUUGAGUUCAACGAGCUAGCCCGAUACGCCUUGCAGGAUAUCCCUGAUCAGAAGAGCAAGAUUUAUCAGUUCAGAGGUGGCUUGAAAGAAGAUUUGUUGCUAGCUCUUGCUUUGCACGAUCCUGAGGAGUUCGACAAGUUCUACAACUUAGCUCUCAAAGUAGAGGUAGCCUUGCUCAGGGUGGAGAAUUCUAAGAAGCGCUUCAGAGAUUCCAGCUCUUCCUCUACUCACGUGGUUAAGAAGCAACAUAAGUUUUGGGUGUCUCCUCCUCCUCCUCGGCACUCGCAGCAGCUUAAGCACUCUGUUGGUCAUGGUUCGUCCCACCCACCCAACCCUGUCUUCCAACAGAGAUUCCAGCAUCAGAAGCAAGGGCCUCCUCAGACACAGUACCGGAAGCCAGCAGAGGUGACUUGUCACAAGUGUGGUCAGAAGGGUCAUUAUGCCAACAAGUGUAUUAUUCAGCUCCGACUGCCGCCUCCUCCUCCAGGCAAACCUCCAAGUAAUUCUCUUGUCAAGUUCAACCCCAGAUCAGCUCGAGUCAACAUGGUGAACGCAGCUGAAGCAGACAAGUCCUCUGAUGUGAUCAUGGGUAAUCUUUAAGUCAAUGAUUUUCCUGCUAAAGUCUUGUUCGAUUCUGGUGCUUUGCAUUGCUUUAUGUCAAAGUCAUUUUUUCAUCAAGCAUGAUUUUCCCUCCACAAGUUUGCAUACACCUUUGGGUGUUGUUUCUCCGGGUGCUCAGAUGAGGUCAAAUUCUAUAGUUCAUGAUGUCAAUGUCAAGAUAGGAAGCUAUUCUUUUCUGGCUUCUCCGUAUGUCUUGGGCAAUUCCGACAUCGACUUGAUCCUUGGUAUGGACUGGCUGGCCAUGAACAAGGCAUCAACUGAUUGUGAAGCUAAAGAAGUGAAGCUUACCCACUCUUCGGAGGACGUGAUUAUAUUCGCGGCGCGCGAUGAUACAAUCCGUCUGUUCUCUUUGAAAGAAAAGGGUGAGAUCAAUCCUAUUUUGCAAGUCCCAGUGGUCUGCGAAUAUGAAGAUGUGUUUCCAGAAGAGCUGCCAGGCAUGCCUCCGCACAGAUAAGUUGAGUUUGUGAUUGAGCUUGAGCCAGGCACCGAGCCGGUGUGCAAACGAUCGUACAAGUUGGGUCUAGAAGAAUUGAAAGAACUUAAGAGGCAACUCGAUGAGCAGGAACGUUUGGGUCUGAUCAGACCGAGCUCACCUCCGUGGGGUUGUGGAGUUCUGUUUGUCAAGAAGAAGGAUGGCACGGACCAACUGUGUGUCGAUUACCGUCCAUUGAACAAGAAGACAAUCACGAACAAAUAUCCACUUCCGAACAUAACUGAGUUGUUCGAACAGUUGAAAGGUGCUAAGGUCUUCUCCAAGCUUGAUCUCAGAAUGGGCUAUCAUCAAAUUCGCAUUCGCGAAGAAGAUAUUCCGAAGACUGCCUUCAGGACUAGUUUUGGCUCGUAUGAGUAUACGGUCAUGUCUUUUAGUCUGGCUAAUGCUCCUCUGACAUUCUGUCGAUUGAUGAACUACAUAUUCUCUCCGUUCAAGAAUGACUUUGUCUUGCUCUAUCCCGACGACAUUUUGGUCUUUUCUGAAACUGAGGAAGAACAUGAAGAUCAUCUCAGAUUGGUGCUUGAUAAGCUGAGAGAGUACAAGUUGUAUGCCAAGUUUUCCAAGUGUGAGUUCUGGCUGAAAGAGGUCGUCUAUCUUGGUCACAUUAUCUCUGCCGAGGGCAUUAAAGUUGAUCCAUCCAAGGUUCAGGACAUUGUUGAAUGGGAGCCUCCGCAGAAUGUGAAGGAGCUUCGAAGCUUUCUUGGGCUUGCAGGCUAUUGCAGAAGGUUCGUUGAGAACUUCUCCAAGAUCGCCAUGCCGCUCUCAAGUCUUCUUCAGGAAGGUGUGAAAUAUGCUUGGUCUCCAGAGUGUCAGUUGGCCUUCGACACACUCAAAGAGAACCUCACCUCCACUCCAGUCUUGGUUCCUCCGGAUGAUUCCAAGCCUUACCAGGUCUUAUGUCAUGCUUCUCUCAAGGGUCUUGGUGCAGUCCUGCUGCAAGACAAGAAAGUCGUUGCUUAUACCUCUAGGCAGUUGAAGCAAGCGGAGAAGAACUAUCAUGUGCAUGAUCUUGAGCUAGCAGCUGUGGUACACGCUCUGAUGACUUGGAGACACCUCUUGUUGGAACGUAAGGUUGAAGUUUUCACCGAUCACAAGAGUCUCAAGUACAUCUUCACUCAGCCUAACCUGAAUCUUCGACAAACACGUUGGGUGGAAAUGCUCCAAGAUUUUAAUCCGAGUGUUGAGUACACGCCAGGCAAAGCUAAUGUCGUGGCGGAUGCAUUGAGCAGGAAAGCGUACUGCAACAGUCUGAUUCUGCAACCUCUCCAGCCUGGUCUUCGUGAGUCUUUCAGGAAGCUCAACCUUCAGCUAGUACCUCAGGGAUUUCUUGCAAACCUUCAGAUCUCUCCUACCUUGGAAGAUCAGGUCCGAGCAGCACAUCUUCUUGACGCUAUGGUGAAGAAAGUCAAGAUUGGCGUGGCAAAGAGUCUUCCCAAGUAUAAGUGCCUUACUAUUGAUGCCAGAGACACGUUGUUCUUCGAGGAUCGCCUUGUCGUCCCGAAAGGUGAUCUCAGAAAGGUAAUCAUGGAGGAAGCUCAUAACUCUCUGCUCUCUAUUCAUCCUGGAAGCUCCAAGAUGUACAACGACUUGAAACAGACCUUCUGGUGGACUCGUAUGAAGCGUGAGAUUGCUCAGUUCGUAAACGAAUGUGAUGUAUGUCGAAGGGUGAAAGUAGAGCAACAACGUCCAGCAGGUCUUUUGCAUCCAUUGCCCAUUUCCGAGUGGAAGUUCGAUCACAUUGAGAUGGAUUUCAUCACCGGGUUUCCGAAGUCCUAGAAGGGUAAUGAUGUUAUCUUCGUCGUCAUCGACAAGUUGAGUAAAGUGGCUCAUUUUCUUCCUGUCAAGGAAUCCAUUUCCGCAGCUCAGUUUGCAGAGUUGUACACCUCCAGGAUUGUGUCCUUGCACGGUGUGCCUAUGAUGAUCUCUUCGGAUCGCGGAAGUAUCUUCACUUCCAAGUUCUGGGACUCUUUUCAGUCUGUUAUGGGCACGAAGAUCCGCUUCACCACAACGUUCCAACCUCAGACUAGUGGUCAAGUGGAGCGAGUGAAUCAAGUUCUUGAGGAUAUGCUCAGAGCCUGUGUUAUCUCUUUUGGUAUGAAGUGGGAGGAUUGUAUGCCUUUUGCGGAGUUCUGGUAUAGCAACAGUUAUCAAGCUAGUUCUGGCAAGGCUCUAUUUGAAAUUCUCUAUGGCAGGAAGUGUGGUACCUCGCUCAACUGUUCCGAGACCGGCGAGCGUCAGGUCCUUGGGAAUGAUUUGAUAGAAGAAGCUGAGGAGAUGUGUCGGGUCAUUCGCGACAACCUCAGAGCAGCUCAGUUCCGUCAGAAGAGCUAUUAUGAUAGCAAGCACCGUGACAUGUAUUAUGAACUUGAUGACUUCGUCUAUCUCAAGGUGUCGCCUAUGAAGGGUAUGUAGUGCUUUGACAUCAAAGGCAAGCUUGCGCCUCGUUUCGUUGGUCCGUUCAGACUGGUUGGCAAGAGAGGCGACCUUGCGUACUAGCUUGAGCUCCCAUCAAACUUUACAAAUGUGCAUGAUGUCUUCCAUGUUUCUCAGCUUCGGAGGUGCUUCAAGACCCCCGAGCGCACUGUUCAUCUUCAAGACAUCGACCUUCAGCCUGACCUUUCUUAUCGUGAGCAUCCAGUUGCGGCUCUCGAGGCUAAUGAACGCAAGACCCGCAACAAGACCGUCAAAUUUCUCAAAGUGCAGUGGUCACACCAUUCCGAUAAAGAGGCUACUUGGGAACGCGAGGAUCACCUACGUUCUGAAUUUCCGGAAUUUUUUCAGGCGUAGAUCUCGGGGCGAGAUCUUUUUGUAGUGUGGGAGAGUUCGUAACGCCCCAAGUGUGUAAACUUCCCUAUUUGGAUACCUUCUUCAUGUGGGUCCACCUUGUCAAUGCUAUGAGAGAGAUCAUGCUCAUGAUUUCAUGUGAUGUCCCUUGUUUUUCUUCCUUGCAUGCAUGCAUAACAUAUCAUAUCAUGCCCAUGUCUUUGUGAUGUUGCAAUGUNNNNNNNNNNNNNNNNNNNNNNNNNNNNNNNNNNNNNNNNNNNNNNNNNNNNNNNNNNNNNNNNNNNNNNNNNNNNNNNNNNNNNNNNNNNNNNNNNNNNUAAUGCACCUAUAUACUUGGUAAAUAACAGAAGGCCUAGCCUUUUGCCGGGUGCUUUGUUCCGUUAUUGCCGCCAUAGUUACCGGCUACCGGUGUUUGAUUCCAUAAUGAUCGCUCCUAACACGUUCGGGGUUGUUAUGGGGACCCCUCGGUAAAUCGCGAAGUAUUAAGGCUUGUCCGACAGGACCCAACAUUGGUGUUAAUUUGCUAAUCACUUAAUAAUAAACUGCAUAGGGAAUGGCAUACCCGAGGAACUUAAUCAACAACCCGGGCGAGUGCUCCUCAUGAGUGUUGGUACAAACUAGAGCACCGUGCGGGGCCAUCCCGUGGCUACUUGGGAGAUUUCUUUGGCCACUGUACACUUCGCUUAUCCGGCGUGUCCUGAGACUGGGAUAUGCGGCUCUUAUAAGGGUCGUCGACACGUCGGGAGGUCCUUCUAGUCUUGUCUUACCUUAGCGAUAUAUCUUGCGUAUAGGAAUCCCGGUGAAGCUUUGGUUCUCCCCAGAGUUGAGGUUUUCCUCUAAGGAAUCCGACGAGAUCACGAGAUCCGUGAUAGAAGAUUACUUUGCGGCCCGUGUAUGUUUGUGAUGGACUAGUUGGAGCACCCCUGCAGGGUUUAAUCUUUCGGAAAGCCGUGCCCGCGGUUAUGUGGCAACUUGGAAUACUUUGUUAACAUCCGGUAAUAGAUAACUUAAACAUAAGCUAAUAAAAUUGCCAACUGUGUGCGUAACCAUGACUGUCCCCUUUGAAGAUCUCUCUUGGAUCGGGAACACAGUGGGGUUAUGAUUGAUGCAGGUAGGUGUUCAGGAUCACUUAGUGAUCAUCAAUUAUCGACCGCUAGUAUAGACCACCUUCAUUUCAAGUUAUACAUAAGUUAGCCACCAUAUAAAGCUUAGGAUGCUGCAACCUAAAUACUCCACCUAUCCAACCUAAUAACUUGACUAGUUCUGGCACCGAGGUCAUAGAUUGCUGAGUCCCCGUGGCUCACAGAUUCCUUCACAACACCAAUAGGUUCAGGUACCCCCGAGAUAGGUGAUCCCGACGGCACGCGGCUGGCGUGGCAGUAUGAUGAGNNNNNNNNNNNNNNNNNNNNNNNNNNNNNNNNNNNNNNNNNNNNNNNNNNNNNNNNNNNNNNNNNNNNNNNNNNNNNNNNNNNNNNNNNNNNNNNNNNNNCCACACCCUUGUUGUUGAGAAUCCUUGGAUUUUCCCUGGUAGACCAUUGUUGCCAGACCAGUGAGGGCACAUUCUCUAAACUCCUCCAAGGUGGAGGAGAGUAUUUCCCCCUUUAUGGGGAUAUUUCCUCCGAGUCCCAUCACUCAUGUCUUAUUGACACCACGUAAGUGUACGUUAGUCCAGCAUCAUAUUUUCAUGAUGCUAUAUGAGUGACCGUGUGCUAUAUGAUUGUCUUGAUUGCACGUGCAUAUGAGUGACCUUGUUCCAUAUUUUCACCCCAUCUUUAUUUUUUUUCCUAAGGAAAUCUUGGGGACAAGAUUUAUUUUUAAGGGGGGUAGUGUUUGUGACGCCCCAAAAAUUUAACCAUAUUUGUACUAAUUAAAAUAUUGCCUCAAACAAAACUUUUGAAAAUGAAUUACUUCUUUGCUUAUUUGAGAACAUCUUUUCUAAAACGUUUCCCUCCAAGUAGACUUUUGAAAAGCAUUAUCGAUUUGAGUAUUGGUAUAAAUUAAUUUAUUUCGUUCUUAGAAAUUCAGUGUGGAAUUAUUUUUAUCAAAAAAUGUGAAUUUAAAAUGUUUUAAAGGAUUUUUCAUCCUUUUAAGAGCAUGUGUUGCAUCGCAACCAUUUUUUAAAGUCAUUUAGAAAUUCCAAAAACAAUAGGAGGUGUCAAGGGAUGCAUGUGAUUCACUUUUACGCAAAAACUUAUUUGUGUUCUUUGGAAAAUUGGAGCAAAGCAACCCUUUUUUAUUCUGGCCUAGUUUUGCAAUUUGAAAUACAACCCUAUUUAACUUGCCCUUUUGGCAAUGAUUUUUUUCCUGCUUGAAGCCCAUCCUACCAAACCGUUAAGUCCAUAAGUUUAUCCCCAUUGAGAUUGUUAAGUGCAUGAUUUAAUAGCCUAAAAUUUCUGACAAUAACUGUUUUUCUCAAAAAGUUGCAUGGACAAGUUUUUCCUUUUUCAAAUCUAACCCCACCAUCUUUCUUAGUGUCGAGAGAGACAUUAACGUGGAAAGUUUGAAUACCAGAAAAAUCUUUUAGAUACCUCUGGCAUUUCAUCAAUGUCCUAGAGUGCAUGGCAAGAUUUGGCAUGGUUUUUGUUUUGCAUUACCAAGUUGAUCCCGUGGCCUAAAUAACAUGUCUAGGAGGCUUGUUUUAACCCUUAACCUAACCCUGGUAGGUUUGAAGUGAAUUGGAGACAUUUAGGAGUGCCCAACAAUUUGUCGAGCACAUGGCGUGCGUGCUCUGGGCGCGGCCAAAGCGCAGGUAUUUUUCAUAUUUUCCAAAAAUAAACUCCGUAAAUUUUCAGGACGUUCUGAGAACUUUGAUUUCUGCACAAAAAACAACACCAAGGCAAUUUUGCUGAAAACAACGUCAGUCCAGGUUAGUUCCGUUCAAAUCAUGCAAAUUAGAGUCCAAAACAAGGGCAAAAGAGUUUGGAAAAGUAGAUACGAUGGAGACGUAUCAACUCCCCCAAGCUUAAAACCUUGCUUGUCCUCAAGCAACUCAGUUCACAAACUGAGAGAGAAAGAAAAACUUUGACAAACUCUGUUUGAUCUUGUUGUUGCAACUAUGUCUAACUCAUAACCAGAAUUUCAGCAAGAUCACAAGUUAACCACAUAAGCAAGUAACACAAAGGUCUCACGGUAAACUAAUAUCAAUGGCAUAAUCAGCUAACGACCAAAUAAUAAUGAGUUUCAAAUACCAACACUUCAAUCAAAACAAGCAUGAAGCAAUAUGAAUAGGUGGUAUCUCGCUAGCUCUUUCUGAGACCGCAAAACAUAAAUGCAGAGCACUUUCAAAGAUCAAGGGCUGAUUAAACAUUGUAAUUCAUAGCAACGAAGAUCCAGUCAUAGUCAUACUCAAAAUCAAUCAAAAGCAAAGCACCAAAAUGACAGAGGUGCUCUCUAAUUGGCACUUAUAUAAGAAGAGGAUGACUCGACAGGAAAAUAAAUAGAUAGGCCCUUCGCAGAGGGAAGCAUUGAUUUGCAGAGGUGCCAGAGCUCAAGCUUUGAAAACAGAGAUAAUAAUUUUGGGUGGCAUGCUUUCAUUGUCAACGCAAUGACCAAGAGUUCUCAAUAUCUUCCAUGCUACUCAUGCUAUAGGAGGUUCCCAAACAGAAAAGUAAAGUUUUAACUCCCCCACCACCAAUCAAUCAUACUCCACGGCUAGCCGAAUCCUCGGGUACCGUCCAUACUAACAUCAGUCCGGGGGGAGUCUUGUUUUACAGUUAUGUUUUCGAUUUAAGCGUGGAACUGGGCAUUCCAAUUACCGACCCCUCUCUCGUGAAUGACAGUGAAAGGACACAUGUCGAGGAUAAAACUCCUAGCAUGGAAGAUACCACUAGCCCCCUGUCACCACAUGAGCGGUUCGGGCAUGCAAAACAGAUUAUUUCUUGAAGGUUUAGAGAGUGGCACAUGCAAGUUUACUUGGAACGACGGGUAGAUACCGCAAAUAGGUAGGUAUGGUGGACUCUCAUGGAAAAACUUUUGGGUUUAUGGAAGUGGAUGCAUAAGGAGUAUUCCGCUUAGUACAAGUGAAGGCUAGCAAAAGACUGGGAAGUGACCAACUAGAGAGCGACAACAGUCAUCAAGAUGCAAUGAGUUUGACUAACAUUGAAUGCAAGCAUGAACAGGAUAUAAAUCACCAUGAACACGAACAUCAUAGAGGCUAUGUUGAUUUUGUUUCAACUACCUGCAUGAACAUGCGCCAAGUCAAGCCACUUGAAUCAUUCAAAGGAGAAUACCAUCCUAUCAUACUACAUCAUAGUCAUUUAAAAAUCUAUGCUGGCAUUCAAGACAAACCAUUAUAAGCUCCUAGCUAAAUAAGCAUGGCAUCAGAAACUAUGAUCUCUAAGUUUUCAUUGCAAAUAUGGUUCUCUCACAACAAAGCUGAAUCUGGGAUGACAAGAUAGUCAUAUUUACAAAAACAAAAUAGAUAGAGUUCAUACCAGCUUUUCAGUCUCAGUCACUUCAUCAUAUAUCAUCAUUAUUGCCUUUCAUUUGCACGAUCGAACGAUGUGAACAAUAAUAAGAGUUCUCGUGCAAUGGACUAAGUUGAAUCUGCAGGCAAACACAAAGGAGAAGACAAAGUAAUAUGGCUCUUUGAAAACUAAACAUUGUAACCAAUAUCUUCUACCUUGACCCAAAGAAAAAGAAAACUAUUUACACAGGAAAGCUCCCAACAAGCAAAAGAAGAAAGGAAAAUAUUUUUGUGUUUUCUCAAAAGGACACAAAACAAGAAAACAAGAAAAUGAAAAUAAACUAGCAUGGAUAAUACAGUGGCAAAGUGUGAACACUGGCUAACAAAGUGAAAACAUAAGCAUGAAUGUAAAGUCGGUGAGAACACAUACUCCCCCAAGCUUAGGCUUUUGGCCUAGCUUGGUCUACUCCCAAGGUGGGAAAUAACCAACUCUAGGAUACUCCGGAGCAGACUGUGGAUGCCACUGCUGUGUGAGCUCCUCUGGCUCCCACUGAUAAACUGGCGUCUGGUACUCGACUGGCGGCUCGGGCACGGGCGCCUGUGGUUGGGCCAAGCCCCAAUAUGUGUAGAUGCCCGAUGGCAUAAUAGUGUACCUGCCUACAUGAAGAUCGAACAAAGAAGGAGCAGGCAAAGUAAUAGUCUCUCGAGUACCCUGACUAAAUACCAGGUUAUAAAUCAUCCGUCUACUAGCAUCUCUAUCCAGAAAAUCAUGGCAGACCAUGCUGUCAUAAUCCAGAUAUUUCUUAGAAAGAAGCAUCUCUCCUUCCUCUCACAGUCUAAUGGGUAUCUCAAAGUGUGUGGCAAGAUGGGUAGCAUAGAUACCUCCAUAGAAGACACCCUUGGAACGGUGGGUGUUCAACCGCUGGGCCACUAUAGCACCUAGGCUAUAAGUCUUAUCGUUAUAAAGGCCUUCGCGCAAAACCGCAAGGUCUGGAGAACUAAGUGAUCCAGCCUCCCCACGGCCAAUCAAACAUUUUCCCACAAAUAGUGAGAAGUACCGAAGCACAGAAAAUGUAUGCUAGCAAUUCUAGCGCGAUUCACUCCUCUCUCCUCUCCAACAGCAAUAGUACCAAUGAAAUCCUCCAAGUCCCGUGGACGAGGGUCACAGAUAUCCCCAACAUAAGGUAAUUUGCAUACAUUGCAAAAAUCCUGUAGUGUCAUGCACUGGGAAACAUUGUAUAUCAUGAACUCAACCAUGGGAGGAUUCUUCCUCAGAUAAAAGUUGAAGCUUUGAACGAAAGUAUUGGUGAGGAGGAGGUAUUGUGAGCACUUAUCUGCAACGAACGCAGUAAGAUCUGCGUUCUCCACCAAGUAAUAAAAUUCUUCAUAAAGCCCAGCGGCGUGCAAAAAUUCAUCACUUGGCCAUUCACACGCUCGAACUUCCGUGACUCGAGGGACUACGUACUUGGGGUGGUUCUUCUCAUCCUCCUUGGGGUUACGGCUUGAGGAGCCUCUCAAGAACGUCCUCAUCUUUUCCUUUUUCUAGUUCUAAAAAAUUCUGAAAUUUUUAGAGACUUCGAAAGAAAAGUGAAUAAAGAUUAACCCAACUUGUAGCAACUACUCCUACUAGUGCCUAGAGUCCGUAUCACGCGCUAAAACUACUUGGGACCAGCUAAAAUCAACAUUUCUAGCUCAAGAACAGGGUCACCAAGGUAGCAAGAAUACGCGAAGGAUAAAGCACUAGAGCAAAAACUAAUUGGACCAAUGGAGGAGUCACUUACCAAGGAGUAAUUUCCCCAAAUUGGUUCGGAGAAUGGUGCUUUGAGCAAGGAGAUCAAAAAUCACAGCCAAAUGAGCAAGAACACGGGUUUUAGCUGCGAAACAAUUUUUUCUAGAGGUGGAAGAAGAGGAUGGGAGCUGGAAGGAAUGGAGGGGGUCCCUGUGGGCCCCACAAGCUUGCUAGCCGCCACCAGAGGGGUGGCGGUGUCAGGGCAUGUGGCCCAGUGGUCAGGCCACCAGGCCAGCUCUCGGGCCCAGUAAUUUUCAAAUAUUCCAGAAAAAAUCAUACUAAAUUUUCAGGACCAUCGGAGAACUUUUAUUUUCGGGGUAUUUUCCUCCGGGACGCUAAAACAGAAAACAUGAAAACUAAACUAAAUCUAUCAUUUUUCUUCUAAGCAACAGAAAAUGAAAGCUCAAAACAGAGGUAUGUGACUCUUUUAUUCAUCCAUUUCAUGGUCAUCGAAAUAAAUCCGUCAAUGGGGUUGAUCAAGUCCUCAUGACAAAACCUUCUCGAAUCGCAAGAGAGAACGGAGAAUUUUCGAAUAGCCACUAAGUCACCUCAAUGGGGAUAUGUAUCUCCCCAACAAGCAAAUCAUACUUCAUCUUGACACGAGGAAUAGGGCAUUCAAAGCUCCCAAUAAGAAUCGAUGAAGUAUUUUCGAUAGCAUUGAUGCAAUGUACUUGAUAUCGUUUCUUCGGAAAGUGCACUGUGUGCUCAUUACCGUUGCCAUGGAAAGUGACAUUGCCUUUGUUGCAAUCUAUAACAGCCCCUGCAGUGUUUAAAAAGGGUCUUCCGAGGAUGAUAGCCAUGGCAUCGUCCUCGGGAAUAUCCAAGAUAACAAAGUCUGUUAAGAUAGUGGUGUUAGCAACCACAACACGCACAUCCUCGCAAAUGCCGAUAGGGAAAGCAAUUGAUUUGUCAGCCAUUUGCAGAGAAAUUUCAGUGGGUGUCAACUUAUCCAAUUCAAGUCUAUGAUAAAGAGAGAGCGGCAUAACACUAACACCGGCUCCAAGGUCACAUAAGGCAGUUCUUACAUAGUUUUCUUUAAUGGAACAACGUAUAGUGGGCACUCCGGGAUCACCAAGUUUCUUAGGAGUUCCACCUUUGAAAGUGUAAUUGGCGAGCAUAGUAGAGAUCUCAAGAUCUGGUAUCUUCCGUUUAUUAGUCACGAUAUCUUUCAUGUACUUGGCAUACGGACAUAUCUUGAGUAUAUCAGUUAACCGCAUCUGCAAAAAGAUGGGUCUUAUCAUCUCAACAAAGCGCUCAAAAUCCUCAUCAUCCUUUUUCUUGGAUGGCUUAGGAGGAAAGGGUAUAGAUCUCUUAACCCAUGGCUCCCUUUCUUUACCAUGCUUCCUAGAAGUGAAGUCAUUCUUGUCGUAUCUCUUAGGUUGUGGGUUAUCAGGAUUAACCGUAGGUUCAAUCUCGACAUCCUCAUUAUUGCUAGGUUGAGCAUUAUUAUGAACAUCACUGUCCAUAUUGUCACCAGGUUCAUGUUCAUCACCAGAUUGUGUUUCUGCAUCAGACGCAGAAAUAUCAUUAGGUUCUUCAGGUGUGACAGUAUUUGGUGAACUGGCACGUAGGUUUCUAUCAUCCUUCUUCUUCUCCUUAGGAUGACUGGGUGUAUCAGCAUUAAUUCCUUGAGAAUCUUGAUCAAUUCUCUUAGGAUGACCUUCAGGAUACAAAGGUUCCUGAGUCAUUUUGCCUCCUCUAGUAAUGACUCUGACAGAGUUGUCAUUUAAUUCAUUGAGCAGGUCAUUCUGAGCUUUAAAUACUUGUUCUACCUCAGUAGUAAUCAUAGAGGCAUGUUUACUCAGAAGCUUCAGAUCAUUGAAAUUUCUGUCUAAUCAAGCACUUGGAUGGCUAAGCAUACGAGUACUUUGUUCCAAAUGUCUGCUAACGUAAUCAUUGAAACUCUGUUGUUUGGCAACAAAGUUGUCAAAUUCAUCAAAGCAUAGGCUAGCAGGUUUGUCAAAAAGAAUAUCACUCUCAUCAAACCUACGCAGAGAAUUCACUUCUACUACUUGUAUCGGGUUAUCGAGACCAUGGAUCUCUUCGAUAGGUGGUAGAUUUUUGACAUCUUCAGAUCUAAUGCCUUUCUCUUGCAUAGAUUUCUUGGCUUCUUGCAUAUCUUCGGGACUGAGGAAUAGAAUACCUCUUUUCUUUGGAGUUGGCUUAGGAGGUGGUUUGGGAAUAGUCCAAGCACUAUCGUUGAUCAAGAUGUUAUUCAGUAGGGUCUCAGCUUGUUCUACAGUUCGUUCCCUAAAAACACAACUGACACAACUAUCUAGGUGGUCUCUAGAGGCAUCGGUAAGUCCAUUAUAAAAGAUAUCAAGUAUCUCGUUCUUCUUAAGAAGGUGAUCAGGCAAAGCAUUCUAUAGCUGGAUGAGCCUCCCCAAGCUUGUGGGAGACUCUCUUCUUGGAGUUGAGCAAAGUUGUAUAUUUCCUGCAAGGCAGUUUGCUUCUUAUGGGCAGGGAAAUAUUUCUCACAGAAGUAAUAGUUCAUAUCGUGGGGACUACUCACACAUCCAGGAGCAAGAGAGGUGAACUAGGCUUUAGCGUCAUCCUUUAGAGAGAAAGGAAAUAGUUUAAGGAUAUAGUAGUGGCGGAUCUUCUCCUCACUAGUGAAAAGGGUGGCUAUAUCGUGUAGUUUGGUAAGAUGGGCUACGACCUUCUCAGACUCAUAACCGUGGAAAGGAUCAGGUUUGCCUAGAGAGAUUAUCUGAGGGUCAAUAGAGAAUUCAUAAUCCUUAUCGGUGAUAAAGAUAGGUGAAGUAGCAAACUUCGGGUCGUAUUUCAUCCUAGCUUUCACAGAUUUUUCCUACCACUUGAGAAGUAAUUUCUCAGUGUCAUAGGCAUCCUUACACGCAAGAAAAUCCUCAGCUAUCUCUCCCUCCAUAACGUAACCCUCAGGUAUAUUAGGCAAUUCAUAUCUAGGAGAGCUAGAUCUAGCAGGAGCAAAAGCAGGUUCUAUCUCAAUAGUAUCGACAAUUUCAGAAGCAUCACGAGCAUUGGCAGUAACUCUAGCAAUAUGAGCAUCAAGGNNNNNNNNNNNNNNNNNNNNNNNNNNNNNNNNNNNNNNNNNNNNNNNNNNNNNNNNNNNNNNNNNNNNNNNNNNNNNNNNNNNNNNNNNNNNNNNNNNNNGGCAGACGACAAAGGGAGCGCCCAUUAUGGGGUGGGAGGGGUGUGUGGUGCGCCGCCCCAUGCUCUUUGCCGUCUUCCCUCCUGCUCUUUGCCGUGCGCCAGCAGACGACAAAGACAAUACUCAUGGCAACGAGUAUGUUUGCCAUCACUCUGCUCUUUGCCGUUAGUUUUCGGGUGACCGACGACAAAUAGGGUCUUUGCCAUCAGCCAGCAGACGACAAAGAAGAGGCUGACGGCAAAUAAGUGAAUUCUAGUAGUGCACUUCUCUUUAGAGAGAUCAAUAUGAGCAGCAAAUGAUUCACACAAUGAAGCUACUAUCUCAGAGUCAAGUCCAUAUUUAGCGCUAAAAUCACAGAAAGUAUUUGUUUCAACAAAGGAUUUAACGCAAUCAAACUUAAGAUUCAUACCUGGCUCCUUACCUUCAUCAAACUCCCAAUCUUCAGAGUUGCGUUUAAUUCUCUCCAAUAAAUUCCAUUUGAAGUCAAUAUCUCUCUUCGUAAAAGAACCGGUACAAGAAGAGUCAAGCAUGGUGUGAUUAUCAUGAGAAAGCCGAGCAUAGAAGUUCUGAAUGAUUAUUUCUCUCGAAAGCUCAUGGUUGAGCCAUGAAUAUAACAUUGAUUUAAGCCUCCCCCAAGCUUGAGCGAUACUUUCUCUAUCACGAGGCCAAAAAUUAUAGAUAUAAUUCCGAUCACUAUGUACCACAUGCAUAGGAUAAAACUUUUGAUGAAAUUCUAACUUCAACCGGUUGUAGUUCCAUGAUCCAGUAUCAUCACAUAGCCUAUACCAUGUCAAUGCUUUAUCCCCCAAAGAUAAGGGAAAGACCUUCUUCUUGACCUCAUCCUCGGGCAAACCUGCAAGCUUAAAUAAACCACAAACUUCACCUACAUAGAUUGGAUGCAAGUUGUGAUGUGAUGUUCCAUCUGCUGUAGAAGGAUUAGCCAACCGUUUCUCUAGCAUACCCGAAGGAAUUUCAUAACAAGUAUUUUCAGUAGGUGCAUCAUGUUGAGGAGCAACUGCUUGUGCUUCCGUUCGAGGUGAAGAUACCCCGAACAGGCUCGUCAAAUGAUUAGUUUCCAUAGUGACAAGUGACAAUAAAUUUCAGCACACUAUAUAAAUGUUUCCUUACCAAAUUCCACUUAAAAAGGCGCUUCACUCCCCGGUGAUGUCAGCUGAGCUAAUGCACAAAAGUCCUUCCAAUGGCGCCAGAAACAGGUGUGUCGACGACACCAGGAAUCCUUCAGCUGCGGCUACGCCUUAAGGGACUUCCUAGGGAAGUAUGCAAAGGAUUUCCCCCGUGGCCUUGGAGCCUUGCGUUGGUGUUCCCUUGAAGCGGAAAGGGUGAUGUAGCACAGCGACGGUAAGUAUUUCUCUCAGUUUGAGAACCAAGGUAUCAAUCCGGUGGAGGAGUAUCACAGGAUCCUGCACAAACACAAAAGCUUGCUCCCAACGCUAUGAAGGGGUUGUCAAUCCCUUAUAGGUUGUUUGCCAAGUGAGAACUGAAAGCAACAAAGUAACAAAGCAAAGUAAAAGCGGAGGUGUAAACGAUGGAUGUGAAUAGGCCUGGGGGCCGUAGUGUUACUAGUGGCUUCUCUCAUGAAAGCAAGUAGACGGUGGGUGAAAAAAUUACUGUCGAGCAAUUGAUAGAACCGCGCAAAGUCGUGACGAUAUCUAUGCAAUGAUUAUAUCUAUAGGCAUCAUGUCCAAAACAAGUAGACCGAUACUUUCUGCAUCUACUACUAUUACUCCACACGUCGACCGCUAUCCAGCAUGCAUCUAGUGUAUUAAGUCCAUAAGAACAGAGUAAUGCCUUAAGGAAGAUGACAUGAUGUAGAGGGAUAAUCUCAAACCAAUGAUAAAAACCCCAUCUUUUUACCCUUGAUGGCAACUACUUGAUGUGUGCCUUGCUGCCCCUACUAUCACUGGGAAAGAUCACCACAUGGUAGAACCCAAAACCAAGCACUUCUCCCAUUGCAAGAAUCAUAGAUCUAGUUGGCCAAACAAAACCCAAGACUCGGAGAGACUUACAAGGAUAUCAAAUCAUGCAUACAAGAAAUCAACAAAGACUCAAAUAUAUAUAAUAGAUAAUCUGAUCACAAAUCCACAAUUCAUCGGAUCUCGACAAACACAUCGCCAAAGAAGAUUACAUCGGAUAGAUCUCCAUGAAGAUCAUGCAGAACUUUUUAUUGAAGAUCCAAGAGAGAGAAGAAACCAUCUAGAUACUUACUACGGACCCGUAGGUGUGAAGUGAACUACUCACGAGUCAUUGGAGGUGCGAUGAUGAUGAUGAAGAAGCCCUCCAACUCCAAUGUCCCCUCCGACAGGUCGCCGGGAAGGGUCUCUAGAUGAGAUCUCGCGGAAACGGAAGCUUGCGGCGGCAGAAAAGUAUUUUCGAGGCUCCCCUGAUUUUUUGCGGAAUAUUUGGGAAUUUAUAGGCCAAAGACCUAGGUCAGGGGGCGGCUAGGGAGGCCACAAUCCUGCCCACCACCGCCUCCCCCCUGGUGGUGGAGUGGGGGCUUGUGGGCUCCCUGGAGCCCACCUGGCUUGGCCCAAAAGCCCCCUGGUCUUCUUACGUUCGGGAAAAAAUCAUUUCGGGGUUUUUCUUCUGUUUGGACUCCGUUCCAAAAUCAGAUCUGAAAAGAGUCAAAAACACACAAAAAACACGAACUGGCACUUGGCACUUGGCACUUAAUUAAUAAGUUAUUCCCAAAAAAGAUAUAAAAGGUACAUAAAACAACCAAAGAAGACAAGAUAACAGCGUGAAACCAUCAAAAAUUAUAGAUACAUUUGAGACGUAUCAAGAAUCCCCAAGCUUAACUCCUGCUCGUCCUCGAGUAGGGAAGUGAUAAGAAUGAAUUUUUGAUGCUUUCAUGCUACCUAGCAUAGGUGUCCUUUGUAAUUCCUCUUAUAUGACGUGAAUGUUCAGAUCCAUUAGAUUCAAAACAAUAGUUUGCUAUUGACAUGGAAACAAUAAUAAUUCAAGCAAACUAGCAAAGUAAUCAUGAACUUUCAAAAUAACAAGGCCAAAAGAAAGUUAUCCCUACAAAAGCUUAUAGUCUGGCUAUGCUCUAUUAUCAUUGCCCAACGAAUUUAAAUCAUGCACAACCCCGGUAUUGGCCAACUAAUUGUUUCACACCUUUACUUUCUCAAACCUUUUCAACUCUCACGCAAUACAUGAGCGUGAGCCAUGGUUAUAGCACUAUAGAUGGUGUGGAAUGUGGUGGAGGUUGCAAGAAAAAAAAGGAGAAGAUAGUCACAUUAACUAGGCAUAUCAAUGAGCUGUGGAGAUGCUCACGAAUAGAUAUCAAUGUGAAUGAGUAGGUAUUGCCAUACAAAUGAUGCACUAGAGCUGCGAGUAUGUGAAAGCUCUUAAAGAAAACUAGUGGGUGUGCAUCUAACUUGCUUGCUCACCAAGACCUAAGGCAAUUUUGAGGAAGCCUAUCAUUGGAAUAUACAAGCCAAGUUAUAUAAUGAAGAUUUUCCCACUAGCUAUAUGGUGGUGACAAAAGGAGAGACUCUCAAUCUUGAAGAUCAUGGUGCUCAAUAUGCACAAGUGUGGAAAAAGUGGUAAUAUUGUCCCUUCUCCCUUUUUCUCUCAUUUUUUUUGUUUGGUGGGCUCUUUGGCCUUCUUUUUUUGUGGGCUUCUUUGGCCUCUUUUAUUUCCUCACAUGGGACAAUGCUCCAUUAAUGAUGAUCAUCACACUUUCAACUCAAAACUUAGAGCAAUGAUGACUCUAUCUGAAAUGCCUUCGGUAGUAUACCGUGGCAAUGAUCUAGCAUGGCAUAGACAUCAAUGGAAACAUCAUGCUAGCUAUCUUAUGAUCAUGCAAUGGCAAUGUAGACGUGGUGGCACAUGUCAUGGUGGUAGUUGCAUGAUAAUAUAUCUCGGAAUGACUUUGAAAAAGCCAUAGUAUGUAGGUAUGGUGGCUGUUUUGAGGGAGGCUAAUGGUGGGUUUUGAGGGAGGCGAAAGUUGCACGGUACUAAGAAGAUANUAAACCAUCGCGCGAUCCCGACCGCCACGCAAAGGAUGACAAUCAAUAUACUAAUCAUGCUCAGAUUUCAUCACAUAGUGGUUCACCAUACGUGCAUGCUACGGGAAUCACUAACUUCAACUCAAGUGUUUCUAGAUCCACAACACCUUAGUAGCAUGACUUCAAUAUUACCAUAGCCACAACUCAAAACUAAUUGAGAUGAAUCAAACUUCUCUAACUAUUCAAUGCACAUGAAGGUGGAAGUUUUCGUAUCCCUUUGGAUAACUACCCCUUUUGAGACUACCUUCAAAGCAUAGAUCAACUACCAAGCCACGCACCGCUGUGCUCUAAAAGAUAUAAGUGAAGUACAUAGAGCAAAAGUAUCUAGCACAAAAGAUAUAAGUGAAGCACAUGUGAGCUGAAUUGUCUACCAAAAGAUAUAAGUGAAGCUCGACAAAAUCACGGUGUGUGCAUGUCUCUCUCUCUAGGUGUGAAGCAAGGAUGAUUGUAACACAACAAAAAUAAAAGACUCCUACGAUAAAAGACGCCCCAAGCAAAAACACAUAACAUGUGGUGAAUAAAAAUAUAGCCCCAAGUAACGUUACCGAAGGAUUGAAGACAAGAGAGGGGAUGCCUUCUCGGGGCAUCCCCAAGCUUAGGCUUUUAUGGCAUCCUGUAAUCUCUUGGGGUGCCUUGGGCAUCCCCAAGCUUGAGCUCUUGCCACUCUUUAUCUCUUUGUCCAUAAGAACUUCACCCAAAACUUGAAAACUUCACAACACGAAACUUAAACAGAAACUCGUGAUAACAUUAGUACAAGAAAGCAAACCACCACUUCCUCAGGUAUUGUAGCAAACUUAAAUUCUACUUGUGCUGAUGUUGGGUUACUGUAAUUUCAAUUUUCUAUGGCUAAUACCCCCCGAUACAAUCCAUUGUUUCAUCAAAAUAAGCAACCAACACAACAAAAACAGAAUCUGUUAACAGCAGACCAGUCUGUAGCAAUCUGUAUAUUUCAUAUACCUCUAGUACUUCACAAAUUCUGAAAGAUUACUAUGGUCUGAAGAAUUUGCGUAACAAUCAGUAGAAAAAAGAAUAAACUCAAAAGCUCUUACAGAAAAAAACUGAAAAUUCUUUUCGUGAGCAGAAAGUUUCUGUCUUUUCCAGCAUGACCAAACGAUCAUCCCCAAGACUAAUCAUAACGGUUUUGCUUGGCACAAACGCAAAAAAGAAACACAAAAACACAAUCAUAACAGAAUUAUGAAAGUGUGGAAAACACAAAAUAGAAAGAAAAAGGAUAGAUUCUUUGUGUUGCCUCCCAACAAGCGCUUUUGUUUAAUGCCCUUAGCUAGGCGAAAGGUGAUGAAAUCAUGUAUAGUCAUCUUUGGUGCUCAAACCAUAGGUAGCCCUCAUCAUGGAUACAUAAGGCAAACUUAUUUUAUUUCUAGGAAAGUUCUCCAUGCCCUUCUUUAAAGGAAAUUGAAAUCUAAUAUUCCCUUCCUUCAUAUCGAUGAUAGUACCAAUAGUCCUUAGGAAAGGUCUACCAAGAAUAAUGGGACAUGAAGGAUUGCAAUCUAUGUCAAGUACAAUGAAAUCCACGGGUAGAUAGUUCUUAUUUGCAAUAAUAAGAACAUCAUCGAUCCUCCCCGUGGUUUUCUUGACAGUAGUUUCCGCAAGAUGCAAAUUAAGAGAACACUCUUCAAUCUCAUGAAAACCAAGAAUAUCACAUAAAGACUUUGGAAUCGCGGAAACACUAGCACCCAAAUCACACAAAGCAUUGCACUCAUAGUUUUUGAUCUUGAUUUUGAUAGUAGGUUGCCACUCAUCAUGAAGUUUUCUAGGUAUAGAGACUUCUAGUUCGAGCUUCUCUUCAAGAGAUUUCAUCAUAGCAUCUACGAUAUGCGCGGUAAAGGCUUUGCUUUGGUUAUAAGCAUGUGGAGAGUUUGCAAUGGAUUGCAUCAAAGAAAUGCAUUCAAACAAGGAGAAACUAUCAUAAUUGAAUUCCUUGAAAUCCAAAGUGGGAGUUUCAUUACUACCCAAAAUUUUGACUUCUUCUACUCCACUCUCGACACCUUUAUCAUCAAGAUAGGUGGACUCCGAAUCAUUGGGGCAUUUUUCAACCAAAGUGGAUUCAUAUCCAGCCCCUCCAUAAGUACAUUUGACACGAGAAAACAAAGAUUCAAGAGGAGACACACCAAGCACUUUAAGAUCGUGAUUUUCAUCACUAGAACGCACCCUUUUAAACCAUUCAUGUCUAGCGCGAAUUUGGGUGGUUCUUUCUUUGCUCUCAUUCAUGGAGAUACACAUAGCUUUCAAAGUUUCAUCCAAGUUGACCUUGGGAGGAGCGCAUCUAACUUUCAAAGCAUCAAUAUCACAAGACAUUCCAUCAACGCUCUUAGCCAAAUCGUCUAUUUUGAGUAGUUUUUCCUCUAUGGACGCAUUGAAAAUCUUUUGAGAGUUGAUGAACUCUUUGAUAUUACUCUCUAGAUCACAGGGUUAUUUGUUGUGAUUUCCAUAAGUGUUGCCGUAGGAAUUGCCAUAAUUGUUAGAGUUACUAGGAAAAGGCCUAGGAACAUAGUUUCCUCUAAAAGCAUUGUUGUUGCCAAAAUUGUUCCUACCAACAAAAUUCACGUCCAAAAUAGCGUUGCUACUCUCAAUCAAAGAAGAUAGUGGCAUGUCAUUAGGAUCUACGGUAGCGUUUAUACUAGCAACCAAAUUCAUCAACUCGUCCAUCUUAGCACUAAGCGAGUUAAUUUCUUCUAUAGCGUGCACCUUUUUGCUAGCAGGCGACCUUUCAGUGUGCCACUUAGAGUAGUUGGUCAUGAUAUUGUCUAGGAGUUUUGUAGCGUCUCCUAACGUGAUUUCCAUGAACGUUCCACCUGAGGCGGAGUCCAAGAUAUUGCGAGAAGUGAAAUUCAAGCCAACGUGAAAGAUUUGUAUAAUCAUCCACAAACUGAAGCCAUGAGCGGGACAAUUUCUAAUCAUAAGCUUCAUCCUCUCUCAAGAUUGUGCAACGUGUUCAUGAUCAAGUUGCUUGAAAUUCAUGAUAUCGUUACGUAAGGAGAUGAAAAUACUUGGAUAUGUAAGCAUCUUUGCACUUAUCCCAAGAAUCGAUACUAUUUUUAGGCAAAGAAGAAAACCAAGUUUUUGCGCGAUCUCGCAACAAGAAAGGAAAAAGUUUCAACUUAAUCAUGUCAUUAUCCACAUCUCUUUUCUUUUGCAUAUCACAAAGCUCAAUGAAGGUAUUGAGAUGGGAUGUGUCAUCUUCACUAGGAAGGCCAGAGAAUUGCUCUUUCAUAACAAGAUUCAGCAAAGCUGCGUUGAUUUCAUACGAUUCCACACUAGUGGCGGGAGCAAUCGGAGUACUAAUAAAAUCAUUAUUAUUAGUGCUCGAGAAGUCGCAAAGUUUGGUGUUUUCAGACAUGAUGUCUUCAACAAACAAACAAGCACACAAGAAAGCAAGAGAACCAGCAAAGGAAAGAGAAAACGGCGAAGGCGAAAGGCGAAUGAAAACGGCAAAUGUGAAGUGGGGGAGAGGAAAACGAGAGGCAACUGGCAACAAAAGUAAAUGCAAGAGAAGAGUUUGUGAGACCUACUUGGAUAGAUCUUGAUUUCUCCUCCCCGGCAACGGCACCAGAAAUGCUUUUGAUGUCAGCUAAGCUAAUGCACAAAAGUCCUUCCAAUGGUGCCAGAAACAGGUGUGUCGAUGGCACUAGGAAUCCUUCAGUUGCGUCUACGCCUUAAGGGACUUCCUAGGCAAGUAUGCAAAGGAUUUCCCCUGUGGCCUUGGACCCUUGCGUUGGUGUUCCCUUGAACCGGAAAGGGUGAUGUAGCACAACGACGGUAAGUAUUUCCCUUAGUUUGAGAACCAAGGUUUCAAUCCGGUGGAGGAGUAUCACAAGAUCCUGCACAAACACAAAAGCUUGCUCCCAACGCUAUGAAGGGGUUAUCAAUCCCUUAUAGAUUGUUUGCCAAGUGAGAACUGAAAGCAACAAAGUAACAAAGCAAAGGAAAAGCGGAGGUGUAAACGAUGGAUGUGAAUAGACCCGGGGGCCGUAGUGUUUACUAGUGGCUUCUCUCAUGAAAGCAAGUAGACGGUGGGUGAAUAAAUUACUGUCGAGCAAUUCAUAGAACCGCGCAAAGUCGUGAUAAUAUCUAUGCAAUGAUUAUAUCUAUAGGCAUCAUGUCCAAAACAAGCAGACCGAUACUUUCUGCAUCUACUACUAUUACUCCACACGUCGACCGCUAUCCAGCAUGCAUAUAGUGUAUUAAGCCGAUAAGAACAGAGUAACGCCUUAAGCAAGAUGACAUGAUGUAGAGGGAUAAUCUCAAACCAAUGAUAAANUUUUUACCCUUGAUGGCAACUACUUGAUGUGUGCCUUGCUGCCCCUACCGUCACUCGGAAAGGUCACCACAUGGUAGAACCCAAAACCAAGCACUUCUCCCAUUGCAAGAAUCAUUGAGAUGGUGCUGAUGAAGAUGUUGAUGGUGAUGAGUCCUCUCCGAUGAGAGGAGUGUUGGUGAUGACGAUGGCGAUGAUUUCCCACUCUGGGAAGGAAGUUUCCCCGGCAGGACGGCCCUGCCAGAGCUGUAGAUUGGUUCUGCUCAAGAUUCGCCUCGUGACGGCGGCAACUCCUCCCGAAAGCCUCCUCUUGAUUUUUUAUGGAAUGAAACCCUCCUUAUAGCAAAAGAGGGGAUCUAGAGCGCCAACAGGGAGCCCACGCCCCCCCCCCCCCCCCUAGGCGCGGCCUGGGGGGUAGGCCGCGCCUAGCAGGCUUGUGGCCUCCUGGUGGCUCCCCUGUGGUACUUCUUCCGCCCAGUAUUUUUUUAUAAAUUCCAAAAUAAUUCCUCGUUGAUUUUCACUGCUUUUGGAGUUGCGCAGAAUAGGCAUCUCAAACUUGCUCCUUUUUUAGGCCAGAAUUCCAGCUGCUGGCAUUCUCCCUCUUCAUGUAAACCUUGUAAAAUAAGAGAGAAAAGACAUAAGUAGUGUACCGUGAAGUGUAAUAACAGCCCAUAAAGCGAUAAAUAUCAACAUGAAAGCAUAACGCAAAAUGGACGUAUCAGGUGCUAGCGGCUAUUUGCAGGUUUUGAAGAAGCAGACGAGGAGUGUCAAAAAAUAAGAGUGGGAGUGCUAAGAAAAAACCCUUGAUUCCUUUGAAAAUUUAGGAGAGAUGAGAAGAUACACGUUUUGCAAGUAGUUUUGAAGGGUCUCGAAAGCAGUUUUAUCCUAACUAACAUCCGUGCUAACUAAGGGCUUCCUAUAGUCAGGAUGGCUGUGAUACCAGCUCUGUGGGGACCCCGACUUACGAGUCGAGAUCGUCGAACGAACGUGCUCAGUGAUCCCAGAGAUCAAUGCUCACAGAACACACAGAAACUGAAUCACAAGAGUCUUACAUCCAUACAUACCGUUUGAUACAAUAAAUGUCCAUUGUGGUCAAGUCUUACAUAUAUAGGGCCUUGAGGGCCAACACACCAAACUGGACAAAUAGCAGAAAUAUUGGUCGAAAGUGUGAACCCAUGCCAUCAGCCUUAACCUACAGGCAUUCUCACUCGGAAGCCUCCUAGCUCGGAAGAACGUCACCGAGUUACUCUUCACCAUAUCCUGUUCUCUCAGACCUGGUGAAUGAAAUAACCAGUGGCAAGCCAAUGAGUAGCUUGAUUGUACUCGCAAACAGCCCAUGAUAUGAUAAUGCAGUUGGUACGGUAACAAGUAAUAUGCAGUAUUGGUGGAUAGCGGCUUGACUGUAAAUAACAUGAUCAUAGAUGGAUGUGCAACAUAAGCUAGAUGCUGUUUAGAAGAACGGGUUACAGAUAUCAAUAUAUCUGCCAAGGGCUGAACGCUCCGGGUUCACCCAAUAUGCCAAGUCACCAAACUUGGUCAUAUCAAUUCUUUCAUAUUAACACCAUUAAACACACACACACUUGGUUUAUGCGGAAACGACUAGACGUAGUUUAAGCAGCACCACCCAACUUUCCUAGACCGUGCACAUGGCUAUUCGAAUAGUUUGACACUGUGCAGAGGUUGUACGCUAUACCCACGAGAUUCGGGAAACUUCCAUGUCAUCCACGACUCACGGUAUAUAACAUACCCGAGUUAAGUACCCGAUCAAUGCCUUUCCACUGACGAUACUAGACAAAUAGGUCCACUCGAUUGGUACCCAGCCCACAUGAUGCACGUCUUACGAGCACUCACUCUGGACAGUAUCAUCCAUGCGGGGACCAACAGUGUGCCCGGAACACGUAAAAACGGCCUAGUCGCUCUACCUGGCACGACCCCAUCACGAGAGUGACCACACAUCACUCCCGUCAAUAGUAAUGUGGCUCUUUGCUAGCACCGACCAGAGUAAUCAACAAAGCCCCGUCCCAUAAAGGGGUAACGUGGUCGCACAUGUAAGGUUGGGACGGUCGACACACCAUAAAUCCAAUCCCAUUUCCAAAACCACUCACACCAAAAUACACCUGGUGCACCACUUCUCCAAAAGAGGCCACCAAUCUCAUCAUCACCCUCAUGCAUUAGUGGCACCCGACGGGGUUUUCAUAAAUCUUUGAUAUUUACCAUCAGCAUGCUCAUGCUUCUACUAUGCUUAGCCCUACUUGUCAACAGGUAUUAGCGUGACCCUGAUAGGUGGUAGGAUCUUGCUCAAAAUGCAAGUGCUCCGGAGGAGCCAUCGGUAACAUCAGUUCGAUGAUUUACCGAAUACUUAUGAUCGUAUGCAACGGGAAUAAUUUCUCUACUAGCAUGCAAUAUAGUAUUUUCUCAGACUUGGUCAAAGGGCUGCUUGCCUUUGCUCACAAGUCCUCGGGGUCUUCGAGGUCUUCUGGUUCAACUUCGAGUACUCUGUUUAGUCCAUCAACUUACGUCGAAAACAACACAGUAAGACACGCAACAAGCAGAAAUAGAAGUUCUACAUAAAUAGGAGUUAUGUUUUUCUUGGACCUCUCUAGUCAUAUGAAAAAUACCUGAAUCUUGCCAUAGGAGACCGGGAUCAUCAGAAAAUUUUGAGUGAACAAAAAGAGGAAUAUGUGAUCUUAAUGGGAGUCUACAGAAAGUAUCAUGAUAAAAAAGAGUGGAGGCACUCAUUUAAUAGAGCAUAAUUUUAGAAAUAUUUAGGAAGUUGUUUCACUGGAUUUGGAGUUGGUAUGAAUAUUCUAUGGAUUUUCUAAUAUGGGAUAAAUAGCAAAAGGGAGCUAUAUAUUUAUUGCAACAGAAAUAUGCCAUACAAAAAUGUUGACCAAGGCUCUAAAAAUAGAGCAUGAUAUUAGAAGGCUCUCGAAUUUGGAAUCACUCCAUUUGGAGUGGAUUUGAAUCCUCUAGGAUUUUUGAAAGGGGGCUAGAAGCACUCAAUUCUUUAUUUAAAUAGAAAUAUAGUAUACAAGUGGUUUGUAAAAAUGUGCAAAGCACACUUCUUGAUAGAUCUUGAUUUUAUGGACCUGCAGAAAUUUGAAUCAUUAAAUUUGGAGCUCAAAUGAUUUUAUAAUGAAUUUUUGAAGUUUUCUGCAAAAAAAUUUGAUAAAAGCUCAGCCACAUGGCUAUCCGGCGCUCAGGCGCCGGAGAGGGAAGUGUGCCGGCUUAGCAGCUUCGGCCUGGGCGGUUGGUGGCCACGCAUAAGGUGGAAUCCACCCAAUGCACCUUAGCCUCGGGGAGGCGGGCUUGAGUGUGACGCCUCAACUUGAACGAGUGGCCCCGGGCCUCUGUCUCACCGACACGCGGGCCCCGGACAUCGGACCUAUCUUCCUCCACCUACUCGAUCUGAGAGCAGGCAGGGAGGCAGGGCAGGGCAACAACUGCUGCAUGCGCCGGUGGCUCUGGCAGCCCCCGGCGAUGGCCGGUGGUCCUGAUGAGCCAAGGGCUGCGUUGCGCCCAUCUCAGUGCCUGGCGAGCGCGGCGGAGGGCCGGAACGGCUUUAGCCGAAUUGGCUGCAGUGAGGGCGGCGAUGGUGGACGUGGGGAGCGGUGUUCCGGCCACCAGAAGGGAAGAGGAAGGAGGGGGAGCUGCGGAGAGGAGGGAGGCCUCUCGACGCAUCCUCAGGGAGGGAAGAGCUCGGGGGAGCCCGAGUUGAAGAAGGGGCCACUGGUGGCUUUGGCCAUUAGAGGAAGAGGAGAGCUCAGGGCUCGAAGGAAAAGGAUGGGAGGUCCAGGAGGUUGCAGGAGAAAGGAGGGAGUGAGGGAGAGCCCGAGAGACCUUGGGGUGAGGAGAUAAGAGAGCCCCCCCCCCCCGCUCUCAGGGCACGGAGCAUACACGCGUCUUUGGGAACUUUGGAGGCGAGCUGGGGUUGGGGAGGGCUUGGACCGGUCAAGGGGAGUGCCCUGGCGCGCUGGGACACGCGACCAUCGAUGGACCCGAGUUGUAGCAAAAGUAAAGGAUGCAGAGCACCGUUGUUGCAUGCUGCCAGGUAGGUCACCAUGGCCACUCGUGUCCACAGGGCUGCUGUGACCAGUCAAACAUGUCCAACACGUAGGGAACACAUGCAGGAAGGAGACUCUGGAGUAUGGUUGCACUUGGGGCUGGUUGGAAUUUGUUUUGGCUGUGGUUAAGAUUCCAGCUGGAAACUUGGGGCUGGCAAAGGUGGAUUUCAGAGGGGGAAACUUGGGGUGAAACUAUGUCUACACCACUGCAAAGUUUCAACUCAAGAAAGGGAGGGUAGCUAGUACUUGCUGUACAAAGCUACAUUUCAGCCACAAUUCAACUUGCAGAUGAGCAUACCAUAACUUGGUUUCUAAUGAUGCCUUGGGAUGCUAGGGACCCUCUGGAAAGAGGUGGGGGCUUUGGCUUAAGCAGAAGUGGGACAAGAGACGUAAAAAUGGUGAUCCAAGGGUAAAAAUGAGAAGUAGUUACAUGGAGCCUCUCUCGAUAAUUGAUCAGUAGCCAUGGAAAUGCUACUGGAGUAAAAAGGUAACUAGGGGAGGUUGUGGUAGAAAGUUGAGCUCAAGGGUUUGAUGAUUGUCAGGGCAACGAGAUGAACCUCAAUGGAUAUGAAACUUGACAUGAUCAAAUAAUAGAUGAAAAUCAGCUUGGAAACCAAAUUUUGGAUUGGGUGGAGAAGGUUCCCUAUGUAGACUUGGAAAACCCAUGAAAUGGGCAGACAUGGCUUUCUGCUUACAAAACUAUUCAAGUCAAUUCCCACAAAUCCAAUAUUUGGUGUGGGGCAUUAUUUGAGCAUUAAAGCCUGCCCAAAAAGUUUGGGGUCAAUUGGAGAAACUUUAUAAUGUAAAGUUUCCCAAAGUUAGAAAUCCACACACAGGGUUUUGAGGGGACUGGGACAAUUUCUUCUAUUCUCCUGGAUGCACCACUUGGUGUGGCUGCAUUAUUGGAGUAUCGGAACAUGUCUACCAAAUUUGAGUACAAUUGGAGACACUUGACAAUGUAGAGUUGCUCAAAUUUGGAUUUGGACAGAUAGGGGUUUAGAAUAAUUAGGGGAGUCAAUUCAACUUGAAUUGAGAUGAAACUUGGCAAGUUCAUCACGUAUAUCAUAUGUGAUAUGCUAGAAUUUACAGGAUUUUAUUGAGAAUAUUUUAUUAUAGAAAUAUUCGAAAAGCUUGAAAUAGGCAGGAAGGGUUUUGGAGGGGGUUGCCCAAUAUUUUGAACAUGACCAUGGGUUGAUACUCAUAUAUAUGUAAUAUAUAUGUCCACUGAGUUUCCCUAAAUUUUCUUAAUAUUUUGAAAGCAAUAAAGAUAACUUUCCUUCAUAAGAGACCAUUUCUAGCCUCACAGGAAGGCAUUUAAAUAAAAUAGUAAAAUAACUUUUAGAAUAACAAUAUUGUGGUUUCGGGUAGCCAUUUUUAUAAUGGGUUUUAAAUAAAAUAAUUGGUGCAAAAUAAAUUCCCUAAUUUGAGGACUUGUAGUAUAAAUCCCAUCUCACAGGUUUUGAAAGCUUAAUUCAAAGAAAUGAUUUUUGGUGAAAAUAAUAUUUGGUAAAAAUAGUUUCUGGUCAUAAACACAUGGCAUGAUAAUAACGCAAGGGUUUGGGUCAAGGUGGUGACUCUCAAGAGUAGAAGGAGUCAUUGAGAAUCAAACACAGGCAUACAAGCAAGCAAGCAAUAGUCACUUCAAGCAUCACAAGCAUUCACAAAAAAUUAAUUGGUCCUAAUUUUGGAAAUAAGUUAAUUAUUCAGGAAAGCUAAACACAUGGUGUUACACUGUGUCAAGAACUAUACCAGGAGUCAGUUGUAGCGUCUACUAAUAAGGCACUCACCACUGUUGGCGAAACUCCCAGGGGGAAGAGGAAGAGCAAGAAAUCAGGCAAGGUCUCUCACAAGGACUUUGUGGAGCGCACCCCACGGUGAUGUAUGCACAUCAAGGAUUCUCUUGAGACUACCACCCCAAGGAGAAAUAAGAACAAAGUGACCAUCCCCAAGAUUAGGCUAGUGGACACGCGGGAAGUCACUGAGGGUGGCACUUUCACCAUAAGUGCCACCCACGACAACAAAUAUGUAAGCACGCUUGUCUGCUUCCGGCAGGUGAACAUCAAUAUGUUUGCGUCGGAACCAUAUGAUAUCCCCGAUGUUCCUAGGGAGGUUAUCGAUCACCACCUUGCCAUUUGCCCCCCCAUUCAAGCAGAAGGUCCGAAAGAAAGCACUCGACCAAUAGGAGUUCAUUGCCGAAUAGAUCAAGAUGCUGGAAGCAGUAGGCCUGGUCAGAGGCGUCCUUCUCCCAACAUGGUUGGCGAAAGCUGUGGUAGUGUACAAGGUGAAUGGUAAGUGGAUGCUUUGCACUGACUUCACCGAUGUCAACAAGUCUUGCCUAAAGGAUCCCUUCCCUUUGCCAUGCAUCAACCAGAUAGUGCACUCGACCGCUGGCGGCAUUCGUCUAUUCUUCCUUGAAGCCUACUCAGGUUACCACCAUAUUUUCAUGGACAACGAAGAUGAAGAGAAUACAACAUUCAUCACACCAUGUGGUACGUAUGUUUCAAGCGCAUGCCAUUUGGACUGAAGAUUGCAUGAUCAACUUUCACGAGGGAUGUAAAGAUCGGUCUCAGUCCAUAGCUACACAGGAAUGUAGAAGCCUACAUGGAUGACAUUGUGGUCAAGACCAAGGCCGAAGCCACGUUGGUUCAUGACCUUGAAUAAACCUUUGACAAUUUGCGCAAGAUCAACUUGAAGCUCAACCCAAAGAACUGCAUAUUCAAAGUCCCAUCCGGCAAGCUCCUCGGUUUCUUUGUGUCAUGGUGCGGGAUAGAAGCAAACCCCACCUUGAUUAAAUCCAUUGAACAUUUGGAAGCUUCGAAGCGUGUCAAGGAUGUACACCGAUUAGCGGGCUGCAUCACCGUCCUCACCAGGUUCAUCUCCAAGUCUGCAGAACACGUCCUCCCAUUUUUCAAGAUCUUGAAAAAGGCAGGUCCUAUGAAAUGGAUCUUGGAGGCAGAGGCCGCGUUGCAUGUCUUGAAAAGGUACUUGUAUUCUCCGCCAACCCUAGUCGCACCCAGUCCCGAGGAACCAUUGCUGCUAAUGGAGGCAACAAACCAAGUGGUUUGCACUGCACUAGUGGCAGAGAGGGUAGCUGAGGAAGACGAGGCAACAUCCCCUGAGUUGGCAAACGACAAACCAGUGUCAUCCCCGGCAAGCCAAGAAGUUGACGACAAGGAUGCAACGCAAGAGGGUGGACGACAGGUUGUGCAAAAGAAGAAAAGGUGCAGCAAACAGUGUACUUUGUUAGCUCUCUCCUGUAGGGGGCUAGAUCAAGGUACUCUAUGAUACAAAAAACUACUCUUUAGCCUCAUCAUGGUCGCCCCGAGUUGCACCGCUACUACCAAGCACACCACAUAAANNNNNNNNNNNNNNNNNNNNNNNNNNNNNNNNNNNNNNNNNNNNNNNNNNNNNNNNNNNNNNNNNNNNNNNNNNNNNNNNNNNNNNNNNNNNNNNNNNNNAGCACCAGCAAUCGCCGUCGGCAUCAUCCCUCCCCUCUACCCAUGUGCGCGAGGGGAAGAAGACGAACCCCAUAGGUGGGUUCCCCUGUCCGCGAGCCAGCCUCGACACCGAUGGAGCAGAUCCCGUGGUGCAUUUUCUCUUUAGAGAUGUGUGUGAUCUGGAGUGUAUUUUCCCUUUCCCGAAAACAUAUUUGUUUUCGAAAAUGUUUUCUUCUCUAUUUUAUUAAAAAACAAAAUUUGGACGAAACUUUGACUGCUUAUAACUUUUAAACUACAACUGCAAACGAGUUGGUUCUUUUUCUGUUGUGUCUCAAAUUUCACCUAAUUUAUUGUCAUAUUUAUUUCAAAAACUUUGAAACAACUUUUAUACACUAUUUUGGAAAUGUGUGUUGAUUCCGAUAAUUUCAAAAAUAGAAAAAAUUGGAGGGAAGAAUUUUUCAAGAUUUUUGGGGUGCACACCACCCUUCUUCAGACCAAACGCAAGCAUCUUGAACCCAAAUUUGUCUUAAGUGUGUGAUGGCUUGUUGUGGUGAAUGGAUGCAUGGUUAUGCUACUUAGAUAAAAACUCUCCAUAGCAACAUAUUUUGCGCCAAAGCAUGUGAUGGGUACUUAUUUGCUGUUGAGCAUAUAAUACUAGUGAUGAGUGNNNNNNNNNNNNNNNNNNNNNNNNNNNNNNNNNNNNNNNNNNNNNNNNNNNNNNNNNNNNNNNNNNNNNNNNNNNNNNNNNNNNNNNNNNNNNNNNNNNNUCCAUCAUACACUUAAGACAAAUUGGGGUUCAAUAUGCUUGCCUUAGGUAUGAAGAAGGGUGGUCUGCACACCAAAAAUCCUGAAGAAUUCUUCCCUCCAAUAUUUCCUAUUUUUUAAAUUAUCGGAAUCAAACACAAUUCCAAAACAGUGUAUAAAAGUUGUUUGGAAUAUUUUGAAAUAAAUAGACCAUAAAGUAGGUGAAAUUUGAGAAACAACAAAAAAAGAACCAACUCAUUUGGAGUUGUAGUUUAAAAGUUAUCAGCAGUCAAAGUUUGGUGAAAAUCUAUUUUUAAAUAAAUCAAAGAAGAAAACGUUUUUGAAAACAAAUACCUUCUCGGCAAAGGGAAACCACACUCCAUAGCACACGCCAUUGUGAAGAACAAACGCGCCAGGGGAUCUGCGCCAUCCGGGCCGAGGUUGGCUCGCCGACAGGUGGAACCCACGUGUCGGGUUUGUCUUCUUCCCCCUUGCUCGCACAGGUAGAGGGGAGGGUUCACGCCGACGGUGAUCGUUGGCGCCAGGAAUGGUGGGCACAACAUCGUGCUCGGGGGGAGGUCCUCAACCUUUGGGGGGCACGGGAUUCACCGGAGAGGUCGGAACUGAGCACUCCUCCAUCCAUGGCGGAAGGGAGGCUCCGGCGCACUGGCGUCUUCCUACGGUUCGCUACCAAUGUGAUUUGGCAUGGGGAUGGAUCCUAGGGGCCGUGGUUGAGAUAAUGGUGGNNNNNNNNNNNNNNNNNNNNNNNNNNNNNNNNNNNNNNNNNNNNNNNNNNNNNNNNNNNNNNNNNNNNNNNNNNNNNNNNNNNNNNNNNNNNNNNNNNNNACCUUGGUUCCUUGGCUAGAGCAAUGGCACGAGUUUUGUCAUAGAACAGAUUGAUUGGUUCCAGUGUACUUGACAUUACUCCAAGAUGCGAUGUGACCUGCUUCAUCCAGACACCCUCCUUAGCCGCCUCUGAGGCAGCUAUGUACUCCGCUUCGCAUGCAGAAUCAGCUACGACGCUUUGCUUGGAACUUCACCAGCUUACCACACCCCCGUUAAGAAUAAAUACAUAUCCAGUUUGAGACUUAGAGUCAUCCGGAUCAGUGUCAAAGCUUGCAUCGACGUAACCCUUUACGACGAGCUCUUUGUCACCUCCAUAAACGAGAAACAUUUCCUUAGUCCUUUUCAGGUACUUCAGAAUAUUCUUGACCGCCUCCCAGUGUUCCACUCCUGGAUCACUUUGAAACCUGCCUGUCAUACUUAUGUCUAGGCUGACAUCCGGUCUUGUGCACAACAUUGCAUACAUGAUAGACCCUAUGGCUGAAGCAUAAGGGACGACACUCAUCUUUUCUCUAUCUUCUGCAGUUACUUGACAUUGAGUCUUACUCAACUUUAUACCUUGUAACACAGGCAAGAACCCCUUCUUGGAUUGUUCCAUUUUGAACUUCUUCAAAACUUUAUCAAGGUAUGUGAUUUAUGAAAGAGCUAUUAGGCGCCUUGACCUAUCUCUAUAGAUCUUUAUGCCCAAUAUGUAAAAAGCNUUCUCCUAGAUCUUUCAAUGAAAAACUUUUAUUCAAGUAAGCCUUUACGUUUACAAAAACUCUAUAUUGUUUCCAAUCAGCAAUAUGUCANNNNNNNNNNNNNNNNNNNNNNNNNNNNNNNNNNNNNNNNNNNNNNNNNNNNNNNNNNNNNNNNNNNNNNNNNNNNNNNNNNNNNNNNNNNNNNNNNNNNCUUUUCAUUUCUCCUCUUCUCCUCUUCUUGGAGCUAAAUUAGCUAAGUAUGUCUUUUUGGAGCUAAAUGGGAUAAUUAUGUCAUUUUAGAGGAAAACAAGCUAAAUAAAUAAUAUUCAUGAGCUAACCAAGGUACUUAUGCCAUUAUGAGCUUAUUAUGUCAUUUUGGAGCUAAAUUAGUCAUUUAAAUGAGGUAACCAAGGUUCUUAUGAUGUUUUUACCUAACUAAGCUAAUUAUGUCAUUUUGGAGGAUAAUUAGCUAAGUAUGUCUAUGUUGGGGAAAAUAAGCUACGUAGAAGAAGAAAGAGAAGAAGAGGAGAAGAAAUAAGUAAGUUUCAUAUCCAUUGAAGUUCAUCUGGUUGCCCUGACACUCAUCAAACACCUUUUGUGCACUCACUUUAAUGUCUACUUUGGCACCUUCCACUUUAACCCUUGAGCUCAACUUUCUACCACAGCCUCCCCUAGUUGCCUUUUUACUCGAGUAGCAUUUCCAUGGCCACUGGUCNUUAUCUGAGUAUAGGUCAUGUUUUAUUAAACAGACCAUUUUGGACCUAACUAAGCUAAUUAUGUCAUUUAGGUGGAAGCCUAGCUAACUAUAGGUCAUUUCGAAGCUAACCUGGGUAAAAUAUGUCAUUCUGGAGCAAACUAUGCUUAUUAAGCCAUNGGUCAUUUUGGAGCUAACUAAGCUAAUUAUGUCAUUUAGGUGGAAGCCAAGCUAACUAUAUGUCGUUUUGGAGCUAACUUGGGUUAAAUAUGUCAUUUUGGACCUAACUAUGCGUAUUAAGCCAUAUUGGAGCUAAAUUGGCUAAUUAUAUCAUUUAGGUGGAAGCCAAGCUAAGUAUAUAAUAUUCAUGAGCUAACCAAGGUUCUUAUGCCAUUUUGAGCUUAUUAUUUCAUUUUUGAGCUAAAUUGGUCAUUUUAAUGAGCUAACCAAGGUUCUUAUGAUGUUUUCACCUAACUAAGCUAAUUAUGUCAUUUUGUAGGAUAAUUAGCCAAUUUAGUCUUUGUUGGAUGAGUCUAAGCUACGUAGAAGAAGAGAGAGAGAAGAAGCAAGAAGACAAGAAGAAGGAGAAGUAAAAGAAGAAGAAGUAGGAGGANNNNNNNNNNNNNNNNNNNNNNNNNNNNNNNNNNNNNNNNNNNNNNNNNNNNNNNNNNNNNNNNNNNNNNNNNNNNNNNNNNNNNNNNNNNNNNNNNNNNGGAAAAAGAAAACGGCGAAGGCGAAAGGCGAAUGAAAACGGCAAAUGUGAAGUGGGGGAGAGGAAAACGAGAGGCAACUGGCAACAAAAGUAAAUGCAAGAGAAGAGUUUGUGAGACCUACUUGGAUAGAUCUUGAUUUCUCCUCCCCGGCAACGGCACCAGAAAUGCUUUUGAUGUCAGCUAAGCUAAUGCACAAAAGUCCUUCCAAUGGUGCCAGAAACAGGUGUGUCGAUGGCACUAGGAAUCCUUCAGUUGCGUCUACGCCUUAAGGGACUUCCUAGGCAAGUAUGCAAAGGAUUUCCCCUGUGGCCUUGGACCCUUGCGUUGGUGUUCCCUUGAACCGGAAAGGGUGAUGUAGCACAACGACGGUAAGUAUUUCCCUUAGUUUGAGAACCAAGGUUUCAAUCCGGUGGAGGAGUAUCACAAGAUCCUGCACAAACACAAAAGCUUGCUCCCAACGCUAUGAAGGGGUUAUCAAUCCCUUAUAGAUUGUUUGCCAAGUGAGAACUGAAAGCAACAAAGUAACAAAGCAAAGGAAAAGCGGAGGUGUAAACGAUGGAUGUGAAUAGACCCGGGGGCCGUAGUGUUUACUAGUGGCUUCUCUCAUGAAAGCAAGUAGACGGUGGGUGAAUAAAUUACUGUCGAGCAAUUCAUAGAACCGCGCAAAGUCGUGAUAAUAUCUAUGCAAUGAUUAUAUCUAUAGGCAUCAUGUCCAAAACAAGCAGACCGAUACUUUCUGCAUCUACUACUAUUACUCCACACGUCGACCGCUAUCCAGCAUGCAUAUAGUGUAUUAAGCCGAUAAGAACAGAGUAACGCCUUAAGCAAGAUGACAUGAUGUAGAUGGAUAAUCUCAAACAUAUGAUAAAAAAACCCAUCUUUUUACCCUUGAUGGCAACUACUUGAUGUGUGCCUUGCUGCCCCUACCGUCACUCGGAAAGGUCACCACAUGGUAGAACCCAAAACCAAGCACUUCUCCCAUUGCAAGAAUCAUUGAGAUGGUGCUGAUGAAGAUGUUGAUGGUGAUGAGUCCUCUCCGAUGAGAGGAGUGUUGGUGAUGACGAUGGCGAUGAUUUCCCACUCUGGGAAGGAAGUUUCCCCGGCAGGACGGCCCUGCCAGAGCUGUAGAUUGGUUCUGCUCAAGAUUCGCCUCGUGACGGCGGCAACUCCUCCCGAAAGCCUCCUCUUGAUUUUUUAUGGAAUGAAACCCUCCUUAUAGCAAAAGAGGGGAUCUAGAGCGCCAACAGGGAGCCCACGAGCCCCCUAGGCGCGGCCUGGGGGGUAGGCCGCGCCUAGCAGGCUUGUGGCCUCCUGGUGGCUCCCCUGUGGUACUUCUUCCGCCCAGUAUUUUUUUAUAAAUUCCAAAAUAAUUCCUCGUUGAUUUUCACUGCUUUUGGAGUUGCGCAGAAUAGGCAUCUCAAACUUGCUCCUUUUUUAGGCCAGAAUUCCAGCUGCUGGCAUUCUCCCUCUUCAUGUAAACCUUGUAAAAUAAGAGAGAAAAGACAUAAGUAGUGUACCGUGAAGUGUAAUAACAGCCCAUAAAGCGAUAAAUAUCAACAUGAAAGCAUAACGCAAAAUGGACGUAUCAGGUGCUAGCGGCUAUUUGCAGGUUUUGAAGAAGCAGACGAGGAGUGUCAAAAAAUAAGAGUGGGAGUGCUAAGAAAAAACCCUUGAUUCCUUUGAAAAUUUAGGAGAGAUGAGAAGAUACACGUUUUGCAAGUAGUUUUGAAGGGUCUCGAAAGCAGUUUUAUCCUAACUAACAUCCGUGCUAACUAAGGGCUUCCUAUAGUCAGGAUGGCUGUGAUACCAGCUCUGUGGGGACCCCGACUUACGAGUCGAGAUCGUCGAACGAACGUGCUCAGUGAUCCCAGAGAUCAAUGCUCACAGAACACACAGAAACUGAAUCACAAGAGUCUUACAUCCAUACAUACCGUUUGAUACAAUAAAUGUCCAUUGUGGUCAAGUCUUACAUAUAUAGGGCCUUGAGGGCCAACACACCAAACUGGACAAAUAGCAGAAAUAUUGGUCGAAAGUGUGAACCCAUGCCAUCAGCCUUAACCUACAGGCAUUCUCACUCGGAAGCCUCCUAGCUCGGAAGAACGUCACCGAGUUACUCUUCACCAUAUCCUGUUCUCUCAGACCUGGUGAAUGAAAUAACCAGUGGCAAGCCAAUGAGUAGCUUGAUUGUACUCGCAAACAGCCCAUGAUAUGAUAAUGCAGUUGGUACGGUAACAAGUAAUAUGCAGUAUUGGUGGAUAGCGGCUUGACUGUAAAUAACAUGAUCAUAGAUGGAUGUGCAACAUAAGCUAGAUGCUGUUUAGAAGAACGGGUUACAGAUAUCAAUAUAUCUGCCAAGGGCUGAACGCUCCGGGUUCACCCAAUAUGCCAAGUCACCAAACUUGGUCAUAUCAAUUCUUUCAUAUUAACACCAUUAAACACACACACACUUGGUUUAUGCGGAAACGACUGGUCGUAGUUUAAGCAANNNNNNNNNNNNNNNNNNNNNNNNNNNNNNNNNNNNNNNNNNNNNNNNNNNNNNNNNNNNNNNNNNNNNNNNNNNNNNNNNNNNNNNNNNNNNNNNNNNNAGUGAAAAGAAUCCACGCGUNUUGUGCAAGUCUCACGGGGGAGGGUGAUGGCAAGGAAAACUACAUACGUAGGGACAACCACCUUGCGGCAAGGGAGCAGCAAAAGAAAAGGCUACGUAUGAAUUUCUCAAAAAUGCCCCGCAACCCGGUUAACACUCAUGUGAAAAGAGUUGCAUGUGGAGGACCUUCGUCAAAAUUGUUGCGUGCUUGAGUGUUUUCCAGGUUACUCAACACACUAAGCAACCGCGACAAGGACGAUGAAGGUGUCCUGCUAUCGACGGUGUAACCGCUGGGAUACUAAGGAUUCAAUCCCUCUCACGGUGAAUACGCACGUCGGCAAGCAACGUGUAGGGACCUUGACGAAAAUGUUGCACACUUGGAUGUCUUAGCUAAACACUCCAAGUAGUCACGACAAGGAUGAUAUGACGAUCUUGCCGGAAACAUGCCGGCAAGUAUUCCGGCAAAACGUAACGAAUAAAUAUGCACGAGUGCGGGUUCACGAUAGAUAGGAGAAAGAGAAAGAAAGGGUAGACUUUCAUCAAGACACAACAUGAAUUUACCACUUAACAUGGUAGAACCGUAUGUCUUGUUUUUGUGAUCCUCGCGCGGCUACAUUCAACACAGUACAAACGCAAAAGGACAUCUACCACUACGAUGUGGUGAUUAAACUAGAAACGAAAUCCCCUGGAUGGAGCCUUGUUCCCGCGUAAAUCGCCCCAUCUCCGAAGUCCUUGCUUCGGCACCAGGCGGAGCUAAUCAGAGUCCUCCUGCUUGAUGCCGAAGAUGCUAACGUUGUUGUUGCUAUCGAUGGAGGAGUCGAAGUCACUACCGCUAGAACUCUCCGUGCAACACUCCAGGCGAACAUCGGAGGCCCCAAAGAACUUCAUAGUGAGAGUGGUGGCACCGUCGAACCUGCACUAAAGGAGAUACCCGGAACCAAGACCCCGGGAACGGGGAACGAUUUCCACCCCCGCAUUAGGAACAUAGAGCUCCCAGGGGUGAGAGUGACAGCCACCCAAACAAGUCCGUUGUGGCAGACGUCCGCCCGGAGUUAUAGUCCUUGGGGUCGAGUGUCUUCCAUACCCCACGCAUAGGGGUUAGGGAGGCGCAACCAGCUCCGAUGCCAAUGAGGUAGCGCCACAACGAACUCAUGCACUUCCUACCCCGCAUAGAUCCUUGCGUGAGGCUGCAGGAGAGGUGCAUCGCCGCGGUACGUCGGAGCCGCCCUUCAUAGACCCCUGUAUGUCGCCCUUCCGCUGGAAUUGAAGCCAACCCCCGCCGCUGUCACCACAAUUCACAACGGUCUCUCGGGGUGCCCCUCUCUGGGGCACGGGAACCACGAGCGCGACCGCGAACCCUUACCAUCCCAAGGACGGCGGAUGAAGAAAAUAGCAAGGAAAAGAAGAGGACACCGGUCCUUGUAUUGGCAAGGGGGAACACGACUGAGUAGUGCCUCCAUCGACCCCCUUAUUUAUAGGGUGAGGGAGAGGAAGGGGGAUGGCUCCUCAUAACCCGAGGCGGGCGCAUACUGGCGCACACUCACCACUAGCGAUUGUCCUUCCCAGCCAAUACAAGACCACUCAUGCGACAUGAGUCAUCAGAAGUAUGACAGAAGAUCGAAGAGUACAAGACAUAACUUAGUGGCGAGGUGUGAAUGGCCGCCACCCCGCCAUUUUCUCUCUCCCCUUUAAGGGACCUCGGGACACGACCGUUCAUUGUAAAGAGUACGGAUUUGGACGAUCGCCCUUCUCCCGCAAUGGAACACAGCAUUUAGGGCGUCACUCCUCGAAACAACCGCCUUGCUCCACCCCUCCCACGACCCAUAGUAUAUGUGCGUCGUGGGAAAGCAGUAACAAUCAUCAUAACCUCAUGGAAUUGCGGCUGCGUGUGCCUGUGCACUAUUUUUGGGCGUAUCCUAAUAAACGUGAUGAACGCUUUUGUGGACUAGGUCUGAUGGCUACUGUCGGUGUAGUGAAAUAUGGUUACUUUAGUACCCAGACUUGUACACAGGAAGCCGCAACCUCCGGCCCGGCAAGACCGUGUCGGCCAACACCGACCUUCGAACUAGAAAGAGCAAAGACCAAAAACAAGGCCCCAACAAGCCACUUUGCUAGGAGGAAGAGAACGUGACACCAACCAUGCCCAGCUGGACCUCUCCACAUCUCUGAUACAUUCAUUUUGCAUCAUGCUUUUAUAUCAAUAUUUCUUGCAUUAUGGGCUGUUAAUACACAUUACGGUACAAUACUUAGCAUUUUCUCUCUUAUUUUAGAAGCUUUACAUGAAGAGGAAGACUGCCGGCAGCUGGAAUUCUGGACUGUAAAAGGAGCAAAUCUCAGAGAUCUAUUCUGCAUAGCUCCCAAACUCGUGAGAAGUUACGGAGAAUUGUUUUGGAAUAUAUAAACAAUAAUGCACGAAAGAAGUACCGGGGGACCCACCAGGNNNNNNNNNNNNNNNNNNNNNNNNNNNNNNNNNNNNNNNNNNNNNNNNNNNNNNNNNNNNNNNNNNNNNNNNNNNNNNNNNNNNNNNNNNNNNNNNNNNNUCCAUGGGCUGGCUCCGGCGGCUCCAGCCUUCUCCGGCGGCGCGCCGGCAAGUAAGGGCUCGGGGCAAGGCCUCCCGCGCCCGAGGAGGAGCCAUCUCCACAAGGGGAGCCUCGGAGCGAUGGAGCUCUCUGCCAUGGCGGAGACCGACGACAACCACUGCGGUGGGGCGUCGCGUCGGCCAUUUAGAGGAAAUAAUGUGCACAGGGUAACUGCGGAGAGGAGGGAGACCUCUCGGCGCAGCCUCAUGGAGGGAAGAGCUCGGGGAAGCCCGAGUUGAAGAAGGGGGCUCCGGUGGCUUUGGCCAUUAGAGGAGGAGAGCCCAGGGCUCGAAGGGAGAGGUGGGGAGGUGCAGGAGGUUGCAGGAGAAAGAAGGGAGUGAGGGAGAGCCAGAGAGAGCUUGGGCGAGGAGAUAAGAGAGUGAAAUAGAGAGAGAGCUCAGGAGCUCUCUGGAGCUUCCUGGUGCAUGGAUGCCACGCACAGCACAUGGAGCUUGGAAGCUAGCUGGUGGGAGGAAGUGCUUGGAACGGUCAAAUGGAAGGGCUGAGACAUGCAGAGACAUGGAGUAGCUGCCUGAUUCGAGCUGUGGGGAAAGGUUAAGGCGCAGAGCACCAGUUUUGCAUGCCAGGGUGGUGGUCACCAUGGACACCUACGCCUAGACCAGGAGUUUGACCUAUCAAAGGUGUGUGGGAUGUGGGGCAUACUAUCAGGAGGGUGAGUGAGGAGUUCGGUCUCUAUUGGAGUUGGUUUGAAUGGCCUUUGACUGAGGGUAAGUUUGUAACAGCAAACUUAGAGCUAAUGAAUGUGGGCCUCAAAUGGGGAGUCUUGGGGAAAAAUUAUGUCUGGCAGUGUUAGCUAUGCAAGGACUACAACACUCCCAAGUUUGAGCUCAAGCAAUGAAGGGUAGCUAGUACUUGUUGUACAAAGCUACAAUUCAUCCAGAAAUCAAUUUGUAGAUGUGCUGCUCAUUUUUCCUACAUGAGCAUGCCAUCUAUUUGUUUGAAAUGAUGCCUUGGGAUGCUAGGGACCCUUCGGAAAGAGAUGGGGGCUUUGGCUUAAACAGAAGUGGGACAAGUGGGGUAAAAAUGGUGAUCCAAGGGUAAAAACGAGGAAUAGUUACAUGGCGUCUCUCUCCAAUAAUUGACCAGAGGCCAUGGCAAAGCUACUGGAGGUAAAAUGUAACUAUAUAGAGCUGCGGUAGAAAGUUGAGCUCAAGGGUAAAAGUGUAAGGGGGCAAAGUAGCCAAUUUGGUGAGUGAACACAAGGUGUUUGAUGAGUGUCAGGGCAACCAGAUGAACUUCAAUUGNNNNNNNNNNUAACAAGAUCAAAUAAUAGAUGAAAAUAAGCCUGGACACCAAAUUUGGGAUUUGGUGGAGAAGUUUUCCGAUGUAGACUUGGAAAACCCAUGAGAUGGGAAGAAAUGGCUUUCUUCUUACAAAACUAUUCAAAUCAAUUCCCACAAAUCUAAUAUUUGGUGUGGGGGCAUUAUUUGAGCAUUAAGGAAUGCCCAAAAAGUUUGGGGUCAAUUGGAGAAACUUUAUAAUGUAAAGUUUCCCAAAGUUAUAAAUGAACAGUGAGGGUUAUGAGGGGCUUGGCCCAAGUUCUUCUAUUCUCCUUGAUGCACCACUUGGCGUGGAUGCAUUAUUGGAGUAUAAGAACAUGUCUACCAAAUUUGAGCACAAUUGGAGUCAAUUGACAAUGUAGAGUUGCUCAAAUUUUGAUCUGGCCAGAUAAGGUUUUAGAAUAAUUAGGGGAGUCAAAUCAAGUGGAAUUGAGAUGAAACUUGGCAAGAUCAUCUCAUAUAUCAUAUGUGGCAUGCUAGAAUUUUACAGGAAUUUAUUGAGCAUAUUUCUUAUAGAAAUGUCCCAAAAGCUUUAUAUAGGCACGGAGGGUUUUGAAGGGGUUUGCCCAAUAUUUUGAACAUGACCAUGUGUUGAAACUCAUAUAUAUGGAAUAUAUAGGUCCAUCGAGUUUCCCUAAUUUUUCAAAAAUAUUUUGAAAGCAAUAAUAAUAACUUUCGUUCAUAAGAGACCAUUUCUGGCCUCACAGGAAGGCAUUUAAAUAAAAUAGUAAAAUAACUUUUAAAUAAAAAUAUUGUGGUUUUGGGAAGUCACUUUGAUAAAGUUUUUUGAAUAAAAUAAAUAGAGCAAAAUAAAUUCCCUAAUUUGAGGACUUGUAGUACAAAUCCCAUCUUAGGGGUUUUGAAAGCUUAAUUCAAAGAAAUGCUUUCUGGUGAAAAUAGUAUUUGGUAAAAAUAGUUUUUAAUCCUAAACNNNNNNNNNNCACGACUUUUGGGCUAAGGUGGUGAGUCUGGAGAGUAGCAUAAUUCAUUGAGAACCCAACAUAAGCAUACGAGCAAGCAAGCAAACAAUAGUCACUUGAAGCAUCACAAGCAUUCACAAAAAAAUUAAUUGGUCCUAAUUUUUGAAAUAAGCUAAUUAGUCAGGAAAGCUAAAUAGAGGGUCUUACACACAGUGUAUGUUAGGAGCGUUGAGGAAAGCAACCUUUUUCUUCGAAGGAUUUAAUGCAUGAAGGGAUCCAACAAGUUGACGCCAAAGUGGGAAGGGACCUACUGGGUAGUACAAGUCACCAGGCCUGGCGCUGUCUGGCUGGAGACUGAAGAUGGCACCCCGAUGGUGAACUCAUGGAAUAUCGAGAAUCUUAGAAAGUUUUACCCAUGAGGCGUGGUUGUUGGUCCUCUCGGCAACCACUUUUGUACUAGUCUCACAUCAAAGCAUGCAAUCCUUUGUACAAAGCCACGUGAUGACCCUGUGCAUAGUAAACAAAGCUAAGUAUUCCCCAACUUUUUGUCAAAGUACAUAUUUAUGUUAUGUAUUCUUGCAUAAACUGUUGUGGUCGCUCAUCACUUAUACAAGGUGGAUACAUGACCGCCAAGGUUCCUAGCCUCCUCUAUUUUCUCUUCUUUCUUUUUCUCAAAGGGAAAAGAAGCUCCCUUGUGCAAGUCUCACGGGGGAGGGUGAUGGCAAGGAAAACUACAUACGUAGGGACAACCACCUUGCGGCAAGGGAGCAGCAAAAGAAAAGGCUACGUAUGAAUUUCUCAAAAAUGCCCCGCAACCCGGUUAACACUCAUGUGAAAAGAGUUGCAUGUGGAGGACCUUCGUCAAAAUUGUUGCGUGCUUGAGUGUUUUCCAGGUUACUCAACACACUAAGCAACCGCGACAAGGACGAUGAAGGUGUCCUGCUAUCGACGGUGUAACCGCUGGGAUACUAAGGAUUCAAUCCCUCUCACGGUGAAUACGCACGUCGGCAAGCAACGUGUAGGGACCUUGACGAAAAUGUUGCACACUUGGAUGUCUUAGCUAAACACUCCAAGUAGUCACGACAAGGAUGAUAUGACGAUCUUGCCGGAAACAUGCCGGCAAGUAUUCCGGCAAAACGUAACGAAUAAAUAUGCACGAGUGCGGGUUCACGAUAGAUAGGAGAAAGAGAAAGAAAGGGUAGACUUUCAUCAAGACACAACAUGAAUUUAAAACACUUAACAUGGUAGAACCGUAUGUCUUGUUUUUGUGAUCCUCGCGCGGCUACAUUCAACACAGUACAAACGCAAAAGGACAUCUACCACUACGAUGUGGUGAUUAAACUAGAAACGAAAUCCCCUGGAUGGAGCCUUGUUCCCGCGUAAAUCGCCCCAUCUCCGAAGUCCUUGCUUCGGCACCAGGCGGAGCUAAUCAGAGUCCUCCUGCUUGAUGCCGAAGAUGCUAACGUUGUUGUUGCUAUCGAUGGAGGAGUCGAAGUCACUACCGCUAGAACUCUCCGUGCAACACUCCAGGCGAACAUCGGAGGCCCCAAAGAACUUCAUAGUGAGAGUGGUGGCACCGUCGAACCUGCACUAAAGGAGAUACCCGGAACCAAGACCCCGGGAACGGGGAACGAUUUCCACCCCCGCAUUAGGAACAUAGAGCUCCCAGGGGUGAGAGUGACAGCCACCCAAACAAGUCCGUUGUGGCAGACGUCCGCCCGGAGUUAUAGUCCUUGGGGUCGAGUGUCUUCCAUACCCCACGCAUAGGGGUUAGGGAGGCGCAACCAGCUCCGAUGCCAAUGAGGUAGCGCCACAACGAACUCAUGCACUUCCUACCCCGCAUAGAUCCUUGCGUGAGGCUGCAGGAGAGGUGCAUCGCCGCGGUACGUCGGAGCCGCCCUUCAUAGACCCCUGUAUGUCGCCCUUCCGCUGGAAUUGAAGCCAACCCCCGCCGCUGUCACCACAAUUCACAACGGUCUCUCGGGGUGCCCCUCUCUGGGGCACGGGAACCACGAGCGCGACCGCGAACCCUUACCAUCCCAAGGACGGCGGAUGAAGAAAAUAGCAAGGAAAAGAAGAGGACACCGGUCCUUGUAUUGGCAAGGGGGAACACGACUGAGUAGUGCCUCCAUCGACCCCCUUAUUUAUAGGGUGAGGGAGAGGAAGGGGGAUGGCUCCUCAUAACCCGAGGCGGGCGCAUACUGGCGCACACUCACCACUAGCGAUUGUCCUUCCCAGCCAAUACAAGACCACUCAUGCGACAUGAGUCAUCAGAAGUAUGACAGAAGAUCGAAGAGUACAAGACAUAACUUAGUGGCGAGGUGUGAAUGGCCGCCACCCCGCCAUUUUCUCUCUCCCCUUUAAGGGACCUCGGGACACGACCGUUCAUUGUAAAGAGUACGGAUUUGGACGAUCGCCCUUCUCCCGCAAUGGAACACAGCAUUUAGGGCGUCACUCCUCGAAACAACCGCCUUGCUCCACCCCUCCCACGACCCAUAGUAUAUGUGCGUCGUGGGAAAGCAGUAACAAUCAUCAUAACCUCAUGGAAUUGCGGCUGCGUGUGCCUGUGCACUAUUUUUGGGCGUAUCCUAAUAAACGUGAUGAACGCUUUUGUGGACUAGGUCUGAUGGCUACUGUCGGUGUAGUGAAAUAUGGUUACUUUAGUACCCAGACUUGUACACAGGAAGCCGCAACCUCCGGCCCGGCAAGACCGUGUCGGCCAACACCGACCUUCGAACAAGAAAGAGCAAAGACCAAAAACAAGGCCCCAACAAGCCACUUUGCUAGGAGGAAGAGAACGUGACACCAACCAUGCCCAGCUGGACCUCUCCACAUCUCUGAUACAUUCAUUUUGCAUCAUGCUUUUAUAUCAAUAUUUCUUGCAUUAUGGGCUGUUAAUACACAUUACGGUACAAUACUUAGCAUUUUCUCUCUUAUUUUAGAAGCUUUACAUGAAGAGGAAGACUGCCGGCAGCUGGAAUUCUGGACUGUAAAAGGAGCAAAUCUCAGAGAUCUAUUCUGCAUAGCUCCCAAACUCGUGAGAAGUUACGGAGAAUUGUUUUGGAAUAUAUAAACAAUAAUGCACGAAAGAAGUACCGGGGGACCCACCAGGUGUCCACAAGCCAGAGGGCGUGGCUUCCCCCCCCCCCCCCNNNNNNNNNNNNNNNNNNNNNNNNNNNNNNNNNNNNNNNNNNNNNNNNNNNNNNNNNNNNNNNNNNNNNNNNNNNNNNNNNNNNNNNNNNNNNNNNNNNNGUUGAAAAAGUUUUGGACUCUGUUUUCUUACAGAAUCACAUAACUCUUCGUUUUCGGAGUCCGAAACAGGCUGAUAAAUGUUCCUUAGGUAUUCUUCCGGAGUUAUGGUAUUGAUGAUAUUGAUUUCAACAUUUAUGGGAGUACCUGAGAUAUGAAGCUUGAUUCUCUGCCCAUUUACCACUCUCGGACAAUUACCUUCCGUGUUUUUGAUCUUGAUAGCACCGGAACGAUAUACUUCCUCAACAACAUAGGGACCUUCCCAUUUAGAGAGAAGCUUGCCUGCAAAGAAUCUUAAACGAGAGUUAUAUAGCAAGACAUAAUCACCUACAUUGAACUCACACUUUUGUAUCCUCUUAUCAUGCCACCUCUUAACCUUCUCAUUGAACAUGCUUUACCGUACACCAUUUUGUACGGAAACAUCCCCAUGGGAUUNNNNNNNNNNGCUUUUGUAUCCUCUUAUCAUGCCACCUCUUAACCUUCUCUUUGAACAGCUUGGCAUUCUCAUAUGCCUGAGUUCUCCACUCAUCAAGCGAGCUAAUAUCAAAUAACCUCUUCUCACCGGCAAGUUUGAAAUCAAAGUUGGGCUCUUUGAUUGCCCAAUAAGCUUUAUGCUCUAGCUCAAGAGGUAAAUGACAUGCUUUACCGUACACCAUUUUGUACGGAAACAUCCCCAUGGGAUUCUUAUAGGCAGCUCUAUAGCCCACAGUGAAUUGUGUUUGCUUGGCUCCGAAAAAUGUUAUAUGAUUAGGGAUCCCUUAGCAUGUGACGAUUGCCUCCACCUCAUAUUAGCCAAAACUCCCGCACUAAGUAGAGAUACUACUUGUGCAUCCAUAAACCAUCAACCUAGUUUUUCCAUGAGUGUCCACCAUACCUACCUAUGGAUUGAAUAAGAUCCCUCAAGUAAGUUGUCAUCGGUGCAAGCAAUAAAAAUUGCUCUCUAAUAUGUAUGAUCUAUUAGUGUGUGGAAAAUAAGCUUUAUACGAACCUGUGAUGAGGAAGACAUAAAAGCGACACACUGCAUAAUACAUUUCUUUAUCACAGGAGGCAAUAUAAAGUGACGUUCCUCCGCACUAAGAGGACACACAUCCAAACCUCAAAAGCGCAUGACAACCUCUGCUUCCCUCUACGAAGAGCCUAUCUUUUACCUUUACUUUUUGCCCUUGAAAGAGUCAUGGUGAUCUUCACUAAUUCCUUAUUUCGCCUUUGUCUUGGAUAACGUCAUAUGCUUGGGAAAGAUCUAUAUUCAUAUGUCAACUUGGAGGUAAGUAUUCAUGAAUUAUUAUCGUUGACAUUGCCCUUGAGGUAAGCAGUUGGGAGGCAAAACUAUAAGCCCCUAUCUUUCUUUGUGUCCAGCUGAAACUUUGAUCUCAUGAGUACCACGUGAGUUGUAGCAAUUGUAGAGAAUGAAAGAAUAACUGAGUAUGUGGAUUUGCUUUACAAGCUCUUAUUUGACUCUUUCUGAUGUUGUGAUAAAUUGCAAUUGCUUCAAUGACUAAAGGCUAUCGGUUGUCACUUCUCGGUAAGGUUCUUGAUCCAUGCUUUACUUUGUGAAGGAAUUGUCACUUUAGCAUGAGAGAUUAUAUGUUGGUAUUGCUGUUCUGAUUAUGAUCAUGAUGCAUGCAUGUUCGUAUCUUGUUUUGUCCACACCUCUCUCCCUAAACAUGUGGACAUACUUAUUGAGCUAGGCUUUCGCUUGAAAACAAGCGUGGUCUAAGCUUGGGGGAGUUGAUACGUCCAUUUUGCAUCAUGUUUUCAUGUUGAUAUUUAUCGCUUNNNNNNNNNNCGGGCUGUUAUUUCACUUCAUGGUACAAUUCUUAUGCCUUUCCUCUCUUAUUUUGCAAGGUUUACAGGAAGAGGGAGAAUGCCGGCAGCUAGAAUUCUGGCCUGAAAGUGGAGCAAAGUUGAGAUACCUAUUUUGCGCAACUCCAAACACCGUAAAAAUAAACGAGGAUUUUUUUCCGGAUUUAUAAAAAAUACUAGGCCAAAGAAGUGACAGAGGGGCGCGUGUAGGUGGCCACAAGCCUGCACGGCGCAGCCACCCCCCAGGCCGCGCCAUGAGGGCUUGUGGGCAGCCUGCUGGACCACUGGCCCCCCUGUUCUUCUAUAUGAAGGGUUUCAUACAGAAAAAAAUGAGGGAGGAGCUUUUUCAUGGAUUCGCCGCCGCCAUGAGGCAGAUCUUCAGCAGAACCUAUCUAGGGCUCCGGCAGGACGAUCCUGUCGAGGAAACUUCCCUCUUGGAGGGGGAAAUCGUCGCCAUCGUCAUCACCAACACUCCUCUCAUCGGAGAUGACUCGUCACCAUCAACAUCUUCAUCAGCACCAUCUCAUCUCCAAACCCUAGUUCAUCACCUGUAACCAAUCUCCGUCUCGCGACUCCGAUUGGUACUUGUAAGGUUGCUAGUAGUGUUGAUUACUCUUUGUAGUUGAUGCUAGUUAGAUUGUUUGGUGGAAGAGUUUAUGUUCAGAUCCUUGAUGCUACUCAUUACCUCUCUGGUCAUGAAUAUGAUUAUGCUUUGUGAGUAGUUACUUUUGUUCCUCAUGACAUGGGAUAAGUCAUGUAAUAGUAGUCCUGUGAAUUUGGUAUUCGUUCGGUAAUUUGAUAUGUUGUAUGUUGUUUUUCCUCUAGUGGUGUUAUGUGAACGUCGACUACAUANNNNNNNNNNAUUCACCAUUAUUUGGGCCUAGAGGAAGGCACUGGGAAGUAGUAAGUAGAUGAUGGGUUGCUAGAGUGACAGAAGCUUAAACCCUAGUUUAUGCGUUGCUUCGUAAGGGGCUGAUUUGGAUCCACUAGAUUAAUGCUAUGGUUAGACUUUGUCUUAAUUCUACUUUCGUAGUUGCGGAUGCUUGCGAGAGGGGUUAAUCAUAAGUGGGAUGCUUGUCCAAGUAAGGACAGUACCCAAGCGCCGGUCCACCCACAUAUCAAACUAUCAAAGUAACGAACGCGAAUCAUAUGAACAUGAUGAAAACUAGCAUGACAGAAAUUCUCGUGUGUCCUCGGGAGCGUUUUUCCUCUUAUAAGACUUUGUCCAGGCUUGUCCCUUGCUACAAAAGGUAUUGGGCCACUUUUCUGCACUGUUGCUACUUUUGUUACUUGUUGCUUGCUACGAAUCAUCUCACCACACAACCACUUGUUACCGACAAUUUCAGUGCCUGCAGACUUUACCUUGCUGAAAACAACUUGUCAGAUCCUUCUGCUCCUCGUUGGCUUCGACACUCUUACUUAUCGAAAGGGCUACGAUUGAUCCCCUAUACUUGUGGGAAAUCAUACCCUAACCAUGGUUAGGGGCAGGUGCCACUAGCAAAGCUGAAAGAAACAAGAGAAGACAAGGCGAUAGGCGCGGAAGGCUUUGAGAGUAAGAUGGGAGGGAAAAACCCUAAUUUAUAGUGCAAACACCCUAAUUUAUAGGGCAAAUCUCAGAGGCCACCCUCCUCGCUCUAGAAGCCACCGCCCCUCUCGCCCAAUCGCCCUCAAGUCACGAGCGAAACAUGGAACCACCCUGAUGUGCCAAUGCAUGCAGGGGCGGGUCCAUCCACACCCGCGACUUUUGAGGCCACGAUCGCCACGUGUAGGACAUGCGCAGCGGCGUUCGAGCAAGUUCAAUGCGCGAUGUGGGGAAAGAAAGCCUGAACGGCUCGAUUCCGAUAAGCCUAAUGCCCGUGAGUCCGCGCACCACUUUGGGCCUGGCCCAACAACGCCUCGCAUGCGUGUGUGGCCCAGGCCCGGUGGCUCCUAUCAGUUCACUAAAGACCGGGGUCUCGAGUGCCCCAGACUAGUGCGCAGACACCAGGAGCCCCUCCACAACGGCAAAGCGCGUCAAUGGAGCUUAGGGCGGAAGCAAGACUUAGAAGCCACUAAGUACAGAUUGUAAGCCCCUGGCAAGCACUCGCUUGCUGGGAAGGAAGAACAGACCCCGGCAGCAGCUCCCUGCCGGGGAAAUAGAAAAUGCCAGGGCGAGACCCUCCUACCGAGGAAGGAGGACUAAGCCCCGGCAAGCCACCCUUGCCGGCAAGAUUGACAAGGCCUAGGUCGGCCAUCGCCUCCGUGCCGAGAGGAACAAGAAGAGCCCCGGCAAGGUAACCCUGCAGGGAAGUGAUACGUCUCCGUCCUAUCUACUUUUCCGAAUUCUUUUGCCCUUGUUUUGGACUCUAAUUUGCAUGAUUUGAAUGGAACUAACCCGGACUAAAGCUGUUUUCAGCAGAUUUGCCAUGGUGUUGUUUUUGUGCAGAAAUAAAAGUUCUCGGAAUGACCUGAAAAUUUACGGAGAUUUUUUUUGGAAUUAAUGAAAUAUACUUGCGCAAAGAUCCACCGGAGGAGGUGUGCCAGUGGACCAAAAGCCCCUGGGCCGCGGCCACCACCCCUGGUCGCGCCGUGAGGGCUUGUGGGGCCCACGUGGCUCCACCGCNNNNNNNNNNNNNNNNNNNNNNNNNNNNNNNNNNNNNNNNNNNNNNNNNNNNNNNNNNNNNNNNNNNNNNNNNNNNNNNNNNNNNNNNNNNNNNNNNNNNCUAAUAUCUUUUAUUGUCAUGCACCCAAUGUAAGGGUUUGUUCGUAACAUUGAGACAAAAAGAUGUAGAGUUAACAAUGAUAGUGCUACUUUCUUGUGGCACUACCGCUUAGGUCAUAUUGGUGUCAAGCGCAUGAAGAAACUCCAUGCUGAUGGACUUUCAGAGUCACUUUAUUUUGAAUCACUUGACACAUGCGAACCAUGUCUCAUAUGCAAGAUGACUAAGACUCCGUUCUAUGGAACAAUGGAGCGUUCAAGUGACUUGUGGGAGAUCAUACAUACUGAUGUGUGUGGCCCAAUGAGCAUAGAGGCGCGCAGCGGAAUCGUUAUUUUAUCACCUUUACUCACGAUUUGAGUAGGUAUGGCUAUAUCUACUUGAUGAAGCACAGCUCUAAAACGUUUGAAAAGUUCAAACAAUUUCAGAGUGAAGUUGAAAAUCAUCGUAGCAAGAAGAUCAAGUUCCUACGAUCUGAUUGAGGAGGUGAAUAUGUGAGUUACGAGUUUGGUGCCCACUUAAGACAAUGUGGAAUUGUUUCACAGUUAACACCGCCUGGCACACCACAGCGUAAUGGUGUGUCCGAACGUCGUAAUCGUACUUUAUUAUAUAUGAUGCGUUCUAUGAUGUCUCUUACCUAUUUGCCAUUAUCAUUUUGGGGCUAUGCAUUGGAGAUAGAUGCAUUCACUUUAAAUAGGGCACCAUCAAAAUCUGUUGAGAUGACGCCAUAUGAGCUGUGGUAUGGCAAGAAGCCAAAGUUGUCAUUUCUUAAAGUUUGAGAAUGUGAUGCUUAUGUCAAAAAGCUUCAGCCUAAAAAGCUGGAACCCAAAGCGGAAAAGCGCGUCUUCAUAGGUUACUUAAAAGAGACAGUUGGGUAUUCCUUCUAUCUCAGAUCCGAGGGCAAAGUGUUUGUCGCUAAGAACGAAGCAUUUCUUGAGAAAGUGUUUCUCUUGAAAGAAUUGAGUGGGAGGAAGAUAGAACUUGAUGAGGUUGCGGAACCUCUGCUUUAGCAAGAUGGUGGUGCAUGGCAGAAAGAAAUUUCUGUCGAGGCAACACCAGUUGAAGAGGAAGCUAAUGAUGGUGAUCAUGAAGCUUCAGAUCAAGUUUCUGUCGGACCAUGCAGGUCGACAAGAGCAUGUACUUUUACUGAGUGGUACGAGUAUCCUAUAUUGUAAAUCAUGUUGUUGGAAAACAAAGAGCCUGCGAAUUAUGGGGAAGCAAUGGUGAGCCCAGAUUCCAAUAUAUGGUUAGGAGCCAUGAAAUCUGAGAUAGGAUCUAUGUAUGAAAACAAAUUAUGGAUUUUGUAAGUAUUACCUGAAGGUCGAAAGGCUAUUCGGAACAAAUGGAUCUUUAAGAACAAGACACACGCAAACGAUAACGUGACCAUUUAUAAAGCUUGACUUGUGGCAAAGGUUUUUUCACAAAUUCAAGGAGUUGACUACGAUGAGACAUUCUCACCCGUAGCGAUGCUUAAGUCCGUUCGAAUCAUUAGCAAUAGCUGCAUUUUUUUAUUAUGAAAUCUGGGAGAUGGAUGUCAAAACAGCGUUGCCUAACGGGUUUCUUAAGGAAGAAUUGUAUAUGAUGCAACCCGAAGGUUUUGUGAAUCCAGAGAAUGUUGACAAAGUAUGCAAGCUCCAGCAAUCCAUCUAUGGACCGGCGCAAGCAUCUCGGAGUGGGAAUCAACGCUUUGAUGAGGUGAUCAAGGCGUUUGGGUUUAUACAAGUUUUUGGAGAAUCUUGUAUUUACAAGAAAGUGAGUGGGAGCUCUAUAGAGUUCCUAAUAUUAUAUGUGGAUGACAUAUUGCUGAUUGGAAACAAUAUAGAGUUUUUGUAAACGUAAAGGCUUACUUGAAUAAAAGUUUUUCAUUGAAAGACCUAGGAGAAGCUUUUUACAUAUUGGGCAUAAAGAUCUAUAGAGAUAGGUCAAGGCGCCUAAUAGCUCUUUCAUAAAUCACAUACCUUGAUAAAGUUUUGAAGAAGUUCAAAAUGGAACAAUCCAAGAAGGGGUUCUUGCCUGUGUUACAAGGUAUAAAGUUGAGUAAGACUCAAUGUCAAGUAACUGCAGAAGAUAGAGAAAAGAUGAGUGUCGUCCCUUAUGCUUCAGCCAUAGGGUCUAUCAUGUAUGCAAUGUUGUGCACAAGACCGGAUGUCAGCCUAGACAUAAGUAUGACAGGCAGGUUUCAAAGUGAUCCAGGAGUGGAACACUGGGAGGCGGUCAAGAAUAUUCUGAAGUACCUGAAAAGGACUAAGGAAAUGUUUCUCGUUUAUGGAGGUGACAAAGAGCUCGUCGUAAAGGGUUACGUCGAUGCAAGCUUUGACACUGAUCCGGAUGACUCUAAGUCUCAAACUGGAUAUGUAUUUAUUCUUAACGGGGGUGUGGUAAGCUGGUGAAGUUCCAAGCAAAGCGUCGUAGCUGAUUCUGCAUGCGAAGCGGAGUACAUAGCUGCCUCAGAGGCGGCUAAGGAGGGUGUCUGGAUGAAGCAGGUCACAUCGCAUCUUGGAGUAAUGUCAAGUACACUGGAACCAAUCAAUCUGUUCUAUGACAAAACUCGUGCCAUUGCUCUAGCCAAGGAACCAAGGUUUCACAAGAGGACCAGACACAUAAAGCGAUGCUUCAAUGCCAUGUGCGAUUACAUCAAGGAGGAGGACAUAAAUAUUUUCAAAGUGCACACAGAUCAGAAUGUUGCAGAUCCGCUGACUAAACCUCUUCCACGAACAAAGCAUGAUAAACACUAGAACUGUAUGGGUGUUAGAUACAUUACAUUCUAAAUCACAUAGAGAUGUGAAGCUAGAUUAUUGACUCUAGUUCAAGUGGGAGACUAUUGGAAAUAUGCCCUUGAGACAAUAAUAAAAUAGUUAUUAUUAUAUUUCCUGUUUCAAUAUAAUCGUUUAUUGUGCAUGCUAUAAUUGUAUUGAAUGGAAACAUAAAUGCAUGUGUGGAUAUAUAGACAAAACAAUGUCCCUCGUGAGCCUCUAGUUGACUAGCGUAUUGGUCAAGGAUGGUUAAGGUUUCCUAGCCAUAGACAAGUUUUCUCACUUGAUGACGAGAUCACAUCAUUAGGAGAAUGAUGUGAUGGGCAAGACCCAGACUAUAAACGUAGCAUAUGAUCAUGUCAUUUUGUUGCUAUUGUUUUCAGCAUGUCAAGUAUACAUUCCUAUGACCAUGAGAUCAUGUAACUCACUGACACCGGAGGAAUGCCUUGUGUGUAUCAAACGUUGCAACAUUACUUGGUGACUAUAAAGGUACUCUACAAGCAUCUCCGAAGGUGUGUGUUGCGUUAUCAAGGAUCAAGACUGGGAUUUGUCACUACGUGUGACGCAGAGGUAUCUCAGGGCCCAGUCGGUAAUACAACAUCACAAACAAGCCUUGCAAGCAAUGUGACUAAAGAUUUAGUCACGGGAUCUUGUAUUACGGAACGAGUAAAGAGAUUUGCCGGUAACGAGACUAAAAUAGGUAUGGCGAUACCGAUGAUCGAAUCUUGGGAAAGUAACAUACCGAAGGACAAAGGGAAUGAUAUACGGGAUUGUGUGAAUCCUUGACAUAGAGGUUUAGCCGAUAAGAUCUUCUUAUAAUAUGUGGGAUCCAAUAUGGACGUCUAGGUACUGCUAUUGGAUAUUGACCGGAGAGUGUCUCGGUCAUGUCUACAUAGUUCUCGAACCCGCAGGAUCUGCACACUUAAGGUUAGGUGACGUUUUCGGUAUAGUUGAAUUAUUGAUGUUGGUAACUGAAUGUUGUUUGGAGUCCCGGAUGAGAUCCCAUAUGUCACGAGUGUCUCCGAAAUGGUCCAGAAAUGAAGAUUGAUAUAUAGGAUUGUUGCAUUUGGCUUCCGGAAAGAUUUCGGGCAUUACCGGUGAAGUACCAGGAGUGACGAAUGGGUUCUGGGGUUUUACCGGGAGGGGCCACCCACCCGGGAGAGGACCUAAUAGGCCCAUGGGUGGUGCACCAGCCCUUAGCGAGCUGGUGAGGCCAGCCCAAUAAUCCUAUUUCGGCCAAGGAAAAAAAGGGGAAAAAAGAAGGAAGGAGGUGGACAAGAUGGGAAGGAGUCGUCCACCAAACCGAAUUGGAGGAGGACUCCUCCCUCCUUGCCUCGGCCUAAGCCUCCUCCUUGGAGUAGGAGGCAAGCCACACUCCCCUUAGUUCCUCCUAUAUAUAGUGGAGGUUUGAGAGGGUUUUUGCACCUCAAGUCUUUGUGUAGCCCUCUCUCCCUCCACUACUUCGUGACACCACGUAGCUAGAUCGGUACGGCAUGACAAAGCCCUGCCGGAGUAGCUUCACCAGCAUCACUGUCACACCGUCAUGCUGCCGGAGAAUUCAACUACCUCUUCGUCUCUCUUACUGGAUCAAGAAGGCGGAUAUCGUCAUCGAGCUGUACAUGUGUUGAACGUGUAGGUGUCGUCCGUUCAUCGCUAGAUCGGGACGGAUCAUGGGACGGCGGCAAUUUGGAUCGCGAAGACGUUCCACUACAUAACCGCGUUUCUUAACGCUUACCGCUUAGAGAUCUACAAGGGUAUGUGGAUCCGAUCUCCCUCUCGUAGAUGAUCAUAUCAAUGAUAGGUCUUUGUGUGCGUAGGAAUUUUUUUUGUUUCCCAUGCAACGUUCCCCAACACUACACUUCCAAGUUCUGGGAUUUCUUUCGGACUCCAAUGGGCACGAAGGUCCGUUUCAAUACUACCUUCCAUCCUCAGACUAGUGGUCAAGUGGAGAGAGUCAAUCAAAUUCUUGAAGAUACACUCACAGUUUGUGUGAUUUCUUUUGGCAUGAAGUGGGAAGACUGCCUCCCACUUGCCGAGUUCUCAUACAACAACGACUUUGAGGCAAGUUCAGGCAAGGCCGCUUUUGAGAUUUUGUAUGACACAAAGUGCCAUACCCUGCUCAACUGGUUCGAGAUUAGUGAGUGCUAGAUUCUUGGGAAUGACAUGAUCGCUGAAUUAGAAGAAAUGUGCCGUGUCAUUUGGGCUAAUCUCAAAGCAGCUCAGUCCCGUCACAAGAGCUAUUAUGAUAGCAAACAUCGUUACAUGCCUUUUCAGAUCAAUGAUUUUGCUUAUCUCAAAGUGUCCCCCAUGAAGGGCACUCGACGCUUUGGCAUCAAAGGUAAGCUUUCUCCUCGCUUUGUGGGUCCUUUCGAGAUUGUUGGCAAAAGAGGUGACCUUGCUUUUCAGUUAGAGAUUCCAUCUAAUUUCUCAAAUGUGCAUGAUGUGUUUGAAGUCUCUCAGCUCCGGACAUGCUUCAAGAAUCCCGAGUGCACAAUUGACCUCCAAGACAUUGAUCUCCAGCCAGACCUAUCCUAUCAUGAGCAUCCAAUUGCCAUUCUCAAAGAUACCGAGCGCAAGACUCGAAACAAGUCUACCAAGUUCCUCAAAUUUAAAUGGUCACACCAUUCCGAUAAAGCAGCCACUUGGGAACGCGAUUACCUUCUCCGUUCCGAAUAUCCAGAGUUCUAGCGCUAGAUUUCGGGUCGAGAUCCUCUUGUAGUGUGGGAGAGUUGUAACAGCCCAACUCCACCCCGUCCUUUAUUUGUAAUGUGUCAUGUGUGAACCUUCUUAUUGCCAUUAUGUGGUUUGAGUUAUAAUCAUUUUUCUUCAUGGGAUGUUGCAUCAUGGCAUCAUAAUCAUCAUGUCAUAAUUCAUGUUUUGCCUCAUGCUUGUUUUAUGUGGUGAUGUUGUUAUGAGUGUGUGUGUGUGGUAUGACUGCUUGCAAACUAGUAAUAUUCUUUGAUUAAAACCCCUCUCUUCAACUUCCAUAAAAAAUUAUGCCACCUCUCUUCUCUAAUAAUGCAAAUGCGGUGAUUUUUACUUGCCCUAGUACAUAUAAUAAAUGUUGCACUUCCAUAAAUAUUCUGUUAUGCUCAUAAAAAUUAGUUCUAACCAUGUUGAAGUAUUUUGCUUUGACAUCUUUGCAAAAACAUAUUGUUAUAAUUAAAAUAUGGGUUUUAUUUUAUUGCUGUAAAUAUGCCAAAGUCAAUUUUUCAAAUAGGGUUUAUUUUGUGAGUUCAGACAUAUUUUAUUUCUCCCCAAAAACCUCCUCUAUUUUUCUGUAUGAUUUAGGGAAAAAUACGUGGUUUUAUAAAAAAUAAAAACCUUUGUGUUCUUGAGAGUGAGAGUGAGGCGAGCCCACCUCGGCCUCACCCUUCUCUCCCGCCCAGCCGCAACAGCCCAGCAGCCCGACCUACGGUAGCUCGCAGCCCCGCAGCCCACCAGCCCGCUAGCGACAGGAGCUUCAUUCUCCUUUCCACGACACCCCAUCCAGAAGAGCCACGACAGCCAUGCCUUGAUUUGAUGGACUCAGCUCGCCCUAGCUGCCUAUAUAGGUUUCCUGGUGCCCUAGGUCCUCCCCACAACCCAUUCCUCCCUUCUCCUUGCCUUGCCGCCACUGGUAGGUCUUCUCCAAGCAUCGCCAUCGCCCUACUCGCCAUGAAUCGACCGAGCUUCUUCUCGAGCCCGGUGUAGUUCAUCGCUGCCACGUCCGGCCCUCCUGUCACCAUGGAUUGAACCACAGAGGCAGGCCCUUCGUCCCCGAGAACAAGCCGCGGCCUGCAGCCCCUGGAGCGCCCUCCCCUUGCCGUCUUCCUCCUCUGCGUUUCGGGUUGAGGAGCGCGCCGGAGUUCGCCGACAUGUAGCACCGUCUUCAUCACGCCCCAUCCAUCUUCUUCGUGUCGUUGGUAAGGAAGGCAUUCUCUAUGUUCCAUUCAGUCCUUCCCCGCCUCCGUUCAUGUCGCGCAGGUGCCAAAUCAUUCGUGCCAAGAUCGUGCUCUCCGUGCUCGGGCUGAAGCUGCCAUUUUUUUGUUCUCGCGUGUAUGUGUGUGGUGCGUAGUUCCAAAUUAGCCCGCGUGCACUGUGCCUUGCUUCCCUAGUGGUCUCACCGCCAUUUUGUGGUAGCCGCCACUUGCCGCAUCGCCUCGCUUGCCGCUGCCGCUAGCCCGUGCCGCGGCCAUGCCCGAGCUCGAUCUCGAGCUCGAGGUCCUUGCCGUGUGGGCCUCUCGCCCCACUUCUCAUCCUCAAGGGGCCCUGGUGUCAUUGCCAGUGGGACUCUCUGUUUUAUUNNNNNNNNNNNNNNNNNNNNAUUUUAUCUCUUUAUUCCAUUUUUGGAAGAUUCCAAAUAGGGAAUUGUCCAAAUGUGGAUCUGUCCAAAUCUGGAAUAUGCCAAAUCUGGCAUAUAAUUUAUUACACCUAGUUUGUGAAAAUUUCGUUUUAGUUUUGUGUGUGAAUUUCCUAUAGAAAUAUAUGAGUAUGAUAUAUGAAAUUGGGGUAGAAUUUUCUUGUGAAUAAAAUGGUGGUAUUAGUUUUGUCUUUUGGGAAAGUUUGCAGAAAUGUUAUUUUUUGAUGAGGUGGAAUUUUGUGAAUUUUGUGUGGUUUAAUUCCUGCAUGCUAUGAUGAACUUGUCAACAUGGAAGUGCUAGUGUUUUGUGGGCACUAGGCGCUGCUAUUUUCCUUUGCUAGGAUAAGCUAGUAGUUUAGUAUAUUUCUUGUUGUAAAGUAACUAAGAAAAUGUUGCUGGUUUCACAUGCUAAAUAUUUCUAAGUGUUGAAAUCAGUUAUUUUCUUACCACAUUGUGUUCAUGAUUCCCAUGAAUACAUUACUCCUUUGUGUUUGUUCAAAUGCCAUGAAUUGUUGUGCCUGUUAACCUCUAUCAAAUGGUGCCACAACCUUGCCAAAUAGGUUUUGCAUCUUAGAGUUAUUCCCUGUCAAUGUUGCUAUCAUGUUAUAAAGUGCUACAAUUUCCCCUUGUGCAUUUGACCAAGUGUGGAAAUCUCUACUUAUUUUCAUGCCAUGUUUAAUUGAUGCUAGCAUGUAUGCUGUGAUAUAUUAGCUCAUGCUCAAUGCUAGUGUAUUCUAGUAGAUGCCGCCCUCUAUCACCUUGCUAAAUUUCAUGUCAUGAAACUCGAUGUAGUAUAGUGUUUUGUUGCUGUCAACAUGCCACCAGAUUAAAUACUACAAGUGCAAACUGAGAUUUUCACUAAGUCCUAAUAUGUAAUAUUUCUUGCCAUGUUUCGAGCUUGAUUUCCAUUGUUUCAUGAACCUAUAAAUAUUGCUCUUAGUUAUAGAUUGUUGUGAUCUUUGAUAGCUUCAUACCCAUGUAUUGGUUGAACUCAUUGAGUGCUUGUAGCUAUGAGUUUGCACAUGUCCAGAGUGGUAUCUGGCUGUUUGUGGACAGAUUGGUUGUUGUUUUGUUUUGUGCAUUGUGUGAGUUGUGCUCAUUUGUUUUGCAUGAAAUUUAGGUCUAUUGGACCUAGAAUUCUGUGCAUGUCCAUUGGCAUACCUGCAAUGCCAAGAAAAUGCCCAUAGCCUCUCUUAUAUUGCUGGUUGUCAUCGUUGUCGUCCGUAUCUUAUUUUCUGAUUUUCGAGAGAUUCGUAGGUCGGUUUGCGAUGUUCUUUAUAUGUUUUUGCACCAUUUUCUCUGGAUGCAUUCAUUUUUUCCAUAUUCAUGCAUGCCUAAAUUAAUAAACUUGAGGUUCUGUCCAGAAUACUAACAAUUUAAUAAAGGCAUUAGAAACUUGACUAGCUAGCAUUGUCAUGCUCUUUUCUUUCACACACUCAUGCAUCAUGUUGUUUGAAGCAUUGCACCAUGCGUGUGUUCAUUGGAUGUGUAUUUUCUUUGGGUAGAAACGGGAGCUGAGAACGAGUGCGAGGAUCAUUUCUGAUUUAAUUUAAAAUCCAGGGAAAUACUUAUCUUACAUGGUGUUAAGUCAAAGUUGACUCAGCUAGUCAAACGUGACAUAUGGGUCCCCUAGGUUUAACUCCAAUCUAACUUGGGAUAUAACCCAUGGGGCCCACCUAUCAUACACUCGGGAUGGGAAUAAUGCAGCACCUAAUCAACCCUAACCAUGGGACCCAUUCGUUAGUGGCACAUACUGGCAAGGAUCAACUUAGACAUCCAAAGCACACGUCAAAGGCCUCUCGGGAAGGCACGCCGAUGAUGACUAAGACCACCAAGUGCAUAUUGGGACAACUUAAUAAAUACAUGAGAAACUUGACUUGUUAGCAUUGUCAUGCUCGUUUCUUUCACACACUCAUGCAUCAUGUUGUUUGAAGCAUUGCACCAUGUGUGUGUUCAUUGGAUGUGUAUUUUAUUUGGGUAGCAACUACAGCUGAGAACGAGUGCGAGGAUCACGCUGACACAUUGGGGUUAUGACUGAAUUAAGUAGGUGUUCAGGAUCACUUACUGAUCAUUUUUUGUCUAUGACCGUCAUGGUUAGUCCACUCACCUUAAUUCAUGUUCCAUAAGUUAUCCACCCUAUAUGUUUGGUGCUGCUGUAACCUAAACACUUACCCUUCCAUACCAAACAACUUGAUUAGUUCCAGUAUCAUGGUUGCAAGAUGGCUAGGUCCUUGUGGCUCACAGAUUACUACAACCCCACAGGUACAGGUACCGCAGAUCCAGAGGGUUUUGGUGCUAUGCAGUUGUAGUGGGAGUUCGACGAAGGUAGUGGCCGUAUGUACGUGACAUACCUUAAUGAUUAGAGGACCUUGGUCGUCUCCUGGCAGAGCGGGACAGAUCAUUUCCAUUUUUUCGUUUAUCUUAUCCAUAGACGAACCCUGUCUUUUGGGAUGAUUUGAAAUAAAUUGUUGAGUGAAUUAUACUUUAACUUGUGGUGAGUGUAAGCCAUUCCGUAUACUCAUCUCUUUUUGUAUGUAUUGCGAUGAUUCUUGUGCUUGCAAAACGCUAAGAUGCAUCUCUUUCCUUAUUGGGGCAUCGCCCCAAAUAUGGAAAGUGUCGCAUCUUGGACGUUACACCUAACCAGCAUGUGUAGGAGGCUUGUUUUAACCCUUAACCUAACACUGGUAGGUUUGAAGAGAAUUGGAGACAUUUAGUAGUGCCCCACAUUCUGGCGAGCACAUGGCGUGCGUGCUCUGGGCGCGGCGAGAGCACACGUUUUGCACGGUGCUCCACUGAGCCACCGCAUCCACCAAACCCCGCGCGCCUUGCCCCUAUGCUGGCCACACAGCCUCGCCACAUCGAGCCAAGCCUCGACAGAAUUUCUCCCCUGCCAUGUGCCGCUUAGAGGAACCGCCAUGGCAACCUUGGUGGCUAGCUGGUGUUUGCGUUCACUUAUACCGUGACCUGCACCGCCCAGCCCCUCCCCGCUUGCCAGCUCACCUACGGAGUAGCGCAAAAUUCGUCCAUAAGCUUGUGCAGCCUCACCAGCUAGGUGUGCUCCCCUGCCCGUCGCCACACGAUGUUGUCUUCGAUCUUAUCCUCGGGCUCCGACAAGACUGACAUCGAGCACCUAUAUAAGGAGGCCCCCGAGCUCUCUGAGCACCCCAUCCUCCUCAUUGGACCCGCAGCUAGCUCCCAAGCGCCCUAAUUCGACCAAAGUAGCCCAUCCUGCUCGCCUCGAAUCGCACCGCUGCCCUUAAUUAUCUAGUCAAUUCCGAUAACCCUGAGCAGCUCCUGCUCCACCUUCGCCACCAUUAUCUCAACCACGGCCCCUAGGAUCCAUCCCCAUGCCAAAUCACAUUGGUAGCGAACCGUAGGAAGACGCCAGUGCGCCGGAGCCUCCCUUCCGCCAUGGAUGGAGGAGUGCUCAGUUCCGACCUCUCCGGUGAAUCCCGUGCCCCCCAAAGGUUGAGGACCUCCCCCCGAGCACGAUGUUGUGCCCACCAUUCCUGGCGCCAACGAUCACCGUCGGCGUGAACCCUCCCCUCUACCUGUGCGAGCAAGGGGGAAGAAGACAAACCCGACACGUGGGUUCCACCUGUCGGCGAGCCAACCUCGGCCCCGAUGGCGCAGAUCCCCUGGCGCGUUUUUUCUUCACAGUGGCGUGUGCUAUGGAGUGUGCUUUCCCUUUCCCGAGAAGGUAUUUGUUUUCAAAAACGUUUUCUUCUUUGAUUUAUUUAAAAAUAGAUUUUCACCAAACUUUGACUGCUGAUAACUUUUAAACUACAACUCCAAAUGAGUUGGUUCUUUUUUUGUUGUUUCUCAAAUUUCACCUACUUUAUGGUCUAUUUAUUUCAAAAUAUUCCAAACAACUUUUAUACACUGUUUUGGAAUUGUGUUUGAUUCCGAUAAUUUAAAAAAUAGGAAAUAUUGGAGGGAAGAAUUCUUCAGGAUUUUUGGUGUGCAGACCACCCUUCUUCAUACCUAAGGCAAGCAUAUUGAACCCCAAUUUGUCUUAAGUGUAUGAUGGAUUUCUACGAUGAAUUGAUGCAUGGUUAUGCUACUUAGAUAAAAACUCUCCAUCGCAACAUUUUUGCAUGAAACCAUGUGAUGGGCACUUAUUUGUUGUCGAGCAUAUAAUGCUAGUGAUGAGUGGGUAGUGCCUCAUGCCACGUAUUCCAUGCGGGUCUGGACAACCUCAGAGGAAGGUUUGUCAUGGUAACAUGUUACCGUGAAAAUGAUAUCUCAUGGCGACGAGAGUGAUUAGUGAGGGAAUAUCUAGGUGUGAUGGUGGUAACCCAAUUGAAUAAAUUCAUGAAUUUUGUGGUGCCAACUCUUGCAAGAAAACUAAAACCUCGUGAGUCGACCGUAGAUUAUGUCUUGUGCAAGUAACCUCCAUACUCUAUUUGUGCUACCACUUGUCCCUGCUAGAGGUAGGGUGCUGUUAAGUAAGUCGUCGACCCCUUUCCUUGCACACACCGUACAAAGAGGCCAUAGUGGAAGAUACCAGUUGCAACUGGUAGGAUGCAACUUGGUCUGGGGUAUGGAUGUUUUCGGCCUGGGGUCGAGAGGGGGCACCCCUUAGUAGCGCACGGUAUAAAUUUGAUCCCAUCCUAAGUGGAGAUUAUAAUCUUCCCACUCACAGUCUUAUUUAACGAGUGUCAUGGGUGAUCCCAGGCAUCGGGAAAUUAAACUACUGUGUGCAGGUCAGGUGUGUUUUCAACUCAAAGAUAGUAAUCAGAAUUAGUUAUCCAUGGGUAAAGAGUACACCCUAUGCAGAGUUAAAUAUCUAUUCGAAUAGCCGUGUCCACGGGUAAGGACUAUAGUCUUGGAUGGGUCAAGUGUCGAUCGAAGUUUGGGUCUUUGAAGAUUAAUUGAAACAUGAUGAUGAUCAUGAAGUGGGAUAUAACCAUAAUUAUUAUGAAUUUUUUUGUGGACUAAUCAUUUCUGGUAUAUGAAUUUUUGAGUAUCCCUGGGACGGUUCUACCUCCUCGAUACUCGAUGUUAUUAUUAUCAUAUAAUCCCUUUUCCUGGUGUCGCUUAGACGCCCGACUGUGGCAACUGCUAUUAUUAUCAUAUAAGCCCUUUAUGUGGUGUCGCUUAGUCGCCCGAGUGUGGCAACUGUUAUUACUUUUAUAUUAGCCUUUUUUGUGGUGCCUCUCAGACACCGGACUAUAGCACAAAUACUAUUACUUAUUCAUCGUUAUUACAUUCUUAUAAGCCCUUUUUGUGGUGUCUCUCCAGACGCCCAACUGCGGCACACAUAUUAAUAUUUAAUUAUAAUACAAUUUUGCAGUGUCGCCCCAGACACCCGACUAUGGCAUUACUUUAUUUAUGCUAAUAUAAGUCCCUUUAUGUGGCGUCGCUUAGACACGUGACUGUGGCUUAUAUUGCUUGUCCUUUUGAGGUGUCGCCUGAGAGGCCCAAUCGACAAAUUGAAAUUGAUUGUUACUCUCUACCUUGUUUGCUUAUACAUCACGAGUAGGAAUGAUUUAUCUGCAUGACUGCAUCCGUGAAUUAAAUCCUAUGGCAUUUGAGGUGGUAUUAAAUUUUUUGUGCAUGCAUCUCACCUGCUUUAACUUAUAUUUUUUCAUGAUGUUUGCGAGUACAUUCAAAGUACUCAAUGGCUUGUCCCCGACCAUUGUCUUGGCCAGAUUUCAUAUUUGGAGAGGAACACGAUGAUAUCAAUCCCAGAACCUAGGAGUUUGGGAUCGCAGGCUUGCGAGAUAGGAGGUAUCCAGGUAAGCUAUUCGUGUGGAAAUGGUAUCCCAUGGACGUUGGAGAUCCGCGAGUCUCUUCCGUGGUUAGCGUUUAGACCUUUUGUUCAACCCCAUGGACCUUCAUGGUCUUGUAACCCAAAUUUUGUAUUUUCUUGGAAUUUCUAUAUCAAGUGGGCGUCCACCAGCUAACAGUAAUCAUUGGGCUGGUGAACACAAGGCUUGUUUUCUAGGAAUUAUAUAUUCUGGAAAACCGGUCGCUACAACCUUGGUAUUAGAACCAGGCUGACCAUUGGCAAAUCAUAUCUUAGCCAUGUCUCUAUUCCUAGCCCAGGUAUUUAUAUAACCACCACCCAGCCUAGCCUAUGCAAUAGCCAACCACAACGGCCAUCCGACCCUUUGUGGCAGUCGGUGCCCAACCUGGUAGCUAGCCCAUAGGCCACGUGUGUGUGACUGACACAGGAGAUGUGGCAUCCCCUAGCAUGCGACGGAAGAAUCCCUUAACCUAUAAAGGAAAGCAUUUCCUCAACCCAGCAACCCGCAACCUUGAGCCCCACCACAAUAACCCCAAACCAACAAGAUGCCUAGCCAUGUUAUUUUCAACGAGACAACUGCAUCUGAGCCGGUAGACUUCGUAGCCGACCUCACCCGCCAAAUUUUUGGCAUAGAAGAGCCCCAAUGUAUGUUGUGCAUGAGGAACCUGCGAGUGAUGCUGUCCAUCACUUUUGGGUCAUGGUGCACAUCUAUGAGGGAGUUCCUCGUUGGAAUACCCUUAGCAUUUCACUCGUAUAGCAAUCGCCAGUGAAACCCAAGCGCGCCAGCUUGCAGCCCGAGAAGCUAUAGUCCACCUACGACAUUUGUUUCCAUGGAUUAAUAGCCCACCAUUCUGCUACUAUCCUAGUCUUGAAGGAUAUGGUCGACAGGCCCAAGUCACCAGCGGAGACCUUGAGAUAGACUCUGCAUUGGUGCAGGUUGUACACUAUUUGAGAGUGCAUGAGGCACUAAUCAAUUGGAUCACCUUUGACCUAGUUGUAAACUGCACGUCAUUUGCUCACCGGACCCCAGUAAGCAGUGAAGUUGCGACCGCCUCCAGCAACCAAGUAGUAUUAUUUGGAAGACCUAUUGGAUCCCUGAGGUCUGCCCCAGCCUUCCCGAUAAACAGCUCGGUCAUGACCCCGAAAGAGCUUCACCGCAGUUUGGAUGCUUACAUCAACGAAGUUGUGCCUGACUCUGUGACAGCAGACCUUCCCCUGCAAAGACACCAGAAGAAUGCUGCUAGCACUCUUCGGCAAUCAAAACUAGAAGAAUGUUGUUGACGGCCCACCAGCGCGUGGGAUCGCGACAGUUUUCCAGGGUAGAGUAUUCGACCCAAAUUAGUUGAUCGCCAGGCAGGAGGUGAGAGGAUACUCUCAAGUAUUAGCAGCUGAAUGUGUCAGAUUCAACCACACCGGAAAGAUUAGUAUCUGCAAGCAAAGUAGUAACAGCAAAGGAGUAUGAUAACAACGGUGUGAGAAACGAUCUAUUGACGGCAGAAUAUUCCUAACAAUUGUAUCAAAGGAGCCAGAAGUUGCCCGUGGACGGAAAAUAUUCUUUCCCGUCAACGGCGUGAAAAAAAGUAUUGUAGCAGGUAGGAGGAGUGUAACGAGUAAUAGUAGUGGCAAGGAACAGCAGUAGAACAAGACAAGUAACAGCAGCAGAGCAAGACAAGUAACAUCAGUAGUAGGACAAACUCGUAGGCAAUGGGUCGGUGAUUUGUUUGGAUGCUAUUCAUCAUGCAACAGUUAUAACACGGAGAGAUAUGUGGUUAGCUCCCGUGCGUCAAUGUGAUGUAGGCUUGCAUUCCGUGUGUCGUCAUACGUAUUUAGGGAAAAGAACUUGCAUGACAUCUAUUGUCCAUCCCCCUUGUGGCAGCGGGGUCCAAAAGGAAACUACGGGAUAUUAAGGUUCUCCUUUUAAUAAAGAACCGGACCAACGCAUUAGCACUUGGUGAACAUAUGAACUCCUCAAACUAUGGUCAUCACCGGGAGCGGUUUCGGUUAUUGUCACUCCGGGGUUGCCGGAUCAUAACACAUUGUAGGUAACUACAACUUGCAAGAUCGGAUCUAAAACACACAUAUAUUGGUGACAACAUAAUAAUUUCAGAUCUGAAAUCAUGGCACUCGGGCCCUAGUGACAAGCAUUAAGCAUGGCAAAGUAGUGGCAACAUCAAUCUCAGAACAUAGUGGAUACUAGGGAUCAAUCCCCAUCAAAACUAACUCGAUUACAUGAUAGAUCUCAUCCUACUCAUCACCGCCCAGCGAGCCUACGAAUAGAUUACUCACGAAUGACGAAGAGCUUCAUGGAAUUGGAGAGGAAGAAGGUUGAUGAUGACGAUGGCGACGAUUUCCCGUCUCCGGAGCCCAAAACGGACUCCAGAUCUGCCCUCCAGAUGAAGAACUGGAUGUGGCGGCACCUCCGUAUCGCAAACGCGACAAAAUCUUCUCUUUUUUAUUUUUUCUCGGACGAAAGUGAACUUAUAUAGCCACGUGGGCCCCACAAGUUUGCCCACCGCCACCAGGGGGUGGCGGCUACAGGGCUUGUGGCCCACUGGCCCAUCCCCUCAGGUGGAUCUUUGCGCAGGUAUUUUUCAUAUUUUCCAAAGAUAAACUUCGUAAAUUUUCAGGAUGUUCUGAGAACUUUGAUUUCUGCACAAAAAACAACACCAUGGCAAUUUUGCUGAAAACAUCAUCCGUUGAGGUUAGUUCCAUUCAAAUCAUGCAAAUUAGAGUCCAAAACAAGGGCAAAAGAGGUUGGAAAAGUAGAUAUGAUGGAGACGUAUGAGUGCCUAGGGCGCAUCGUUUGAGACGCCGUCGCCCCUGCAACCCCGUUUCAUGGCCCAGUCAUCUAUGGAACUAUGGCACACGGAGAAACCUCAUUGGCCGCUGAGCACCUCAGCUCAGAGGCCAACGAAGGCGGAGCGAGUCGUUGAGAAUAGUUGUCAAACUCUAGUGGCCGUGUGGCCCCGUAAUUCUGCAUUCUUGUAUUUACCGAAGUUGUAGUAAGUUCAUUUUAAAUAAAAUUGCAGGAUGCGUGCAUGUCGUUAUUUUUAAUGGUAAUUGCCGUAACUAGCAUUAGCUAGUUGACGUAUGACCUUAGAAUGAAUUUUCGAGCAUGACCACCUAACCCACCUAACUAUUUACCCGAGUGAUGUGUCACUUUGGGAAGUGAUAUCCGAGACCCCAGACCCGACAACCUAGGUCACACUAGUGCUAAAAUGUGUGCCCUCAACUAGACACUCUGUAUGAGGCCACACCGAUGACCAUCGCGAGCACUCCUCACCAGGUGCACUGCCCCACAGCCCGCUUUCCCCAUGAUUGCCAUUGGGUUUCAACUAGGAAUCCUGGAUACAAUAGAAACCCGUGUUUACUUGCAGCCCAUUGUAGAGCAGUCCGCGUGUGACCACCCUUGUCCCAUAUAUCAUCGCUAGGAGCGUUUGAGCCAGCAAAUGGUGGAUUAACUNNNNNNNNNNNNNNNNNNNNNNNNNNNNNNNNNNNNNNNNNNNNNNNNNNNNNNNNNNNNNNNNNNNNNNNNNNNNNNNNNNNNNNNNNNNNNNNNNNNNUUGAGAAAAAGAAAGAAGAGAACAUAGAGGANCUAGGAACCUUGGCGGUCAUGUAUCCACCUUGUAUAAGUGAUGAGCGACCACAACAGUUUAUGCAAGAAUACAUAACAUAAAUAUGUACUUUGACAAAAAGUUGGGGAAUACUUAGCUUUGUUUACUAUGCACAGGGUCAUCACGUGGCUUUGUACAAAGGAUUGCAUGCUUUGAUGUGAGACUAGUACAAAAGUGGUUGCCGAGAGGACCAACAACCACGCCUCAUGGGUAAAACUUUCUAAGAUUCUCGAUAUUCCAUGAGUUCACCAUCGGGGUGCCAUCUUCAGUCUCCAGCCAGACAGCGCCAGGCCUGGUGACUUGUACUACCCAGUAGGUCCCUUCCCACUUUGGCGUCAACUUGUUGGAUCCCUUCAUGCAUUAAAUCCUUCGAAGAAAAAGGUUGCUUUCCUCAACGCUCCUAACAUACACUGUGUGUAAGACCCUCUAUUUAGCUUUCCUGACUAAUUAGCUUAUUUCAAAAAUUAGGACCAAUUAAUUUUUUUGUGAAUGCUUGUGAUGCUUCAAGUGACUAUUGUUUGCUUGCUUGCUCGUAUGCUUAUGUUGGGUUCUCAAUGAAUUAUGCUACUCUCCAGACUCACCACCUUAGCCCAAAAGUCGUGGCUAAUGAUCAUGCCUUGUGUUUAGGAUUAAAAACUAUUUUUACCAAAUACUAUUUUCACCAGAAAGCAUUUCUUUGAAUUAAGCUUUCAAAACCCCUAAGAUGGGAUUUGUACUACAAGUCCUCAAAUUAGGGAAUUUAUUUUGCUCUAUUUAUUUUAUUCAAAAAACUUUAUCAAAGUGACUUCCCAAAACCACAAUAUUUUUAUUUAAAAGUUAUUUUACUAUUUUAUUUAAAUGCCUUCCUGUGAGGCCAGAAAUGGUCUCUUAUGAACGAAAGUUAUUAUUAUUGCUUUCAAAAUAUUUUUGAAAAAUUAGGGAAACUCGAUGGACCUAUAUAUUCCAUAUAUAUGAGUUUCAACACAUGGUCAUGUUCAAAAUAUUGGGCAAACCCCUUCAAAACCCUCCGUGCCUAUAUAAAGCUUUUGGGACAUUUCUAUAAGAAAUAUGCUCAAUAAAUUCCUGUAAAAUUCUAGCAUGCCACAUAUGAUAUAUGAGAUGAUCUUGCCAAGUUUCAUCUCAAUUCCACUUGAUUUGACUCCCCUAAUUAUUCUAAAACCUUAUCUGGCCAGAUCAAAAUUUGAGCAACUCUACAUUGUCAAUUGACUCCAAUUGUGCUCAAAUUUGGUAGACAUGUUCUUAUACUCCAAUAAUGCAUCCACGCCAAGUGGUGCAUCAAGGAGAAUAGAAGAACUUGGGCCAAGCCCCUCAUAACCCUCACUGUUCAUUUAUAACUUUGGGAAACUUUACAUUAUAAAGUUUCUCCAAUUGACCCCAAACUUUUUGGGCAUUCCUUAAUGCUCAAAUAAUGCCCCCACACCAAAUAUUAGAUUUGUGGGAAUUGAUUUGAAUAGUUUUGUAAGAAGAAAGCCAUUUCUUCCCAUCUCAUGGGUUUUCCAAGUCUACAUCGGAAAACUUCUCCACCAAAUCCCAAAUUUGGUGUCCAGGCUUAUUUUCAUCUAUUAUUUGAUCUUGUUAAGUUUCAUAUCAAUUGAAGUUCAUCUGGUUGCCCUGACACUCAUCAAACACCUUGUGUUCACUCACCAAAUUGGCUACUUUGCCCCCUUACACUUUUACCCUUGAGCUCAACUUUCUACCGCAGCUCUAUAUAGUUACAUUUUACCUCCAGUAGCUUUGCCAUGGCCUCUGGUCAAUUAUUGGAGAGAGACGCCAUGUAACUAUUCCUCGUUUUUACCCUUGGAUCACCAUUUUUACCCCACUUGUCCCACUUCUGUUUAAGCCAAAGCCCCCAUCUCUUUCCGAAGGGUCCCUAGCAUCCCAAGGCAUCAUUUCAAACAAAUAGAUGGCAUGCUCAUGUAGGAAAAAUGAGCAGCACAUCUACAAAUUGAUUUCUGGAUGAAUUGUAGCUUUGUACAACAAGUACUAGCUACCCUUCAUUGCUUGAGCUCAAACUUGGGAGUGUUGUAGUCCUUGCAUAGCUAACACUGCCAGACAUAAUUUUUCCCCAAGACUCCCCAUUUGAGGCCCACAUUCAUUAGCUCUAAGUUUGCUGUUACAAACUUACCCUCAGUCAAAGGCCAUUCAAACCAACUCCAAUAGAGACCGAACUCCUCACUCACCCUCCUGAUAGUAUGCCCCACAUCCCACACACCUUUGAUAGGUCAAACUCCUGGUCUAGGCGUAGGUGUCCAUGGUGACCACCACCCUGGCAUGCAAAACUGGUGCUCUGCGCCUUAACCUUUCCCCACAGCUCGAAUCAGGCAGCUACUCCAUGUCUCUGCAUGUCUCAGCCCUUCCAUUUGACCGUUCCAAGCACUUCCUCCCACCAGCUAGCUUCCAAGCUCCAUGUGCUGUGCGUGGCAUCCAUGCACCAGGAAGCUCCAGAGAGCUCCUGAGCUCUCUCUCUAUUUCACUCUCUUAUCUCCUCGCCCAAGCUCUCUCUGGCUCUCCCUCACUCCCUUCUUUCUCCUGCAACCUCCUGCACCUCCCCACCUCUCCCUUCGAGCCCUGGGCUCUCCUCCUCUAAUGGCCAAAGCCACCGGAGCCCCCUUCUUCAACUCGGGCUUCCCCGAGCUCUUCCCUCCAUGAGGCUGCGCCGAGAGGUCUCCCUCCUCUCCGCAGUUACCCUGUGCACAUUAUUUCCUCUAAAUGGCCGACGCGACGCCCCACCGCAGUGGUUGUCGUCGGUCUCCGCCAUGGCAGAGAGCUCCAUCGCUCCGAGGCUCCCCUUGUGGAGAUGGCUCCUCCUCGGGCGCGGGAGGCCUUGCCCCGAGCCCUUACUUGCCGGCGCGCCGCCGGAGAAGGCUGGAGCCGCCGGAGCCAGCCCAUGGAUCGGCCGGCCAUGCCUCCUGCGUGCUCCCAGAUCGGGCGGGAGGAAGAAGAAAGACCUGACAAGCGCCCCCCCCCCCUAAGCCUCCGUAAGCCUGGCCCCCUGUAAUAAGUGGUCGCACCCUAGCCGGUGGGCACUUCCCCGUGGAGAAGGCGUAAAGGGCGUUGGGAGCCUCCUGCAUGGCCACCCCUCGUGAGGACGAACCGACGGGCCGGCCCGAUUCCUCCCCUGCGCCGGUGGGAGAAUAUAGCCUUGUGGAUAAGCCCUCUUUUCAUUAUUCCCUUUUAUCAAAACUUCAAAAAUACAUAGUUAAAUCAUUCUAACUCCAAAAAUGUUGAUUUAAAUUUCUGCAGGGCCCAAAAAUCAAGACCUAUACGUAUUUGUGCAAUGCACAUUUUUCCAUAAGACUUUUUGUGGAAAUUAAUAUUUAAAUGCACAUUUGAAUAUUUUUAAACCCCACUUUGUAAAUUCCUAUAGCAUCCAAAUCCACUCCGAAUUGGGUGAUUCCAAAUUCCAUAGCCUUCUAAUAUCAUGCCCUAUUUUUGAAGCCAUAGCCAACAUUUUUAUCUGCCAUAUUUCUACUGCAGUAAAUAAAUAGCUCCGUUUUGCUAUUUAUCGAGUAUUGGAAAAUCCCUAGAAUAUUUACAUCAACUCCAAAAACCAGUGAAACAACUUCCUAAAUGUUUCUAAAAAUGUUAUGUGUUAAAUGAGUGCAUUCACUCAUUUUUAUCAUAAUAUUUCCUGUGGGCUUCAUAUAGGAUCCCCUAUUCAUUCUCUCAUCCAUUAAAAAAUCCAUGAUGGUCCAACUCUCCUCUAGCAAGCUUCAGGUAUUUUUCUUAUGACCAGAGAGGUCCAAGAAAAUAUAUAACUUUCAUUUUUAUAGAACUUUUGUUUCUGCUUGUUGUAUGGCUUACUGUGUUUGUUUCCGACGGUAGUGGACAGAUUAGACGGAGUACUCGGAGUUGGACCGGAAGACCUCGAAGACCCCGGGGACUUAUGUGAGCAAAGGCAAGCAACCCUUUAACCAUGUCUGGGCAUAUGUUAUAUUGCAUGCUAAGUAGAACAAAUACUUCCGUUGCAUAUGAUCAUAAUUAUCGGUAAAUCAUCAAUAUGAUGUUUCUGAUGGCUCCUCCGGAGCACUUGCAUUUUGAGCAUGAUCCUACCACCUCUAAGGGUCACGCUAAUACCAUGUUGACAAGUAGAGCUAAGCAUAGUAGAAGCAUGAGCAUGAUGAUGGUAUAAAUCAAAGGUUUGUGAAAACCCCGUAGGGUGCCACUAAUGCCCGAGCGUGAUGAUGAGUUAGGUGGCCAGUUUUCUUGAAGUGGUGCACCCGUUAUUUUGGUGUGAGUGGUUUCAGAAAUGGGAAUAGAUUUAUGAUGUGUCGACAAUCAAAACUUUACAUGUGCAACCACGUUACCCCUUUAUGGUACGGGGCUUUGUUGAUUACUCUGGUUGGUGCUAGCAAAGAACCACAUUACAAGUGGCGGCAGUUAUGUGUGGUCACUCUCGUGACGGGGUCAUGCCAUGUAGGGUGACUAUGUCAUUUUUACGUGUUCCAGGCACACCGCUCGUCCCCGCAUGGAUGAUACUGUCCAGAGUCAGUGCUCGUAAGACAUACAUCAUGUGGGUUGGGUACAAAUCGAGUGGACCUCUUUGUCUAGUAUCAUCAGGGAAAAGGCAUUGCUCGGGUACUUACCUCGGGUAUGUUAAAUACCGCGAGUCAUGGUGACACGGAAGUUUCCUGAAUCUCGUUGGUACAGCGUACAACCCCUGCAGAGUGUAAAACUAUUCGAAUAGUCGUGCCCACGGUCAAGGAUAGUUGGGUAAUCCUGCUUAAACUACAUCCAGUCGUUUUCGGGGGGGGGGGGGGGGGGGUGUGUGUGUUAAAUGGUGUUAAUAUGAAAGAGUUGAUAUGACAAUGUUUGGUGACUUGGCAUAUCGGGUGAACCCGGAGUGUUCAGCCCUUGACACAUAUGUUGAUAUCUGUAACCUGUUCUUCUAAAUACCAUUUAGCCUAUGUUGCAUAUCCAUGCAAAAGUUUAUUUACAUUUAAGCUAAUAUCCACCAAACUGCAUAUUACUUGUUUUUCUACCAAUUGCAUCGUUCAUAUCAUGGGUUGUUUGCGAGUACAUUCUAAGUACACAUUGGCUUGCCACUGGUUAUCUUAUUGACCAGACAUGGAAUGACCAGAGUUUGGAGAAGAGUACGUCUUCGGAGACGGUGCUGCGAACUAGGACGCUUCCCAGUUAGAAUGCCCGUUGGUGUAGGCUGAUGGCACGGGCACCCACUUAGCCCUAAGAUUUCCGCUACUAGUUGUAUCAGUGUGAAUUGGCCUUAUAGGCCCUACCUUGUGAACUUGACCUUAUCGGUCAUGUGUUGUAAUAAAUUCGGUACUUGGAUGUAAGACUCUUAAUAUUCAGCAUUUAUGUGAUCAGUGAGCAUUGAUCUCUGGGAUCACUGAGCACGUUCAUUCGGCGAUAUCAACUCGUAAGUCGGGGACCUCACAGAGCUGGCAUCAAAGCCAUCCUGACUAUAGGAAGCCCUUAGCUAGCUCGGACGUUAGUUAGGAGAAACUGUUUUCCAUGUGUUUAGGACCAAAAACUAUUUUUACCAAAUAUUAUUUUCACCAGAAAGCAUUUCUUUGAAUUUAGCUUUCAAAACCCCUAAGAUGGGAUUUGUACUAGAAGUCCUCAAAUUAGGGAAUUUAUUUUGCACCAAUUAUUUUAUUUAAAACCCAUUAUCAAAGUGACUUCCCAAAACCACAAUAUUAUUAUUUUAAAAGUUAAUUUACUAUUUUAUUUAAAUGCCUUUGUGUGAGGCCAGAAAUGGUCUCUUUCGAAGGAAAGUUAUUUUUAUUGCUUUCAAAAUAUUUGAGAAAAUUUAGGGAAACUCAGUGGACAUAUAUAUUCCAUAUAUAUGAGUUUCAACACAUGGUCAUGUUCAAAAUAUUGGGCAAACCCCUUGAAAACUCUCCCUUCCUAUUUCAAUCUUUUGGGAUAUUUCUAUAAGAAAUAUUCUCAAUAAAUUCCUGUAAAGUUCUAGAAUGUCACAUCUGAUAUAUGUGAUGAUUUUGCCAAGUUUUAUCUCAACCCAAGUUGAUUUGACUCCCCUAAUUAGUCUAAAACCUUAUCUGUCCAGAUCCAAAUUUGAGCAACUCUACAUUGUCAAUUGACUCCAAUUGUGGUGAAAUUUGGUAGACAUGUUUUUAUACUCCAAUAAUGCAUCCACACCAAGUGGUGCAUUAAGGAGAAUAGAAGAACUUGUCCCAAGCCCUUCAUGACCCUCUUUGUUGAUUUCUAACUUUGGGAAACUUUACAUUAUAAAGUUUCUCCAAUUGACCACAAACUUUUUAAGCUGGCCUUAAAGCUCAAAUAAUGCCCCCACACCAAAUAUUGGAUUCGUGGGAAUUGAUUUGAAUAGUUUUGUAAGCAGAAAGCCAUUUCUGCCCAUCUCUUGGGUAAUCCAAGUGUACAUCAGAAAACUUAUCCACCAAAUCCCAAAUUUGGUGUCCAAGCUUAUUUUCGUCUAUUAUUUGAUCAUGUUGAGUUUCAUAUCAAUUGAAGUUCAUCUGGUUGCCCUGACACUCAUCAAACACCUUGUGUGCACUCACCAAAUUGGUUACUUUGGCCCUUUCCAAUUUUACCCUUGAGCUCAACGUUCUACCACACAUCUAUAUAGUUACAUUUUACCUCCAGUAGCUUUGCCAUGGCCUCUAGUCAAUUAUUGGAGAGAGCAUCCUUGUAACUAUUCCUUAUUUUUACCCUUGGAUCACCAUUUUUAACCCUCUUGUCCCACUUCUGUUUAAGCCAAAGCCCCAUCUCUUUCCAGAGGGUUCGUAGCAUCCCAAGGAGUCAUUUCAAACCAAUAGAAGGCAUGCUGAAGUAGGAAAAGUCAGGAGCACAUCUACAAGUUGAUUUCUGGCUGAAUUGUAGCUUUGUAUAGCAAGUACUAGCUAACCUUCAUUGCUUGAGCUCAAACUUGGCAGUGUUGUAGUCCUUGCAUAGCUAACACUGCCAGACAUAAUUUUUCCCCAAGAUUCCCCAUUUGAGGCCCACUUUCAUGAGCUCUAAGUUUGUUGUUACAAACUUACCCUCAGUCAAAGGCCAUUCAAACCAACUCCACUAGAGACCAAACUCCUCACUCACCCUCUGUAAGUGCAUCUAGUGCCCCUUAGUGAUUUUGGUGGUUUGAAGAGUUAUAGGUUAAGUAUCUAAUGUGUUCAUGAGUGUACACAGGAUCUAUAAGUCUCUGAGGAGUUUGAAAUAUUUGAUGAAUAUCGACCCCUAAAAAUGUAUAUCUUCGGUUGAAGAAAUUGGUCUCAAGCUGAAGAAUUGAAUCGCGAAGAAUCUGCGAUGAAAUUGAUAUUCCUCAUGAAGAUAUUGAAAUUGAGGUAUUUGGUGUGUCGUGAAGAAAAACAUUCUGAAUACUUUGAAGCAUGAAGAUUUACUCUUUCUGUUUUGUUUUCUUCACACAUGAGUAAUAGGAACACCAUACUGUUAAAGGGGGUCGAGGUAACACAUUUGAAUGAAUUUCCUCAUGAUGCUCAACCCAAGCCUAAAUCUACCAAAAGCCUCAAGUGAGGAAUAUGAGUGACAUGAGGACUCUCAUAGUUGAGGGUCCCGACCGUUUCGAUAGCCAUGCCACAUCAUUGGUCUUAUCCACACCAACGUUUAUAUUAUUUAAGGGCAUUAGUGUCUAAUCAUGUCGGGAUGCUCCCUGGCUAUAAAUAGCCGUCCACACAACCAUUAGCUGGUUGGCUGCUCCGUUAGAAACUGACACUUGUCAUAAGAGAAACCCAAAUUCCUUAGAGUCUUCGAGAGUAAUUCAUCAGUGAGGAAAUACCCCAAACACCAAACCACAAACCGAGAACCAAGUGAUUGAGCAUCACUGAACAAGUUGUUCCUGUGUGGGACUGAAGCCUUUUACCUUUGAGGACUGUGCAUCCUCCAGACGGUUAGGCGUCAUGGUCUAGAGCAAUCUAGCAGUCAAUUGUGGAUCGCCGGGUGACCAAGUUUGUGAGGGUUUGGAAGUCUGCCCUGAAGACUUACCACGAGUAUUGGGCGAGGACUGUGUGUUCUUAGCUCAAGGAGAAUACGGUAGGGACUGUGUUUCCCGGGACUGUGUGUCUUUUGGUUUCAAUACCAAGCCGCUCCAAACCAGAUGUACAAGUGUCACAACAGUUGGAACUGGGUCAUCAACUACUGUCUUCGCUGUGAAACGGGUUCUAAUUCCUCAACUCUUUAUAUUCCUCAGAUUAUGUGUUGAUGACUUUCACUAUCACUGUUUGAAGAAUUUGUUGAAGACUUUCUCUCAAAUUCCUCAACCCCAAAUACUUCACGCAAGUUAAUCCUCAUCUGUUUUCUGCGUGCCUGCUUACUAUGCAAUCUGUUUUGACAUUCCUCAUACUGAAAAACUGUUGUAGUGAAACUUUGCACUCCUGAUCCUUUACUGUUUCCGUUGUGAGUUAGUCAUCAGUGAGGAAUUUCCUCAAAUGGAAUUUCCUCAGUGAUGAAAUUCUAAAAAUCUCCUAUUCACCCCCCCUCUAGUCGAUAUAACGCACUUUCAAUUGGUAUCAGAAUAAGGUACUCCCUUUUUCUGUGUGAUUUUGGUUUAACCACCUGGAGUUUUAGUUAUGUCGACUGCACGCAUGAUUAAGGUUACUGCAACAUGUCCUACUUUCGAAGGAAAGAACUUUCCCUUCUGGAAGACCAAGAUGCAGAUGCAUCUACAAGCUAUUGACAAUGAUCUCUGGUAUAUUGUGGAACGUGACGUCCCCAUUAUCUCUGCUAGUGUCUCUGCUGCUGAUGUGAAGAAAUUCAAGCAACUUGAUUCUCAAGGGAAGAAUAUCAUCUGUGGCCAUCUGAGCCCAGGCCAGUUUGGAAGAGUGGGUGCUUUGGGCUCAGCGACUCUUAUCUGGGAGAGACUGUGCAAAGUAAAUGAAGAAGUAUCAACCCAGCGUGAUUCUCGUGUUGAUGUUCUUCGCAAUCUCUUCAAUCGCUUCAAGAGGCUUGACAAUGAAAGCUGCCAAGUUACCUUUGAUCGCCUCACUGACAUAUCAAAUGAACUGCAAGCACUGGGAGCUCGAGACAUUACUGAUCACGAAGUUGUGAAGAAACUGCUAAUAUCUUUGGAUUCUUCAUUUGAUACUUUAGUCCUGAUGACUCAAGAAAGACCAGACUACAAGAUGCUUGAUCCAGCUGAUAUACUCGAAAGACUCAAUACUCAUGAAUUCCAGCAAGAAGAAAGGAAAGAUCUAUAUGGACCAAGCUAUUCUAGACCACGUGCACCGAAGGCUAGAGCAAUUUCCUCAUCUGAAGAAGAAGACUCGGAUGAUAGCAUUGGUGAUCCUGAAGAAUUUGGACAGGAGCUUGCAAUGCUCAUGAGGAAAUUCCAGAGGUUUACAUGACAUGGCUAGUUCGGUAAAUCUUCAAGAAGAGAUAUGAGGAAAUCAGAAUCUUCAUCUGAGGACUACAAGAAAAGAACUUGCCACAAAUGCAAGAAAUCAGGUCACUACAUUGCUGAUUGUCCCCAUUGGGGAAAGAAUCAAAGAAGAAGAAAUACAAGGAUGACAGUUCUGAUGAUUCGAAUAAGAAGAAGAAAUCUUCAAAAUCGUCAUCUUCAAAGCCCUCAUCGCACAAGAAGACUAGUUUCAGAAAAGCUCGGGCACUUAUUGGCAAGGAAAUGGAUUCCGAGGCAGAAUCAGAGGAAUGUGAUGAAGAAGAGGGUUCUGAUGAAGACUCAGAAUCCGGACAGGCCAUUCUCGCACUUGCAACCACUUUCGUCAGCAAGUCAAUCUUCAGCCUUGAAGAAGAUGAUAACACCAUCCACACUAAUGACUAUGCUGAUGACUUUGCUCCAACCUAUUGCUUCAUGGCAAAAGGUUCAAAGGUAUCGAAUGAUGCUUCCUCCUUUGAUUCAAGUGACUGUGAACCUUAUGAUUAUAAAAAACCCAGUUACAGUAAACUUGCUAUCAUUGCCACUAAACAACAAACUACCCUGGAAAAGCUUCAGAAACUGCUAGAUAGAAGUGAUGAUCUGUUGAAUGAUGAAAUGAAUCUUACCCAAGUCCUCACUUAAGAUGUGAAAAGUCUUCAGUCUAGAUUUGAUAAUCUUCAAGAUCGUUAUGAUACACUCCUCGCUGAUCAUGAGAAACUUUCCUAUGAAUUUCUUCAAAGAAAGCUUGAUCUAGAGAAGCUGAGGAUUUCUCAUGAUGAUCUUCGUAUGGAAAAAGAUUCAUUACUAGCUCAACAGAUCAGCGCUUCUCAAGCUGAAUUCAUCCCUCCAUGUCUGAAAUGCAUUGAACGCGAAACUGCUAAUUCUUCACCAGAAUCAUCAAAUGAUUCUAUUGCUACAAAUUCUUCAACUGUCCUGUAGUGUCAAAUUCCUCACUUGAGGAAAACACAGAUGUCACUAAUGAAAAUGCAAGGCUGAAGGAAUUGUAUGUGACAGGCAUAUACAAAAGUCUCAAAGGACAUCAAACCCUUUGUGAUGUGCUCAAAAAGCAGAUCUUGAACAGGAACCCGAGGAAGGAAUGAAUUUCCUUUGAGAGGAAAUUGAAUGCGGAUGGAUCUUAUUGGAAACCUGAGUAGUAUCCCAAAAUAUCGUGGGUUGCUGCUACUGGGCCUCCUUUUGAUCCAUUCAAUCUAACUGGCUUUUCAUGUGAAUUAUCCUAUUCCUCAGAUGAGUCAUUUGACUCCAACUAUAAACUGUUCAAAAAUCAAGCUGGUGAAGUAUUUGCUCGAUAUGUUGGAACUAACUGGAGGAAUGUCCCUCCCGUGAGGAAAAUCUGGGUUCCCAAAAGUUGUCUUGAAAAUCUUCAGGUGAAUGUCCUCAUGACACCACCAAUGAAGAAUGUGAACCCCAGAUCAAAUUCCUCAGGAGGACCAAAGUCUUCAAGAGGAUCAAAAUCCUCAACCGGUCAAAACUAUGCUCGUACCCGUGCUAAUGCUUCUAAUAUGCAGGGAGACUACAAGGAAUAUGAAUAUGAGCGUUACUCUUCAAAUCAUUAUGGUCAUAAAUCCUCAAACCAGUUCUGCACAUAUUCAUGUGAGUACUUUAACCCCCCUACUGCUAAGAGAAAUGCAUUAGCUUCAAUGCCUCCUUUCUCAUAUGGUGCUCGCAGGAUGAUGAAUGCUUUAACACCCCUUCAGAUGUGGGUGGUGAAGAAAUUGAACUAAUCACUUCUGCAGGUCAGGUCUCCAGAUGAAAAUCAUCAGCUGAAGAAGUUGCUGGAGACCAGAGGAAAUACUUGAUAGGACGCAAGCUAAUAUUGAUGAAAUAGAAAUAUUUCACACGUCCUUAUAAUUCUGUUAUGAUGAAAUUCCUAUCUGUUGAAAUUGAUAUCAUAUUCUUCAAGUUUGAAGCAUAUGAGAUGGUAAGUUGUACUAAUUCAUGUGCAGGAUGACAAACCCAAGAGUACUGAUUGGGUUCUAGAUAGUGGUUGCACACAUCACAUGACUGGUGAUAAAAGCCUGCUGAUGAAUAUGCCACUAAUUCUAUCACGUCUGAAGCAAAUCACAUAUGCUAACAAAGGUAAAAGCAAGGUAUUGGGACUUGGCAAAGUGGCUAUUUCCAAGGAUAGGCAUAUGGACAAAGUGAUGCUUGUUGAAUCCCUUGGAUUUAACCUCAUGUCAGUCUUGAUGCUUUGUGAUCUUGAUAUGAUUGUUAUCUUUGGUAGAUAUAGAUGUGUUGUGAUCAUGGAAUCUGACAAAUCCAAAGUCUUCGAAGGUGUAAGAAGAGGGGAUUUGUACAUUGUUGAUUUCUCUACAGGUCCUAAACCAGCCACUUGCUUACUAGCAAAAACCUUAGAAGGCUGGCUGUGGAACCGAAGACUAGGUCAUGCAGGCAUGAGGAAUUUGCACAUGCUCGCGAAGAAGAAGCAUGUCAUCGGCAUCGAAUCAGUCAAAUUCCUCAAGGAUCAUCUCUGUGGUGCAUGUCAAUCUGGGAAAAUGACCAGAUCCAAGCAUCCCUCGAAGAAUAUCAUGACCACUACUCUUCUCUUCAAAUUGCUUCAUAUGGAUCUAUUUGGACCUACUCACUAUGCCACACUAACAAAUGCAGCAUCUUUAUAUGGCUUCGUCAUAGUUGAUGAUUAUUCGAGAUAUACAUGGGUGCACAUCAUCUUAUAUUAAACUGAAGUGUAGUAAAUCUUCAAACGAUUUUCUUCAAGGGCCUUGACGAACUUCGGCAUCAAGAUCAAACAUAUCAGGAGUGAUAAUGGAACAGAGUUCAAAAACACUGGUCUUGAUGAUUAUUUUGAUGAACUUGGUAUUACUCACGAAUUAUCUGCUCCUUGUACUCCUCAACAGAACGGUGUCGUCGAAAGGAAGAAUAGGACUCUGGUCGAGAUGGCAAGAACCAUGCUUGAAGAAUAUCAGACUCCUCGUCGCUUUUGGCCUGAAGCAAUCAACACUGCAUGCCAAAUCGUCAACAGGGUAUAUUUUCACAAAUUCCUCAAGAAAACCUCAUAUGAACUCCUCACUGAUAAGAAACCCAAUGUAUGUUAUUUCAAAGUCUUCGGUGCAAAAUGUUGGAUUAGAGAUCCUCACCAUAGCUCAAAAUUUGCACCUAAGGCACAUGAGGGUUUUAUGCUCGGUUAUGGAAAGGACUCGCACACCUACAGAGUCUUCAACAACUAUCACAACAAAGUUGUUGAGACUGUAGAUGUGCGGUUCGAUGAAACUAAUGGCUCGCAAAGAGAGCAAUUGCCUUCUGAUCCAGAUAAGUUGUCUCCUGAGGAAGGAAUAAAGCUCAAACCUACUGAAGACAUUGUUCCCACUAAGGAAAUUGAUGAAGAAACCAUCCCCAUCACUGAUGAAAAUCAAGAAGGUGCUCCUCAGGAAAUUGCUCCAGAACCACUUCCUCAGCCCAGACGAAAUCCUCAACCAGCUCAUCCGAGGAUUGCAAAUGAAGUAGAACUUGACAAAAUAUUCAAUGACAUCAACGCGCCAGUUCCUCUCACUCGCUCAAAAGCUUCACACUUAGUUAAAUUUUGUGGGCAUUUCUCCUUUGUAUCUAUCACAGAACCCUCAAAAGUUGCUGAGGCUUUCCUGGAACCGGAGUGGAUCCAAGCUAUGCAAGAUGAAUUUCUUCAAUUCAAGUUGAAUGACGUAUGGGAGCUCGUCAAACGACCAGAUCCUCGCAAGCACAACAUCAUCGGAACCAAGUGGAUUUUCUGAAACAAGCAAGAUGAGGAUGGUCAAGUGGUGAGGAAUAAGGCACGACUUGUAGCCUAAGGCUACACCCAGGUUGAAGGAAUAGAUUUCCAUGAAAAUUUUGCAUCUGUUGCUAGACUUGAAGCUAUUCGAAUACUACUUGCUUAUGCUAAUCAUCAUAACAUCAUAUUAUAUCAAAUGGAUGUGAAAAGUUCAUUCCUCAAUGGUAAGCUUGAGGAAAAACUAUAUGUUUCUCAGCCCCCAGGUUUUGAGGAUCCAAAAAAUCCAGACAAAGUCUUCAGACUCAAAAAGGCGCUCUAUGGUCUCAAGCAAGCCCCUCGGGCAUGGUAUGAUACAUUGAAGGAAUUCCUCAUGAAGAAAGGAUUCAAACCUGGUUCACUCGAUCCAACUCUUUUCACUAAAUCCUAUGAUAAUGAGCUAUUUGUGUGCCAUAUAUAUGUCGAUGAUAUUAUAUUUGGUUGUACUGACAAACGAUACAGUGAUGAAUUUGCUUACAUGAUGAGUGAAGAAUAUCAGAUGUCUAUGAUGGGGGAGCUGAAAUUCUUCUUAGGUCUUCAAAUUAGUCAACAACGCAAUGGAAUCUUCAUAUCACAGGAGAAAUACCUCAAGGAUGUUCUGAGGAAAUUCGACAUGCAUGAAUGCAAAGGUGCCAAGACUCCAAUGCCUACCAACGGCCACCUCAGCACUGGCGAAAAUGGUAAAGAAUUCGAUCAGCAGGUAUAUCCCUCUAUGAUUGGGUCUUUAUUGUAUCCAUGUGCAUCUAGGCCAGAUAUAAUGCUUAGUGUUUGCAUGUGUGCACGUUUUCAAGCAAAACCGAAGGAAUUACACCAUAAGGGUGUGAAGCAUAUUCUUCGAUACUUAGCUCACACACCAACACUAGGAUUAUGGUAUCCCAAGGGCUCAAAUCUUCAUCUGGUAGGGUAUUCUGAUUCUGACUAUGCUGGUGACCGUGUGGAUAGCAAGUCAACAUUUGGCACAUGCCAUUUCCUCGGAAGAUCACUAGUUUGCUGGUCCUCAAAGAAGCAGAACUGCGUAUCACUCUCCACUGCCGAAGCUGAGUACAUUGUUGUUGGUUCAUGCUGUGCUCAAUUGCUGUGGAUGAAGCAAACCCUCAAGGACUACGGCAUCAACAUGAAGACUGUGCCUCUCUACUGCGACAAUGAGAGUGCAAUCAAGAUUGCAUACAACCCAGUACAUCACUCGAAGACCAAGCACAUCCAGAUUCAUCAUCAUUUUCUUCGGGACCAUGUCCUCAAAGGCAAUAUCCUCAUCGACCAUGUGAAGACUGAUGAUCAACUGGCAGAUAUCUUCACUAAGCCCUUGGAUGAUAAAAGGUUUUGCAAGUUGCAAUGUGAGCUAAAUAUCUUAGAAUCUUCAAAUGUUUUGUAAAAACAUGCACACAUCCUAACUCUUAUGCAAAAUUGAUGACUUAGAUGUGCAACACAUGAUGAAUCGAUUUUCUUCAACUGAUGAAGAAUAUCACUCUGAAUGUGAAGAAAUCAACGAAGAAAUUGAUUCUGAGGGCCCUACGAAAAUUGUACGCGGCGUGUGUAAUCAACAUUCUUAUAUGGUGGGUCACGCCACCGCCCAACGUGAAAUUCCUCAAGAUGAUUUUCUUCAAAGUUCAAUUUCCUCAAAAUUUGAUUUUCUUCAAAACAGUUGUUCUUAAAAAUCAUUUUUCUUCAAAAACUGGAUUUCAUCAUUAUGACGAUUUAUCACAAAAUCCUCAAGUUAGUCAAAUCUUAAAAACACUUGAUGAUUUUCGUUUACCUAGAUAGACUGUGAUUUCAAGUCCUCAACAACAUUCACUUAUAGCUAUUUCUUCAAGUUGAUAUUUCAUCUAAGUGAAUGUGAUCGGAACCUACUUUCCCUCUAUGCUAUUCUCAUCCAGCCUAUUCAAUUCUUCAUAUGCGUUCUACUUGAAACCUUGUUCGAAUUCCUCACUGCGUCCUUGUCAGCUAAUGAUCUUGUAACAAAAUCCUCAAAUCUUCAAAAAAAUUUAAUGAACAGUAACUGAACCCCACUUUCCUCGUUCGGAUAACCAUGAUCUCCACGAUCUCCACUGCUUUGCUCGUAAGCUACACGUGUCCUGCGGAGACGUAGAGGCACGGGCUAUUUGGUCCGAUUUCUUCGUGCCAACAGUAACUGCUCGCUAUAAAUAUGUCCCCAUCCCCCUCGGUAAACACUUCUUCGCUCCAUCGCUCUCCUGCUACAGCAAAAGCCCCGAACCCUAGAGCCACCACUGGAAGUCUCGUCGCCGGCGAAGAAGAGCUUCACUACCUCGACUUUUCCAUUGCCGAAACCACGCCGGAGUCGGACCAUCCCCUUCUGCCGCCGCCGUAGACGUCUUGUGCUGCCGGAUUAGGGGGCAUUGGACACGCACCGAAAGAGCUUCUCCCUGUUACUCUUCUCUGUUCUUCGUGCACGCCAUCUAGGGUAAAUAAAAACCCUAUUUUUACAGCAAGUUUGAUCUACUAUUUUACCUCUGUGAUGUGAAAUCUGUUUUUCCUCAAGAAUCCAUCUGUUCCUUUUCCUCACACACUGCCUAGGACCACACUAUUGAUGAACUUCACUAAGCAUCCAAGAUUUUCACGAGAUUCCUUACUUGUGCUAAUGUUCGGAUCUGUACAACUCUGGAACCCAAGAAUAGUAUGCUUAGGCAAAUUCCUCAACCACUGGUCAAAUUCCUCAACUGUCAAUUAUUUUCAAUUUCUUCAAAUCUGAGAACGCAUAUGACCUCUCAAAAUUCCUCGCAACUAUACUCUGUUCAGAGGUAUACACAUGUCAGCUGAUGAUUCUGUAGGUUCUCAUCAAAUUAACUCAUUUGCAGCAUUUCUUGAAAAAAUCUUCAAGUCUCAUCAGAGUCCUCAAGAGUUCAAUCUCAACAGCAAUAUCCUCAGCUGAAGAAAAUGGAGGAUGACUGGAAGCAAAAGGGAGGCAAGAAACUUAAACAGAAUACAGCCUUAGACAUCCCUGAGGAUAUUUACCUGGAUUACUACACCCCUGAUGAAAAUGAAACUAAGCCCAAGAGAAAGGUUCGACUUCAGAACAUUGAACGCCGAUGGGCAAAGGAGUGGAAGGAGUACAUAUUCGUCACUCCCAAAUAUUCGAAGAAAUUCGCUCUGAAGCCUCCUGGGAAACGGGCUCCACUUGAGGAUUAUCAAGAAGCACAUCCCUCAAGCCUCAAGACGCCAUUUGGCAAAGCUCAAGAAGCAGGCAGAGGCUGCUGUCAGGAAAUUCAACGAAUCAUCUGCUGCUGCUUCAACUGCACUACUUCCUCUGCUGCUGAGACUUCUGGCUCGGCAAUUCCUCAACAAAAGUCUGUGCCAUCAAAACCAAAGGCUUCAAAGACUCAAGAAAAACCAGCUCCAGCAUCAGCUCCAAAACCAUCAACGCCAAAACCCUCAGCUCCAAAAUCCUCAACACCACCUUUGGCUUCAAAAACUAAACAGAAGCCGAUAGUGAAGCCAGUGCCAGCUACCUCCAGCUCCUCACUCCCAGCUCCAACCAGCUCGGAGACAAAGUCUUCACCAACUCCUCUGAAGACUAAGCUGACUGCUGGGAGAGGAACAAGACCCAGCCCAAGCAAAAUCAUCACGGUCCCUUCUGCAUCACACUGUAGUGAUGAAUAUGAUGAUGAAACUUUGCAAGCAAUCAUCAGAAACAAGCAAGAGAGGGUAGCUCAAGCUUCUGGCAGCUCCAUUCCUAUAGCCAUGGACCCAAAAGUCCUCCUUGACUACAUCAAUAUUUGGUAUGAGGACCCCAACACUCCGUUUGAUGAUUUGAAACUUCCCCCUGGCAUCAGCCACAUGUUGGCCACAUUCAUCAACGAGGCCAAGUGGAAGGAGCAGCAAGCUAAAUAGGCCAAGGUGGCUAAGCUGAAGAACAAGAAAUUCCGGAAGCAGAAUCUCCUCAAUCUGACGCCUGGUGAUCUUGUGUCAACACAUGCAGAGUUGAAGACUUUGACAGAUAAGUACUCCAAGCUUUCUGACCGUCAAAGUCUCAAAAGCAAUUUCAUCAAACUUGCUGCUGAAGCUAUUAAAGACUACAACAAGAAAGCUGCCCCUCCAGUACCAACUCCUCAGCCUCUGAUUGAAGAACGAGCUGAUGAAACUCCUCAAGCUGAGGAAAUCCCUCAAGAAAGCCGUGUGGAUGAACAGGCAAUUGAGGAAAUCACGACUGAAAAUCCAACUGAUGAAUCUCCUACAGCUAGUGAGACAGACCCUGCUCCAGCUACUGCUUCCAAGCCAGCUGAUGAAUCUGUUCCAGCUGCUGCUUCAAAGCCAGCUGAUGACUCUGCCCCAGCUGGUUCCUCAAAGCCAGCUGAUGAAUCUGCUGAGAAAACACCUUCACCAAAAGCUUCAAUGGUGAAGAAUAUGACUCCGUCUGCAUCAGACGUGAAGAAGACAAGGGUUACUGAAAAGGAAGCCAAGAAGAGAAAGGCUUCUUCAGCAAAAGAACACACUUAGGCCAAGCGCCUGAAAGCACUUGAAGAAAAUGCUCCACUGGACCCUGUGCCUCUUAACAUCGCUCCAUCUUAUGAAAUGGUCACCUUUGAAGACCAGGAGAAAGGGCCAUAUGAGGAAAUGAAGGAUGCUGCAUCUGAGGAACAUACUAACGAAGAAAUUCGCAUUGACGACAAUCCUCAGCCCUCCAUUCCUCAUGUAGAAACUACGCAAGGAUCAGCUGCACCAGCUGAUGAAUCUGGCUCUAUCACCAGGCAAGUUGAGGAAGAACAAAGUGAAAAUCCUCAAGUUGAUGAAAUUCAGAGCCCUGAGAAAAAUCCUCAACCUCAGGAUCAGGCUGACCCAACUCCUCCUCCUGAGCAAGAUCCUCAAACUGAUGCUCAGGGUGAACCCAUUCCUCCUCUGGAGCAAAACCCUCAACAGGAUGCUCCAGUUGACGACAUUCCUCAGCCUAAGGCUCAGCCAGAUCACAUUCCUCAGCCUGAAGAUCAGCUAGAUCCUAUUCCUCAACCUGAAGCACAACAAGAGCAUGCUCCUUAGCCUGAAGCUCAAGCUGAUGAAAUUCCUCACCCUGAGGACCAUGCUGAGGAAAAUGCACCAGACCAAGACAAUGCUCAACCCAGAGUCUGCAAUUGUUGUAUCCCCUCAAGUCCAACAGCAAAAUCUUCAGCCAAUGCAGCGUCAACCAUUCUCCAAGCGUCCAAAGUUUCAAAAGGAGUCCUUCUUCGAAGAACGCAUGUUCUUCAUCAGAGAAAAUCCCUAUGACAAACCUCAAAUCAGGCAUUUGAUGUUUUGGACGAGGACACAACUCAAUUACUUUGCCUCUGUGUUGUGUGGAAGAAACAAUAUUUUCCAGCACAGGCAUAUUCCUCAUGUUGAGCUUGAAGCAAUACCAUGCCUAGCUCCAGUCCUCAACGUCCUUCAUGAAGCUGGAUUUCUCCCAAUGUGCUCAGAUAUCUGUGAUUGGAACAGUGAGCUCAUUCUUCAAUUUUAUGCCACUCUUCACAUAUCUAGGGAUCCAACAGAUAUCAACACUUGGGUGUUUGACUGGAUGACGCAAACAACACACCACAAGGCUCCUGCCAUUGAGCUGCUGCGUGAACUGCGAGUAUCAAUUCCUUCAGAACAAGCCGUGACGCUUUAUGACGAACAUGAGCUGCCCAACGGGAUGAUGGAAGUCCUCAUGAAGCCCUUGGCUAAAGGGAAACCACCGAGAAAAACCUUCCUCAUCCACGAGCUCAAAUAUGAACCAGGGACUGUUUGAAGAAGAUGUUGUAGGCCUCAUGAAGGGCCACGAUGAUGAACAAGAUGUUGUAGGCCUCAUGAAGAAUAUCCUCUUCAACAUCAUUCAUGGUAUUCCUAUCAACAUCCAUGAUUUCUUCUUGAGGACUUUGGCCGACAAUGCAAUGUGUCCUUUUAACCACAAGAUAUAUGCUCCAUGGAUCAUGAGAUUCAUGAGGAAAAGGACAGGCAUCAACUUUCACGCUGAUUGCAACAACCAUGUUGGUUACAUGCCUCCUAUCAGGGUCAACAAGAAGACUUUCGAGCUUGUUGAAGGAAAAGGCAAGUCUAUCAUUGAUGAAGGCAGUAGGCCCCUUGAUGGCCAGUUCAGAGAGCCUGAGCCAUAUUCUUCAUGGGAUGAUACCGAGACUCAUCCUCCAAGCCCUGUUGCUCCUCGCGAGCUCAAUACAAGAGAGCUUCUCCUCAGUCUUCACCAGAUGGUGGAUCGGAAUCACAAGUGGGUCAAACGCCAGUUCGGUGGCAUUGUGAAAACCCUCAAUGAAACACAAAAUGAUGUGAAGCUUAAUCAUCAUUAUCUUCAUGAGGUUUUUGAUCGCACAUGGGCUACACUUGCUCAUCUGAAGACUCGGCAGAACUUGAAGAAUUGGAGUUUGUGUGAGACUUUGAUUGGUCGUGGCCACCAAAGAAGAAGUUCAGGCCAAUUCCAGUUCCAGACCUUGAGGACAGUUCUUUUUCUUCAUUCCGCACUACUGAAUCUGAUGAAGAACAACAAGACACUGCCACCGGUCCAAGGAAGAAGACUACUCCCAAGAAUCCUCACGCGUCUUCAUCAACUGCCAAGGAGCGAAGUCUUCAUGGGCGUUAGUCCUCAGUUUGUCCCUUUUUGUCACUUGAUGACAAAGGGGAGAAACUUGAGAGUUAGUCUUCAAGCGGGAUAUUUUGGGGCUUAUGAACUAUAUUUAAGUUACAAACACUUGGCUCUUCUGAAGUGUUUAUGUAAUGAGUUGUAACUUAAGCCCGAUGGUACUCUGACGCUUUUGAACGUUUUUCUUCGCAUGCUUAUUCCUCAAAAUUUUAAUGCACGCAUGCUGGAAUUUGUCAGAUACCAUUUGUCAUCAUGCAUCUUCAAUUUCUUCAUACUAUAUGUCAUAUGUAUGCAUGAUUUACAAGACUCAGGUGGAGAUCUCCAUGAUAUAAAUCAUCAAUGUGCAAUUGCUGUGAAAAGAAAAAUCCUCAAGAUAUGCACAUCUUCAGGGGGAGUAUCUAUGAAUCUUGUUUUCAAAUUCUCAAAUGAGUAUUUACACUUCAUAUUUUUAUCCCUGUUGAAGACUUAACCUAAUUGUCAUCAACCACCAAAAAGGGGGAGAUUGUAAGUGCAUCUAGUGCCCCUUAGUGAUUUUGGUGGUUUGAAGACUUAUAGGUUAAGUAUCUAAUGUGUUCAUGAGUGUACACAGGAUCUAUAAGUCUGUGAGGAGUUUGAAAUAUUUGAUGAAUGUCGACCCCUAAAAAUGUAUAUCUUUGGUUGAAGAAAUUGGUCUGAAGCUGAAGAAUUUAAUCGCGAAGAAUCUACGAUGAAAUUGAUAUUCCUCAUGAAGAUAUUGAAAUUGAGGAAUUCGGUGUGUCAUGAAGAAAAUCAUUCUGAAGACUUUGAAGCAUGAAGAUUUACUCUUUCUAUUUUGUUUUCUUCACAAAUGAGUAAUAAGAACACCGUACUGUUAAAGGGGGUCGAGGUAACACAUUGGAAUGAAUUUCCUCAUGAUGCUCAACCCAAGCCUAAUCCUACCAAAAGCCUCAAGUGAGGAAUAUGAGUGACAUGAGGACUCUCACAGUUGAGGGUCCCGACUGUUUCGAUAGCCACGCCACAUCAUUGGUCUUAUCCACACCAACGGUCAUAUUAUUUAAGGGCAUUAGUGUCAAAUCAUGUCAAGAUGCUCCCAGGCUAUAAAUAGCCGCCCCCCACAACCAUUAGCUGGUUGGCUGCUCCGUUAGAAACUGACACUUGUCAUAAGAGGAACCCAAAUUCCUCAGAGUCUUCGAGAGUAAUUCAUCAGUGAGGAAAUACCCCAAACACCAAACCACAAACCGAGAACCAAGUGAUUGAGCAUCACUGAAGAAGUUGUUCCUGUGUGGGACUGGAGCCUUUUACCUUUGAGGACUGUGCAUCCUCCAGACGGUUAGGCGUCAUGGUCUAGAGCAAUCCAGCAGUCAAUUGUGGAUCGCCGGGUGACCAAGUUUGUGAGGGUUUGGAAGUCUGCCCUGAAGAUUUACCACGAGUGUUGGGCGAGGACUGUGUGUUCUUAGCCCAAGGAGAAUACGGUAGGGAUUGUGUGUCUUUUGGUUUCAAUACCAAGCCGCUCCAAACCAGAUGUACAACUGUCACAGCAGUUGGAACUGGGUCAUCAACUACUGUCUUCGCUCUGAAAUGGGUUCUAAUUCCUCAACUCUUUAUAUUCCUUAGAUUAUGUGUUGAUGAGUUUCGCUAUCACUGUUUGAAGAAUUUGCUGAAGACUUUCUCUGAAAUUCCUCAACUCCAAAUUCUUCAUGCAAGUUAAUCCUCAUCUGUUUUCUGCGUGCCUGCUUACUGUGCAAUCUGUUUUCACAUUCCUCAUACUGAGAAACUGUUGUAGUGAAACUUUGCACUCCUGAUCCUUUACUGUUUCCGCUGUGAGUUAGUCAUCAGUGAGGAAUUUCCUCAAAAGGAAUUUCCUCGGUGAUGAAAUUCUAAAAAUCUCCUAUUCACCACCCCCCUCUAGUCGAUAUAACGCACUUUCACCCUCCUGAUAGCAUGCCCCACAUCCUUGACACCUUUGACUGGUCAAGCUGCUGGUGCAAGCCUAGGUGGCCAUGGUGACCACCACCCUGGCAUGCAAAACUGGUGCUCUGCACCUUAACCUUGCCCCACAACUCGAAUCAGGUAGCUACUCCAUGUCUCUGCAUGUCUCAGCCCUUCCUUUUGACCGUUCCAAGCGCUACCACCUGCUAGCUAGCUUCCAAACUCCCUCUCGGGUGCGUGGCAUCCAUGCACCACGAAGCUCCAGAGAGAUCCCGAGGUCUCUCUCUAUUUCCCUCUCUUAUAUCCUCACCCCAGGCUCUCUCUGACUCUCCCCAACUCCCUUCUUUCUCCUGCAACCUCCUGCACCUCCCCACCUCUCCCUUCGAGCCCUGGGCUCUCCUCCUCCUCUAAUGGCCAAAGCCACCGGAGCCCCCUUCUUUAACUCGGGCUUCCCUGAGCUCUUCCCUUCAUGAGGUCUCCCUCCUCUCCGCAGAUGCCCCGUGCCCAUUCCUUCCUCUAAAUGGCUGAGGCGACACCCCACCGCAGUGGUUGCCGUCGGUCUCUGCCAUGGCAGAGAGCUCCCUCACCCCGAGGCUCCCCUUGUGGAGCUGGCUCCUCCUCAGGCGCGGGAGGCCUUGCCUCGAGCCCCUGCUGCCCGGUGCGCUGCCGGAGCCGGCCCUUGCAUCGGCCGGCUAUGCCUCCUGCGUGCUCCCAGAUCGGGCGGGAGGAAGAGGAAAGACCCGACAAGCGCCCCCCCCCCUGUAAGCCUCCCCGAGCCAGCCCCCCUAAAAUAAGUGUCCGCACCCUAGCCGGUGGGAACUUCCCCGCACAGAAGGCGUAAAGGGCGUUGGGCACCUCCUGCGUGGCCACGCCUCACUAGGCCGAGCCGAUGGGCCGGCCCAAUUCCUCCCCUCUCCCGGUGGGCACAAUAUAGCCCUAUGGAUAAGCCCUCUUUUCGUUAUUCCCUUUUACUAAAACAUCAAAAAUCCAUAGUUAAAUCAUUCUAAUUCCCAAAAUGUUGAUUUAAAUUUCUCGAAGUCCCAAAAAUCAAGACCUAUCCAUAUUUGUGCAAUGCAAAUUUUUCUAGAAGACUUUCUAUGGAAAUUAUUAUUCAAAUGCCCAUUUUAAUAUUUUAAACCCCACUUUGUAAGUUCCUAUAGCAUCCAAAUCAACUCCAAAUGGUGUGAUUCCAAAUUCCAGACCCUUCUAAUAUCAUGCCCUAUUUUUGAAGCGAUAGCCAACAUUUUUAUCUCGCAUAUUUCUGCUGCAAUAUAUAAGUAGCUUCCUUCUGUCAUUUAUAUAGUACUGGAAAAUCCCUAGAAUAUUCACCUCAACUCCAAAAACGUGUGAAACAACUUCCUAAAUGUUUCUAAAAUUGUUCUCUGUGAAAUGAGUGCCACCACUCAUUUUUAUCAUAAUAUUUCCUGUGGGCUUCAUAUAGGGUCCCGUAUUCCUCCUCUCAUCCAUUCCAAAAUCCAUGAUGGUACAACUCUCCUAUAGAAAGCUUUAGGUACUUUUCUUAUGACCAGACAGGUCCAAGAGAGACAUAACUUCCAUUUUUAUAGCCCUUUUGUUUCUGCUUGAUAUUUUGCUUACAGUGUUUAUUUCCGACGGUAGUGGACGGAGUAGACAGAGUACUCGGAGUUGGAUCGGAAUACCUCGAAGACCCCAGGGACUUAUGUGAGCAAAGGCAAGUAGCCUUUUGACCAUGCCUGAGCAUAUGUUAUAUUGCAUGCUAAGUAGAACAAAUAUUUCCGUUGCAUGUGAUCAUAAGUAUCGGUAAAUCAUUGGUAUGAUGUUUCCGAUGGCUCCUCCGCAGCACUUGCAUUUUGAGCAUGAUCCUACCACCUAUGAGGGUCAUGCUAAUACCAUGUAGACAAGUAGAGCUAAGUGUAGUAGAAGCAUGAGCAUGAUGAUGGUAUAAAUCAAAGGUUUAUGAAAAUCCCGUCGGGUGUCACUAAUGCCCGAAGGUCAUGAUGAGUUAGGUGGCCACUUUGGGUGAAGUGGUGCACCGGGUAUUUUGGUGUGAGUGGUUUCAAAAAUGGGAUUAGAUUUAUGAUGUGUCGACCAUCCCAACUUUACAUGUGCGACCACAUACCCCUUUAUGGGACGUGGCUUUGUUGAUUACUCUGGUCGGUGCUAGUAAAGAGCCAAAUUACUAGUGGCGGGAGUGAUGUGUGGUCACUCUCGUGAUGGGGUCAUGCCAGGUAGGGAGACUAUGCAGUUUUUACGUGUUCUGGUCACACCAUUCGUCCCCGCAUGGAUGAUACUGUCCAUAGUCGGUGCUCGUAAGAUGUACAUCAUGUGGGUUGGGUACCAAUCGAGUGGACCUCUUUGUCUAGUAUCGUCGGGGAAAAGGCAUUGAUUGGGUACUUACCUCGGGUAUGUUAAAUACCGCGAGUCAUGGAUGACACGGAAGUUUCCCUGAUCUCGUGGGUACAACGUACAACCCCUCGAGAGUGUAAAACUAUUGGAAUAGUUGUGUCCAUGAUCAAGGAUUGUUGGGUAAUCCUGCUUAAACUACGUCCAGUCAUUUCCGCAUAAACCAAGUGUGUGUGUGUUAAAUGGUGUUAAUAUGAAAGAGUUGAUAUGACCAAGUUUGGUAACUUGGUAUAUCGUGUGAACCCGGAGUGUUCAGACCUUGACAGAUAUGUUGAUAUUUGUAACCUGUUCUUCUAAAUAUCAUUUAGCCUAUGUUGCAUAUCCAUGAACAAGUUUAUUUACAUUUAAGCUGCUAUGCACCAAACUGUAUAUUACUUGUUAUUCUACCAAUUGCUUGGUUCAUAUCAUGGGCUGUUUGCGAUUACAUUCAAAGUACUCAUUGGCUUACCACUGGUUAUCUUAUUGACCAGACAUGGAAUGACCGGAGUUUGGAGAAGAGUACGUUUUCAGAGAUGGCCCUGCGAACUAGGACCAUUCCUAGUCAGAAUGCAUGUUGGUGUAGGCUGAUGGCAAGGGCACCCGCUUAGCCCUACGAUUUCCACUACUGGUUGUAUCAUUGUGACUUGGCCUUAUAGGCCCUACCUUGUGAACUUGACCUUAUCGGCCAUGUGUUGUAAUAAAUUCGGUACUUGGAUGUAAGACUCUUAAUAUUCAGCAUCUGUGUGUUUGGUGAGCAUUGAUCUCUAGGAUCAAUGAGCACGUUCAUUGGGCGAUCUCGACUCGUAAGUCGGGGUCCCCACAGUGUGCCUAUGGUAGCGGCCCAAGGCCUGUUGGUAUCAAGCGACACGUGGUGCGGCCUAGAGACGAUCUUCCUCUAGGAGUGUAGCAUCAUCUUGCCGUAGCCGCUCUUGCUAGUCCUCGUCAAGGCCAGCACUUGAGGUGACUAAUAUGUGAGUUCUCUGGGGAGCAUAGUUUCUUCCUCGUAGACGAGGGAGAAGGGUGUCUUGUCGAUAGUUCGAUUUGUGUCAUUCUAAUUGACCAAAGAACUGUUGGGAGCUCGUCAACCCAGUGCCUUCUAUUCUUGGGCAGCUUGCCGAAAGUUCUCGUCUUGAGGCCCCGCAACACUUAAGUGUUUGCCCUCUCUGCUUGGUCCUUGCUCCUUCGAUGAGCAGCUCACACAAAACAGAGCUUGGCAUUGACAUCUUAGCAAUAUUUCAAUAAGGUGUUGCUAGUGAAUUGUGUGUCGUUAUCGGUGAAGAUGUGUUGGCUACAUCGAAAUGGCAGACUAUUGAUGUGAGAAACUUGACUACUUCUAUUAUCGUUACCUUUCUCACUGGCUCCACCUCAGUCCACUUCGUGAACUUGCUAAUUGCGACGAACAAGAACUUGGAGCCCCCGGUAGCUUGGGCAAAGGGACUGCCUAUGUUGAACCCCCAAACUGAGAAUGGUGAGGAGAGCGACAUGGUUUGAAGGGCUUGUCCGGGUUGAUGUGUUUUCUUGGCGUAGUAUUGGCAUGCUUCACAUGUUGUCACCACCACUGAGGCAUGUUGGAGGGCGGUUAGCCAAUAGAAACAUUGUUGAAAUGCCUUUCUGAAAAGGACCUAGUAAUACUUGUGAUCUGCAUUGGGUUUUUUGUGAAGAGGAACGGGUUAUCGCAGUACAAUGCGGGUAAGUAUUUCCCUCAAUUAAGAAACCAAGGUUUAUCGAACCAAUAGUAAUAGCAAUCCUCAACCGCCUUCAGCGGGUGCACACAAAAGACCAAACAACUUGCACCCAACGUGGGCAAGAGGGUUGUCAAUCCCCUUGAUCUCAUUAUUUGCAAGCGAAUGAGGUGUGGAGAUAAUUGCCGAUAGUUUUGACUUGCAAAAUAAAAUAAAAGAGAAAUAAUAAAAGCGAGAAAACUAUAAGUUUUCUGAAUAUAUAAGUGAAAACACCCAGGGGCCAUAAUGUUCUAUAGUGGCAUCUCUCAUGAAAGCAACAUAUUGUUGGUAAAAAAAUUAAUAUGGGGCAGUUGAUAGAACAGCGGAUAGUUAUGCGAUUUUCAAGAUAAUGAUGUAACGACUAAGAUGCGGCAUGCUUGCCCACGAUCACGACCAAUCCUCAGUCUUCUGGUAGUUCACGUAUAGACGGUCGUUCUCCUCAUCUUACUGCCACGCCAGCUACGUGCCAUCGGGAUCACCUGUGUCGGGCGUACCUGUACCUGUUGGUGUGUUGAAGUAAUCUAUGAGCCACGGGGACUCAGCAAUCUAUGACCUCGGUGCCAGAACGAGUCAAGUUAUUAGGUAAGGAAGGUUUAGUGUUUAGGUUGCAGCAUCCUAAGGAUUUAUGGUGGCUAACUUACAUAGAACAAGUAUUGAUGGUGGUCUAAACUAGUGGGCGAAGACUAACUGAUCAAGAAGUGAUCCUGAACACCUACUUACAUCAAUCAUAACCGCGCCGUGUUCCCGAUCGAAGAGAGGUCUUCGAAGGGGAAAGUCACGGUUACGCACACAGUUGACAAUUUUAUUAGGUUAGGUUCAAAUUAUCUAUAACCGGAUGUUAACAAAUAUUCCAAGUUGCCACAUAACCGCGGGCACGGCUUUCCGAAAGAUUAAACCCUGCACGGGUGCUCCAACUAGUCCAUCACAAACGGUCACGGGCCGCAAAGUAAUCCUCUGUCAUGAAUCUUGUGAUCUCGUCGGAUUCCUUAGAGGAAAACCUCAACUCUAGGGAGAACCAAAGCUUCACCAGGAUUCCUAUACGCAAGAUAUAUUGCUAAGGUAAGACAAGACUAGCAGGACCUCCCGUCGUGUCGACGACCCCGAUAAGAGCCGCGUAUCUCAGUCUCAGGACACGACGGAUGAGCUAGACGUCGGGAUGGCUAAACCUUUGGGUGAUCAGAGGGGACCCGGAAAUCCCUCAGGUGGGACCAACACACAUGAGGAGCACUGGCCCGGGUUGUUGAUUAAUUCCUCGGGGUAGCUAUUCCCUAUGCAGAUUAUUAUUAAGUGAUUAGCAAAUUAAAACCAAUGUUGGGUCCUGUCGGAUAAGUCUUAACACUACACGAUUUAUCAAGGGGGUCCCCAUAACAACCCCAAACGUGUUAGGAGCGAUCGGUUAUGGAAUCAAACACCGGUAGCCGGAAACUAUGGCAGCAAUAACGGAACAAAACACCCGGCAAAAGGCUAGGCCUUCCGUUAUUUACCAAGUAUAUAGGUGUAUUAAAUAAAUAACAGAUUAAACAUAAUGAUAUCAAAACUCAUGUUGUCACAUGAGACAAAGCACCUGCAACUAGCAACGCUAACAUUAGUAGUUGAGCAAGCCUACUUAGCCAUUCAAGAUUUGAUAGGAGGGGAAAAGUGUUUGGGUUUCAUGGAAAUAUCAGGAGGCAUUCAUGGAAAUGACAUGAACAGAUGCGUCACACGAAAACGAUGCAAAAACAUAGAAAGAACGUUACGAACGGAGCUACGGAUCAACCGAAAACAACGAAACAAGAAAUGGAGUCCUACAUAUCAAAUCCAUCACAACACACUCCAAUGGCAUACUUCUAGUAUUCCCAGGUUGCCAAAUCACAAAACAAACAACUAUGGAUGGGGUGGUGCAACGAAUAUCACCACACCAUCAACUAUGCACUCACAAGCAUCAAAACAUAAAAACUACACAAUCUGUCCUAAACAAACAAGUAUGGACGUGGUCGACGCGUCUGCCGGAGAGGAAGUAGAGGAAGAAGGGGAAGAACCCGCGUCGGGGAAGAACGUCGGGGAGGAAGCCGCCAUCGUGGAAGUAGUGGUAGCAGUGCGGAUCUUGUCCUCCUAGCUUCGGGAAUGGGUUCCCUGGAGAUCCCGCAUGCUUGCCGAGGGGUUGGAGAGGACGCAGGUGUACAGGCGCGAUGGCGAGGACCUCCUCAGCUUGCGGCCAUGGCGGAGGAGCUCGCCCCUUACCUUAUGCCGUCGACGGAGAGGGAGGAGGAGAUGGCAAAGAGGUGGCGGCGGAAGGGGAGCAACCCUAGGCUUGCACGGACGCCAAGGGGGGUUAUAUGGAGGAGGAGGAGGCGAGGGACGCGCGCCUUGACGUCCGUGAGAUGGCGUCUGCUUGCUGGCGUGCUGUCUGUGUCUCACUGACGAACUGACGGAGGAGGAGGAAGAGGGACGCCGUCUACAGGAGAAAGGCCACGCGCGAGAGGAGCUGGGCUAGUUUGUGGGAGGAAGCCCACUAGUUGGCGCCAGAUAAGAGAGAAAUAAAACCCUCUGGUAUUUCUAAUUUAAAACAAACAGAGAAAAGAAACAAAGCAAAGGCAAAUCUGUUGGAGUUAAAAAUAAAACAAAAUACCCCUGCUCAUAAGGGAAUUAUGACCCAUUUAAAUAAAAUGCAAAAGGAUUACUUGGAGCAAAUAAAUAUUUACAAAACAGAAUUUAUUUGAUCUGUUUUGUGAAUAUUUGCACCUUUAAAAUAUGUUUCAAAACAGCAAAUUUAUAACCUCACAUCCACCACAAUACAUACUUAAACAUGGGAAUUUUUGAAUCAAAGGUGGAGCAAGAGAAUCUUGAGCUUGAGUAAAUAGAGAGGGGGGGGGGNNNNNGUUUUUGAAUCCUAUUUGAAACUAACAUAGAAGCUUUCUACUUCAAGCAACACCCACAUGAUAACAUCACAUAUCAACAUCAUAUCAACACACCUCAUCACACCACAUACAUGGAUCACAAGAACAACAAUUACAAAGAGGCAUGGAUGAAUGGAAUGGAUGCAUGGAUGCAAAGGAAAACAAGACAAGGUGACACAUAAAAUAACACAUGCAUUGAGCUCUCACUUCAAAGACAAGAUGGACCCACAUACAGAAGGUUCCAAAUAUGGCAAGUUACGUCUUUGGGCACUACAACAUUAAUGAGGAGAGAAGAGAGUUAGGAGGAAGAGAGACGAAGAGUUACAAUGGUGUAGAGAGUGGAGAGGGGAAAGGAGGCGCAGAGUGGUCAAAGUAGGGGAGAGGAGAGGGAGGGGGUAAAAAGGUGGCACCAGCCGCAACUAGCAGUAGCGCUGCAUACCAGAAAGCACUUCUGCUAUGCUAUUAGUAGUAGUGCUUGUCACAUGCGAGCGCUACUACUAAGUGGGGCCCACUAGCAGCAGCGGUGCUGCAAAACAAAGCGCUACCACUAAAAACUUAGCAGUAGUGCUGGAUUUUGGGCAACGCUGGUACUACAUCUACCGUCGGUGGCAUCGUCUGGUCCCAUAUAGUAGUAGCGCGUUUUUGAUAAGCAACGCUACUACUAAGUUGUUAGUAGUAGCGCUUAACUGGAUCAACACUACUACAAAUUAGCAGCAGCGUUUUCUUUUUUCCAGCGCUACUAGUGAGGUCCUGCCUAUAAGCAUUUCCCUAGUAGUGUAAGCGUACUAACUCCUCGCGAGUGCACUGGUUUCCCUCCAAGCUUAACGAGUGAUGUAGCACAGCAACGGUAAGUAUUACGAUUAGUUAAUAAACCAAGGUAUCAAUCCACUAGGAAGAUCCAUAAGACUAUGUAAGAAGCACAUGCACACAAAUAGCAAAUCCUCGCAAACCAAUGCAUACAGGGGUUGUCAAUCCCUCGUGGGUAAAGUAAUGAUAGAUUGAUAGAUGCGAAUAAGAGUGAUAGAAAAUAGAACUCAACAAGGUAUUUUUGGGUUUUUUGAUAAUAUAGAUCUGAAAACAAAAGAACAAAUAAAAUAGAGAAACAAAUAGCAUGAUAGAGAUUACAAAUAGAUGAUGUGAAGUAGACCCGGGGGCCAUAGGUUUCCCUAGUGGCUUCUCUCGAGAAAAUAGCAGGCGGUGGCUAGACAAAUUAUUGUUGGGAAAUUCAUAGAAAAACAAAUAAUUAUGACGGUAUUCAAGACAAUUAUCAUGUAUAUAGGCACCACGUCCAAAUUAAGUAGACUAACUUCUGCCUGCAUCUACUUCUAUUACUCCACACACCGACCGUUAUCUAGCAUGCAUCUAGUGUAUUGAGUUCAUGGAGAAACAGUGUAAUACCUUAAGAACUAUGACAUGAUGUAGACAAGAUCUAUUCAUGUAGGAAUAGACCCCAUCAUUUUAUCCUUAAUGGAGACGAUACAUGCAUGUCAUGUCUCUUUCUGUCACUGAUAUUGAGCACCGCAAGAUUGAACCCAUCACAAAGCACCUCUUCACAUUGCAAGAUAAAAGAUCAAGUUGGCGAGACAAAAACCAAUUAUUGGAGAAUAAAUACGAGGCUAUAAUAAUCAAGCAUGCAUAUGUUUUCAUAGAUCUGAUCAUAAACUCACAAUUCAUGGAAUCCCAACAAACACACCGCAAAAGAAAGAGUUACAUCAUAUGGAUGUCCAAGAGACCAUUGUAUUGAGAAAUAAAAGGAGAGGGAAAGCCAUCUAGCUACUACCUACGGACCUGUAGGUAUGAUAUGAACUACUCACGCAUCAUGGGAGGAACACCAAUAAAGAUGGUGAACCCUUCCAUGAUCAUGUUCUUCUCUUGAAAAGGCUCUAGAUUGGUUUUCGUGGCUACGGAACUUAUGGUGGCAGGAAUUGUUUUUCGUCGACUCAUCUAGGUUUUAUGGAAUAUUGGGGUUAUUUAUAGAGCUUAGAGGCAGUGCAGAAGCUUCUAGAGGGACCCACUAGACAGGAGGACGCACUAGGGGCCUCUUGCGUGUCGUGGUAUCUAGUGGUCCUCUGGGCCUUGGCUGCUGCUCAAUCUUGGCCCCCAGGUUUUCUUAUGGUCGAAAAAAUCUCCGUAAAGUUUCGUGGAAAUUGGACAUCAUCUGAUAUUGAUUUUCUGUGAAUGGAAAAAAAAAUAGCAACUCGCACUAGGCAAUAUGUCAAUAGGUUAGUCCCAAAAAAUGAUAUAAAUUGCUAUACAAUGAUUAUAAAACAUCCAAGAAUGAUACCAUAACAACAUAGAACAAUCAAAAUUUAUAGAUACGUUGGAGACGUAUCACGUACCAACGGGCUACGGAAAUGCCCAUUGGUAGAUGCCAAUGCAAGGAGUAGGGAUUGCCAUGCAAAUGAUGCAUCAGAGCUACAAGUGUAUGAAAGCUCAAAUGAAGCUAAGUAGGGUGUGCAUCCAAUUUGCUUGCUCAUGAAGACCUCGGGCAUUUGAUGAAGCCCGUCAUCAGAAUAUGCAAAUCAAUUUUAUAAUAAUGAUAAUAUGAUUACCACUAACAUACAAAAAUGACAUAUCUCGAGACUUUCUACAUGAGUAACAUGGUGUCCCUUCUCUCUUUUCUCUCAUUCAUUUUUUAAUUUUAUUAUGGUGCGCUCAUUUGGCCUCUCCAUUUUAAUUUUUUGUCUGGAGUCUCUUCCCGACUUGUGGGGGAAUCAUAGUCUCCAUCAUCAUUUCCUCAUUGAGACAAUGCUGUAAUAAUGUUGGUCAUCACACUUUUAUUUACUUACAACUCACGAAAGCUCGAUAUGGCUUAAUAGGAAUGCCUCUGGUAGUGUACCAGGAUGUGCACUGAUCUGGCAUGACAUGUAUCAGCAAUAUAACGAAUGGUGGCUUUGCCACAAAUGUUAUGUUCGCUCUAUAUGAUCAUGUAAAGCAAUAUGAUGAUGAAUGAACUAGUCAUAUGAUGUAAUGGUGGAAUUUGCAUGGCAAUAUAUCUUGGAAUGGCUAUGGAAAUGCCAUGAUAGGUAUGUAUGGUGGAUGUAUUGAGGAAGAUAAAGUGAGGUUUAUGUGUGACGGAGCAUAUCAUGCCAUGGGGUUUGGAUGCACCGGCGAAGUUCGCACCGAUCCUCGAGAUGAGAACGGGUAAUGCACGAUACCGAAGAGGCUAGCAAACUAUGAGGAGGUGAGAUUGUGUGUGUCCAUGGUUUCACAUUACUCAUGAAGAACUCAUAUACUUACUAUAAAGUUUUAUUAGUUUCACCACAAAUCAAACACUAGGUGCGUGCCCCAAGGGAGAGGGUUUGGAGGAGUUAACCAUCGCGUGACUCCGACUCUAAACAACACUAGGAUUUCAACGAAGAAUACAAAUGCUCACACAUGCCUGCCAUGCCGUCUUAAUAUUCAGAGAAACAAGGAAUUAACACUAAAAUUUACCAAUGGAGGUCGGGCUAUAGUGAGCUCAUUUUUUUGAAAUCAUAUUUAUAUAGCAUAAAAAAUUAUAUAUACACAAAUACAUGUUUAACACGUGUAGGAAAAGUUUCAGAAUGCUAUACUUUCAUAUGUGGCGUACACAAAAAAGACAAAUAUGUAGACGAAAAUGGGCCAAAUUGUUUUUUCUAUUGGGCCUACAUUUUGUCUUUUUUGCACGACAUGCAAACCAUAAUAUUUUGGAACGAAAAUUUGCAGAUCCGUCAUGAAUAUGUAUAAGUUUUCAUGGGAUUUUUUUGAUUGUUUCUGAAACUCGGAAAUAUCAUUUUCAUAGAUUUUGAAAAAGGGCUCCAUGGAGCCCCGCCUCCAAAAAUUAGCACCCGAAUUAACAACUCUUAAUACCACUACUUUUAAGAAUUAAUAAUGAUGCACUCAGACCUUUUUCAUAUUACCAUAUUAAUAUAAUUUACCCAAAAUUUCUCUUUAUGUGCUACAUGUGGUUUUUAUUAUCAUCCAUUGGAUACUUCAUAUUUUUGGAAAAGCUUUAUGACCCCUCCAAAUUACCGCUAUUGUUUAUUAACUAUCAAGUAAAUAUAAGUGAAGAACGAUAGUUCAAAUAUUUCUCUCAAAUCUACAUGCCACCGUGCUCAAAAAUAUAUAAGUGAAUUACUAGAGCAAUUGCUUAGUUCAAAACAUAUAAGUUAAGCACAAAGAGUAUUCUAACAAAUAAUCAUAGAUGUGUAUCUCUCUCAGGUUGGUGUGUAUAGAAAAAUAUCAUUGUGGCAAACUAAAAAUAAAAAGCAAAAUAAAUCAAAUGACGCAAGCAAAACUCAUACCAUGGGACAAAUCAAAAAGUAGCUUCAAGUGACAUACCGAUGGAUUGUGGCGAAAGAGGGGAUGCCUUCCGGGGCAUCCCCAAGCUUAGACGCUUGAUUCUUCCUAGAAUAUUACCUUGGGUUUCCUUGGGAAUACCAAGCUUAGGAUCUUUAUACUCCUUAUUCCAUUGUCCAUCGCGAUAACACCCAAAACAUGAAAACUUCAAUCACACCAAACUCAACAAAAUUUUGUGAGAUCCGUUAGUAUAAUAAACAUAACAAAUACUUAGGUACUGUUGUAAAUUGAUUCAUAUUUCAUUAUUUCUUAAUAGGUAUUGUAUUAUAACUUGUCCGUGGCUUAUACCCCCUGCUGCAAUCCAUAGCAUCAUCAAAACAAGCAAACUAUGCAAGCAAAAAAACAGAAUUUGUCUAAAACAAAACAGUGGGUAGUAAUAUGUAAUGAACCUAUACUUCUAUAACUCGAAAAAUUCUGAAACAUUAGGAUGGCAUGAGGAAUUUGUAGAGAAAUACUAUGUAAAACAUUGAGAUUAAAAACACGUUCCAGUAAAAUUAUAGUAAUUCUGCACUGGAUGUCAAAGUUUUUGAUUUAGCACCGUAUCAAUUAUACUUAUCAUACAAGUCAUCCCAAAGGCUUUACUUGGCACAAACACUAAUUUAAACAUAAAAACACAAUCAUUAUAGAGCAAUAAUCAUGUCAUCACACCAAAGCAGGAAGUAAAAAAGCAAAAAUUAAGAUAACUAUUGGGUUGCCUCCCAACAAAAGCUAUUGUUUUAUGCACCUAGCUAGGCAUAAUGCAUAUGAUCAAGUGUUGUCAUCCUUGACACUCAAUCCAUAAGUAUCCCUCAUGAUAGAUUCAUAAGGUGGUUUUAUUCACUUUCUAGGGAAUUGUUCCAUCCCUUUCUUUAAUGGAAAUUGGAACCUUAUGUUGCCCUCUUUCAUAUAAAUAAUUGCACCUAUAGUUCGCAGGAAAGGUCUUCCAAGUAUUAUUGAACAAGUAGGAUUGCAAUCAAUAUCAAGCACAAUGAAAUAUACAUGCACAUAAUUUUUAUUUGCAAUAAUGAGAACAUCAUUAGUUCUACCUAAGGGUUUUUUAAUGGUGGAAUCCUCAAGAUGCAAGUUUAGGGAAAACUCUUGGAUAUUAGUGAGACCAAGCACAUCACAUAGAGAUUUAGGUGUUAUUGAAACACUAGCACCAAGGUCAAAAAAGCAUUAAUAUCUAUUUAUCUUUAUUUUGAUAGUAGAUUCCCACUCAUCAUGCAAUUUUCUUGGAAUAGAAACUUCAAGUUCAUGUUUAUCAUCACUUCCACUAUAUGAUUAGUGAAAGCCUUGUUUUCUUCAUUAGCAUUGGGUGAGAUAACAAUGUAUUGCAACAAGGAAAUGAAUUAUAGUAAAGAAAAACUUUCAUAAGUAAAAUCCUUGUAAUCCAAGAUAGUGGGUACAUCACUAGUUAAUGUUUUGACCUCUCCAAACCCACUUUUAUUAGUAUUAGUAGUAGAAUCAUCACCCUCCAAGCAAACGUGAUUCUCACUAGCUAAAGUUGACUCAUGUUCAAUACUUUAUCAUUAAAAUUCACAGACGUAAACAAAUAUUCAAUAGGAGAAGUGCCAAUCAUUUUAAGAUCUUCAUCACGAUUUUGGUAAAAAACGAGUGGGAGGGCUUUUUCUAGGAAUUCCUGCUUAGCCUUCAACUUAGCGGUCCUCUCCCUACAUUCAUUCAUAGAUAUUUAGAUAGAUUUAAUAGUCUGAUUAAAAUGAUGCUUGGGUGGCAAAGCUUUACUUUUAAGAGUUCCUACAUCAAGAUCAAUUAUAUCCAUGUUCUUAGCCAAAGUACCAAGUGUAUGUAUCUUUUUCGUGUACCAUAGUAUUGAACACUUUUUGAGAAUUAAUAAAUUUUUAAUAGUGUUUUCAAUAUCAUAGGAGAAGUUAUUAUUAUUGGUAGAAGAAUUUCCAUAAUACUUGCCAUAAUAAUUGCCAUAACCACUAGGUAUAUGUCCUAGCAUUGAAAUUACCCCUAUAGGCAUUGUUAUUGAAAUUAUUUCGCGAGAUAAAAUUCACAUAAAUGGUAUUGUCGUUUUCCUCAAUCAAAGUGGACAAGGGCAUGUAAUUUGGAUCAACAUGACCAUUUUUUUAGUAACCAAAUUCAUAAGAGCAUGCAGUUUUUUAUUCAAGGUAGUGAUCUCCUCAAUAGAAUUUACCUUCUUACUAGUUGGAGAUCUUUCGGUAUACCAUUGAGAAUAGUGGUCAUGAUGUUGUCCAAAAUACUUGGAAAUAAGAGCAUCUUUACACUUAUCCCAAGUUCCAAUACUAUUACAUGGUAAAGAUGAAAACCAAGCCUUAGCUUUAUCUCUUCGCGAAAAAGGAAACAAUUUUAAUUUCACAACAUCAUUAUCCAUAUCCUUUUUAUUUUUCAUAUCACAAAGUUCAACAAAAGGUAUUAAGAUGAGCAGUGGGAUCCUUAUUAGGACUUCCCGAAAAUUAUUGUUUUAUGACAAGAUUCAGCAAUGCAACAUUAAUAUCAAAGGCAUCCGCACUAGUGGCGGGUGGUAUUGGAGUACUAAUAAAAUCAUUAUCAUAAGUAUUUGAGAAGUCACACAACUUAGUAGUAUCUUGAGACAUGAUGACCAAGCAAGCAAAGUAACACGAAGGACAAGUAAACUAGAGAGCGAAGAUGCAAACUAGUGACAAGCUAAGCAAGCAAAGGUAAAUAUUGUUUAUUUUUAAUUUUUUAAGCAAGCAAGAUAUAAAAACAAAUAAAAAUAAGAACAAGUGAAUGAUAAUUUGUGUGAAGUUACUUGGUAGUUGGUGAUGUUAUUCCCCGACAACGGUGCCAGAAAUCCUUCCUAAUACUUGUGAUUUGUGUUGGGUUUUUUGAAGAGGGACGGGUUCUCACAGAACAAUGCGGAUAAGUAUUUCCCUUGAUUAAGAAACCAAGGUUUAUCCAACCAAUAGGAAUAUCAAUCCCCAAGAAUCUUCAGCGGAUUCACACAAAAGAGCAAACAACUUGCACCCAACGCGGGAAAGAGGGUUGUCAAUCCCCUUGAUCUCGUUAUUUGCAAGGGAAUGAGGUGCUUAGAUAAUUUUAGAUAAGUUGUGACUUGCAAAACAAAAGAAAAACAACUAAUAAUAGUGAGUAAAUUAUAUGGUUUCAGAAUAUAUAAGUGAAUAGAAUUGGGGCCAUAGUGGUCUCUAGUGGCAUCUCUCAUGAAAGCAACAGAUGGUUGGUAAACAAAUUAUUAUUGGGAAAUUGAUGGAACAUCAGAUAGUUAUGCAAUUUUCACGGCAAUGAUCAUGUGUUAAUAGGCAUCACGUCCAUAAGCAAAUAGGUUGACUCUUGCAUACACCUACUACUAUUACUCCACCCAUCGAUCGCUAUCCAGCAUGCAUUUAGAUUAUUAAGUGAACAGAGUAAUGCUUGGGGAACGAUGACAUUAUGUAGACAAAGUAAACUCAACCAAUAUGAAUAAACCCCAUCGUUUUAUCCUUAGUGGAAUCAACACAAAUACACAUCUUGUCCCCUUCUAUCAUUGGGAUAUAGAAAUUCUCCAUGGUGAACCCACUACAAUGCACAUCUACAAGGUCAAACGACUUAGCCAAAGCAAUUCAAUAGAUUGAAUAGAUUUAUGAAGCUAUGAUGAUCAUGCAAAUAAGAAUCAUAGAACUUAGAGAAGAUUCAAAUACUUUUCAUUAAUAAUCAGAAUAUAAAUCCACAAUUCUUUGGAUCCAAACAUACCAUAUAAAAGAAUUACAUCAGAUAUAUCAAAGCAAAGAUGCGAUGACCAUUGUAUUGAAAAUCAAGAGAGAGAGAGAGUUAGCCAUCUAGAUACUAACUACACACCCUUAGAUCCGUGUUGAACUACUCACACAUCAUCACAAGGGCACCAAGGUUGAUGAAGAGGCCAUCCAUGAUCGACCCCCGUCUAGCUGAUAGCAGGAACAAUACUCUAGAUGGGGUUGUCGUGGAACGGAGACUUCCAACAACAUAAAAAGUGUUUCGUGGAUAUAUUUAGAGUUUCUAGAUAAUUUGGGAAUUUAUAGGCUAGGGAACGAGGCAAGAGGGGCCACAGGGACGCGACAAGGCAUCAGGGCAUGGCCACCCCCCUGGCCGCUCCAUGUUGCCUUGUGGGUUCCCUAUGUGCUUUCAGCUCUCCUCCCAAAGCUUCGAGGUCUUCUUUUAUAUUAGAGAAAAUCAUAAAAAAGUUUCGUGGCAAUUGGACUUCGUUUGGUAUUGAAAACCUGAAAAAUAAAAAACAUGCACAAAAUAGCAACUGACAUAGGGCACUGGAUUAACAGGUUAGUGCUCAAAAAUAAUACAAAUCGGUGCAUUAUCACCCAAAAAGUAUCUUAAGAUGAUAAUAUAACAACAUGGAUCAAUAAAAAAUUAUAGAUAUGUUGGAGACGUAUCACCCAUGACCCAAUGUGGGAGCCACAUAUCCCUCCAUAUAUCUAUGCCAACAUUUUUCAUCCUUUGUUCCGUACAGAAUGUUGUCCACAAACUGGUAUAUACUCGAAUAUAGGGCUACUCUUUCGUCUUGUUCUUGAUAUUUGGGGAGGUCUCCGAUUUGGAGGAAUCGGAUGAUCUGCUGCGCCCAUGGUAGAGCCUAGGGCUCAACGACAAGGACCAAAUGCAUUUAUUGUGCCAUGGGAGCACAGUAUUCUACAGGAAGAUUUGUUGGGAUCGCCACAGCGUGUUGCUCAUCGACAGGUGCUCUAUUGUCCUCGGAAACCUUCUUGGCAGCCACUAGUGGCUCUGCUAGGAAAUAGUCACCGCAGAUGAUCUUUCGUUUCUUGGCUCGUUGAUCUGAUGAUGCAGCAGAUUGCUGACUAAGUCGGAGUACAAAAGUGUGUGGUUCUAGAGGCGACGUCUGAGCUGCUCGUUUUGACAGGUCAUCGGCAAUGUCAUUCUCUGCACAGGGGACGUGCUCCAUUUGUAUACCAUAAAAACUCUCCUACAACUUCCUCGCUUCUUCACCAUAUGCUUCCAUCACAGGACUUUCAUAAUCUUUGUUCACUUGGCGCACAACCAGCUGAGAAUCCCCCCGAACUAUCAAAUUCUUGAUACCAAGGUCAGCUGCUAGCCAUAGUCCGGCAAUCAAUCCCUUGUACUCAGCUAUGUUGUUGGUUGACGUCUCUCGCAGAAAGUGCAUCUGAAUCAUGUAAUUGAGGUUCUCUCCGGUAAGUGCGACAUGCAAUACAACGGCACCGGCGCCUUGCAGCGAAAAAACCCCAUUACACUACGUGAUUCAUUUUUCAGGCUCCUCUUUGCUGUGAAGGAUUGUUUCCGAGAUAUCUUCAUCUGGCGUGGGCAUCCAUUCAACAAUGAAUUCCGCCAGGGAUCUCCUCCGUAAGGUUGCUGUGAUCUGAAAACUUUGAUCAAAGCUGGCCAGCUCCAGGGACCACUUAACAAUCCUCUCUAUUGCCUCCGGGUUUCUAAGGAUGCGAUGUAGUGGGAAGCGGGUGACGACAUUUAUGUGGUGUGCUUGGUAGUAGCGGUGCAACUCGGGGCGACCAUGAUGAGGCUAAAGAGUAGUUUUUUGUAUCAUAGAGUACCUUGAUCUAGCCCCCUACAGGAGAGAGCUAACAAAGUACACUGUUUGCUGCACCUUUUCUUCUUUUGCACAACCUGUCGUCCACCCUCUUGCGUUGCAUCCUUGUCGUCAACUUCUUGGCUUGCCGGGGAUGACACUGGUUUGUCGUUUGCCAACUCAGGGGAUGUUGCCUCGUCUUCCUCAGCUACCCUCUCUGCCACUAGUGCAGUGCAAACCACUUGGUUUGUUGCCUCCAUUAGCAGCAAUGGUUCCUCGGGACUGGGUGCGACUAGGGUUGGCGGAGAAUACAAGUACCUUUUCAAGACAUGCAACGCGGCCUCUGCCUCCAAGAUCCAUUUCAUAGGACCUGCCUUUUUCAAGAUCUUGAAAAAUGGGAGGACGUGUUCUGCAGACUUGGAGAUGAACCUGGUGAGGACGGUGAUGCAGCCCGCUAAUCGGUGUACAUCCUUGACACGCUUCGAAGCUUCCAAAUGUUCAAUGGAUUUAAUCAAGGUGGGGUUUGCUUCUAUCCCGCACCAUGACACAAAGAAACCGAGGAGCUUGCCGGAUGGGACUUUGAAUAUGCAGUUCUUUGGGUUGAGCUUCAAGUUGAUCUUGCGCAAAUUGUCAAAGGUUUAUUCAAGGUCAUGAACCAACGUGGCUUCGGCCUUGGUCUUGACCACAAUGUCAUCCAUGUAGGCUUCUACAUUCCUGUGUAGCUAUGGACUGAGACCGAUCUUUACAUCCCUCGUGAAAGUUGAUCAUGCAAUCUUCAGUCCAAAUGGCAUGCGCUUGAAACAUACGUACCACAUGGUGUGAUGAAUGUUGUAUUCUCUUCAUCUUCGUUGUCCAUGAAAAUAUGGUGGUAACCUGAGUAGGCUUCAAGGAAGAAUAGACGAAUGCCGCCAGCGGUCGAGUGCACUAUCUGGUUGAUGCAUGGCAAAGGGAAGGGAUCCUUUAGGCAAGACUUGUUGACAUCGGUGAAGUCAGUGCAAAGCAUCCACUUACCAUUCACCUUGUACACUACCACAGCUUUCGCCAACCAUGUUGGGAGAAGGACGCCUCUGACCAGGCCUACUGCUUCCAGCAUCUUGAUCUAUUCGGCAAUGAACUCCUAUUGGUCGAGUGCUUUCUUUCGGACCUUCUGCUUGAAUGGAUACGCGUGGGGACAAAUGGCAAGGUGGUGAUCGAUAACCUCCCUAGGAACAUCGGGGAUAUCAUAUGGUUCCGACGCAAACAUAUUGAUGUUCACCUGCCGGAAGCAGACAAGCGUGCUUACAUAUUUGUUGUCGUGGGUGGCACUUAUGGUGAAAGUGCCACCCUCAGUGACUUCCCGCGUGUCCACUAGCCUAAUCUUGGGGAUGGUCACUUUGUUCUUAUUUCUCCUUGGGGUGGUAGUCUCAAGAGAAUCCUUGAUGUGCAUACAUCACCGUGGGGUGCGCUCCACAAAGUCCUUGUGAGAGACCUUGCCUGAUUUCUUGCUCUUCCUCUUCCCCCUGGGAGUUUCGCCAACAGUGGUGAGUGCCUUAUUAGUAGACGCUACAACUGACUCCUGGUAUAGUUCUUGACACAGUGUAACACCAUGUGUUUAGCUUUCCUGAAUAAUUAACUUAUUUCCAAAAUUAGGACCAAUUAAUUUUUUGUGAAUGCUUGUGAUGCUUGAAGUGACUAUUGCUUGCUUGCUUGUAUGCCUGUGUUUGAUUCUCAAUGACUCCUUCUACUCUUGAGAGUCACCACCUUGACCCAAACCCUUGCGUUAUUAUCAUGCCAUGUGUUUAUGACCAGAAACUAUUUUUACCAAAUAUUAUUUUCACCAAAAAUCAUUUCUUUGAAUUAAGCUUUCAAAACCUGUGAGAUGGGAUUUAUACUACAAGUCCUCAAAUUAGGGAAUUUAUUUUGCACCAAUUAUUUUAUUUAAAACCCAUUAUAAAAAUGGCUACCCGAAACCACAAUAUUGUUAUUCUAAAAGUUAUUUUACUAUUUUAUUUAAAUGCCUUCCUGUGAGGCUAGAAAUGGUCUCUUAUGACGGAAAGUUUUCUUUAUUGCUUUCAAAAUAUUUAAGANUUAAGAAAAUUUAGGGAAACUCAGUGGACAUAUAUAUUACAUAUAUAUGAGUAUCAACCCAUGGUCAUGUUCAAAAUAUUGGGCAACCCCCUCCAAAACCCUUCCUGCCUAUUUCAAGCUUUUCGAAUAUUUCUAUAAUAAAAUAUUCUCAAUAAAAUCCUGUAAAUUCUAGCAUAUCACAUAUGAUAUACGUGAUGAACUUGCCAAGUUUCAUCUCAAUUCAAGUUGAAUUGACUCCCCUAAUUAUUCUAAACCCCUAUCUGUCCAAAUCCAAAUUUGAGCAACUCUACAUUGUCAAGUGUCUCCAAUUGUACUCAAAUUUGGUAGACAUGUUCCGAUACUCCAAUAAUGCAGCCACACCAAGUGGUGCAUCCAGGAGAAUAGAAGAAAUUGUCCCAGUCCCCUCAAAACCCUGUGUGUGGAUUUCUAACUUUGGGAAACUUUACAUUAUAAAGUUUCUCCAAUUGACCCCAAACUUUUUGGGCAGGCUUUAAUGCUCAAAUAAUGCCCCACACCAAAUAUUGGAUUUGUGGGAAUUGACUUGAAUAGUUUUGUAAGCAGAAAGCCAUGUCUGCCCAUUUCAUGGGUUUUCCAAGUCUACAUAGGGAACCUUCUCCACCCAAUCCAAAAUUUGGUUUCCAAGCUGAUUUUCAUCUAUUAUUUGAUCAUGUCAAGUUUCAUAUCCAUUGAGGUUCAUCUCGUUGCCCUGACAAUCAUCAAACCCUUGAGCUCAACUUUCUACCACAACCUCCCCUAGUUACCUUUUUACUCCAGUAGCAUUUCCAUGGCUACUGAUCAAUUAUCGAGAGAGGCUCCAUGUAACUACUUCUCAUUUUUACCCUUGGAUCACCAUUUUUACGUCUCUUGUCCCACUUCUGCUUAAGCCAAAGCCCCCACCUCUUUCCAGAGGGUCCCUAGCAUCCCAAGGCAUCAUUAGAAACCAAGUUAUGGUAUGCUCAUCUGCAAGUUGAAUUGUGGCUGAAAUGUAGCUUUGUACAGCAAGUACUAGCUACCCUCCCUUUCUUGAGUUGAAACUUUGCAGUGGUGUAGACAUAGUUUCACCCCAAGUUUCCCCCUCUGAAAUCCACCUUUGCCAGCCCCAAGUUUCCAGCUGGAAUCUUAACCACAGCCAAAACAAAUUCCAACCAGCCCCAAGUGCAACCAUACUCCAGAGUCUCCUUCCUGCAUGUGUUCCCUACGUGUUGGACAUGUUUGACUGGUCACAGCAGCCCUGUGGACACGAGUGGCCAUGGUGACCUACCUGGCAGCAUGCAACAACGGUGCUCUGCAUCCUUUACUUUUGCUACAACUCGGGUCCAUCGAUGGUCGCGUGUCCCAGCGCGCCAGGGCACUCCCCUUGACCGGUCCAAGCCCUCCCCAACCCCAGCUCGCCUCCAAAGUUCCCAAAGACGCGUGUAUGCUCCGUGCCCUGAGAGCACCGAGAGCUCCCGGGCUCUGCUCUUAUCUCCUCACCCCAAGGUCUCUCGGGCUCUCCCUCACUCCCUCCUUUCUCCUGCAACCUCCUGGACCUCCCAUCCUUUUCCUUCGAGCCCUGAGCUCUCCUCUUCCUCUAAUGGCCAAAGCCACCAGUGGCCCCUUCUUCAACUCGGGCUCCCCCGAGCUCUUCCCUCCCUGAGGAUGCGUCGAGAGGCCUCCCUCCUCUCCGCAGCUCCCCCUCCUUCCUCUUCCCUUCUGGUGGCCGGAACACCGCUCCCCACGUCCACCAUCGCCGCCCUCACUGCAGCCAAUUCGGCUAAAGCCGUUCCGGCCCUCCGCCGCGCUCGCCAGGCACUGAGAUGGGCGCAACGCAGCCCUUGGCUCAUCAGGACCACCGGCCAUCGCCGGGGGCUGCCAGAGCCACCGGCGCAUGCAGCAGUUGUUGCCCUGCCCUGCCUCCCUGCCUGCUCUCAGAUCGAGUAGGUGGAGGAAGAUAGGUCCGAUGUCCGGGGCCCGCGUGUCGGUGAGACAGAGGCCCGGGGCCACUCGUUCAAGUUGAGGCGUCACACUCAAGCCCGCCUCCCCGAGGCUAAGGUGCAUUGGGUGGAUUCCACCUUAUGCGUGGCCACCAACCGCCCAGGCCGAAGCUGCUAAGCCGGCACACUUCCCUCUCCGGCGCCUGAGCGCCGGAUAGCCAUGUGGCUGAGCUUUUAUCAAAUUUUUUUGCAGAAAACUUCAAAAAUUCAUUAUAAAAUCAUUUGAGCUCCAAAUUUAAUGAUUCAAAUUUCUGCAGGUCCAUAAAAUCAAGAUCUAUCAAGAAGUGUGCUUUGCACAUUUUUACAAACCACUUGUAUACUAUAUUUCUAUUUAAAUAAAGAAUUGAGUGCUUCUAGCCCCCUUUCAAAAAUCCUAGAGGAUUCAAAUCCACUCCAAAUGGAGUGAUUCCAAAUUCGAGAGCCUUCUAAUAUCAUGCUCUAUUUUUAGAGCCUUGGUCAACAUUUUUGUAUGGCAUAUUUCUGUUGCAAUAAAUAUAUAGCUCCCUUUUGCUAUUUAUCCCAUAUUAGAAAAUCCAUAGAAUAUUCAUACCAACUCCAAAUCCAGUGAAACAACUUCCUAAAUAUUUCUAAAAUUAUGCUCUAUUAAAUGAGUGCCUCCACUCUUUUUUAUCAUGAUACUUUCUGUAGACUCCCAUUAAGAUCACAUAUUCCUCUUUUUGUUCACUCAAAAUUUUCUGAUGAUCCCGGUCUCCUAUGGCAAGAUUCAGGUAUUUUUCAUAUGACUAGAGAGGUCCAAGAAAAACAUAACUCCUAUUUAUGUAGAACUUCUAUUUCUGCUUGUUGCGUGUCUUACUGUGUUGUUUUCGACGUAAGUUGAUGGACUAAACAGAGUACUCGAAGUUGAACCAGAAGACCUCGAAGACCCCGAGGACUUGUGAGCAAAGGCAAGCAGCCCUUUGACCAAGUCUGAGAAAAUACUAUAUUGCAUGCUAGUAGAGAAAUUAUUCCCGUUGCAUACGAUCAUAAGUAUUCGGUAAAUCAUCGAACUGAUGUUACCGAUGGCUCCUCCGGAGCACUUGCAUUUUGAGCAAGAUCCUACCACCUAUCAGGGUCACGCUAAUACCUGUUGACAAGUAGGGCUAAGCAUAGUAGAAGCAUGAGCAUGCUGAUGGUAAAUAUCAAAGAUUUAUGAAAACCCCGUCGGGUGCCACUAAUGCAUGAGGGUGAUGAUGAGAUUGGUGGCCUCUUUUGGAGAAGUGGUGCACCAGGUGUAUUUUGGUGUGAGUGGUUUUGGAAAUGGGAUUGGAUUUAUGGUGUGUCGACCGUCCCAACCUUACAUGUGCGACCACGUUACCCCUUUAUGGGACGGGGCUUUGUUGAUUACUCUGGUCGGUGCUAGCAAAGAGCCACAUUACUAUUGACGGGAGUGAUGUGUGGUCACUCUCGUGAUGGGGUCGUGCCAGGUAGAGCGACUAGGCCGUUUUUACGUGUUCCGGGCACACUGUUGGUCCCCGCAUGGAUGAUACUGUCCAGAGUGAGUGCUCGUAAGACGUGCAUCAUGUGGGCUGGGUACCAAUCGAGUGGACCUAUUUGUCUAGUAUCGUCAGUGGAAAGGCAUUGAUCGGGUACUUAACUCGGGUAUGUUAUAUACCGUGAGUCGUGGAUGACAUGGAAGUUUCCCGAAUCUCGUGGGUAUAGCGUACAACCUCUGCACAGUGUCAAACUAUUCGAAUAGCCAUGUGCACGGUCUAGGAAAGUUGGGUGGUGCUGCUUAAACUACGUCUAGUCGUUUCCGCAUAAGGGGGGGGGGGGGUUUAAUAGUGUUAAUAUGAAAGAAUUGAUAUGACCAAGUUUGGUGACUUGGCAUAUUGGGUGAACCCGGAGCGUUCAGCCCUUGGCAGAUAUAUUGAUAUCUGUAACCCGUUCUUCUAAACAGCAUCUAGCUUAUGUUGCACAUCCAUCUAUGAUCAUGUUAUUUACAGUCAAGCCGCUAUCCACCAAUACUGCAUAUUACUUGUUACCGUACCAACUGCAUUAUCAUAUCAUGGGCUGUUUGCGAGUACAAUCAAGCUACUCAUUGGCUUGCCACUGGUUAUUUCAUUCACCAGGUCUGAGAGAACAGGAUAUGGUGAAGAGUAACUCGGUGACGUUCUUCCGAGCUAGGAGGCUUCCGAGUGAGAAUGCCUGUAGGUUAAGGCUGAUGGCAUGGGUUCACACUUUCGACCAAUAUUUCUGCUAUUUGUCCAGUUUGGUGUGUUGGCCCUCAAGGCCCUAUAUAUGUAAGACUUGACCACAAUGGACAUUUAUUGUAUCAAACGGUAUGUAUGGAUGUAAGACUCUUGUGAUUCAGUUUCUGUGUGUUCUGUGAGCAUUGAUCUCUGGGAUCACUGAGCACGUUCGUUCGACGAUCUCGACUCGUAAGUCGGGGUCCCCACAGAGCUGGUAUCACAGCCAUCCUGACUAUAGGAAGCCCUUAGUUAGCACGGAUGUUAGUUAGGAUAAAACUGCUUUCGAGACCCUUCAAAACUACUUGCAAAACGUGUAUCUUCUCAUCUCUCCUAAAUUUUCAAAGGAAUCAAGGGUUUUUUCUUAGCACUCCCACUCUUAUUUUUUGACACUCCUCGUCUGCUUCUUCAAAACCUGCAAAUAGCCGCUAGCACCUGAUACGUCCAUUUUGCGUUAUGCUUUCAUGUUGAUAUUUAUCGCUUUAUGGGCUGUUAUUACACUUCACGGUACACUACUUAUGUCUUUUCUCUCUUAUUUUACAAGGUUUACAUGAAGAGGGAGAAUGCCAGCAGCUGGAAUUCUGGCCUAAAAAAGGAGCAAGUUUGAGAUGCCUAUUCUGCGCAACUCCAAAAGCAGUGAAAAUCAACGAGGAAUUAUUUUGGAAUUUAUAAAAAAAUACUGGGCGGAAGAAGUACCACAGGGGAGCCACCAGGAGGCCACAAGCCUGCUAGGCGCGGCCUACCCCCCAGGCCGCGCCUAGGGGGCUCGUGGGCUCCCUGUUGGCGCUCUAGAUCCCCUCUUUUGCUAUAAGGAGGGUUUCAUUCCAUAAAAAAUCAAGAGGAGGCUUUCGGGAGGAGUUGCCGCCGUCACGAGGCGAAUCUUGAGCAGAACCAAUCUACAGCUCUGGCAGGGCCGUCCUGCCGGGGAAACUUCCUUCCCAGAGUGGGAAAUCAUCGCCAUCGUCAUCACCAACACUCCUCUCAUCGGAGAGGACUCAUCACCAUCAACAUCUUCAUCAGCACCAUCUCAAUGAUUCUUGCAAUGGGAGAAGUGCUUGGUUUUGGGUUCUACCAUGUGGUGACCUUUCCGAGUGACGGUAGGGGCAGCAAGGCACACAUCAAGUAGUUGCCAUCAAGGGUAAAAAGAUGGGUUUUUGUAUCAUUUGUUUGAGAUUAUCCAUCUACAUCAUGUCAUCUUGCUUAAGGCGUUACUCUGUUCUUAUCGGCUUAAUACACUAUAUGCAUGCUGGAUAGCGGUCGACGUGUGGAGUAAUAGUAGUAGAUGCAGAAAGUAUCGGUCUGCUUGUUUUGGACAUGAUGCCUAUAGAUAUAAUCAUUGCAUAGAUAUUAUCACGACUUUGCGCGGUUCUAUGAAUUGCUCGACAGUAAUUUAUUCACCCACCGUCUACUUGCUUUCAUGAGAGAAGCCACUAGUAAACACUACGGCCCCCGGGUCUAUUCACAUCCAUCGUUUACACCUCCGCUUUUCCUUUGCUUUGUUACUUUGUUGCUUUCAGUUCUCACUUGGCAAACAAUCUAUAAGGGAUUGAUAACCCCUUCAUAGCGUUGGGAGCAAGCUUUUGUGUUUGUGCAGGAUCUUGUGAUACUCCUCCACCGGAUUGAAACCUUGGUUCUCAAACUAAGGGAAAUACUUACCGUCGUUGUGCUACAUCACCCUUUCCGGUUCAAGGGAACACCAACGCAAGGGUCCAAGGCCACAGGGGAAAUCCUUUGCAUACUUGCCUAGGAAGUCCCUUAAGGCGUAGACGCAACUGAAGGAUUCCUAGUGCCAUCGACACACCUGUUUCUGGCACCAUUGGAAGGACUUUUGUGCAUUAGCUUAGCUGACAUCAAAAGCAUUUCUGGUGCCGUUGCCGGGGAGGAGAAAUCAAGAUCUAUCCAAGUAGGUCUCACAAACUCUUCUCUUGCAUUUACUUUUGUUGCCAGUUGCCUCUCGUUUUCCUCUCCCCCACUUCACAUUUGCCGUUUUCAUUCGCCUUUCGCCUUCGCCGUUUUCUUUUUCCUUUGCUNNNNNNNUCUCUUGCUUUCUUGUGUGCUUGUUUGUUUGUUGAAGACAUCAUGUCUGAAAACACCAAACUUUGCGACUUCUCGAGCACUAAUAAUAAUGAUUUUAUUAGUACUCCGAUUGCUCCCGCCACUAGUGUGGAAUCGUAUGAAAUCAACGCAGCUUUGCUGAAUCUUGUUAUGAAAGAGCAAUUCUCUGGCCUUCCUAGUGAAGAUGACACAUCCCAUCUCAAUACCUUCAUUGAGCUUUGUGAUAUGCAAAAGAAAAGAGAUGUGGAUAAUGACAUGAUUAAGUUGAAACUUUUUCCUUUCUUGUUGCGAGAUCGCGCAAAAACUUGGUUUUCUUCUUUGCCUAAAAAUAGUAUCGAUUCUUGGGAUAAGUGCAAAGAUGCUUACAUAUCCAAGUAUUUUCAUCUCCUUACGUAACGAUAUCAUGAAUUUCAAGCAACUUGAUCAUGAACACGUUGCACAAUCUUGAGAGAGGAUGAAGCUUAUGAUUAGAAAUUGUCCCGCUCAUGGCUUCAGUUUGUGGAUGAUUAUACAAAUCUUUCACGUUGGCUUGAAUUUCACUUCUCGCAAUAUCUUGGACUCCGCCUCAGGUGGAACGUUCAUGGAAAUCACGUUAGGAGACGCUACAAAACUCCUAGACAAUAUCAUGACCAACUACUCUAAGUGGCACACUGAAAGGUCGCCUGCUAGCAAAAAGGUGCACGCUAUAGAAGAAAUUAACUCGCUUAGUGCUAAGAUGGACGAGUUGAUGAAUUUGGUUGCUAGUAUAAACGCUACCGUAGAUCCUAAUGACAUGCCACUAUCUUCUUUGAUUGAGAGUAGCAACGCUAUUUUGGACGUGAAUUUUGUUGGUAGGAACAAUUUUGGCAACAACAAUGCUUUUAGAGGAAACUAUGUUCCUAGGCCUUUUCCUAGUAACUCUAACAAUUAUGGCAAUUCCUACGGCAACACUUAUGGAAAUCACAACAAAUAACCCUGUGAUCUAGAGAGUAAUAUCAAAGAGUUCAUCAACUCUCAAAAGAUUUUCAAUGCGUCCAUAGAGGAAAAACUACUCAAAAUAGACGAUUUGGCUAAGAGCGUUGAUGGAAUGUCUUGUGAUAUUGAUGCUUUGAAAGUUAGAUGCGCUCCUCCCAAGGUCAACUUGGAUGAAACUUUGAAAGCUAUGUGUAUCUCCAUGAAUGAGAGCAAAGAAAGAACCACCCAAAUUCGCGCUAGACAUGAAUGGUUUAAAAGGGUGCGUUCUAGUGAUGAAAAUCACGAUCUUAAAGUGCUUGGUGUGUCUCCUCUUGAAUCUUUGUUUUCUCGUGUCAAAUGUACUUAUGGAGGGGCUGGAUAUGAAUCCACUUUGGUUGAAAAAUGCCCCAAUGAUUCGGAGUCCACCUAUCUUGAUGAUAAAGGUGUCGAGAGUGGAGUAGAAGAAGUCAAAAUUUUGGGUAGUAAUGAAACUCCCACUUUGGAUUUCAAGGAAUUCAAUUAUGAUAGUUUCUCCUUGUUUGAAUGCAUUUCUUUGAUGCAAUCCAUUGCAAACUCUCCACAUGCUUAUAACCAAAGCAAAGCCUUUACCGCGCAUAUCGUAGAUGCUAUGAUGAAAUCUCUUGAAGAGAAGCUCGAACUAGAAGUCUCUAUACCUAGAAAACUUCAUGAUGAGUGGCAACCUACUAUCAAAAUCAAGAUCAAAAACUAUGAGUGCAAUGCUUUGUGUGAUUUGGGUGCUAGUGUUUCCGCGAUUCCAAAGUCUUUAUGUGAUAUUCUUGGUUUUCAUGAGAUUGAAGAGUGUUCUCUUAAUUUGCAUCUUGCGGAAACUACUGUCAAGAAAACCACGGGGAGGAUCGAUGAUGUUCUUAUUAUUGCAAAUAAGAACUAUCUACCCGUGGAUUUCAUUGUACUUGACAUAGAUUGCAAUCCUUCAUGUCCCAUUAUUCUUGGUAGACCUUUCCUAAGGACUAUUGGUACUAUCAUCGAUAUGAAGGAAGGGAAUAUUAGAUUUCAAUUUCCUUUAAAGAAGGGCAUGGAGAACUUUCCUAGAAAUAAAAUAAGUUUGCCUUAUGUAUCCAUGAUGAGGGCUACCUAUGGUUUGAGCACCAAAGAUGACUAUACAUGAUUUCAUCACCUUUCGCCUAGCUAAGGGCAUUAAACAAAAGCGCUUGUUGGGAGGCAACACAAAGAAUCUAUCCUUUUUCUUUCUAUUUUGUGUUUUCCACACUUUCAUAAUUCUGUUAUGAUUGUGUUUUUGUGUUUCUUUUUUGCGUUUGUGCCAAGCAAAACCGUUAUGAUUAGUCUUGGGGAUGAUCGUUUGGUCAUGCUGGAAAAGACAGAAACUUUCUGCUCACGAAAAGAAUUUUCAGUUUUUUUCUGUAAGAGCUUUUGAGUUUAUUCUUUUUUCUACUGAUUGUUACGCAAAUUCUUCAGACCAUAGUAAUCUUUCAGAAUUUGUGAAGUACUAGAGGUAUAUGAAAUAUACAGAUUGCUACAGACUGGUCUGCUGUUAACAGAUUCUGUUUUUGUUGUGUUGGUUGCUUAUUUUGAUGAAACAAUGGAUUGUAUCGGGGGGUAUUAGCCAUAGAAAAUUGAAAUUACAGUAACCCAACAUCAGCACAAGUAGAAUUUAAGUUUGCUACAAUACCUGAGGAAGUGGUGGUUUGCUUUCUUGUACUAAUGUUAUCACGAGUUUCUGUUUAAGUUUCGUGUUGUGAAGUUUUCAAGUUUUGGGUGAAGUUCUUAUGGACAAAGAGAUAAAGAGUGGCAAGAGCUCAAGCUUGGGGAUGCCCAAGGCACCCCAAGAGAUUACAGGAUGCCAUAAAAGCCUAAGCUUGGGGAUGCCCCGAGAAGGCAUCCCCUCUCUUGUCUUCAAUCCUUCGGUAACGUUACUUGGGGCUAUAUUUUUAUUCACCACAUGUUAUGUGUUUUUGCUUGGGGCGUCUUUUAUCGUAGGAGUCUUUUAUUUUUGUUGUGUUACAAUCAUCCUUGCUUCACACCUAGAGAGAGAGACAUGCACACACCGUGAUUUUGUCGAGCUUCACUUAUAUCUUUUGGUAGACAAUUCAGCUCACAUGUGCUUCACUUAUAUCUUUUGUGCUAGAUACUUUUGCUCUAUGUACUUCACUUAUAUCUUUUAGAGCACAGCGGUGCGUGGCUUGGUAGUUGAUCUAUGCUUUGAAGGUAGUCUCAAAAGGGGUAGUUAUCCAAAGGGAUACGAAAACUUCCACCUUCAUGUGCAUUGAAUAGUUAGAGAAGUUUGAUUCAUCUCAAUUAGUUUUGAGUUGUGGCUAUGGUAAUAUUGAAGUCAUGCUACUAAGGUGUUGUGGAUCUAGAAACACUUGAGUUGAAGUUAGUGAUUCCCGUAGCAUGCACGUAUGGUGAACCACUAUGUGAUGAAAUCUGAGCAUGAUUAGUAUAUUGAUUGUCAUCCUUUGCGUGGCGGUCGGGAUCGCGCGAUGGUUUAUACCUACCAACCCUUCCCCUAGGAGUAUACGUUGAAUGCUUUGUUUCGAUUACUAAUAAAACUUCUGCAACAAGUAUAUGAGUUCUUCAUGACUAAUGUUUGAGUCCAUGGUUUGGGGGGGGGGGGGGGGGGUCCACCAUCAUUAUCUUCUUAGUACCGUGCAACUUUCGCCUCCCUCAAAACCCACCAUUAGCCUCCCUCAAAACAGCCACCAUACCUACAUACUAUGGCUUUUUCAAAGUCAUUCCGAGAUAUAUUAUCAUGCAACUACCACCAUGACAUGUGCCACCACGUCUACAUUGCCAUUGCAUGAUCAUAAGAUAGCUAGCAUGAUGUUUCCAUUGAUGUCUAUGCCAUGCUAGAUCAUUGCCACGGUAUACUACCGAAGGCAUUUCAGAUAGAGUCAUCAUUGCUCUAAGUUUUGAGUUGAAAGUGUGAUGAUCAUCAUUAAUGGAGCAUUGUCCCAUGUGAGGAAAUAAAAGAGGCCAAAGAAGCCCACAAAAAAAGAAGGCCAAAGAGGGGGGGGGGGGGGGGGGGAAAAGAGAGAAGGGACAAUAUUACCACUUUUUCCACACUUGUGCAUAUUGAGCACCAUGAUCUUCAAGAUUGAGAGUCUCUCCUUUUGUCACCACCAUAUAGCUAGUGGGAAAAUCUUCAUUAUAUAACUUGGCUUGUAUAUUCCAAUGAUAGGCUUCCUCAAAAUUGCCUUAGGUCUUGGUGAGCAAGCAAGUUAGAUGCACACCCACUAGUUUUCUUUAAGAGCUUUCACAUACUCGCAGCUCUAGUGCAUCAUUUGUAUGGCAAUACCUACUCAUUCACAUUGAUAUCUAUUCGUGAGCAUCUCCACAGCUCAUUGAUAUGCCUAGUUAAUGUGACUAUCUUCUCCUUUUUUUUCUUGCAACCUCCACCACAUUCCACACCAUCUAUAGUGCUAUAACCAUGGCUCACGCUCAUGUAUUGCGUGAGAGUUGAAAAGGUUUGAGAAAGUAAAGGUGUGAAACAAUUAGUUGGCCAAUACCGGGGUUGUGCAUGAUUUAAAUUCGUUGGGCAAUGAUAAUAGAGCAUAGCCAGACUAUAAGCUUUUGUAGGGAUAACUUUCUUUUGGCCUUGUUAUUUUGAAAGUUCAUGAUUACUUUGCUAGUUUGCUUGAAUUAUUAUUGUUUCCAUGUCAAUAGCAAACUAUUGUUUUGAAUCUAAUGGAUCUGAACAUUCACGUCAUAUAAGAGGAAUUACAAAGGACACCUAUGCUAGGUAGCAUGAAAGCAUCAAAAAUUCAUUCUUAUCACUUCCCUACUCGAGGACGAGCAGGAGUUAAGCUUGGGGAUUCUUGAUACGUCUCAAAUGUAUCUAUAAUUUUUGAUGGUUUCACGCUGUUAUCUUGUCUUCUUUGGUUGUUUUAUGUACCUUUUAUAUCUUUUUUGGGAAUAACUUAUUAAUUAAGUGCCAAGUGCCAAGUGCCAGUUCGUGUUUUUUGUGUGUUUUUGACUCUUUUCAGAUCUGAUUUUGGAACGGAGUCCAAACAGAAGAAAAACCCCGAAAUGAUUUUUUCCCGAACGUAAGAAGACCAGGGGGCUUUUGGGCCAAGCCAGGUGGGCUCCAGGGAGCCCACAAGCCCCCACUCCACCACCAGGGGGGAGGCGGUGGUGGGCAGGAUUGUGGCCUCCCUAGCCGCCCCCUGACCUAGGUCUUUGGCCUAUAAAUUCCCAAAUAUUCCGCAAAAAAUCAGGGGAGCCUCGAAAAUACUUUUCUGCCGCCGCAAGCUUCCGUUUCCGCGAGAUCUCAUCUAGAGACCCUUCCCGGCGACCUGUCGGAGGGGACAUUGGAGUUGGAGGGCUUCUUCAUCAUCAUCAUCGCACCUCCAAUGACUCGUGAGUAGUUCACUUCACACCUACGGGUCCGUAGUAAGUAUCUAGAUGGUUUCUUCUCUCUCUUGGAUCUUCAAUAAAAAGUUCUGCAUGAUCUUCAUGGAGAUCUAUCCGAUGUAAUCUUCUUUGGCGAUGUGUUUGUCGAGAUCCGAUGAAUUGUGGAUUUGUGAUCAGAUUAUCUAUUAUAUAUAUUUGAGUCUUUGUUGAUUUCUUGUAUGCAUGAUUUGAUAUCCUUGUAAGUCUCUCCGAGUCUUGGGUUUUGUUUGGCCAACUAGAUCUAUGAUUCUUGCAAUGGGAGAAGUGCUUGGUUUUGGGUUCUACCAUGUGGUGAUCUUUCCCAGUGAUAGUAGGGGCAGCAAGGCACACAUCAAGUAGUUGCCAUCAAGGGUAAAAAGAUGGGGUUUUUAUCAUUGGUUUGAGAUUAUCCCUCUACAUCAUGUCAUCUUCCUUAAGGCAUUACUCUGUUCUUAUGGACUUAAUACACUAGAUGCAUGCUGGAUAGCGGUCGACGUGUGGAGUAAUAGUAGUAGAUGCAGAAAGUAUCGGUCUACUUGUUUUGGACAUGAUGCCUAUAGAUAUAAUCAUUGCAUAGAUAUCGUCACGACUUUGCGCGGUUCUAUCAAUUGCUCGACAGUAAUUUUUUCACCCACCGUCUACUUGCUUUCAUGAGAGAAGCCACUAGUAACACUACGGCCCCCAGGCCUAUUCACAUCCAUCGUUUACACCUCCGCUUUUACUUUGCUUUGUUACUUUGUUGCUUUCAGUUCUCACUUGGCAAACAACCUAUAAGGGAUUGACAACCCCUUCAUAGCGUUGGGAGCAAGCUUUUGUGUUUGUGCAGGAUCCUGUGAUACUCCUCCACCGGAUUGAUACCUUGGUUCUCAAACUGAGAGAAAUACUUACCGUCGCUGUGCUACAUCACCCUUUCCGCUUCAAGGGAACACCAACGCAAGGCUCCAAGGCCACGGGGGAAAUCCUUUGCAUACUUCCCUAGGAAGUCCCUUAAGGCGUAGCCGCAGCUGAAGGAUUCCUGGUGUCGUCGACACACCUGUUUCUGGCGCCAUUGGAAGGACUUUUGUGCAUUAGCUCAGCUGACAUCACCGGGGAGUGAAGCGCCUUUUGUAAGUGGAAUUUGGUAAGGAAACAUUUAUAUAGUGUGCUGAAAUUUAUUGUCACUUGUCACUAUGGAAACUAAUCAUUUGACGAGCCUGUUCGGGGUAUCUUCACCUCGAACGGAAGCACAAGCAGUUGCUCCUCAACAUGAUGCACCUACUGAAAAUACUUGUUAUGAAAUUCCUUCGGGUAUGCUAGAGAAACGGUUGGCUAAUCCUUCUACAGCAGAUGGAACAUCACAUCACAACUUGCAUCCAAUCUAUGUAGGUGAAGUUUGUGGUUUAUUUAAGCUUGCAGGUUUGCCCGAGGAUGAGGUCAAGAAGAAGGUCUUUCCCUUAUCUUUGGGGGAUAAAGCAUUGACAUGGUAUAGGCUAUGUGAUGAUACUGGAUCAUGGAACUACAACCGGUUGAAGUUAGAAUUUCAUCAAAAGUUUUAUCCUAUGCAUGUGGUACAUAGUGAUCGGAAUUAUAUCUAUAAUUUUUGGCCUCGUGAUAGAGAAAGUAUCGCUCAAGCUUGGGGGAGGCUUAAAUCAAUGUUAUAUUCAUGGCUCAACCAUGAGCUUUCGAGAGAAAUAAUCAUUCAGAACUUCUAUGCUCGGCUUUCUCAUGAUAAUCACACCAUGCUUGACUCUUCUUGUACCGGUUCUUUUACGAAGAGAGAUAUUGACUUCAAAUGGAAUUUAUUGGAGAGAAUUAAACGCAACUCUGAAGAUUGGGAGUUUGAUGAAGGUAAGGAGCCAGGUAUGAAUCUUAAGUUUGAUUGCGUUAAAUCCUUUGUUGAAACAAAUACUUUCUGUGAUUUUAGCGCUAAAUAUGGACUUGACUCUGAGAUAGUAGCUUCAUUGUGUGAAUCAUUUGCUGCUCAUAUUGAUCUCUCUAAAGAGAAGUGCACUACUAGAAUUCACUUAUUUGCCGUCAGCCUCUUCUUUGUCGUCUGCUGGCUGAUGGCAAAGACCCUAUUUGUCGUCGGUCACCCGAAAACUAACGGCAAAGAGCAGAGUGAUGGCAAACAUACUCGUUGCCAUGAGUAUUGUCUUUGUCGUCUGCUGGCGCACGGCAAAGAGCAGGAGGGAAGACGGCAAAGAGCAUGGGGCGGCGCACCACACACCCCUCCCACCCCAUAAUGGGCGCUCCCUUUGUCGUCUGCCCUCCUGCUCUUUGCCGUNNNNNNNNNNNNNNNNNNNNNNNNNNNNNNNNNNNNNNNNNNNNNNNNNNNNNNNNNNNNNNNNNNNNNNNNNNNNNNNNNNNNNNNNNNNNNNNNNNNNNNNNNNNNNNNNNNNNNNNNNNNNNNNNNNNNNNNNNNNNNNNNNNNNNNNNNNNNNNNNNNNNNNNNNNNNNNNNNNNNNNNNNNNNNNNNNNNNNNNNNNNNNNNNNNNNNNNNNNNNNNNNNNNNNNNNNNNNNNNNNNNNNNNNNNNNNNNNNNNNNNNNNNNNNNNNNNNNNNNNNNNNNNNNNNNNNNNNNNNNNNNNNNNNNNNNNNNNNNNNNNNNNNNNNNNNNNNNNNNNNNNNNNNNNNNNNNNNNNNNNNNNNNNNNNNNNNNNNNNNNNNNNNNNNNNNNNNNNNNNNNNNNNNNNNNNNNNNNNNNNNNNNNNNNNNNNNNNNNNNNNNNNNNNNNNNNNNNNNNNNNNNNNNNNNNNNNNNNNNNNNNNNNNNNNNNNNNNNNNNNNNNNNNNNNNNNNNNNNNNNNNNNNNNNNNNNNNNNNNNNNNNNNNNNNNNNNNNNNNNNNNNNNNNNNNNNNNNNNNNNNNNNNNNNNNNNNNNNNNNNNNNNNNNNNNNNNNNNNNNNNNNNNNNNNNNNNNNNNNNNNNNNNNNNNNNNNNNNNNNNNNNNNNNNNNNNNNNNNNNNNNNNNNNNNNNNNNNNNNNNNNNNNNNNNNNNNNNNNNNNNNNNNNNNNNNNNNNNNNNNNNNNNNNNNNNNNNNNNNNNNNNNNNNNNNNNNNNNNNNNNNNNNNNNNNNNNNNNNNNNNNNNNNNNNNNNNNAAAAAAGAUGAAGAAGAAGAAAAUGACACCGUGACACCCCGACACCCCGACACGAUGCCCGAAACCCCGACACGACAUCCUAACGACACCCUAGCAGAAAACUCCGCACAACUGUUAAUACGCCGCCCCCGACGCCACUGACCCCCCAACCCCCGACCUCCGACACCUCUUCUUCCUCUUGUUGACCCAAAAUUCCCCCGACCACCGACCCCUGAUGCCACUGACAUUGGACCCCCGAGGACACUGACCCCCGACAACCGACGCCACUAACCCCCGAACCCCGACGCCACUGACACCCGACACCACCGACCCACAACGGCACUGACUCCCGACGCCACUAACCCCCGACCUCGCCAAUUCUUCUGCCUCCGGUUGAACGAGAAGGUGCUUUUCGGCCUUCCACAAACCGACGGGGUCAUAGUUUUGUAAAUUAUGAGUUAGGUCACAUAUUUUCCGAUUAUGUUAUAAAAACAUCAUAUUUGUGUUGAUCGUGUGAAUUUCAAUGUGUAGUUGUUCGACGACCUCCAUGUGCGUUGGACGAGCUACGCCCCUGCGUUUGUUGGUGAUCGCAAAUUACUUCUCCUACGCCCUUAAUUUGCUCUGUUCCGGUCUUCGUGCCGAUGAAACUUGCUAGAUAUAGGUUUCUUCAAUCAUGAGUAUGCGUGACCAGUAUGCGUCUCCCGUUCAAAAGGGCGACAUCUAUAAAUAUGCAUGUAUUUGCAUAUUUAUAACCGCCAUCCUUUUGAAUUGUCUAAUGUUAUCCAUGGACAGCCUGAGUAUGUGUAGAUUGGGUUCGUUUUCCCGUAUGCUAUGCUCCGGAUCCGAUGCAGAAUUUCGUAAGUGCCUCCCUGUUGUUCUCCAGGUAAACAUCCUCUCUGCUUAUUGCCGAGACGUGUAUCAGGAGAACAGCGUGGAGGUGCUGCCGAAAUUCUGCGUCGCAUCUAGAGCAUAGCAUGGGAAAACAAACCCAAUCUACACAUACUCGGGUGGGAUUAGGAACUAUCUUUACCUAUUAGUGUGUAGGUUGCAUGGACGUAAUAAAACUGACAAACUUGAUUAGCGGAUGAAUAUAGAUGAUUAAUUAUAUAUUUAUUUCUUGUGCGCCCAUAGGUAGCUAGGCAACAUGAGUGAUCAUGCUUGGAUGUACACUGGUCACCCUAGUCAGAAAGACAUGACCAAUGAAUGAUUCACAAAAACCAGGGGGUUUGUGAGACAGCAUUUGCAAAUGGCCAGCAAAAAACAUGGUGCCCCUGUCCCAACUGCGACAACUGGAAAAAGCAAACAGAGUUUGAAAUGGGUAAACACCUGCAGAAGUGGGGUUUUACGCCUAAUUAUAUGGUGUGGACUUUUCAUGGUGACUCUGACCAACGUGCCAGAGCUGAGGUGAUUCGUCGUCGCACCGACGAGCAUGGUACCGUGAUCGAAGACAUGGUGCAAGACUUUGAUGAUGCUCGGGAUUCAGACGAUGAGAUGGAGGAAUCUGCAAAGGCCUUCUAUGAAAUUUUGGAGUCUUCAAAACGUCCUCUCCACUAGCAGACCGAGCUUUGUCAGCUGGAUGCCAUCGCGAAAGUAAUGGAUCUGAAGGCUCAAUUCAACCUAGGCAGAGAAUGCUACGACGCGAUGAUGACGAUGUUUGGAUGCUUUCUACCCAAAGGCCAUGUACUGCCUGCAAAAAUGUACCAGUCGGAGAAAAUCCUCCGUGUACUUAAGAUGCCCUAUGAGAAGAUACAUGCCUGUGAGAAUGGAUGUGCCUUAUAUAGGCUUGAGUAUGCGGCCUUGAACUAUUGCCCCAUUUGCAAUUCUUCCAGGUAUAUUGUGGUAGACAACGGUAUGGGUGAGAAGAAUCAGACCAAAAUCCCCAUUAGUGUUCUUCGGUAUCUGCCAAUCGUACCAAGACUUCAACGUCUUUUCAUGGUCGAAGAGACGUCCAGACAGAUGAUAUGGCACAAAUUGGGCAAAAGAACAGAACUAGAUGCGGAUGGGAACAAGAUGCUGGUACACACUUCAGAUGGUUUUGCAUGGAGGCACUUCGAUGCAUUACAUAAGGAUAAAUCGGAAGAUCCAAGGCAUCCUAGAGUUGCCAUCGGCACAGAUGGGUUCAAUGUGUAUGGUAUGACGGCAACACAAUACAGUUGUUGGCCUGUAUUUGUCAUUCCACUCAAUUUCCCACCCGGAGAGAUUACGAAAAGAAAGAACAUUUUCCUCACGUUGAUAAUUCCAGGGCCCAACUAUCCGGGGAAGAAUAUAAAUGUGUACAUGAAGCCGCUUAAGGAUGAGUUGCAAGAAGCCUGGGAUAAUCGGAUGAAGACCUACGACGCGGCUACCAAAACAAAUUUCAAAAUGCAUGUGUGGUACAUGUACUCGACGCAUGAUUAUCCGGCGUUUGUGCUAUUCGCUGGCUGGUGUGUGCAUGGAAGGUUCCCGUGCACCACAUGCAAGGCAGCUCUUCAGUUCCGUUGGCUGCAGGCUGGUCGCAAGUUUUCUUGCUUCGACAUGCAAAGACAAUUCCUGGAUCCUGACCAUAAGUUCAGAAAAGACAAGAAGAAUUUCAUCAAAGGUAGAGUUGUAAAAAACACUGCACCAGCUGCGUUGAUAGGCCAACAGACCCUCGAUCAGUUAAACGCUCUCGAGCCUGAUCCUUUGCAUCUAGGAUACUUCAAAGUGUAUAAUACGGAACACGCCUGGACUCACAAGUCAUGCUUAUGGGAUCUGCCUUACUUGAAAGACCUCCUUUGCCCACACAACAUCGACGUGAUGCACACUGAAAAGAAUAUUGUGGAGGCCAUUUUUGGUACAUUGUUCGGCAUAGAGGUUAAGUCAAAAGAUAAUCCUAAGGCUAGAAUCGACCUCGGGGCUCUAUGUGAUAGACCGUUGCAAAACUUGCGACAACGGAAAGGAAAGCAAAGCAUAGCGAAGCCAAAGGCAUGGUUCAAUCUUGAAAAGCCAGCUAUGAGGGAAAUGCUAUUGUGGGUGAAAAUGCGGUUGAUGUUCCCCGAUGGGUAUGGUGCGAAUCUAAAAAGGGGAUCGAGUCUUGAGAAAUUGAAAAUAUUUGGUCUCAAGAGUCAUGAUUGGCACAUAUGGAUUGAGCGGGUAAUGUCGGUGAUGUUGUGUGGCUUUAUCCCUGAGGAUGAAUGGCUAGUACUGGUAGAGAUGAGCUAUUUCUUCCAUUCUCUUUGUGCGAAAGAACUAUCGCCUGGCGUGCUAGAUUAAAUAGAAGAGUUGGCGGCGGAGUUGAUCUGCAAAUUUGAAAAGAUCUUUCCACCGGGCUUCUUUAAUCCAAUGCAGCAUUUGAUUUUGCAUCUCCCGACCGAGGCAAGAAUUGGGGGGCCCGUUCAAAAUCGAUGGUGCUACUCAACUGAGAGGAUGCAGAAGACGCUUUGAGCUAAGUGUAAAAAUAAUCGUAGAAUUGAAGCAUCGAUGGCCGAGGCAUUCAUUACUGAGGAGGCGGCAAACUUCAUGACAGCACACUACGAAGCCAAAAAUCAUCAUUUGCAUAACGCUUAGCCUCGGUACAAUGAUGGCGAUCCAAAAAAAGUUCGAUCCAACCUCAGCCUAUUCAAAGGUAAGCUCGCACCAUCUGGUGCUUCGAAAGGUAAAUCGUUGGAUGUCGAAGAAUGGAAGACCAUUUCAUUGUAUAUCUUCACGAACCUAACAAAAGUGCGGCCAUACAUCGAGUAAGUUCUCGGUAAAUUAUUGUUCCGCAACUUCUAAUUUCUUUGAACUACUCUUAUUCCCGGAUAUUUGAUAUAGUCGAUACGUCCCCAAAUUCUCAGAUGGAGCGGUCAUCGAAAAGGAUUCCGUCAAAGAGUAUGAGAUUCUCGCAAAGCAUGGAGGUGACUAUCCCGGUUUCAUCUCUUGGUUCAAACAAAGGGUAAUUAAUUACCAUUAAGGGCCCAUUUGAUUUCUUGGUCUAAUUUGCAGCUAAUGCAUCCAUUCUUUCGUAUUAAACUUGUAGGCUAAUGCAGGGUCUAUGGACGCCGAGUUGAGACAACUUGCUAAUGGUUUUGACUAUAAGGUCCGUUCAUUUGACAAAUACAACAUCAACGGGUAUCACUUUCGUACCUUUGGCAAAGAGCUAUCUAUGCCCGACCCAAAGACUACAAAUUGUUCUGUCUCUGCUAUCGGCGAAGGAGGCACCGAGUAUUAUGGAAGAGUUGAAGCAAUUUAUGAACUUCUAUUCUAUGGUGAAAACCCACCGACCGUCGUAGUCUUCAAAUGCUAUUGGUUUGAGCCGAGGGAGACUAGAAGGACUCAUGAACAUAUAGGACUAGUCGAAAUCAACCAAAACACCCACUUAGAUGUUCCUCACGUCUAUAUUACGGCUCAACAGGCGACACAAGUUUUCUAUCUACCGUGGGCCUGCCAAACUGAUCCAAAUCUCAAAGGUUCGGAUGUCGUUUAUGAAGUGCCACCACAUUUUAGACAACCUACCCUCAAUGAAGAGGAUUACGAACCUCACAUUAACCCAGACACAUAUGAAAGGGAAUUCUUCGAAGAAACACGUAUGUCCGAGAAACGUUUCAAGAACCGUUCUACUUCACCCCAGAACAUUGGAGUAGACAGCGACACUGAAUCCGUCUUAACCCCUAAGCCCGAAUAGGAAGAGCUGGAAGAAGAAGAGGUUACUGCUGUGAAUGACCUGUCACUUCUUGACCGAUUACAUAAUGGUGGCCUUCCACAUGUUCUUCCUGAUAGUGAUGAUGAUGAUGCAUUUAUUGAUGAUAGUGAUGAUCAUGAUGCAUUUAUUGACCCCGAAGCAUAUAUAGACGAGCAUGAUUGUUAUUAGUUCAUGUGAGGUAUUCAACUAUUACUAUAUAUAAAUUUUGAGUUCAUGUUAGGUAUUCAAUUUUUAUUAGUCAUGUUGGUAUUUAUGACGAUGAUAUACUUAAAUUAUAUACAUUUUAUUACUGAUGUUGGUAUUUAUGUUGUACUAAUUUCAUUUACUCUUUGUCAUGACAGGUGUUGAAAGAUGGUGGGAAAGGGUCGAAAAGACUCCGCGGCUCCUUCUUCGUCGGCGGGUGGUGGGAUGGGUACUUCCAUUCCUGCCUCGCCUCUUCGGAGAGCGUUGCUCUCUACUCUGCAAGGAGCGCCCCCGUGAGAGGAGGUCGACCCCCCCCCCCUGCGAAGCCGAGAGGUACUAAAGGUACACAUUGUAUUCAUGUUGGUAUUUAUGUUGUACUCAUGUUGUAUGCAUGUUGGUAUUUAUAUACAUUUUAUUACUCAUGUUGGUAUUUAUGUUGUACUAAAGGUACACGUGGCUACGGGAGAGGUAGGGCGGUGGCUGCCACGCCUUCUGAGGUGGAGGCUACACGAUCUCCGCCACAACCCCAAGAUGAUUCACCUGAGCACAUGACUUCUAGGGUGGAUUCGUCUAAGGUGGAGGCUACACGGUCUCCGGUUCACGAGCCUCGGGACGACGAGCCUCAGGUCGACGAGCCUUCGACCCACGAGACUCGUGUCCCAGAGGCUUCGUUCCAGGCGAUUCCGGAGCAAAUCACGGAUGAGGGUACAUCCCCAGAGACCCAGUGGGGUACCUGGGCUGAGCCAAGUGGCCAUGCUGAUAGCGACGAGGAGCUGGGUGAGGGCGCUACCGUCUACCAGCAUGGUAGUUCGGGGCUCCCGCUCGUGCCGGCGACCCGUGAGCAGAGGUCAUCGAUUAAGUAAAAAUGGGGACAAGUAAGUUAAUUUACUCUUAUUUAACCUUUUGCCUUCAUGUUUUCUCAAAUAUCUAAUGUUUUGGCUUUAAUUUGUCAUACCGCACGCGUUGGAUUGUUGCCAAGGGUGUCCGCAAACCCAGCAGCGUCCUUGGUGUGCUUUGCCGUCAAAACUUCUGAGGGUUUGUUAUGUUGCCCGGUCGGGAGCGAAAGGUAGGAAUGACCUGCGAGCACUACUUGGGUGCCCCGGCCCCGCCAGAGGUGGAGAUCGACGGUGUUUUGUGCCACACGAGGGCCGACAUGGUGAUCUGACAGUUCUGGGUAAUUUCUCCUUCACACAAUUAUAAAUCAACCAUAGCUAGUUAUUGUACUAAUCGGUGUUGUCUCGUUUGCAGACCUAAUACAGGUGUGAGGAGGGAUACGAGGAGGACGCGACAAAAGUUAUCGAAACCGAAUGUCGCCGCCUACUUCAAAACUUUCGGCACGAGGCUCGGGUGCAUGUUGUUCGAGACUACUAUGUGACGCGGUGUAUUAGGAAGGACAAGGCGAAGUGUCGUGAUUCUAAGAUGGAGAAGGAGCAUUACAUGAAGGUAAUUACAUAUUAUUAAGGCUUUGUAGUUAGUUUCCUUGAUUUGGUUCUUACGCGCUCAAAUUUCUCUUUAUUAACUUAGGUGCCCCCGAGAUGGUGUGUGGAUAAGAUGGAUUGUUGGGAGGCCUUGGUGGAUCAGUGGUGCUCUGAAACAUGGGAGGCCAGCCACAACAACGCCAAGGAGAGGCGUGGCAAAUUGGUUGGUGUCCCACACCAUCAAGGGAUCGUCAACUUAAUCCAAUUUGGCGAGAACUGGGUAUGUGGUUUGCUUCAUGCCUCAUUCAAUUCAUUCUGAAUGCUAGCUUGAGCCCUUUACUAAUACAAUUUUCCUCUCUCUCUCUUUUAGGCGCGUCACAAUAAGACGGAGGUGCCACAGAUGCGAUGGCCCAUACUGCCUCGUACAAGAAGGUCAAGGCAUUCUCUGAGUCUUACCUCGAGCAUCCAGAAAACUUCACCAACAUCUCCUCCCACCACAAUCUCGUGAAGUACAGAGAUCACGGGAAGGCGAGGAAAGGGGAGGACUUUAACCCGAGCGAGGGGCUUAUUGAUCCAGAGCUGGUGAUGAUAGCUGGCAAUGGGAGGCCCCAUGGCUCGAUCACAAUUGUAGACGACCUUAUACGUUGUCCUAGCACUCUCCGGCAGAUUAAGGCACACCAAACGAGCCCCUGUCCUGAGAUAACACCUCCUCCACGGCCAGUCGAGCUCGCCAUCGAAGUUAGUUUAAUAGACUCAACUAUCUUUCCGCAUUAUGUUGUGCGUUGGAACCAAUAUGAUUACAAUGCUAACAAUCAGUUGUGUUGCAGGCUGCUAUUCUGAAAGAGAGAGAGGCAAUGCAGGCGGUUAUGGCGGAGAAGGAUAAGGAGAUGAGGGAGCUGGAGGAGAGGACGACUGCAUUGGUGGAGGCGGAGAGGGCACGGAAUGAUGCGUCUAAUUGGGCCAUAUACGAGCUCUUCGUGGUAAGUUUCUUCUUCAUAUUAUUUCAAAUCUUGCAUUUUAAUAUCCAUUUCAUUAAUAACUAAAAAGUUUGACUUGUCGAAACCAAAUGUAUAGUCUAUGUGCGAGAAGACCGGCCAAGCCCCUCCGGCGAUGCCAGUCAUUAACAUGGCGGGGACGGUGAGUUUCAUUUCAGUGAAGUGAUCUUAAGAGUGCCCUCAUGCUAACGACACAUUGCAAACAGUGUUUGGUGCAGAAUAUCUCCCGAAACGCAUCGCACGACCCUUCUACAAUGGAGCCUUCUCGAGGGCAACCUUCUCCAGGUGAAACAAGCUAGAGCCACCAUGCUUCACCGCCGUGAUGACGAUAAUUGUAUGUUAUUUCUAGUGUUUUGCUGAACAACCGCAUAAUGGUCCAAUAUGGCUUAAUAAGCACAGUUAGCUACAAAAUGACAUAUUUAACCCAAGUUAGCUCCAAAACGACAUAUUGCUAGCUUGGCUUCCACCUAAAUGACAUAAUUACCUUUGUUAGCUCCGAAAUGACAUAUUUACGAAAAAAUGACCUAUAGUUAGCUAAGUUCUCUCCUAAAUGACAUAAUAAGGCUUACGUAGCUCUAAGAUGACCUAUUCCCCCUAACUUAGGUAUUAAAUGGCCUAUAAUUAGCUUAGCUAGAUCCAAAAUGGCUUAAUAACCAUAGUUUGCUCCGGAAUGACCUAUUUUACCCAAGUUAGCUCCGAAAUGACCUAUAGUUAGCUAGGCUUCCACCUAAAUGACAUAAUUAGCUUAGUUAGCUCUAAAAUGGUCUAUUUAAUAAAAAUGACAUAUACUUAGCUAAUUAUCCUCCAAAAUGACAUAAUUAGCUCCAAAAAGGCAUAAUUAGAUAAUUUAGCCCGAAGAAGGGGACAAGAGGAGAAGAAAGAGGAAAAAUGAAAAGUAGGAAGAAGAAGAACAAGAGAAGGAGAAGAGAACAAGAAGGAGAAUGAGAAGGAGGAAGAANNNNNNNNNNNNNNNNNNNNNNNNNNNNNNNNNNNNNNNNNNNNNNNNNNNNNNNNNNNNNNNNNNNNNNNNNNNNNNNNNNNNNNNNNNNNNNNNNNNNNNNNNNNNNNNNNNNUCCUCCUACUUCUUCUUCUUUUACUUCUCCUUCUUCUUGUCUUCUUGCUUCUUCUCUCUCUCUUCUUCUACGUAGCUUAGACUCAUCCAACAAAGACUAAAUUGGCUAAUUAUCCUACAAAAUGACAUAAUUAGCUUAGUUAGGUGAAAACAUCAUAAGAACCUUGGUUAGCUCAUUAAAAUGACCAAUUUAGCUCAAAAAUGAAAUAAUAAGCUCAAAAUGGCAUAAGAACCUUGGUUAGCUCAUGAAUAUUAUAUACUUAGCUUGGCUUCCACCUAAAUGAUAUAAUUAGCCAAUUUAGCUCCAAUAUGGCUUAAUACGCAUAGUUAGGUCCAAAAUGACAUAUUUAACCCAAGUUAGCUCCAAAACGACAUAUAGUUAGCUUGGCUUCCACCUAAAUGACAUAAUUAGCUUAGUUAGCUCCAAAAUGACCUAUUUAAUAAAAAAUGACCAAUACUUAGCUAAGUUCUCUCCUAAAUGACAUAAUAAGGCUAACUUAGCUACAAGAUGACCUAUUCCCCAUAACUUAGGUAUUAAAUGGCCUAUAAUUAGCUUAGCUAGAUCCAAAAUGGCUUAAUAAGCAUAGUUUGCUCCAGAAUGACAUAUUUUACCCAGGUUAGCUUCGAAAUGACCUAUAGUUAGCUAGGCUUCCACCUAAAUGACAUAAUUAGCUUAGUUAGGUCCAAAAUGGUCUGUUUAAUAAAACAUGACCUAUACUCAGAUAAUUAUCCUCAAAAUGACAUAAGUAGCUCCAAAACGGCAUAAUUAGCUAAUUUAGCCCGAAGAAGGGGACAAGAGGAGAAGAAAGAGGAAAAAUGAAAAGUAGGAAGAAGAAGAACAANNNNNNNNNNNNNNNNNNNNNNNNNNNNNNNNNNNNNNNNNNNNNNNNNNNNNNNNNNNNNNNNNNNNNNNNNNNNNNNNNNNNNNNNNNNNNNNNNNNNNNNNNNNNNNNNNNNNGCCGUCGUCGGCAGCGUCAGAUGUGUAUAAGAGACAGCUCUUCUUCUCUUUCUUCUUCUACGUAGCUUAUUUUCCCCAACAUAGACAUACUUAGCUAAUUAUCCUCCAAAAUGACAUAAUUAGCUUAGUUAGGUAAAAACAUCAUAAGAACCUUGGUUACCUCAUUUAAAUGACUAAUUUAGCUCCAAAAUGACAUAAUAAGCUCAUAAUGGCAUAAGUACCUUGGUUAGCUCAUGAAUAUUAUUUAUUUAGCUUGUUUUCCUCUAAAAUGACAUAAUUAUCCCAUUUAGCUCCAAAAAGACAUACUUAGCUAAUUUAGCUCCAAGAAGAGGAGAAGAGGAGAAAUGAAAAGAAGGAAGAAUAAGAAUAAGAGAAGAAGAAGAGAAGANCCUCUUCUCCUCUUCUUGGAGCUAAAUUAGCUAAGUAUGUCUUUUUGGAGCUAAAUGGAUAUGAAACUUACUUAUUUCUUCUCCUCUUCAUCUAGUCUUCUUCUUCUAACUUACUUAUUUCCCAUUUUGAAGAUUACAUUCAAUUCUCGGAAGCUUGGAUUAUAUUGAUGGAGUGCUUCAAUAUGGUUUCUUCUAAAAUGGCUUCACCGAAGCUUGGAUUGAAACUAUUGUAGUAAAUGGAUAAGAAAUUUUGUAUGUAUGGAUGAAACUAGUGUAACAUAUGGUUUGGUACGGAUGAAAUUUGCAUAAUAUGUAUGGAUUAUGGAUGAAACUUAUUUUAUUAUGGUUAUGAGUAUGGGUAGUUGUGUGAAAUAUAUUAUGUCAUUUGGAGCCUUUGUGCGAAAUAUAUUAUGUCAUUUGGGGCAGUUUGUGUGAAAUAUAUCCCUGAUUUGUGUGAAAAUUGUUGGAUAUUAUUAAAAAUAAAAUAAACAGUGGGAGUUUGGAACCUUUGUCGUGUUCCCACCGACGACAAAGGAGCUACAGCAGACGGCAAAGGGCCCAAACUGGACUGUUGAAUCAAAUUGGGUGCCCCCUUUUGCUGUAUGCCGAGCUGGUGGGCAGACGGCAAAGGGGCAAGUGAGAGGCGCUUUGGUGGUACCUUUCCAUCAACCCACCAGCACGGCAGACGACAAAGGUUAAAAGGGCAGACGACAAAGGGUCAAAGGGCAGAUGGCAAAGGGGAAAAUGAGAGGGGAUUUGGCGGUACCUUUGCCGUCAGCCCACUAGCAUGGCAGACGACAAAGGGGCAAAGCGCAGACGGCAAACUAUAUGUGGGCCUAGCACGCCUCCGUUAGCACUUGACGGAGGUACCCGCAGAUGUGUCGUCCCAUAUUCUUUGCCGUCAGCCCCCUCACGACAGAGAUCCUUUGCCGUCAACUGUCCCAAUGCAGACGACAAAGAGGCCCUUCACCGGAUUUUUGUUUGUCGUCCAGUUUGUCGUCUGCUGACGGACGGCAAAGGCCUUUGCUAUCCGGGGUGGCCCCCUUUAUCGUCCGCCAUGGCAGACGGCAAAGUCUCAGAUUCUUGUAGUGGUGGUUUAAAUAUCAUCCUCCCUUAGAAGUCAAUGUAGUUAAACCCAAUCCAGUUUAAGAGAAAUUCAUUGCCUAUAAUGAUCCUAUUGUUCCUAGUGCUUGCAUUAGGAGACCACCUCUCCCUGUUAGAAUAAAGGAUCAUUCUAAAGCUUCAACUGUGAUACAUAGGGUCUACAUUAGAACAUCUACACCCCCUGAGCAAAUUAGAGUUGAACCUAGCAUUGCUAUUAUCAAAGAUCUCCUGUCCGACAAUGUUGAUGGCCAUGAUAUUCACUUCCGUGAAGAUGCUGUUAGAAUUGCUAAACCUCAUGCUAGAGACAAACAUAGGCAUGUUGUUGGCACGCUUGUAAUUUCUGUUAAGAUAGGAGAGCAUUGUUAUCAUGGUUUAUGUGAGGUGGGUGCUAGUGUUAGUGCAAUACCUCAAUGUUUGUAUGAUGAAAUUAAAGACGAGAUUGCACCUCUCGAGAUGGAACCUAUUGAUGUCACAAUUCAGCUCGCCAAUAGAGAUACUAUCUGCCCUUUGGGAAUUGUUAGAGAUGUUGAAGUCUUGUGUGGUAAAACUAAGUAUCCUGGCAAUUUUCUCGUUCUUGCUACCACAUAAGAUAGCUUUUGUCCCAUCAUAUUUGGCAGACCUUUUCUCAAUACUGUCAAUGUUCAUAUUGACUGUGAGAAGCAAACUAUCACUGUUGGCUUUGAAGGUGUGUCACAUGAGUUCAAUUUCUCCAAGUUCGGUAGACAACUUCAUGAAAAAGAGUUGCCUAGUAAAGAUGAAAUUAUUGCUCUAGCUUCUAUUGUUGUGCCUCCUACUGAUCCUUUAGAGCAAUACUUGCUUGAGCAUGAAAACGAUAUGCAUAUGGAUGAAAGGAAUGAGAUAAAGUUAUCUUUGAACAACAUCAUAUCCUUAAGAAUAAUUUUCAUGUUGAACUGCUUGGAGAUCCACCCCCACCAAAGGGUGAUCCUGUGUUCGAGCUUAAACAGUUGCCUGCACUCUUAAGUAUACUUAUCUUGAUGAAAAAGAGAUAUAUCCUAUUAUUAUUAGUGCUAGCCUUUCGGAGCAUGAAGAAGAGAAAUUAUUGAAAACUCUGAGGAAGCACCGUCUUGCUAUUGGAUAUACUCUUGAUGAUCUUAAGGGCAUUAGUCCCACUAUAUGCCAGCACAAACUUAAAAAUGAUCCUGAUUCCAAACCAGUUGUUGAUCAUCAACGGAGAUUAAAUCCUAAGAUGAAAGAGGUAGUAAGAAAAGAAAUACUAAAGCUCCUGGAAGCAGGUAUUAUCUAUCCUGUUGCUCAUAGUGAUUGGGUAAGUCCGGUGCAUUGCGUCCCUAAGAAGGGAGGUAUUACCGUUGUCCCUAAUGAUAAGGAUGAAUUGAUCCCAUAGAGGAUUGUUACUGGCUAUAGGAUGGUGAUUGAUUUUAGGAAAUUGAAUAAAGCCACCAGGAAAGAUCAUUACCCCUUGCCUUUUAUUGACCAAAUGCUAGAAAGACUGUCUAGACACACACACUUCUGCUUCCUAAUUGGUUAUUCCGGUUUCUCCCAAAUAGCAGUUGCACAAUCUGAUCAGGAGAAAACCACUUUUACUUCCCCUUUCGGUACCUUUGCUUACAGACGUAUGCCUUUUGGCUUAUGUAAUGCACAUUCUACCUUUCAAAGAUGCAUGAUGGCUAUAUUCUCUGACUUUUGUGAAAAGAUUGCUGAGGUUUUCAUGGAUGACUUCUCCGUUUACGGGUCUUCGUUUAAUGAUUUCCUCAGCAACCUUGAUCGAGUUUUGCAGAGAUGUAAAGACACCAACCUUGUCCUGAAUUGGGAGAAGUGCCACUUUAUGGUUAAUGAAGGCAUCGUCUUAGGACAUAAAAUUUCUGAAAGAGGUAUUGAAGUCGAUAAGGCUAAAGUCGAUGCGAUCGAGAAAAUGCCAUGCCCUACAGAUAUCCAAGGUAUAAGAAGUUUCCUUGGUCAUGCUGGUUUCUAUAGAAGGUUCAUUAAGGAUUUUUCUAAGAUUUCUAGGCCUCUUACCAAUCUCUUGCAAAAGGAUAUUCCUUUUGUUUUUGACGAUGAUUGUGAGGAAGCCUUCGAAAUACUUAAGAAGGCCUUGAUAACUGCACCUAUUGUUCAACCAGCUGAUUGGAACUUACCUUUUGAAAUUAUGUGCGAUGCUAGUGAUUAUGUUGUGGGUGCUCUCCUUUGAUAAAGAUUUGAUAAGAAGUUGAAUGUUAUUCACUAUGCUAAUAAAACUAUAGACAGUGCCCAACGGAAAAGGAAUUUUUAGCAGUCAUGUUUGCAUGUGAAAAGUUCAGAUCUUACAUUGUUGAUUCGAAGGUUACUAUUCACACUGAUCAUGCUGCUAUUAAGUACCUCAUGGAAAAGAAAGAUGCUAAACCUAGACUCAUCAGAUGGGUUCUCUUGCUACAAGAAUUUGAUUUGCAUGUUGUUAAUAGGAAGGGUGCUGAGAACCCCAUAGCAGAUAACUUGUCUAGGUUGGAGAAUGUUCUUGAUGACCCACAACCUAUUGAUGAUAGCUUUCCUGAUGAGCAACUGAAUGUCAUCAAUGCUUCACGUAGUACACCGUGGUAUGUUGAUUAUGCAAAUUAUAUCAUUGCCAAAUAUAUACCACCUAGUUUCACAUACCAGCAAAAGAAGAAAUUCUCCUUUGAUUUGAGAUAUUACUUUUGGGAUGAUCGUCACCUUUAUAAGGAAGGAGUAGAUGGUGUUAUUAGGCGUUGUGUACCUGAGCAUGAAUAGGGACAGAUCGUACAGAAGUGUCACUCUAAGGCUUAUGGAGGACACCAUGCGGGAGAUAGAACUACAUACAAGGUAUUACAAUCAGGUUUCUAUUGGCCCACUCUCUUCAUGGAUGCCCGUAAGUUUGUCUUGUCUUGUGACGAAUGUCAAAGAAUAGGUAAUAUCAGUAAACGUCAGGAAAUGCCUAUGAAUUAUUCACUUGUCAUUGAACCAUUUGAUGUUUGGGGUUUUGAUUAUAUGGGACCUUUUCCAAAGUCCAACGGGUAUACUCAUAUCCUAGUUGAUGUUCAUUACAUUACUAAGUGGGUAGAAGCUAUCCCAACUAGUAGUGUUGAUCACAACACCUCUAUUAGGAUGCUUAAAGAAGUUAUUUUCCCUAGAUUUGGAGUCCCUAGAUAUCUAAUGACUAAUGGUGGUUCACAUUUCAUUCAUGGUGCUUUCCGUAAAGCGCUUACUAAGUACAAUGUCAAUCAUAGAAUUGCAUCUCCCUAUCAUCCUUAGUCCAGUGGUCAGGUAGAGCUAAGCAAUAGAGAGAUUAAGCUAAUUCUGCAAAAGACUGUCAAUAGGUCUAGAAAGAAUUGGUCUAAGAUGCUUGAUGAUGCACUGUGGGCUUAUAGAACUUCUUAUAAGAAUCCCAUGGGCAUGUCUCCGUACAAAAUCUUCUACGGUACAACAUGUCAUUUACCUCUUGAGCUAGAACAUAAGGCUUAUUGCGCAAUCAAAGAGCUCAACUUUGAUUUCAAACUUGCUCGUGAGAAGAGGUUAUUUGAUAUUAUCUCACUUGAUGAAUGGAGAACUCAGGCAUAUGAGAAUGCCAAGUUGUUCAAAGAAAAAGUUAAGAGGUGGCAUGAUAAAAGGAUACAAAAACGUGUGUUCAAUGUAGGUGAUUAUGUCUUGCUAUACAAUUCUCAUUUAAGAUUUUUUGCAGGCAAGCUUCUCUCCAAGUGGAAAGGUCCUUACAUUGUUGAGGAAGUAUAUCGUUCCGGUGCCAUCAAGAUCAACAACACGAAAGGUAAUUUUCUGAGAGUGGUAAAUGGGCAAAGAAUCAAGCUUUAUAUCUCAGGUACUCCCAUAAAUGUUGAAAGCAAUAUUAUCAAUACCAUAACUCUGGAGGAGUACAAAAGGGAUAUUUAUCAGCCUGUUUCAGACUCCGAAAACAAAGAGGUAUGUGAUUCGGUAAGUAAACCGACUCCAAAACUUUUCCAGUAGGAAUUUUUCUCCGUUUUGGAAUUUUUAGAAAAAUAGAAAAAGUUAAAGUAGUCCGAAAAGCGCACGAGGAGGCGACAAGCCUGCUAGGCACGGCCUACCCCCCUGGCCGCGCCUAGGGGGCUUGUGGGCACCUCGUGUGCCUCCCGGACUCUGUUUUCUUGCGGAGUACUCCUUUUGGUCAGGAAAAAUUCAUUAUAUAUUCUCCCGAAAGGUCUGACCCUCGUAUCACGCAAAUUUCCUCUGUUUUCGUUGCGAGCUGCUGUGCAGACAGAUCUAGAUCACUAUGGCGUCCGCAAAAGCUCUGAAGGACAAGUUCUUCGAGAAGGUCAUCAAUCCCUACCUCGCGGGAGUGCUGCAACACCCUCAAUCUAUCGAGAUGCAUGAGGGGGUGCUGCAGAUCCGUGAUGUUGAGGGGCCCGAGAGGACCGAAAGCAUGGAGGCGAGGCUCGAAGCAAUGGAGCAGCAAGUCUUCAAGUGCCAAGGGAUGGUGGAACCCGGACUCAACACCAACCACAUGAUGAUCACGGAGUUCACCAACAAGCACAAGAUCGAUGCCAAUGACAUUGGGAAGCACCUCUCCAGACUCUAUGACAGAAUUGAUCACCUCCAAGCCAAGAUCUACGACCUGUAGAACCAAAACUGUGAGUAUGAGUAUAGAUUUAAGUCAAUACGGUUGGAUGCAGAUUUGAGGAUUCCGGAGACUCGAUCAUCUUUUCAUGACGGAGCACCUAUGCCUUGGAAGACGGAGGAUCAAACCCAGGUUGCAACAACUCCACCACCAUCACCUCGGAAGGAAGACAACUAAGCACGGGUAUGGGCAAUCCCCUUGGCUUGUGGCAAGCUUGGGGGAGUUGCCCCGGUAUCGUAUCACCAUCACAUCUUUUGCCUUUACCUUUUCUUAGUUCGUUCCUUUUUGGUUUUAUCUUCCUGUAGUAGAAUAAACUGCUUAGUGUUCUAGGCUUGAGUUUUGCUUUUUGUCACCCCCAAUGUAUUCGAGCUCGUGAGUCAUAUAAUAAAGAGUGUUUUAGUUGAGGGCCUUGCCUCAUGCCAUGAUCGGAAGAACAAAAGCAUGAAAUAUCAUGUAAUGAUAUUAUGGGAAGUGAUGGCUUCACAUAUAAAAAGAAUGUUGACUGAAACUUGUUGUGGGUGGACAAAAGUAGACCUUGGUCAUUGUUGCAAUUAAUAGGAAGUGAUAAAGAAAGAGAGGUUCACAUAUAAAUAUAUCAUCUUGGGCACCAUCUAUGAUUGUGAACACUCAUUAAACUAUUACAUGCUUAGAAGUAGAUGUUGGACAAGGAAGACAACAUAAUGAAUUAUGUUUGCUUGGUUCCGAACAACGUUAUAUGACUAGAGAUCCCUUAGCAUAUGACGAUUGCUUCCACCUCGUAUCAGCCAAAACUCCCGCACUAAGUAGAGAUACUACUUGUGCAUCCAUAAAACUUCAACCUAGUUUUGCCAUGAGAGUCCACCAUACCUGCCUAUGGAUUGAAUAAGAUCCCUCAAGUAAGUUGUCAUUGGUGCAAGAAAUAAAAAUUGCUCCCUAAAUAUGUAUGAUCUAUUAGUGUGUGGAAAAUAAGCUUUGUACGAACCUGUGAUGAGGAAGACAUAAAAGCGACAGACUGCAUAAUAAAGUUCUUUAUCACAGGAGUCAAUAUAAAGUGACGUUCCUUCACACUAAGAGGUCGCACAUCCAAACCUCAAAAGCGCAUGACAACCUCUGCUUCCCUCUGCGAAGGGCCUAUCUUGUACCUUUAAUUUUUGUCCUUAAAAGAGUCAUGGUGAUCGACACCAAUCCCUUAUUUCGCCUUUAUCUUGGCUAACGUCAUAUGCUAGGGAAAGAUCUAUAUUCAUAUGUCAACUUGGAAGUAAGUAUCCAUGAAUUAUUAUUGUUGACAUUACCCUUGAGGUAAGUAGUUGGGACGCGAAACUAUAAGUCCCUAUAUUUCUCUGUGUCCAACUGAAACUUUGAUCUCAUGAGUACCACGUGAGUUUUUGCAAUUGUAGAAGACGAACGAUGAUUGAGUAUGUGGAUUUGCUUUGCAAGCUCUUAUUUGACUCCUUCCGACGUUAUGAUAAAUUGCAAUUGCUUCAGUGACUAAAGGCUAUUGGUUCUUGAUCCAUACUUUAAUUUGUGAAGGAAUUAUCACUUUAUCUUAAGAGAUUAUAUGAUAAUAUUGUUGUUCUGAUUAUGAUCAUGAUGCCUGCUUGUCCGUAUCUUGUUUUGUCGACACCUCUAUCUCGUAACAUGUGGACAUAUUUAUUGAUCUCGACUUUCGCUUGAGGAAAAGCGAGGUCUAAGCUUGGGGGAGUUGAUACGUCCAUUUUGCAUCAUGCUUUCAUGUUGAUAUUUAUCGCUUUAUGGGAUGUUAUUACACUUCACGGUACAAUACUUAUGCCUUUUCUCUCUUAUUUUACAAGGUUUACAUGAAGAGGGAGAAUGCCGGCAGUUGGAACUCUGGCCUGAAAAAGGAGCAAGUUUGAGAUACCUAUUCUGCGCAACUCAAAAAGCCGUGAAAAUAAACGAGGAAUUAUUCUGGAAUUUAUAAAAAAUACUGGGCGGAAGAAGUACCAGAGGGGAGCCUCUAGGAGGCCACAAGCCUGCUAGGCGCGCCCUACCCCCUGUCCGCGCCUAGGGGGCUUGUGGGCUCCCUGUUGGCCCUCUGGCUCCCCUCUUUUUCUAUAAGGAGGGUUUCGUUCGAGAAAAAAUCAAGAGGAGGCUUUCGGGAGGAGUCGCCGUCGCCACGAGGCGGAACUUGAGCAGAACCAAUCUAGAGCUCCGGCAGGGCCAUCCUGCCGGGGAAGCUUCCCUCCAAGAGUGGGAAAUCGUCACCAUCGUCAUCACCAACACUCCUCUGAUUGGAGGGGACUCGUCACCAUCAACAUCUUCAUCAGCACCAUCUCAUCUCCAAACCCUAGUUCAUCACUUGUAACAAAUCUCCGUCUCGCGACUCCGAUUUGUACUUGUAAGGUUGCUAGUAGUGUUGAUUACUCUUUGUAGUUGAUGCAAGUUGGAUUACUUGGUGGAAGAGUUUAUGUUUAGAUCCUUGAUGCUACUCAUUACCUCUUUGGUCAUGAAUAUGAUUAUGCUUUGUGAGUAGUUACUUUGGUUCCUGAGGACAUGGGAUAAGUCAUGCUAAUAGUAAUCAUGUGAAUUUGGUAUUUGUUCGAUAUUUUGAUGUGUUGUAUGUUGUUUUUCCUCUAGUGGUGUUAUGUGAACGUCGACUACAUAACAUUUCACCAUUAUUUGGGCCUAGAGGAAGGCAUUGGGAAGUAGUAAGUAGAUGAUGGGUUGCUAGAGUGACAGAAGCUUAAACCCUAGUUUAUGCGUUGCUUCGUAAGGGGCUGAUUUGGAUCCACUAGUUUAAUGCUAUGGUUAGACUUUGUCUUAAUUCUUCUUUAGUAGUUGUGGAUGCUUGCGAGAGGGGUUAAUCAUAAGUGGGAGGUUUGUCCAAGUAAGGGCAGCACCCAAGCACCGGUCCACCCACAUACCAAACUAUCAAAGUAGCGAACGCGAAUCAUAUGAACAUGAUGAAAACUAGCUUGAAAGAAAUUCCCAUGUGUCCUCGGGAGCGCUUUACUUCCUAUAAGAGUUUGUCCAGGCUUGUCCCUUCCUACAGAAGGGAUUGGGCCAUAUUUCUACACCUUUGUUACUUUCUACUUGCUAUGAAUCAUCUUAUCACAAAGCUAUCGGUUACCGAUUAUUUCAGUGCUUACAGAAAAUACCUUGUUGAAAACCACUUGUCAGAUCCUUCUGCUCCUCGUUGGGUUCAACACUCUUACUUAUCGAAAGGACUACAAUAGAUCCCCUAUACUUGUGGGUCAUCAUCAUCCUUAUGCCUGGCCACGGGAUUACUUAAAAUUCUCUUGGCCAACUUGGAAGAAAGCAAUCUUUCCAAGCAACCACCCAUGUACUGAAGGACAAGGAUGACAAACUACGAGCAGACAACACCAAGAGAAGUAUCUCCUUGAGGAACGAGGAUAUCAAUACCUAGAAGAUGGCGACACCCUGGACACUGUUCCGGAGUGAUGCACCCUUCACCUGUGAUGAUCGGUACAUAAUAUGUGCAAGACCAUGAUCUGCAUCGCUAAUAGAGCGACCCUAUCAAAAUCAAGAUUGUGGCGACCACCACAGGUGGAUGAGAACCUCGCCAUUUGGUCCGCCUCACCUUAGUGACCAGGAAAACGGUUCUCUUCAUCCCCCGCUCUAGGUGUCGAUAUUAUGACAAAGUGACUGACAGGUCAGAACUCUAUCAUGGCUUGCUGACAUCAUUGCAUAAAGGUUGUCCACGUCGAACUCUCGACACCCCGGAAAACAAGAAGACAAUGGCAGGAUUAUGAAGGCAACAGAAGACCCUGUCAACGACAGCCAUGAAGGACCACCCUCGUUGGCAGCUCACCAGAAGAGAAGUCAUCAAGAAUUAUUUCAACUCAACCCAAGUCGUUUCGGCGAGCAACAACAAGAGAUGUGGAAACACCAUGAGAAGUCCAGAAGACUUAGCGGACUCCUCUCCGAGGCACGAAGCAAACAUGACUGUCGACUCCGAGAACCCUAGGAUAGGAUGAGUCGUAAAUCCCCUAUACGAAGUCGAGUCCGUGGAAUGGUUUGAAUGGAACCAUGUUGUGUGUUGCUUGUUUUUGUUGUUUGUGCUUUGAUAUAAGUCGCACUUUUGCUCUAGGAAACCAGCAUGCUGUUAUAUCACUUGCCUCAUCUUGAUGCUUGAAUUGACUUCCUAACACUUGAUUGACUACACCUGCACUGUAGCACCCCUUAGGCACUCUCCUUUGUGCUGCUACUCUCUCUCUCGCUCACCCCUCUCGACAACGGAAGACCAGCAAGACAAGAUGCACCGGGAAUCCACUUCGACGGACAACUGGCGCUGAAGACACUGACUAUACCAUGCUUAACCACACACUACCCAUAGGAAUUAUGCUUUCCCUCAAAAUCGGAAACUCUCUUUAGACCAGACUAACCUCCACAAGCCUUUCCGGCUCAAUUUUCUGGUCACAUGUCUAAUGAAUGGACUUGUGAGAACACCCGUCGAUCCCCGAUAAACCCCGCUUAGCACCGGGUUACUCAUGGAAUGAGUGAUCAUAGUGAACAAGUAUCCUUCAAUAUUAAGCUAGCACCAUAACCCUGAUGCCAUAAGAAGGACCGUUCUCGGAUAUAAGAGUAUUAGACUAAGGUUGUUGUGGUGAUGAUAGUUGUCUUGAGGAUAUAGCUAGACUACCUUGGUGGAGCGUAAGACCCUUAAAAAGGUAGGUGAACUUGGUGGAACAAGUCGACAAAGUAGCAUAACCUACAUAUUCAUCGAGUAAGUUUGGAUUCAGUAAGACAAUUAUGAUCACGAGCAAUAAUUCUUGGUGGUAUAGUUGACUUUAUCAGGUAGAUGACAUGAUUUGAUGAUUUUACCAUAGUGACUUGGAGUAGCAAGUAAAAUUUCUUAUUGGACUUGAGUUUUGGAUUUAAAUAGGUAAUCCCAAUAGGGUAUUAAUGAUGUAUGAGGCCACAUGGUUCGGAAUAAAUUGGAUUUAGCCCGAUGAUCUCGAUCAUGGUACCAUGUUUCUCGGUGGAUAACAAGUAGAAGUAAUUGGAGUUGUCGGAUUGAUUUACGAACCUAUGUGAAUUGGCCUUGGAGAUGAGAUGGACAUGAUAUUGGAAGUUUGUGGGUAUACUAUGAUGUAAUCCUUGCGGUAAUAUAUGAAUUAUGAGGGCUCUAAGUGAUCCUAUAGAACCCCAUCAAUAUUGGAUUAGUAGGAGUGAUGGGUCCAGUGAUGAUCAACCGGAUUGAUGGGCCACUCGAUCGGAUUCGUAGAAAGGAAACAAGAUCUUAGAUUGGUAUACUAUGUGUUUCCUUAAUAUAGAAAUGCAGUACCCUGUCCAUUGAAUGAUCUAGCUGGACAUUCGGAUUUGUAGCAUCCCAGUUCAAGCUUUGGAGCUUGUAUGUCUUUCCGAGGUUCUUGCAUAGGAAUGCAUGUGCAUCGUAGCUACACCAUACUUGUAGUGUUUGGUUUUAGUCCUUCCCUCAACCCCGAAGUUGACUAGCAUGAGUGGUGUGGAGUUGAAUUAUGUGAGAUAGUAUCUUCGAUGAAAUAGGGUGAUUUUGUCCAGAGGGAGAGAUCCGACUACUGGCAUCUAAGGAAUGUGCUUAGAGAUAAGAUGUUGAAUGUUCACCCACAUCCUAAGUUCCUUGAGACCCUAAAGCUUCACCAAGCCAUAAGGUGAUCGGAUUACGACCAUAGAAAACGACUCUAAGUCGUUGGAAUAUGUCCAGUACUCCGCCCAACCGCCACCCAUCGUGCCUAUGACAAACAUGGACAUCGGGUACCAGCUCAUGUUGGACCACGAACCUCUCGGCUAGUGACCACCCGUAUCAAGUCCCCGUUCUCCUCACCUGUCUCAUGAGCACUGUGUUUAUGUCAUGCUUGAGGAAAAUGUGUUGUUAUCCUCACGGAUGACAUACCUAUCCACCCGAUAAGAGGAAGAACACCUUAGUCAUGUUUGGACGAGCCCUAGGAACACCGAUUGCUAUGCCUCUCGAGGGUACAGUGUUAUCUCAAGAGGAUCGGCUUCUCGACGCAACCUCAAGACAGCAAAAGUCUACCCUACCCAAGACAAGACAAAGAACCGCCAUGGUUGGGAAACCACGCCAAUGACAAGGAAGCAGAAGACGUCAACCACCGACCCUGCGCCGACUACAUAAACAAUACCAAGAAGCCUUGACGAUUCAAGCCGAUGAAGCCCUUGGACCAUGAGAGAAAUCAGAGAGCCUCUUCUUGGUCCAAACCAAGGACGAGGGUCCUAAUUGGGUCGUGGUGAAAAUCUGCUAAAGGUGAUUCACCUGCUUGCCGAGCCACAGACCUUGGGAGUGGAUAACUGGUCUAUACUCUUGGGUAGGCAGCUCAUCGAGAACCCCUCGCGAACCCUCCGAGAUGGUCGGACCUGUUCUGGACUCUGAGUCUCCGAGCUUAGAUUCAUGGGUGAGACCCAACCUAGACCCUUUCGCGAGAAGCCUUCAAAGACCACUUCAACACCCUCGUGGAUGAAGACCACCUAUGACCAUAGCAUGCAUGCCUUUAGGGAGUCAAAGACUUUCCUGUCAGCAUGGAGCUAUGCGAAGAUUUUGACAGUACGUUCUAAAUGUCACUAACCGGCAUGAGCAGCCCACGAGCACAACCGAGGCACAUUAUCUUGCCCCAUAUUCCUACCUUGGAAUGCACUUGCAAGAACCUUGCACGAACUUAGUUCACACAGCCCUUGACCCUCGGUCAAGCCUAACUUAUUGCCAAACCCGCUCAGGCAAGGACGUGUGGCGCAUUUGAAACUGUAUCAUCAAGCACCUCAAGACACACAACAACAACACGGGGACAUGAAGACUACCACCGACUCAAGAAUUAGUAUCUCUCCAACCCCUAGCCUAGAAACCUCGGGGACGAAAUUUUCUUAAAGGGGUAAGGUCUAUAACACCCUGUGUUUAGCUUUCCUGACUAAUUAACUUAUUUCAAAAAUUAGGACCAAUUAAAAUUUUUGUGAAUGCUUGUGAUGCUUGAAGUGACUAUUGAUUGCUUGCUUGUAUGCCCGUGUUUGAUUCUCAAUGACUCCUGCUGCUGUGCAGACUCACCUCCUUGACCCAAACCCUUGCCUAAUGAUCAUGCCAUAUGUUUAGGAACAAAAACUAAUUUUACCAAAUCUUAUUUUCACCAAAAAGCAAUUCUUUAAAUUAAGCUUUCAAAACCCCUAAGAUGGGAUUUUUACUACAAGUCCUCAAAUCAGGGAAUUUAUUUUGCACCAAUUAUUUUAUUUAAAACCCAUUAUCAAAAUGACUCCCCAAAACCACAGUAUUAUUAUUUUAAAAGUUAUUUUGCUAUUUUAUUUAAAUGCCUUCCUGUGAGGCUAGAAAUGGUCUCUUAUGAAGGAAAGUUAUCUUUAUUGCUUUCAAAAUAUUAAGAAAAUUUAGGGAAACUCAGUGGACAUAUAUAUUACAUAUAUAUGAGUUUCAACACAUGGUCAUGUUCAAAAUAUUUGGCAAACCCCUCCAAAAUUCUUCCUGCCUAUUUCAAGCUUUUGAAAUAUUUCUAUAAUAAAGUAUUCUUAGUAAAUUCCUAUAAAAUUCUAGCAUAUCACAUAUGAUAUAUGUGAUGAACUUGCCAAGUUUCAUGUCAAUCCAAGUUGAAAUGACUCCCCAAAUUAUUCUGAAACCCUAUCUGUCCAGAUCAAAAUUUAAGCAACUCUACAUUGUCAUAUGUCUCCAAUUGUGCUCAAAUUUGGUAGACAUGUUCUGAUACUCCAAUAAUGCAGCCACACCAAGUGGUGCAUCAAGGAGAAUAGAAGAACUUGUCCCAAUCCUCCCAAAACCCUCUCUUUUGAUUUCUAACUUUCAGAAUAUUUAGAUUAUAAAGUUCCUCCAAUUGACCCCAAACUUUUUGGGCUUGAUUUAGUGCUCAAAUAAUGCCCACACACAAAAUAUUGGAUUUGUGAGAAUUGAUUUGAAUAGUUUUGUAAGCAGAAAGCCAUUUCUGCCCAUUUCAUGAGUUUUCCAAGUCUACAUUGGAAACCUUCUCCACCAAAUCCCAAAUUUUGUUUCCAAGCUUAUUUUCAUCUAUUAUUUGAUCCUCUUAUGUUUCAUAUCCAUUGAAGUUCAUCUGGUUGCCCUGACACUCAUCAAACACCUUUUGUGCACUCACUUUAAUGUCUACUUUGGCACCUUCCACUUUAACCCUUGAGCUCAACUUUCUACCACAGCCUCCCCUAGUUGCCUUUUUACUCGAGUAGCAUUUCCAUGGCCACUGGUCAAUUAUUAGAGAGAUCCUCCAUGUAACUACUUCUCAUUUUUACCCUUGGAUCACCAUUUUUAUCUCUCUUGUCCCACUUCUGCUUAAGCCAAAGCCCCCACCUCUUUCUAGAGGCUCCCUAGCAUCCCAAGGCAUCAUUUCAAACCAAGUUAUGGCAUGCUCAUCUGCAAGUUGAAUUGUGGCUGAAAUGUAGCUUUGUACAACAAGUACUAGCUACCCUCCCUUUCUUGAGCUAAAACUAUGAAGUGGUGUAGUCCUUCCAUACCAGAUGCUGCUAGACAUGGUUUCACCCCAAGUUUCCCCCUCUGAAAACUACCUUUGCCAGCCCCAAGUUUCCUACUUGAAUCUUAACCAUUGCCAAAACCAAUUCAAACCAGCCCCACUUGCAACCAAACUCCAGAGUCUCCUUCCUGCAUGUGUUCCCUACAUGUUGGACAUGUUUGACUGGUCAUAGCAGCUCUGUGGACAUGAGUGGCCAUGGGGACCACCCUGGCAGCAUGCAACAAUGGUGCUCUGCAUCCUUUUAUUUUGCUACAGCUUGGGUCCAUGGAUGGUUGUGUGUCCCAGCGUGCCAGGGCACUCCCCUUGACCGGUCCAAGCCCUCCCCGACACCAGCUCGCCUCCAAAGUGCUCCAGGGACGCGUGUAUGCCACGUGCCCAGACAGCACCGAAAUCUCCCGAGCUCUCUCNCUCCUCACCCCAAGCUCUCUCGGGCUCUCCCUCACUCCCUCCUUUCUCCUUCAACCUCCUAGACCUCCCCUCCUUUCCCUUCGAUCCCUGAGCUCUUCUCCUCCUCUAAUGGACAAAGCCACCGGCGGCCCCUUCUUCAACUUGGGCUCCCACGACCUUCUCCCUCCCUGAGGAUGCGUCGAGAGGCCUCCCUCCUCUUCGCAGCUCCACCCCUUCUUCCUCUUCCCUUCUGGUGGCCGGAGCACCGCUCCCCACGGCCACCAUCGAAGCCCUUGCCACAGCCAGUUCGGCCAGAGACGUUCCGGCCCUCCCCCGCGCUCUCCAGCCAUUGGAAUGGGUGCGGCGCAGUCCCUGACCCAUCAGGACCGUCGGCCAUCGCCGGGGGUAGCCGGAGCCACCGGGGCACGCAGUAGUUGCUGCCUUGCCUUGCCUCCCCUGCCUGCUCUCAGAUCAAGCGGGAGGAGGAAGACAGGUCCGACGGCCUGGGCCCGCGUGUCGGUGAGAUAGAGGCCCGGGGCCCCUCGUUCAAGUGGAUCCGCCACGCUGAAGCACGCCUCUCUGAGGCUAAGGCGCACCGGGUGGAUUCCGCCUUCAACGUGGCCACCAGCCGCCCAGGACGAAGCUGCUGGGCUGGCCCACUUCCCUCUCCAGCGCCUGAGCGCAGGAUAGCCAUGUGGCUCAGCUUUUAUCAUUUUCUUUUUGCGGAAAACGUCAAAAAUCCAUGAUAAAAUCAUUUGAGCUCCAAAUUUCAUAAUUCAAAUUUCUGCAGGUCCCUAAAAUCAAGAUCUAUCCAGAGAUGUGCUUUGCACAUUUUUACAAACCACUUGUAUAUUGUAUUUAUAUUAUAAUACAGAAAUGAGUGUUUCUAGCCCCCUUUCAAAAAAUACUAGAGGAUUCAAAUCCACUCCAAAUGGAGUCAUUCCAAAUUCGAGAGCCUUCUAAUAUCAUGCCCUAUUUUUAGAGCCUUGGUCAACAUUUUUGUAUGGCAUAUUUUUGUUGCAAUAAAUAUAUAGCUCCAUUUUGCUAUUUAUCCCAUAUUAGAAAAUCCAUAUAAUAUUCAUACCAACUCCAAAUCCUGUGAAACAACUUCCUAAAUAUUUCUAAAAUUAUGCUCUAUUAAAUGAGUGCCUCCACUCAUUUUUAUCAUGAUACUUUCUGUAGACUCCUUUUAAGAUCACCUAUUCCUCCUUUUGUCCAUUGAAAAUUCUCUGAUGAUCCAAAUCUCCUAUGGGAAGCUUCACGUAUUUUUUUCUUAUGACCAGAGAGGUCCGAGAAAAAUAUAACUCCUAUUUAUGUAGCACUUUUAUUUCUGCUUGUUGUGUGGCUUACUGUGUUGUUUCCGAAGUUAGUUGACGGAGUAGACGGAGUACUCCGAGUUGGCCCGAAGACCUCGAAGACCUCGAAGACCCCGAGGACUUGUGAGGAAAGGCAAGCAGCCCUUUGACCAUGUCUGAGCAAAUCCUAUAUUGCAUGCUAGUAGAGAAAUUAUUCCCGUUGCAUAUGAUCAUAAGUAUUCGGUAAAUCAUCGAAGUGAUGUUACCGAUGGCUCCUCCGGAGCACUUGCAUUUUGAGCAUGAUCCUACCACCUAUGAGGGUCACGCUAUUACCAUGUUGGGAAGUAGAGCUAAGAAUAGUAGAAGCAUGAGCAUGAUGGUGGUAAAUAUCAAAGGUUUAUGAAAACCCCGCCGGGUGCCACUAGUGUCCGAGGGUGAUGAUGAGAUAGGUGGGCACUUUUGGAUAAGUGGUGCACUAGGUGUAUUUUGGUGUGAGUGGUUUUGGAAAUGGGAUUAGAUUUAUGAUGUGUCUACCAUCCCAACCUUACAUGUGUGACCACGUUACCCCUUUAUGGGACGGGGCUUUGUUGAUUACUCUUGUCGGUGCUAGCAAAGAGCCACAUUACUAGUGGCGGGAGUGAUGUGUGGUCACUGUCGUGACGGGGUCAUGCCAGGUAGGGCGACUAUGUCGUUUUUACGUGUUCCGGGCACACCGUUGGUCCCCCGCAUGGAUGAUAUUGUCCAGAGUCGAUGCUCGUAAGACGUACAUCAUGUGGGCUGGGUACCAAUCGAGUGCACUUCUUUGUCUAGUAUCGUCAGGGGGAAGGCAUUAAUCAGGUACUUACCUCGGGUAUGUUAUAUACCGUGAGUCGUGGAUGACACAGAAGUUUCCCGGAUCUCAUGGGUACAGCGUACAACCUGUGCAGAGUGUCAAACAAUUCGAAUAACCAUGUCCACUGUCAAGGACAGUUGGGUGUUGUUGCUUAAACUACGACCAGUCGUUUCCGCAUAAACCAAGUGUGUGUGUGUUUAAUGGUGUUAAUAUGAAAGAAUUGAUAUGACCAAGUUUGGUGACUUGGCAUAUCGGGUGAACCCGGAGCGUUCAACCCUUGGCAGAUAUAUUGAUAUCUGUAACCUGUUCUUCUAAACCGCAUCUAGCUUAUGUUGCACAUCCAUUUAUGAUCAUGUUAUUUACAGUCAAGCUACUAUCCACCAAUACUGGGUAUUACUUGUUACCGUACCAACUACAUUAUCAUAUCAUGGGCGGUUUGCGAGUACAAUGAAAGUACUCAUUGGCUCAUCACUGGUUAUUUCAUUGACCAGGUAUGAGAGGAGAGGAUAUGGUGGAGAGUAACUCGUUGACGUUCUUGCGAGCUAGGACGCUUCCCAGUCAGAAUUCAUGUAGGUUUAGGCUGAUGGCAUGGGUUCACGCUUUCGACCAACAUUUCCACUAUUGGUCCAGUUUGGUGUGUUGGUCCUCAAGGCCCUAUAUAUGUAAGACUUGACCACAAUGGUCAUUUAUUGUAUCAAACGGUAUGUAUGGAUGUAAGACUCUUGUUAUUCAGUUUUUGUGUGUUCGGUGAGCAUUGAUCUCUGGGAUCACUGAGCACGUUCAUUCGGCGAUCUUGACGGUAUCACCAUCUCGCUGAGGAAUCAGGUGCAAAUCACUGGGCUGCCUUGGGAUCUUGUUACCCCUGUGGUAUGCACUAACAAAUUGGUUGCAUAGAUCCGCCUAGAAGGAAAUAGACCCCUCUAGCAAGUUCAUCAACCAACUCCUCACAUUGGGUUUGAGCGCCAACGGGAAGUAGUUGGCGAGCACUUUCUUGUCGCAUCCCCCGGUAGCAUGCACCGCUAUCAUGUAGUUGCCAAGGAAGUCUGACGGGCUGAUCUUGACGUUGCUCCUGUUUGAAGGCUCUGCAAGAAGGCGAGCGGACUUGUCGCAGCUCGCAGGUGAAUGCCGGGCAACCAACCUUGUAAGGUAGGCUGUCGGGUGCUCCUGGCGGUGGCUCGUCAACGACUGGAUCGACGUGAUCGUCUUAUUGGUGAGAUGUUUCCCAUCGCCUCCUGAUAGUGGUGCGCGCGUCCUCCUUUCUCUUGUCCUUCAAGACCUUGCAUUGAUCUUUCUUCUGUCGCGGGCCCGUUGAGGUGUGAGAUAUAUCGUCCUACACAUCGGUCUUGCGGGUAGGUUGUUGCUAUUGUGGGGGCAACUACAAUGUAGGCUCUCAGUCUACACUGUGUCUGAUGGUAGGCCUCAUCGGGGCCGCCUCACGCGUGUGUGAAGCUUCCGCUGCAUCAGGCUGGUCGCAGUUCGCGAAGCUCAGCUGACUCUAGAUGGUCGCCCUUCAUUCUUGCAUGUUUUUUGGUGUGGGCGGGAAGUUCAGCAGCAGGUGGCCCUGCGCCAGGGCUUCGUCCUAGUUUUGGGCAUCGAGCCAUGCAAGGAGUGAGUGGUUCUCUAACUCCUAGCAAUGCUAGAAGGCGCUCAUCACUGUGCCAUCGCCCACUAUCCACUCUUACCAGGGGGUUGUUGACGAUGUUGGCCCUGUGCACCCUGAGGUUGGUGCAUAGUGGUAUUAUCCGCAUGUCGGUCAGGGUCGCCUCCCUCGAGGCGUUGGUUGCGAUGGUCUUGUGAAGCACACGGUGGAGGCGUUGUCUUACAUGCCGCAACGUUAGGGGUGGCAUUACCCAUGACAUUCAUCAUCGAUGUUGCUGCACUGCCACCUUCGGAACCCACUUGUGUGUCCUCAAAUGUCACGACAGCUGGGUCUGGGUCCUGGCUCGUGGAGCUCCGCGCGGUGUUGUGGCUGCACUCUCCUCUAUGGAGUGCGCAACGCCAGUCCCCAUCUCCGUUGCUCGUAGCAGCUGGCGUGGGCAGCUUGGAGAUAAAGAUGGAACGAUUACUAAUGUUCCGUGGCCUUCUUAGGUGCCAGAGGAGCUUGAUGAAGAUGUUGGAGAAUACACGCAGUGUAGGAGAAGAUUCAUGCACCAAAUCCCCCUACCUGGUGCGCCAAACAUGUAGGGGUACGACGAUCUAUGGGACCGUCAAGGUCCCUUUUGCUAUGGUUCUAUAGGGACUACGGGCACACAAAGAGCAUCAGCGAAACCUGCAUGUGUAGGGUUUAGACAGGUUCGGCCGCUCGGAAGCUUAAAACCGUACAUCAUGUGUUUUGGUGGAUUAUGUUGAUUAUCACAGUACAGAUGCGCUCGUCCGGUAAGGAUGCUCGAUGGCAGCAGCUACAUCUGUGGAAUGAACAGAGUGUUGACCUUUCUAAAGGUAGCCAUGGACCUCCUUUUGUAGUCCAAAAGGUUACCAAAGUGGCUAAAUCAGUCUUUUUUGUGGGAGAAUAGUCCACAAGCUAACUGCCAAAGCUAAUGAGAGAAGCAACAGUGGGAAAUACCUAAAUCUAAUGGGCAGAGACAAACGCAUUAAAUGCACAAUGAGGUGGUGCGUUGGCAACGUCCCCUGAAAAGAAUUGCCUCUCCUUCUGUGUCGUUUUCCCAACGACCUUCUAUUUGCUGGACAUGCCGCGGGACGGGUGUCAUUAAAGUGGAUGCAUGCCCCUGACUAGACCUAGCUAACCGCGUGCCCGCUCUACACCUCACUAACUCUGACAAUCAGCCUCAUGAGGUGGAGCGGCGAAUAUCUGGAGGGGUCAUGUCGGCCAUGGUUGCUGUUAGGUUCUCCUCCUCCUUGUCGGGGCCUUGUUUAUGGUUUUGGCUCGUUGUUGAUCGAAGGUUGGCAUUGGUCGACAGUGUCUUGCAUGCCCGAUUGCACAUUUUAAUACACCAACAAUUGGCUUCUCAGCAACACGACGUUCAUGCAAUCGUACGUCAAACAAGAAGUGCUUCAGCUAAUAAGAGGAAACCAGGCACGGUUGCACACAUGACUAUGGUGCCCCAAAAAUCGUGAAGGGAUAGGACCAAUAGCCUCCUACUACAAAGACUCCUGGACCAUAAUCAAACUAACAACAUGUUUUCCCAUGGGAUGGGUAAUCCCGGUUCUAACGAGAUCCGCAAAGAAGAAGUUGAAAAGCUACUUUCUAGUAAGAAGACAAACCCAUUUGAAGCGCGCAAGUACAAGCAUGGACAACCCUUUCUUGUUGUCAAAUACUUUGAUGAGUGCAGUUCCAGUUGUCGCAAGUUACAUAAAUAUUGCAUGAAAAGAAUGUUAGAAGGAGAAGAUCAUACCAUUAUGUAACUUCACUACCAUAGUAGGCAUUUCUCGCUCCUUGGACGUACCAUUAGUGUGGAAUUCAAGGACUUUCAUCUCUUCUUCAACUUUGAUGAUCUUGCUACCACUCUUGUCAAAUUCUUGAUGUUGUAAGUACUUCACAAACUGUGAUAAACUUCUCCAGACAUCUAUAAAUGAAAAAGAAGCUAAUUGUAUUGUAUUCCUCUCAAAGGAUUGAUGGCGUGCAGAUCAUUAAGGGUGCAUGCGUAUUUCAUAGAUCUUGAUUUAUCAAACGACUUUUUAUUAGAUAAUAAUCUUACAUGCAAGGCUUCCAUUGAUCACGUCACCAAUAUCUGGUGGAAUAUAUAGGAAGGAUAAUUCUUCAUGUGGCCAUAUCACGAACGGUAAGUUAAAUAUACAACCACGCAUACAUUGGUCGUCUUUCAGUUUUCAACAUAGUUUGUAAGUUCAAGAUUUUCUUAAACUGCAACCAUCACUGGAUCUUGGUGGUCAUUGUUCAAGAACGCAACAUAGUUUACUACCUUGAUUCUAUCACAGAGUCAAAUAAGCCUUGGGAUGUGAAUCAACUUUAGGAUUUCAUGGUAGGUAUUGAAUUCUGUGAUGUUAAUAUGUUGUUUUCAUAUCUGGUUCAUGAAUUGAUUAUGUGAAAAUUCAUCUUCAUUUGCAGUGUAUUGUCAAACAACAUAACUUUAGGAGGGUCAUGGUUCAAACGCCAACUACCUCUACAACACAUGAUCGUUUCUCCGUGAAAUCUGAUAUUUUUAGAAAAUGCUAGUCAGAUAUUCCAGUUUCUAAGUAAACCUCUUUCUAUUUCUNNNNNNNNNNNNNNNACUUACACCAGUUAGGUUGUUUCUAACAGGGUAAAUACAUGACUAAUAUUGUACAAGAAAUUUAUGUUUCCUCAACAACAUCAAGGGACCAACCAAAGUGGAUACUACAUUUGCGCUCACAUGAUGAACCAAUGCGGACAUGUUGAAUAUGGUGUUGAUGCUGACAAAAUAGCACAAGCAAGUCUGUUUCUUAAUUACUAUCUUCGACUCCACAUGUAUGAGACAUUCUGAUCUAAAAAUCUUGGAGUUAAUCUUCAGACCGAUGACCUCUGAACCGCUUGCCGCAGAUGAGUUGUUGUCUAUUAGGUAAUUUAUCAGCACCUUCUUUGUGAAGCACUAUAUCAAGCCCAGUAAAGAUGUCAAAGGUUUGAGCAUUCAUAUCCCAUAAUAAUUAGUAUGCAUUCAUAUAGUGUUAUGAACUAAAUAUAUACACAUGGAUAUAUGGAUGCGUUGUUUUCCAUGUGAUCAUGUCUUUGUAUUUCAUACACUUUGAUUAUGUAUUGCAUAUAUCCAUAUAUGUGUGGAAUUUAGCGGACAUUUUCUCAAUUGCAUAUUGUGGUCCUAUGGACUCUAUUUGUUCAAUUGCAUAUUAUGGCGAAAUAUGAUGAAUGUUCCUCAUGUGGACACUAGUUGUUCGAUUGCAUAUUGUGGCGAAUUUUCUAUUCGCGGGGUGAUUAUACGGGGUGCAUAGGAUCUCCUCAAUCGUCUGCGAUAGCACUUUAUCUCACUCGUGAGCCAACAAGAAACUGUGCCCGAUGCAAGGACGAUCCCAUCCAUAAAUUUUUCAGGAAACAUGUUUGAUGAUAUCAUGCAUGGCAGACGCUUGCCAAAGAAAACUCAUGUGCGAUGAUGCAGAUAUCACACACAGUUUCUAUGGUGGUCCAUGUGGAUUAGGUAACAUUUCACAAAUAGUUAAAUGCAGAACACUGUUUGUUUUUCAUGAUCAAUUAGACGUCUUUGAUUCUUGAUGAACAUGUGUGAUUGAUCCCUAAUCCCACACGUAAGCUAAAAAUAUAGUGUGUUCGAUAUGUUCGUGCAUCACACACGAUUAUGUUUUGCAGAGCAUCUGCACCAUUAGUCACCAUCGCCGACAUGUUUUUCGUGUCGCGUGGGAUGCUCCCUAUUGCCCACAUAUGCAAGGCGACGGUUUAAAACCACAUUCCAGAAAGGGAUUAAAAACCAUUUAUAUAGCAUGUCACUUUACCAGUGCUUGUUUGAGUCAUAUGUCCCUCAAAGCUUUUAUAUAUUAUAUUGAAAAUCCUUAUUUGAAGCUUUGAUGUAUGUUGUCAUCAAUUACCAAAAAAGGGGACAUUCAAAGCACACUUGCUCCCUAGGUGAUUUUGGCAAUUCAUGCCAACAUGCAUAUUGUUAGACUAAUGCUUUACUCAAGUGUAUUGUAGAAAAGGUUCAACCUAGGCAAUAAAUUGGGUGGAGACAUGGACCCCUCAGGUGUAGUGGCCGGUUUUCCACAAUAUAAAUUCCUAAAAAACAGGCCCUUGUGUUAACCAACCCUAGGAUUAUUAUUAGUUGGUGGACACUCACUUGAUACAUAAAUUCCAAGCAAAUACAAAAUAUGCAAUCUGGCCAAGACAAUAGCCAGGGACAAGCCAGAGAGUACUUUGAAUGUACUCGCAACAUCAUGAAAACAUAUAACUUAAAGCAGGUGAGAUGCAUGCACAAAAAAAUUAUAACACCUCAGAUGCCAUAAGAUUUAAUUCACAGACGCAGUCAUGCAGAUAAAUUAUUCCUACUCAUGAUGUAUAAGCAGACAAGGUAGAGAGUAAUAAUCAAUUUAAUGUGUCGAUCAGGUGUCUGAGGCGACACCUCGAAAGGGCAAGCAAUAUAAGCCACAGUCGGGUGUCUAAGCGGCACCACAUAAAGGGACUUAUAUCAGCAUAACAAAAGUAAUUCCACAGUCGGGCGUGUGGGGAGACACCGCAAAAAUGGAUUAUAAUUAAAUAUUGAUAUGUGUACCGCAGUUGGGCGUCUGGAGCGAAACCACAAAAAGGGCUUAUAAUAAUAUAAUAAUGAUGAAUAAGUAAUAACAUGCGUGCCAUAGUCAGGCAUCUCAACGACACCACAUAAAGGGCAUAUAUGAAAGUAAUAACACUUGCCACAGUCGGGCGUCUCAACGACACCACAAAAUGGCUUAUAUUAAAGUAGUAAUAGUUGCCACAGUUGGGCGUCUAAGUGACACCACAUAAAGGGCUUAUAUGAUAAAAAUAAUAGUUGCCACAGUCAGGCGUCUAAGCGACACCACAUAAAGGACUUAUAUGAUAAUAAUAACAUAGAUUAUCUAGGAGGUAGAACCGUCCGAAGGAUACUCAAAAAUUCAUAUACCAGAAAUGAUUAGUCCACAUCAAAAUUCAUAAUAAUUAUGGUUAUCAUACUCGUUCAUGAUCAUCAUCAUGUUUCAAUUAAUUCCUCCGAAGACUGACACUUCGACAGAAUUUGACCCAUCCCAAAAUGUAGUCCUUACCCGCGGACAUGGCUAUUCGAAUAGAUAUUUAACUCUGAAGAGGGUGUACUCUUUACCCAUGAGUAACGGAUUUCUUUAGUCAACAAGAGAUGUCAACUAAUUCUGAUUACGGUCUUUGAGUUGAAAACACACCUGACCUGCACACACUAGUUUAACUUCCCGAUGCGUGGGAUCACCCACGACACUCGUUAAGUAAGACUUUGAGUGGGAAGAUCACAAUCUCCACUUAGAAGGGGAUCACAUUUAUACCACGUGCUACUAAGGGGUGCCCCCUCUAAUCCCCAGGCCGGAAACACCCAUGCCGCCGGACCAAGUGGCAUGCCUACCAGUUGCAACUGGUAUCUUCCACUAUGGCCUCUCUGUAUGGUGUGUGCAAGGAAAGGGGUCGACAACUUACUCAACCACACCCUACCUGUCGUACAGACAAGUAGUAGCACAAAUCAAGUAUGAAGGUUACUGGCACAAGACCCAAUCUACGUUCUACUCGGGGGAUUAAGUUUGCAUGCAAGGGUUAGCACCACAAAAUUCCUGAAUGUUAUUCAAUUGGGUUACCACCGUCACACCUUGAUAUGCCCUCACAGAUCAUUAUCGUUGCCACGAGAUAUCGGUUUCACAGUCACAUGUUUACCAUGACAAACCUUCCUACGAUAUUGUCCAGACCCACAUGAGAUACAUGACAUCAGGUAGUACCCACUCAUCACUAGUAUUAUAUGCUCAACAGCAAAUAAGUACCCAUCACAUGCUUUGGCGCAAAAUAUGUUGCUAUGGAGAGUUUUUAUCUAAGUAGCAUAACCAUGCAUCCAUUCACCACAACAAGCCAUCACACACUUAAGACAAAUUUGGGUUCAAGAUGCUUGCCUUUGGUCUGAAGAAGGGUGGUGUGCACCCCAAAAAUCUUGAAAAAUUCUUCCCUCCAAUUUUUUCUAUUUUUGAAAUUAUCGGAAUCAACACACAUUUCCAAAAUAGUGUAUAAAAGUUGUUUCAAAGUUUUUGAAAUAAAUAUGACAAUAAAUUAGGUGAAAUUUGAGACACAACAGAAAAAGAACCAACUCGUUUGCAGUUGUAGUUUAAAAGUUAUAAGCAGUCAAAGUUUCGUCAAAAUUUUGUUUUUCAAUAAAACAGAGAAGAAAACAUUUUCGAAAACAAAUAUGUUUUCGGGAAAGGGAAAAUACACUCCAGAGCACACGCAUCUCUUAAGAGAAAAUGCACCACGGGAUCUGCUCCAUCGGUGUCGAGGCUGGCUCGCCGACAGGGGAACCCACCUAUCGGGUUCGUCUUCUUCCCCUCGCGCACAUGGGUAGAGGGGAGGGAUGAUGCCGACGGCGAUUGCUGGUGCUAGGAAGUACAAUUCCCGGAGCAGGGCACACCAACAUGCUCAUGGGGAAGGGCCUCAUCGUAUAGGGGGAUUAGGAGUCGCAGAGAGCUCGAGAGUGAGCACACCACAGACCAUGGCGGAAGGGAGGCUCCGACGCACUGGCUUCUGCCAACGGUUCGUUACCAAUGCGAUUUAGCAUGGGGUGGAUACUAGGGGCCGUGGUUGAGCUAAUGGUGGCUAAGGUGGAGCAGGAGGGGCUCGGGUUGCUGCAAUUGACCGGAAAGUUGACGGCGGCGGUGCAAUCGGAGGCGAGCAGGGCGGGCGGCCUCGGUCGAGUUGGGGCGUUGGGGAGCUAGCUGAGGGUCCAUGGAAGAGGAUGGAGUGCUCAUAGAACUCGAGGGCGUCCUUAGAUAGGCGCCCGACUUCGGUCCCGUCGGAGCCCGAGGAUAAGAUCGACGAUAACAUCCUCUAGCGAUUAGCAGGGAACCGAAUUAGCUGACGGGGCUGCAAGGGCUUGCACACGAAUUGUGCGCUCCUCUAGAGGUGAGCUGGCGAGCGGGGAGAGUUUGUGUGGCGCUGUUCAUGGCAAAGGCGGACGCAGACACCGGCUAGCCGCCAAGGUUGCCAUGGCGGUUUCUGUGAGCGGCACAGGACAGCGAAGAAAUUCUAUCAGGGCCCGUCUCGAUGCGCGAGGCUCUUUGGCUAGCACAGGGGCAAGGGUCAAGGGGUUUAGUGGAAGCGGCGGCUCGGCGGAGCGGCGUGCAAACCGUGCGCUCUGGCCGCGCCCAGAGCACGCACGCCAUGUGCUCGACAAAUUGUUGGGCACUCCUAAAUUUCUCCAAUUCACUUCAAACCUACCAGGGUUAGGUUAAGGGUUAAAACAAGCCUCCUAGACAUGUUGGUUAGGCCACGGGAUCAACUUUGUAAUGCAAAAAAAACCAUGCCAAAUCUUGCCAUGCACUCUAGGACAUUGAUGAAAUGCCAGAGGUAUCUAAAAGAUUUUUGUGGUAUUCAAACUUUCCACGUUAAUGUCUCUCUCGACACAAAGAAAGAUGGUGGGGUUAGAUUUGAAAAAGUAAAAACUUGUCCAUGCAACUUUUGGACAAAAACAGUUCUUGUCAGUAAAUGUAGGCUAUUAAAUCAUGCACUUAACAAUCUCAAUGGGGAUAAACUCUUGGACUUAAGGGUUUGGUAGGAUGGGCUUCAAGAAGGGAAAAAAUCAUGGCCAAAAGGGCAAGUUAAAUAGGAUUGUAGUUCAAAUUGCAAAACUAGACCAGAAUAAAAAAAGGGCUGCUUUUCUCAAAUUUUCCAAAGAACACACAUAAGUUUUUGCGUAAAAGUGAAUCACAUGCAUCCCUUGACACCUCCAAUUGUUUUUGGAAUUUCUAAAUGACUUUAAAAAAUGGUUGCAAUGCAACACAUGCUCUUAAAAGGAUGAAAAAUCCUUUAAAACAUUUUAAAUUCACAUUUUUUGAUAAAAAUAAUUCCACACUGAAUUUCUAAGAACGAAAUAAAUUAAUUUAUACCAAUACUCAAAUCGAUAAUGCUUUUCAAAAGUCUACUUGGAGGGAAAAGUUUUAGAAAAGAUGGUCUCAAAUAAGCAAAGAUGUUGCAUAGUUACAAUUUGGUGUUUUCAAUAAGACAUGAGUGAUGGGGCUCGGAGGAAAUAUCCCCGGUUAGGGGGACGUACUCUCCUCCACCUUGGAGGAGUUCAGAGAAUGUGCCCUCACUUGCCUGGCAACAAUGGUCUACCAGGGAAAAUCCAAGGAUUCUCAAAAGCAAGGGUGUGGAGUUAAUCCACCAUUUGCUGGCUCAAACGCUCCUAGCGAUGAUAUAUGGGACAAGGGUGGUCACACGCGGGCUGCUCUACAAUGGGAUGCAAGAAAACACAUGUUUCUAUUGUAUCCAGGAUUCCUAGAUCAAACCCAAUAACAAUCAUGGGGAAAGCGGGCUGUGGGGAAGUGCACCUGGUGAGGAGUGCUCGCGAUGGUCCUCGGCGUGGCCUCAUACAGAGUGUGUGGUUGAGGGCACACAUUUUAGCACUUGUGUGGCCUACGUUGUCGGGUCUGGGGUCUCGGAUAUCACUUCCAAAGUGACACAUCACUCGGGUAGCUAGUUAGGUGGGUUAGGUGGUCAUCCUCAAAAAUUCAUUCUAAGGUCAUACGUCAACUAGCUAAUUCUAGUUAUGCCAAUUACCAAUAAAAAUAACGGCAUGCACGCAUCCUGCAAUUUUAUUUAAAAUGAACUUACUACAACUUCAGUAAAUACAAGAAUGCAGAAUUACGGGGCCACACGGCCACUAGGGUUUGACAGCUAUUCUCAACGACUCGCUCCGCCUUCGUUGGCCUCUGAGCUGAGGUGCUCAGCAGCCAGUGAGGUUUCUCCGUGUGCCAUACUUCCAUAGAUGACUGGGCCAUGGAAUGGGGUUGUAGGGUUGCAGGGGCGACGACGUCUCAAAUGAUGCGCCCUAGGCACUGAUACGUGUCCAUCGUAUCUACUUUUCCAAACACUUUUGCCCUUAUUUUGGACUCUAAUUUGCAUGAUUUGAAUGGAACUAACCUGGACUAACGCUGUUUUCAGCAGAAUUGCCUUGGUGUUGUUUUUUGUGCAGAAAUCAAAGUUCUCAGAAAGUCCUAAAAAUUUACAGAGUUUAUUUUCGGCAAAUAUGAAAAAUACCUGCGCAAAGAUCCACCUAAGGGGGUGGGCCAGUGGGCCACAAGCCCUGUAGCAGCCACCCCCUGGUGGCGGUGGGCAAGCUUGUGGGGCCCACGUGGCUCUACCGCCCCCAAUCUCAGCUCUAUAAGUUCACUUCCGUCCCAGAAAAAAAAAAGAAGAUUUCGUCGCGUUUGCGAUACGGAGGCGCCGCCAUAUCCUGUUCUUCAUCUGGAGGGCAAUCUGGAGUCUGUUUUGGGCUCCGAAGAGGGGAAAUCAUCGCCGUCGUCAUCAUCAACCUUCUUCCCUCUCCAAUUCCAUGAAGCUCUUCGUCGUUCGUGAGUAAUCUAUUCGUAGGCUCGCUGGGCGGUGAUGAGUAGGAUGAGAUCUAUCAUGUAAUCGAGUUAGUUUUGAUGGGGAUUGAUCCCUAGUAUCCACUAUCUUCUGAGAUUGAUGUUGCUACUACUUUGCCAUGCUUAAUGCUUGUCACUAGGGCCCGAGUGCCAUGAUAUCAGAUCUGAAAUUAUUAUGUUGUCACCAAUAUAUGUGUGUUUUAGAUCCGAUCUUGCAAGUUGUAGUUACCUACUAUGUGUUAUGAUCCGGCAACCCCGGAGUGACAAUAAGCGGAACCACUCCCAGUGAUGAUCAUAGUUUGAGGACUUCAUGUGUUCACCAAGUGCUAAUGCGUUGGUCCGGUUCUUUAUUAAAAGGAGAAGCUUAAUAUCCCGUAGUUGCCUUUUGGACCCCGCUGCCACGGGAGGGAUGGACAAUAGAUGUCAUGCAAGUUCUUUUUGCUAAGCACGUAUAACGACACACGGAAUGCAUGCCUACAUCACAUUGACGAACGGGAGCUAGCCACAUAUCUCUCCGUGUUAUAACUGUUGCAUGAUGAAUAUCAUCCAAACAAAUCACCGACCAAUUGCCUACGAGUUUGUCCUACUACUAUUGUUACUUGUCUUGCUCUACUGUUGUUCCUUGUGACUACUAUUACUCGUUACACUGCUGCUACCUGCUACAAUACUUUUUCUCGCGCCGUUGACGGGAAAGAAUAUUUUUCGUCCACGGGCAACUUCUGGCGCCUUUGAUACAAUUGUUAGGAAUAGUCUGCCGUCAACAGAUCGUUUCUGACACCGUUGUUAUCAUACUCCUUUGAUGUUACUACUUUGCUUGCAGAUACUAAUCUUUCAGGUGUGGUUGAAUCUGACACAUUCAGCUGCUAAUACUUGAGAGUAUCCUCUCACCUCCAGCCUGGCGAUCAACAAAUUUGGGUCGAAUACUCUACCCUCGAAAACUGCCGCGAUCCCACGCGCUGGUGGGCCGUCAACAACAUUCUUCUAGUUUCGAUUGCCGGAGAGUGCUAGCAGCAUUCUUCUGGUGCCGUUGCAGGGGAAGGUCUCCUGUCACGGAGUCAGCAUUUUUCUGGUGCCGUUGCCGGGGAGGUAUUUCUAUAUUCUCUGAGUUACUUGGGAUUUAUAUCUGCUGAUCACUAUGAAGAAUGUGAAGGAUCCAAAAACCAAAGUCUUGCCCUCAACUACGAGGGGAGGUAAGGAAUUGCCAUCUAGCUUUGCACUUGACUCACCUUCAGUUAUGAGUAAGUUUGCGACAUCACCUCCUGCUAGAAAUCUUGAUAUGUCGCAUGUGCUUGAUGAUGCUUAUGAUGCUACUGCUAGAGAUGCUAUGCUUGAUACUAUGCCUGAUGAUGCUAUGCUUGAUACCGCUAGAGAUGCUAUGCCUGAUACUGCUUUCCCUGAUACUGCUAGAGAUGCUAUGCUUGAUAUUAUGCCUGAUGAUGCUACGCUUGAUACCGCUAGAGAUGCUAUGCCUGAUACUGCUUUGCCUGAUGAUGCUAGAGAUGCUAUUAUGCCUGAUGAUGCUAUGCUUGAUAUUGCUAGAGACACUACUUUGCCCGAUGUUCCACUAGGGGUGUUCCUUGAUGCUCAUAUUGCUAUAGUUACUACCAAUGCUCGUGAUGCUUCUGAAAUUGCCGAUACUAUUGAGAUAGAACCUCCUUUUGCUCCUGCUAGAUCUAGCUCUCCUAGAUAUGAAUUGCCUAAUAUACCUGAGGGUUACGUUAUGGAGCGAGAGAUAGCUGAGGAUUUUCUUGCGUGUAAGGAUUCCUAUGACGCUGAGGAAUUACUUCUCAAGUGGAAGGAAAAAUCUCUGAAAGCUAGGAUGAAAUACGACCCGAAGUUUGCCACUUCACCUAUCUUUAUCACCGAUAAGGAUUAUGAAUUCUCUGUUGACCCUGAGAUAAUCUCUCUAGUCGAAUCUGAUCCUUUCCACGGUUAUGAGUCUGAGAAGGUCGUAGCCCAUCUUACCAAACUACACGAUAUAGCCACCCUUUUCACUAGUGAGGAGAAGAUCCGCCACUACUAUAUCCUUAAACUAUUUCCUUUCUCUCUAAAGGAUGACGCUAAAGCCUGGUUCACCUCUCUUUCUCCUGGAUGUGUGAGUAGUCCCCAGGAUAUGAUCUAUUACUUCUGUGAGAAAUAUUUCCCUGCCCAUAAGAAGCAAGCUGCCUUGCAGGAAAUAUACAACUUUGCUCAACUCCAAGAAGAGAGUAUCCCACAAGCUUGGGGAGGCUCAUCCAGCUACAGAAUGCUUUGCCUGAUCACCUUCUUAAGAAGAACGAGAUACUUGAUAUCUUUUAUAAUGGACUUCCGAUGUCUCUAGAGACCACCUAGAUAGUUGUGUCAGUUGUGUUUUUAGGGAACGAACUGUAGAACAAGCUGAGCCCCUACUGAAUAACAUCUUGAUCAAUGAUAAUGCUUGGACUAUUCCCAAACCACCUCCUAAGCCAACUCCAAAGAAAAGAGGUAUUCUAUUCCUCAGUCCCGAAGAUAUGCAAGAAGCCAAGAAAUCUAUGCAAGAGAAAGGCAUUAGAUCUGAAGAUGUCAAAAAUCUACCACCUAUCGAAGAGAUCCAUGGUCUCGAUAACCCGAUACAAGUAGUAGAAGUGAAUUCUCUGCGUAGGUUUGAUGAGAGUGAUAUUCCUUUUGACAAAACUGCUAGCCUAUGCUUUGAUGAAUUUGACAACUUUGUUGCCAAACAACAGAGUUUCAAUGAUUACGUUAGCAGACAUUUGGAACAAAGUACUCGUAUGCUUAGCCAUCCAAGUGCUUGAUUAGACAGAAAUUUCAAUGAUCUGAAGCUUCUGAGUAAACAUGCCUCUAUGAUUACUACUGAGGUAGAACAAGUAUUUAAAGCUCAGAAUGACCUGCUCAAUGAAUUAAAUGACAACUCUGUCAGAGUCAUUACUAGAGGAGGCAAAAUGACUCAGGAACCUUUGUAUCCUUAAGGUCAUCCUAAGAGAAUUGAUCAAGAUUCUCAAGGAAUUAAUGCUGAUACACCCAGUCAUCCUAAGGAGAAGAACAAGGAUGAUAGAAACCUACAUGCCAGUUCACCAAUUACUGUCACACCUGAAGAACCUAAUGAUAUUUCUGCGUCUCAUGCAAAAACACAAUCUGGUGAUGAACAUGAACCUGGUGACAAUAUGGACAGUGAUGUUCAUAAUAAUGCUCAACCUAGCAAUAAUGAGGAUGUCGAGAUUGAACCUACGGUUAAUCCUGAUAACCCACAACCUAAGAGAUACGACAAGAAUGACUUUACUGCUAGGAAGCAUGGUAAAGAAAGGGAGCCAUGGGUUAAGAGAUCUAUACCCUUUCCUCCUAAGCCAUCCAAGAAAAAGGAUGAUGAGGAUUUUGAGCGCUUUGUUGAGAUGAUAAGACCCAUCUUUUUGCAGAUGCGGUUAACUGAUAUACUCAAGAUAUGUCCGUAUGCCAAGUACAUGAAAGAUAUCGUGACUAAUAAACGGAAGAUACCAGAUCCUGAGAUCUCUACCAUGCUCGCCAAUUACACUUUCAAAGGUGGAACUCCUAAGAAACUUGGUGAUCCCGGAGUGCCCACUAUACGUUGCUCCAUUAAAGCAAACUAUGUAAGAACUGCCUUAUGUGAGCUUGGAGCCGGUGUUAGUGUUAUGCCGCUCUCUCUUUAUCAUAGACUUGAAUUGGAUAAGUUGACACCCACUGAAAUUUCUCUGCAAAUGGCUGACAAAUCAAUUGCUUUCCCUAUCGGCAUUUGCGAGGAUGUGCGUGUUGUGGUUGCUAACACCACUAUCUUAACAGACUUUGUUAUCUUGGAUAUUCCCGAGGACGAUGCCAUGGCUAUCAUCCUCGGAAGACCCUUUUUAAACACUGCAGGGGCUGUUAUAGAUUGCAACAAAGGCAAUGUCACUUUCCAUGGCAACGGUAAUGAGCACACAGUGCACUUUCCGAAGAAACGAUAUCAAGUACAUUGCAUCAAUGCUAUCGAAAAUACUUCAUCGAUUCUUAUUGGGAGCUUUGAAUGCCCUAUUCCUCGUGUCAAGAUGAAGUAUGAUUUUCUUGUUGGGGAGAUACAUAUCCCCAUUGAGGUGACUUAGUGGCUAUUCGAAAAUUCUCCGUUCUCUCUUGCGAUUCGAGAAGGUUUUGUCAUGAGGACUUGAUCAACCCCAUUGACGGAUUUAUUUCGAUGACCAUGAAAUGGAUGAAUAAAAGAGUCACAUACCUCUGUUUUGAGCUUUCAUUUUCUGUUGCUUAGAAGAAAAAUGAUAGAUUUAGUUUAGUUUUCAUGUUUUCUGUUUUAGCGUCCCGGAGGAAAAUACCCCGAAAAUAAAAGUUCUCCGAUGGUCCUGAAAAUUUAGUAUGAUUUUUUCUGGAAUAUUUGAAAAUUACUGGGCCCGAGAGCUGGCCUGGUGGCCUGACCACUGGGCCACAUGCCCUGACACCGCCACCCCUCUGGUGGCGGCUAGCAAGCUUGUGGGGCCCACAGGGACCCCCUCCAUUCCUUCCAGCUCCCAUCCUCUUCUUCCACCUCUAGAAAAAAUUGUUUCGCAGCUAAAACCCGUGUUCUUGCUCAUUUGGCUGUGAUUUUUGAUCUCCUUGCUCAAAGCACCAUUCUCCGAACCAAUUUGGGGAAAUUACUCCUUGGUAAGUGACUCCUCCAUUGGUCCAAUUAGUUUUUGCUCUAGUGCUUUAUCCUUCGCGUAUUCUUGCUACCUUGGUGACCCUGUUCUUGAGCUAGAAAUGUUGAUUUUAGCUGGUCCCAAGUAGUUUUAGCGCGUGAUAGGGACUCUAGGCACUAGUAGGAGUAGUUGCUACAAGUUGGGUUAAUCUUUAUUCACUUUUCUUUCGAAGUCUCUAAAAAUUUCAGAAUUUUUUAGAACUAGAAAAAGGAAAAGAUGAGGACGUUCUUGAGAGGCUCCUCAAGCCGUAACCCCAAGGAGGAUGAGAAGAACCACCCCAAGUACGUAGUCCCUCGAGUCACGGAAGUUCGAGCGUGUGAAUGGCCAAGUGAUGAAUUUUUGCACGCCGCUGGGCUUUAUGAAGAAUUUUAUUACUUGGUGGAGAACGCAGAUCUUACUGCGUUCGUUGCAGAUAAGUGCUCACAAUACCUCCUCCUCACCAAUACUUUCGUUCAAAGCUUCAACUUUUAUCUGAGGAAGAAUCCUCCCAUGGUUGAGUUCAUGAUAUACAAUGUUUCCCAGUGCAUGACACUACAGGAUUUUUGCAAUGUAUGCAAAUUACCUUAUGUUGGGGAUAUCUGUGACCCUCGUCCACGGGACUUGGAGGAUUUCAUUGGUACUAUUGCUGUUGGAGAGGAGAGAGGAGUGAAUCGCGCUAGAAUUGCUAGCAUACAUUUUCUGUGCUUCGGUACUUCUCACUAUUUGUGGGAAAAUGUUUGAUUGGCCGUGGGGAGGCUGGAUCACUUAGUUCUCCAGACCUUGCGGUUUUGCGCGAAGGCCUUUAUAACGAUAAGACUUAUAGCCUAGGUGCUAUAGUGGCCCAGCGGUUGAACACCCACCGUUCCAAGGGUGUCUUCUAUGGAGGUAUCUAUGCUACCCAUCUUGCCACACACUUUGAGAUACCCAUUAGACUGUGAGAGGAAGGAGAGAUGCUUCUUUCUAAGAAAUAUCUGGAUUAUGACAGCAUGGUCUGCCAUGAUUUUCUGGAUAGAGAUGCUAGUAGACGGAUGAUUUAUAACCUGGUAUUUAGUCAGGGUACUCGAGAGACUAUUACUUUGCCUGCUCCUUCUUUGUUCGAUCUUCAUGUAGGCAGGUACACUAUUAUGCCAUCGGGCAUCUACACAUAUUGGGGCUUGGCCCAACCACAGGCGCCCGUGCCCGAGCCGCCAGUCGAGUACCAGACGCCAGUUUAUCAGUGGGAGCCAGAGGAGCUCACACAGCAGUGGCAUCCACAGUCUGCUCCGGAGUAUCCUAGAGUUGGUUAUUUCCCACCUUGGGAGUAGACCAAGCUAGGCCAAAAGCCUAAGCUUGGGGGAGUAUGUGUUCUCACCGACUUUACAUUCAUGCUUAUGUUUUCACUUUGUUAGCCAGUGUUCACACUUUGCCACUGUAUUAUCCAUGCUAGUUUAUUUUCAUUUUCUUGUUUUCUUGUUUUGUGUCCUUUUGAGAAAACACAAAAAUAUUUUCCUUUCUUCUUUUGCUUGUUGGGAGCUUUCCUGUGUAAAUAGUUUUCUUUUUCUUUGGGUCAAGGUAGAAGAUAUUGGUUACAAUGUUUAGUUUUCAAAGAGCCAUAUUACUUUGUCUUCUCCUUUGUGUUUGCCUGCAGAUUCAACUUAGUCCAUUGCACGAGAACUCUUAUUAUUGUUCACAUCGUUCGAUCGUGCAAAUGAAAGGCAAUAAUGAUGAUAUAUGAUGAAGUGACUGAGACUGAAAAGCUGGUAUGAACUCUAUCUAUUUUGUUUUUGUAAAUAUGACUAUCUUGUCAUCCCAGAUUCAGCUUUGUUGUGAGAGAACCAUAUUUGCAAUGAAAACUUAGAGAUCAUAGUUUCUGAUGCCAUGCUUAUUUAGCUAGGAGCUUAUAAUGGUUUGUCUUGAAUGCCAGCAUAGAUUUUUAAAUGACUAUGAUGUAGUAUGAUAGGAUGGUAUUCUCCUUUGAAUGAUUCAAGUGGCUUGACUUGGCGCAUGUUCAUGCAGGUAGUUGAAACAAAAUCAACAUAGCCUCUAUGAUGUUCGUGUUCAUGGUGAUUUAUAUCCUGUUCAUGCUUGCAUUCAAUGUUAGUCAAACUCAUUGCAUCUUGAUGACUGUUGUCGCUCUCUAGUUGGUCACUUCCCAGUCUUUUGCUAGCCUUCACUUGUACUAAGCGGAAUACUCCUUAUGCAUCCACUUCCAUAAACCCAAAAGUUUUUCCAUGAGAGUCCACCAUACCUACCUAUUUGCGGUAUCUACCCGUCGUUCCAAGUAAACUUGCAUGUGCCACUCUCUAAACCUUCAAGAAAUAAUCUGUUUUGCAUGCCCGAACCGCUCAUGUGGUGACAGGGGGCUAGUGGUAUCUUCCAUGCUAGGAGUUUUAUCCUCGACAUGUGUCCUUUCACUGUCAUUCACGAGAGAGGGGUCGGUAAUUGGAAUGCCCAGUUCCACGCUUAAAUCGAAAACAUAACUGUAAAACAAGACUCCCCCCGGACUGAUGUUAGUAUGGACGGUACCCGAGGAUUCGGCUAGCCGUGGAGUAUGAUUGAUUGGUGGUGGGGGAGUUAAAACUUUACUUUUCUGUUUGGGAACCUCCUAUAGCAUGAGUAGCAUGGAAGAUAUUGAGAACUCUUGGUCAUUGCGUUGACAAUGAAAGCAUGCCACCCAAAAUUAUUAUCUCUGUUUUCAAAGCUUGAGCUCUGGCACCUCUGCAAAUCAAUGCUUCCCUCUGCGAAGGGCCUAUCUAUUUAUUUUCCUGUCGAGUCAUCCUCUUCUUAUAUAAGUGCCAAUUAGAGAGCACCUCUGUCAUUUUGGUGCUUUGCUUUUGAUUGAUUUUGAGUAUGACUAUGACUGGAUCUUCGUUGCUAUGAAUUACAAUGUUUAAUCAGCCCUUGAUCUUUGAAAGUGCUCUGCAUUUAUGUUUUGCGGUCUCAGAAAGAGCUAGCGAGAUACCACCUAUUCAUAUUGCUUCAUGCUUGUUUUGAUUGAAGUGUUGGUAUUUGAAACUCAUUAUUAUUUGGUCGUUAGCUGAUUAUGCCAUUGAUAUUAGUUUACCGUGAGACCUUUGUGUUACUUGCUUAUGUGGUUAACUUGUGAUCUUGCUGAAAUUCUGGUUAUGAGUUAGACAUAGUUGCAACAACAAGAUCAAACAGAGUUUGUCAAAGUUUUUCUUUCUCUCUCAGUUUGUGAACUGAGUUGCUUGAGGACAAGCAAGGUUUUAAGCUUGGGGGAGUUGAUACGUCUCCAUCGUAUCUACUUUUCCAAACUCUUUUGCCCUUGUUUUGGACUCUAAUUUGCAUGAUUUGAACGGAACUAACCUGGACUGACGUUGUUUUCAGCAAAAUUGCCUUGGUGUUGUUUUUUGUGCAGAAAUCAAAGUUCUCAGAACGUCCUGAAAAUUUACGGAGUUUAUUUUUGGAAAAUAUGAAAAAUACCUGCGCUUUGGCCGCGCCCAGAGCACGCACGCCAUGUGCUCGACAAAUUGUUGGGCACUCCUAAAUGUCUCCAAUUCACUUCAAACCUACCAGGGUUAGGUUAAGGGUUAAAACAAGCCUCCUAGACAUGUUUAUUAGGCCACGGGAUCAACUUCGUAAUGCAAAACAAAAACCAUGCCAAAUCUUGCCAUGCACUCUAGGACAUUGAUGAAAUGCCAGAGGUAUCUAAAAGAUUUUUCUGGUAUUCAAACUUUCCACGUUAAUGUCUCUCUCGACACUAAGAAAGAUGGUGGGGUUAGAUUUGAAAAAGGAAAAACUUGUCCAUGCAACUUUUUGAGAAAAACAGUUAUUGUCAGAAAUUUUAGGCUAUUAAAUCAUGCACUUAACAAUCUCAAUGGGGAUAAACUUAUGGACUUAACGGUUUGGUAGGAUGGGCUUCAAGCAGGAAAAAAAUCAUUGCCAAAAGGGCAAGUUAAAUAGGGUUGUAUUUCAAAUUGCAAAACUAGGCCAGAAUAAAAAAGGGUUGCUUUGCUCCAAUUUUCCAAAGAACACAAAUAAGUUUUUGCGUAAAAGUGAAUCACAUGCAUCCCUUGACACCUCCUAUUGUUUUUGGAAUUUCUAAAUGACUUUAAAAAAUGGUUGCGAUGCAACACAUGCUCUUAAAAGNNNNNNNNNNNNNNNNNNNNNNNNNNNNNNNNNNNNNNNNNNNNNNNNNNNNNNNNNNNNNNNNNNNNNNNNNNNNNNNNNNNNNNNNNNNNNNNNNNNNGGUCAUCGAAAUAAAUCCGUCAAUGGGGUUGAUCAAGUCCUCAUGACAAAACCUUCUCGAAUCGCAAGAGAGAACGGAGAAUUUUCGAAUAGCCACUAAGUCACCUCAAUGGGGAUAUGUAUCUCCCCAACAAGCAAAUCAUACUUCAUCUUGACACGAGGAAUAGGGCAUUCAAAGCUCCCAAUAAGAAUCGAUGAAGUCUUUUCGAUAGCAUUGAUGCAAUGUACUUGAUAUCGUUUCUUCGGAAAGUGCACUGUGUGCUCAUUACCGUUGCCAUGGAAAGUGACAUUGCCUUUUGUUGCAAUCUAUAACAGCCCCUGCAGUGUUUAAAAAGGGUCUUCCGAGGAUGAGAGCCAUGGCAUCGUCCUCGGGAAUAUCCAAGAUAACAAAGUCUGUUAAGAUAGUGGUGUUAGCAACCACAACACGCACAUCCUCGCAAAUGCCGAUAGGGAAAGCAAUUGAUUUGUCAGCCAUUUGCAGAGAAAUUUCAGUGGGUGUCAACUUAUCCAAUUCAAGUCUAUGAUAAAGAGAGAGCGGCAUAACACUAACACCGGCUCCAAGCUCACAUAAGGCAGUUCUUACAUAGUUUGCUUUAAUGGAGCAACGUAUAGUGGGCACUCCGGGAUCACCAAGUUUCUUAGGAGUUCCACCUUUGAAAGUGUAAUUGGCGAGCAUUGUAGAGAUCUCAUGAUCUGGUAUCUUCCGUUUAUUAGUCACGAUAUCUUUCAUGUACUUGGCAUACGGACAUAUCUUGAGUAUAUCAGUUAACCGCAUCUGCAAAAAGAUGGGUCUUAUCAUCUCAACAAAGCGCUCAAAAUCCUCAUCAUCCUUUUUCUUGGAUGGCUUAGGAGGAAAGGGUAUAGAUCUCUUAACCCAUGGCUNNNNNNNNNNNNNNNNNNNNNNNNNNNNNNNNNNNNNNNNNNNNNNNNNNNNNNNNNNNNNNNNNNNNNNNNNNNNNNNNNNNNNNNNNNNNNNNNNNNNGCAAGCAUCUUGAACCCAAAUUUGUCUUAAGUGUGUGAUGGCUUGUUGUGGUGAAUGGAUGCAUGGUUAUGCUACUUAGAUAAAAACUCUCCAUAGCAACAUAUUUUGCGCCAAAGCAUGUGAUGGGUACUUAUUUGCUGUUGAGCAUAUAAUACUAGUGAUGAGUGCGUACUACCUGAUGACAUGUAUCUCAUGUGGGUAUGGACAAAAUCGUAGGAAGGUUUGUCAUGGUAAACAUGUGACUGUGAAACCGAUAUCUCGUGGCAACGAUAAUGAUCUGUGAGUGCAUAUCAAGGUGUGAUGGUGGUAACCCAAUUGAAUAACAUUCAGGAAUUUUGUGGUGCUAACACUUGCAUGCAAACUUAAUCCCCCGAGUAGAACGUAGAUCGGGUCUUGUGCCACUAACCUUCAUAUUGAUUUGUGCUACUACUUGUCCGUACGACAGGUAGGGUGUGGUUGAGUAAUUUGUCGACCCCUUUCCUUGCACACACCAUACAGACAGGCCAUAGUGGAAGAUACCAGUUGCAACUGGUAGGCAUGCCACUUGGUCCGGCGGCAUGGGUGUUUC